RNAcentral lists this long non-coding RNA (186427 nucleotides) under Theobroma cacao (cacao). Its description in RNAcentral is "long non-coding RNA (TCAC_LNC005848)". The stretch from base 100696 to 100802 matches the Rfam family "Plant small nucleolar RNA R71". Lineage: Eukaryota; Viridiplantae; Streptophyta; Magnoliopsida; Malvales; Malvaceae. The record is from RNAcentral.
GUAGUUGAGGCUUCAAUUAUAGACGUACAACUGCCCAGAUUAGAUACAAAUGGUAAUUAUCCUCCUUCACUUCCUCUUGCUACUGACUGCUUCAGCAGUUGGUCUUGGUCCAGCCUCAGCAGAUCGAGAUGUCUGCGAGCCAAAACACUGCAAAAACCGCCAGCCAUCCGUCCGGUACCCCUUCCGAUUGAAAGGCCGCCAACCGGACCACUGCGGCUCAUCUGGGUUUGACCUGUCCUGCAACAACAAGAACCAGACGGUGCUGGAGCUGCCCCGUUCGGUCAAGUUAUUGGUGAAGCGUAUAGAUUAUGUACACCAGAGGAUUCACGUGUAUGAUGAAGAUGGUUGUGUCCAAAAGCAGCUUCAAAAUCUCACUUUAUCUGCAUCUCCUUUCAUGUACAGCUCAGGCUCAGAUCCCUACUAUUACAGCGAUUCUGGAAACUUCACCUUGUUUAAUUGUUCAAUUGAAGAUCAAUCCGACUAUUAUGAACGUUACAGCAGAAUCCCUUGCUUAAGUGGGUCUGGCUUCUAUGUUAAAUACGUGUAUUCUGAGUCUGAAAGAAGUGACCUGUUGAAUUGCAGAAAGACUACAGAUAUCUCUGAAGUUCCCUACGGGAUGAUGAAUGACAGGAAAAACAAAUUUGACUUUAACUGGACCAAACCGGCUUGUGGUUUAUGUGAAGUCAAAGGCCGAGGAUGUCGGCCCAAUACUGCUAACGCAUCGGGCAUAGAGUGCUAUUCCAUCCACAGGGAAGACAAAGGUACCACAUACAUAUGAGUAUUUAAGUAGCAUUGUUCUGAAAUCUGAAUUUAGUUUUUAAGUAGUAAGCCUUCUAAAGGGUCCAUGCUUCGAAAUCUACGUCGGGGUCAGUCAGCUUCAACCCUAUACAUAAUUUUUAUUAUUACUACUAAAAUAAUAAAAAUAUUUUUAUAUUAACACAUUAAUUUUUACAGUAUAUUAUAGAAUUUAAAACUUGCUGUCUAUUAAUUAGUAAUAAAAGAAUAAGCUCAUUCCGGAAAAAAAAACCCACAAACAAAAAGUAAAUGGAGAUUACAAAUAUGAGUCGUUUGGGUAUCUUCUGUUUAAUUAUUUUUGUGCUUUCUUGGCAAUUUUGGCAAUUUUAAAUUGAAAUAAAUGAAGCUUCUUCUUAAUUGGAAAUAAAAAAAUUGUCAUCAAGUGAAAAAAUCAUACUAAAUGAAAUAAAUAAUAAUGUGAAGUAAUAUAAUUCUAGAUGCAAAACUGAAAGUGCAGCUGAAAUUAUGUUGCUAAAACCCAUUUGUGUCGUAGUGCUCCUUAUAAUUUUAUAAAUUUUUAAAGGGUAACGUAAUAAUAUAAAAAAAGUUGAUGAAAUAUUUAUUAUUAUACAUUACAAUUAAUAUUUUUUUAAAGAAGUUUUGAUUUAUAAUUUUGUCUAAAAAUUCAGAUAAACCUCGUGCAAAAAUUAAAAUUUGUAUGUUUUGAGAUCUAAUUACCUUGUUUUUGCUCUCUUCUAUAAGCAAAAAUAAGUCAGGUAGAACUUUUUGAUGUAAAAUUAUUGACAUUAUGGGAUAAAUCAGGCUUCCCAAAUUAGGGUACUAAACAUCAAAACCAACUUCUUUAACUUACAGUUCCAGCAAGAAAUUGCUUGAUUCAUAUUGAAUCAAUACUUCUUUUUUACCUAUGAUUUAAUCUCAUUUAUUCAAAAUCUUAUGCACACAUCUUUGUCUCAAACUUGUAAUUAAGCAUUAAUUUUGCAGGGCCAAAAUCAAUUUUGAAUGUUUUAGAAACCUAAGGGAGACUGUAUAUAGAGUAAUGAUAUAGGAUUAUUUUACUGAUGUUGAGAAAUAUAGCAUGCUGAUCAUUUUUGAAUGUUUUCCAGGUGCAAGAAUGAAGCUAAUGAUUUCAGGUACAUGGUUGUUCCAUACAUUGAUUUUAUGUUGAGAAAAGAAAUGAUCUGAUGAAGCAUUGUAAUCUCUGACUAGGAUCAUGUUAUUUGCAGGUUUAACCAUAGGAUCACUUCUCCUUUUAUUGAGUGUCAUUGGACUCUGUUGGCUGCACCACUUGAAUAAAAAAGAGAAAGAUGGUCAACGCAAGAUCGAACAGUUUUUGGAGGAUUACAAAGCUCUUAAGCCCUCAAGAUAUUCCUAUGCUGAUAUUAAGAGGAUAACAAACCAAUUCAAGGAAAAACUUGGACAGGGUGGUUAUGGUACUGUGUUCAAAGGAACACUUUCCAAUGAUGUUUCAGUAGCUGUUAAGGUUCUGAAUAACUUCAAGGGAAAUGGUGAAGAGUUCGUUAACGAAGUUGGUUCAAUGGGAAGAAUCCACCAUGUCAAUGUUACUCGCUUAGUUGGUUUUUGUGCUGAUGGGUAUAACCGAGCCCUUGUUUAUGAGUACUUGCCAAAUGAGUCAUUAGAGAAAUUCAUAUUUGCAGCUAAGGGUGAGAAUCGUUUCCUUAGUUGGGAGAAGCUUCAUGAAAUUGCUUUAGGCAUAGCCAAAGGCAUUGAGUACCUUCACCAAGGUUGCGAGCAACGGAUCCUCCAUUUUGACAUCAAACCUCACAAUAUUUUACUGGAUCAGAACUUCACUCCUAAGAUCUCUGAUUUUGGUUUGGCUAAGUUAUGUUCCAAAGAGCAAAGUGCUGUUUCAAUGACAGCAGCAAGAGGAACCAUGGGCUAUAUUGCACCUGAAGUAUUGUCUAGGAACUUUGGAAACGUCUCAUACAAAUCAGACGUUUACAGUUUUGGAAUGCUCUUGCUUGAAAUGGUUGGAGGGAGAAAGAAUAUUGAUGUGACAUUGGCCAAUGAAAGCCAAGUGUACUUCCCGGAGUGGGUUUAUAAUCGUUUAGACAAAGGAGAAGAAUUAGGAAUUGAUAUCGAAGAUGAAGGGCAUCACAAGAUCGCAAAGAAACUUACAAUUGUUGGACUUCGGUGCAUUCAGUGGUAUCCAGUUGAUCGUCCUUCAAUGAAAUCUGUGGUUCAAAUGUUGGAAGGAGAAGCAGACAAUCUGACAAUGCCACGAAAUCCAUUUGCCUCUAAAGAUGAAAAGAAGCCUAAGAAGCCCAUUAACAGAGAGUUAGCAGCUAUUUCUGAAUAAGAAGAAAAGCAAUUUGCAGAAUGCAGCCUUACAAUCAAAAUGAGUAGAGUUUUUACUCUUAAUUUUGUUCUCUAUUAUUUUUAAAUGAUAAAUUUUAUGUAUAAUUAAUUUUUAUUAAUCUGGUAUCUACAAUAACAAGAGUUUAAAAUAUAAAAGCAUACGUGAUUCUUAAUACAUGAUUAAUUUGAUAGUGAAAAUAAUAUUGACUAAAUUAACUUUUAGACAUAUGUCCUUCAAAAUUAAUUUUAUUAUUUAUUUAUGAGAUAAAUAAAUUUCUGCGUCAAUUAUUGAUUUCAUACAUAUGAUAUUUUAAUGGAUAUUUAAUUAUUUAUGACAUAUAUGAUUUGAUCAGUUAUUUUUAAACAUGAAAUGAAGCCUAAAAAGCCCAUUAAUAGAGAACUAGUGGCUAUUUCUAAAUAAGAAUAAAAGCAAUUUGCAAACUACAACCUAAUCGAAAUGAGUAGAGUUUUUGCUUUUAAUUUUGUCUUGUGUAUAAUGUAAACGAUAAAAUUUAUAUAUAAUUAAUUUAUACUAAUUUUGUACUAUACUAGGAAUUUAGAAUACAAAAGUGUACAUAAUUUUUGAUAUAUGAUUUUAUAGCAAAAAUAAUACUGAUUAGAUUAAUUGUUGGGAUUUAGUAUACUUGGAUCUUCUUUUUCUUUUUUCUACGUAACUCUUCAAUAAGUGAGAUCUUAAUGUUUUUGUGUGAUGGGCCUAGCCAUAUCUUUAUAUAAUGAAUCCCUAAUCUCAUCCAUAAUAAGAUUUAGGGUUUCCUACACAUACUUACGCUUUUGAUCUCACAUUUGAUAUCGGAGUCUAGCCCACUUUAUUAAAUCAUAUUAUGGACUAUAAUAUUAUCACUUUAUAAAGGCCAAAAUAACUUAAUUUGGUUUUAAUAACAUACAAAAAAUAAAUAAUGUAACUCUACAUUUUGAUUUUACAAGAAAAUCUAACAAUCUCUCACUUAGUGUAAAACCCGACCCUAUAAACACAUGUCAUGACAUACAUGCACUGAGUAGCAUGUUAUUAUGCUAGGAAAGCACCUAAGAAUAGACGAAACCCGGUAUUGUACCUAACGGUACACUUGAGUUGAUUUAACCUCAAACUAAUUUAAAUAGGAAUCGUAGGAUGAAAUUUAAUAUUUUACAGUCCAGGAAUGACUAAAAAUGAUUGUUCGGAGUUCGAGGGUUCAUUUGGGGUAAAAUUGAAAAUUUUGAUGUUCAGGGGCAAAAUAGUAAUUUUUCCACCCGUGGAUAAAAUUUGAGAUUUUGAGAGAAUUUAGAUCACAUUUGACAAAUUGGAGAAUGGUAUGAGUAUAAGGGAUGAAAAUAUGUCUAUGGGCAAUUUUUUAGUUUUUGGGGUAAAAAUGUAAUUUUUGACUUUUACGGGGGCAAAAGUGUAAAUUUCAAAAAUUACUCCACCAAGACUUUGGAUAAGUCUGAGAAUUUUGUCUAAGCUAUGGAUAUGUGAGACAAGUGUAUGGUGAAAAUUUGGAAACAAAUGGAUGAAAUUUUAAAAACGGACAAAUGGGAAAAUGACACAUGGCAUUUUUUUAAUGGUUUAAUAUUAUUUUAAUGAAAAGUCAGCCCAUUUAAACCCCAUUUUAAGUGAUGGCCAGCCAUAAGGGAGAACAAGACAGAAAAUAGAGAGGAAAGGAAGAAAAAAAGAAAAACCAAAGAGAAACAAGAAAAUUCAAAGGGGAAUUCGCGUUUUUUGCUUGUUUACGCGUCUAACGGUAAGAUUUUUCGACUUUAGCUUGAUUUCUACCUUUCCUAUGCCUUUGUUUCCAUUUAGCAUGCUUGAGGAGAGAGAUCUAAAAGUGACAUCAAGGGCUGGCCGAGUUUCAAGGGGGGAGAAAUUGAAAUUUUUAGGUUUUAAUUUUUAGUUAAAUUGAUAGUUUUAGUUAGUUAAAUGUGUUUAGAAAUUAAAUUGGGCAAGAAAGCAUUAAAUUUUCACAAUACCUACCCUUGGCCGAAUCUGCAAUGAGAUACAAUGAUGAUAAUCUGAUUUUUAUUCUAANAAUACAAUGUCAUCCACAUAUAUUUGUACAACAAUUAAAUCAUGUAAGUAUCUUUUAAUAAACAAUGUAGUAUUAAUGUUGCCUCUAUCAUAACCUUUUUCAACCAGAAAUUUUGAAAGCCUCUCAUACCAAGCUCUAGGAGCUUGUUUCAAUCGAUACAAGGCUUUAUAGAGUUUGUAAACAUAGUUUGGUUUUUCAAAAUCUUCAAAACCUGGUGGCUGUUCAACAUACACUUCCUCUUGAAUGAAUCUAUUUAAAAAUGCACUUUUUACAUCCAAAUGGUACAAUUUGAAAUUCAUGAAGCAUGCAAAAGCUAACAACAACCUUAUGGAUUCAAUGCUAGCAAUGGGUGUAAAAGUUUCAUCAUAGUUUAUUCCUUCUCCUUGGUUGUAUCCUUGGGCUACUAACCUAGCUUUAUUUCUUACUACAUUUCCUUGCUCAUCUACCUUAUUUCUAAACACCCAUUUUAUGCCAACAAUAGGGUGAUUUAAAGGUCUAGGUACUAGUGACCAUACAUGAUUUCUUUUGAGUUGGUUAAGUUCCUCUUACAUGGCCAUUAUCCAACUUUCCUCAUUUUCAGCUUCUUCAAAGUUUUUAGGUUCAAUUUGUGAUAUGAAGGCUGAAAACUCACAAGUCUCUCUUGUUGCUCUCCUAGUUUUGACACCUUGAGAGAUAUCACCUAUGAUUUGCUCUUGUGGAUGCUCUCUUAUAAAUCUUCAACUUUUUGGAAGAUCACUAUGCUGAUUUUCUAUUCUUUGCAAAUCUUCUAGAGGUUGAGUUUCAUUUUUUCUUCUAAGUGAGCCUUAUUCAUUAUUCUUAUUGUUCUCUAAGCUCAUUUCUUCCAUUUGUUUUUCUAGGAUUUCGACAUCAUCAUCAUCAACAUGAAUUUCCUUUUGUAAAUCAUUUGACUCAUCAAAAACUACAUGGAUUGAUUUUUCAACAUUUAGAGUCCUUUUGUUGAAAACUCUAUAAGCCUUGGAGUUUAAUGCAUAUCCUAAAAAUAUUGCCUCAUCACUUUUUGCAUCAAACUUUCUUAGGGGCUGUUUUCCAUUGUUCAAUACAAAACAUUUACAGCCAAAACUCCUAAGGUGAGAAAUGUUUGGUUUCCUACCCUUGUAAAAUUCAUAUGGUGUCUUAGAUAUCAUGGGUCUUAUUGAGACUCUAUUAAGUAUAUAGGCUGCUGUGUUCAUAGCCUCAGCUCAAAAAUAUUUUGGUAGGUUAUUCUCACAUAACAUAGUCCUAGCCAUUUCUUUUAAGGUUUGAUUUUUCCUCUCUAGUACUCCAUUUUGCUGAGGUGUUCUAGGUGCAGAGAAAUUGUGAUCCAAUCCCUUUUCAUUGCAAAAUUUCUCAAAUUCAUCAUUUUCAAAUCUUCCUCCAUGAUCACUCCUUAUGCUAACUAUGGCUAGUCAUUUUUCAUUCUCUACUUUCCUACAAUGACUUACAAAAGCUGAUAUAACAUCAUUUUUAUGGGUAAGAAAAUAAACUCAAGUAUAUCUAGAAUAGUCAUCAACUAUUACAAAGCCAUAAGAUUUUCCUCCUAAACUAGUUGAACUUAUUAGACCAAAUAGAUCAAUGUGUAAUAAUUCAAGAGGUCUAGAUGUUGACUCAAUCUUCUUAGUCUUGAAAGAUGUUCUAACUUAUUUGCCUAGUUGGCAAGCAUCACAUAUUUUAUCAUUUUCAAGUUUAAAUCCGGCAGCCCAACAACUAAGUUCUUUCUAAUCAAUUUUGACAUAGUAUGCAAGCUUACAUGUCCUAAUUUCCUAUGCCAUAACCAGUUGUCAUUUUCAGCAUUUGCAACAAAACAUAAUUCAUUGUUUAUUUCAAGAUCCUAAAGAAAAACAACAUAUAUAUUCUUUAAUCUCUUUCCUAUAAAUGACACAUUGUUUGUACCUAUGUCUAUUACUUCACACUUAUUUGAAUCAAAACAUACUUUAAAUCCUUUGUCACAUAAUUGACUAAUACUCAAUAAAUUAUGCUUUAAGCCCUUAACUAUCAACACAUGACUAAUUUGAGUUUGGGAGUUCUUACCAACUGUGCCUAUCCCAUGGAUUCUACCUUUUGAAUCAUCACCAAAGGAUAUGGUACCUCCCUUUCUUUUGUCUAGCUGAGCAAAUAACAUUUCAUCUUCAGUCAUAUGUCUUGAGCAGCCACUAUCCAUGAACCAAGGCUGUUUUUUCUUGAGUUGAGCUCUUGAACAUGUCUCCUUUAAGUACAGCUCAACCUACAAAAUAGAAUUUUAGUUUUUCUUUAUAGGUACCCAUACUUUGAUGGGUCCUUGAGAGUUAGUUGCAAUAUAGGAUCCCUUAGGGACCUAAAUUCUUCUAACUUUCUGCAACUUACUUCUCUUAAAGCAAUCAUGUGAAACCUCGACUCUCAUAGAUGAAUACCUCGAGGUGGAACUUAUGUUUAAAGGUUUAAUUUGAGCUAAUGAUGCUAGUUUUACAUUACUUAUAAUUAUUUUAUGUUGUUAUAGGAGUAGGAUUCAAAAAUAGUUUCAAUUGGUGAAGAAAGGUGUAUAAUGGGCUAUUACUCUAUUUGCUUAUGUUAUGGUUUUUCAAGCAUAUCUCCCACUACAGAAGUCCAAAUGACAUAAUUUUUAAACUAUUGAAAAGCUAAGAGGUAGGGCUGCAACUUUGAUGUUUACCACUUUUCCCAGUUUUGAAGGGAAGGUGGUCAAAUCUUUGUUGAAGUGGAAGUACUACACCAGGAGAACAGAUUCGGACAAAACAUUUGAGCGUCGCAGUGCUGGAAAUUGAUAGCCGUGGCCCUCAUCGUAAUUUCCACAAAUAACAAGUUUAGGGGAUUUUUUAAGCUAAGACUUUUGAGGGCUACUUAAGGGACCUCUUUAAGAGGAUUUGAGACCUUUUCCAAUGUCAAAAGAGUAAAAGAUUACACAAGAAAAGGAGGAAGACAAGUGGCCUUGUUAAGGGCAUUAUUUUAAUUGCAUGAAGAUUUAGAUAAGUUUUAACUAUAAAAAUCUCAUUCUUUCAGCAGCUUCUUCACUUUUCCAACAACUUCUUCUUCUCCUUCCCCCAUCUCACGUUUCUCUCCUCUUCCAUGAAAACUUCUCUCAAGCUUCCAUCACUCUCUUAAACUAACCUCAAUUUUUAUGCUUUACACACCCUGUUGUAGGGUUUUUCAUACUUUUUUACUCCCUCGCCUUAAACAAACCCUUAAAAGUCUUUCUUCAAUACUUUCUCUCACCAGUUGAACUUUGUAGAGAGAGAAAAAGAGGUUUUAUGAUCGCUUGAGGACUCUUGGGAAGAAAUUUCAUUACAAUCCACCAAGGUGAGUGAUGGAUUAGGACUGGUUUUAAGUUGUUGAUAAAGGCUAAUAAUUAGAAUUAAGAAUUGUGUAUUACUGAAGUUGUUUAUCUAUUUCUAGUGUUGCUAAAGUAGAUAACUGAAUAACCAAUCAAAUGGUAAUGGAAGAUAAAUAGGAAGGGCUAGUGAAGCUUGAUUUGGGAAAAUAGCUUUGGAAUGGUAUUAAUGCCAAGUUGGGUUGAUUAUGAUGUUGUUGUGUAUAUAGGUUCCACCGAAACCCCACACCUCUAUUCGAAACAUUAGUCGAAGUUAGAGCCCAUUGAAACAUCAAUAAAGACUGGUGAGUGAACUUUCAUUUCAAAAUAUUUUGGGGAAAUGUUUACGUGUUUCAAUGAAUCAUUUGGGAAUUUUAUCGAUUUUUGCUUUAAAAUUACUUGGGAACAAGCCCUUGAAAAAAUGUUUGAUGUUGUGAAAUGUGAAAUGUGAAAUAUGUAAAAGGAUAGACAUCCACAUGUUUUUGUAUGAUGUUGAUAUAUAUAUAUAUAUAUAUAUAUAUAUGUAUACUAUGUCAUAAAUGGUACUGUUGUGUGACAAAUGCAACCGUGGCAUGUGCGGGGUGAGUGUGCACUUGGUGAGUGAUGACGGUGGUGAGGGAGAUGGAUGGUGAUACUAUCCGGCUAUGUGCACGAUGUGGUGGGAUGUACAUGACCUGGGUGAGAUGCACAUGAUGAAUCUUAAAAAUUUGUCAGUUAUUUGCAAAUUGAUUUUAUUGCAACGAGAAACACUCUGUUUAUACUGCCUUACUUGGAUAAUUGUUGGAAAUUUCCCUUUUUUCCAAUUUCAUGCUGAAUACGGUUCCUUCAUCAUUAAAUGGUUUAAUAACCAAGGGUUUAAAUGGAGGGAUUUUAAUAAGAACUUGAACUAAGUUGCAUUGUUUUCGAAUAAGUGCAUCAUGAUUAUCAACUUUCCUUGUUGUUGCUUGUUCCCUUCUUAUGUUCAUUCACUGAGUUUGUACUCACUAUUUUCAACUUCAUGUUUUCAGAUCAAGAGGCAGUUGGAACCUAGGUCGAGGUGUCCACAUAGUUUCGCCUUUGUUGGUAGGUAUAUUGGCAUUCAGUAGCCGUCCCUUCACCUUGGUCAUUCCGCUAGAAGUCAAGAAUCAUUUUGUUUGUGAAUACGUUCAUGUGAUGUAAAGUAUUAAGAUAUGUGUCUUAGACAAUGUACGUAUACUGUGACGGGUAAUGCCACCACUGGUUGGCAAUGGUUAACAUUAUUUGGGUAACGUGAAAUGCAGUUUUUGAUUGCUACAACAUAUUACUUAGGUACUUAUAAAUUGGAAGUAUGAAAGGUGACUUUAAGAAUAAUUGAUGGAAUGAUGAGUAGGAUUACGUAAAUAGGCUUGCUUGGGCUUAGUAGACUACGUCCAUUGAGUCCAUGCGCCGGUCACGUCUUGGAAAUCAGGUUGUGACAAUAAGAAUGAAGUUAGCAAACUUCUUUGGUGAGCUUAAGACAUGUUGAAAACUUCAGCCACGUGAUUGGAAACUACCUUGGAAACCCUUUUUAUAAAGGUCUUAAGUUGCUUAAGAGAAAAGAAAUGAGUAUGAAAUCGAAUGAUAUAGAAUUGGACUGAAAUAUUACAAACCAUGAAUGAAGUAUCAACACUUAUUGUCCAAAAUGCCUUGGGAAGCAUUCUAAAUAGAAAGUAUCAAUACCUAUAAAAGAAGUAUUAUUACCCAAUGGCCAGAAUGCCUUGGAAAUCAUUAUGUGUGGAAAGUAUCGAUACCUACAAGAGUAGUAGCAAUAACUAGUGGUCAUAAUGCCUCGGGAAACAUUUUGUGUAGAAAGUAUCAUUACCUAUAAGAGAGGCAUCAAUGCCUAGUGGUAAGAAUACAUUAGGAGCAUUCUUUGUGAAAGUAUCAAUACCUCAAAGAGAAGUAUCGAUACUCAGUGUCUUGAAUGCCUUGGGAAAAGUAUCCCACGUGAAAGGUUUCGAUAUCUGACUUACAAGUAUCGAUAUUUGAGGUAAAAAUAUAAAAAGAAGGCCUUGAUUUGGCCACCCAAUUCACACCUUUUUCUCAGUUACUUUAAAACCCUUUUUCUCCUGGUUCCAAAUCCUUUCAUAACCACCCAAACUUAACUUAUAUCAAAGCUUCUGAGUCAACUUAUAUCAAAGGUUUCCACCCUUUAAAAUGUUUUAAUCGAUCAACUUUCGAAUUAAUUUCUCUCUAAGAAAUUCUUCUUAUCUCUUAGGUGUUAGGGUUUCCAACUUGAGUCUCUUGAGGCAAGCUCACCAAUUGUUGUUGGAUUUACCACGCAAGUACAUGUAUUGUUAACAACUAAUUUAUUGAAGAGUUGAGUAUCAUUCCCAUAGAGAAUUGCAACAAAAAUCUUUUGCAAAGUACUAAAAUUAACACAAUUUAAUCUUAUAUAAAUAACCAAUUUUUAAAGUGAUUAAAAAUUAAAUAAAUUAAAAUUAAAAACAAGAAUCGCAAUUUAAAUAGAAUUAAUCAAUCAAACAAGACUUAGAAUUACAAUAUCCCCUCAACACUUCAUCUAAAUCUCUUUUACUUUCUCUUUACUUACUAAAUAAGCUUGAGUUGUUAACCUAGAAUUCUAAAAUAUUUAUAAGUCUCCGUCGAGUUUCUUAUAAAAAUAUCUCUCUUAACCAAUUCACUAUAUGUCUAUACAAAUUGCAAUGAAGAAAAACUCACUAAGAUUAUAUUCUAAUAUUGGCUACAUAUGUCAUGCAAGUGUAUGUUUACCUCACACACGAAUCAAAUCAAUCAUCUCAUGUAAUUGAUAUUGAACAUCUGCUAUUUCAUCUAAGGCUUACAUUAAACUCCCUUUCUCAGUUUUGUUUAGGUUAUCUUAUUUAUCUAAUUGGUGAUCAAAUAAUUAGACGCAUUAAGUGCAAGAUUGAAAUAAAGAACUCAAACACUAUCCAUCAUAAGCAAAGAGAGUAUUAAAAUUCAAAUUACAUGUUGGGUUCAAUUGCAAUUCUAGAUAAGAAAACUAGUUCCUCAUAGCUAUUAAAAAAAAAACAAUUUAACCAUCAACACCAAACAAAGAAAGUAUAAAAAGAACUAAAGAAGAAAAGAAAACUCAGAUUUGUUAGAUCUUCAAUCUUCAAUCUUCAAGAGUUUUUCCUUCACUUUCUUAAUUGCUUGACGACUCUUUUUGCUGAGAGAAAGCCUAGCUUAAUUGUUGUUCUCAAGUGCUUUGAAAGUGUCUUUAAAUAAGGCUCAAAAUCCUUGUCGAAAUAAACGUUCAAAUGUUGAAAAACUUGAGUUAUCGUGUCGGCACCGCAGCGCCGAGCUCUUUGCCUUGGCCCUUGUAUCCUCUUAUUCUUGGCAUCGCGACACCCAACAUUCUGUCUUGCCACAUAUGAUUUGAUGCACUACUUAGACUUGUGGUGCAUUUUUCUCCUUUUUUUAAGCUAAAUUUGGAAAAAUGUUAAACAUAAAAGUUAUAGCCCUAUCUCUUAACUUUCCAAAGGCUUAAGAAUCAUAUUAAUUAGACUUCUAGAAUGAUAUUUAUGCUCAAAAUACCAAAACAUGUGUAGAAAAAGCAUGGACCUUGUGUGCACUUUUUUUCAUUAAUUAAAGCCCUUUCAAUUGUACACCUAUAAGAACAACAAACUUAAACAAUAACUAAACUAAAGCAAAUUAUCAUAAAAUAACAUAAAAUAACUUAAAUUAAAUUGAUUUAACAAGAUUUAAUAAGAUAAAUAACUCAAACUUACUAAUUUAUGAAUUAAAUGUCAAGAACUUAGCCCAUUUAAAGCUCAAAAUGUGACAAAAUAAAUAUAAGAAAUAGAGUUAUCAUACCCCAAACUUGAGAUUUUGCUAGUCCUCGAGCAAAACAUAAAAGAAAACUUAAAGAAAACAAAAUUAUGUAAAUGAUGAAAAUAAUUUAAAUAAAGAAAACAACUAGCUAGCUAGAGAUGAAUUACGCCAAUCCAAUGAUCUAUCAUAAUUUCCUCGUAUGUUAUCUUAAAAUUUCAACUCAAGGUAAAACAUAGAUAUCAUUCAAGUUCAUGUUUCAAUUCAAAUGCAAGCUCAUUCUCAAAUGGAUUUCUGAGCGUGUAUGCAAUCUUUUACAAAGAACAUCAUGCAAUCCGGAUAAGUCUAUGCCAAUGCAAAAUUCAAAUUAGUACAAGAAUCCCAUAGGUUUGCUUUUCAUUUCUCUUUCCAUUAAUUUAAACUAAUACUAAGUCAAGGAUCAUUAGGUCUUUAUCAAGCUUGUAAUAAAUAACUAGGAUCAACAUAAGAUAAAGGAUAUUUAUAAGGCUCAAUUCGCCUAAGCACAUAAUCAUUAUAAGGCCUAUAUAGUUGUCACGACCCAAAUUUCGGGCCAUGAUCGACGCAUGGGCCCAAUGGGCAUAGCCCACUAAGCCUAAGCAAGCCUAUUUAUGUGACCUGUUCAUCAUUCCAUCAAAAGUUCCUAAAGUCACAUUUCAUAAUUCUAAUUCAAAAUAAUGCUAACCAUUGCCAACUCAUAGUGGCAUUUCCAAUCAAAAUAUACAUAUAUAGUCUAAAACAUACAUCUUAAUAAUUUACAUCGGGUUUGUCUAUACACAAAAAAAGGGAUACUUGACUUCCAGCGGAGAGACCCGAGUGAAAGUAGAGCUAUUGAAUGCCGAGAUACCUACCAAGGAGACGAAUCUACGAAGACACCUUGACCUAGUUACCAACUACCUCUUGAUCUGAAAACAUGAAGUUGAAAACAGUGAGUAUAAACCCAGUGAGUGAACAAAGUAAGGGAAUGAGCAAACGAUAAGAAAAGUUUAAAGAAAUCAUGAUGCACUUAUUUUCAAAAACAAUGCAAUUUAGUUUAGUUCUUAUUAAAACCCCUUAUUAAACCCUUAAUUGGUUAAUCACUUGAUGAUGAAGGAUCCAUGCACAACAAAGAAUUUGAAGAGUGAAAACUUUAGUAGCAUUCAAGCAAGUCAAGCAAAAUGAUUGAUCCUCGCUGUAGUAGAUAGGCAUUCUCGCUGCAGCAAAAUUUGGGCUUAAAUCAUCAGUUGGCCAAGGGUUUCUCACAAAAAUCCCUCAUUUCAAACUUAAUUAAUUAAUUCCUUGAUGUUGGAAGUCCAUGAUCAACUAUCAUGUUAAAGAAGUGGAAAAUAUGGCAAAAACCAAACAAGAUAGCAAGCACGACAAAGGUUUCUCGCUGCAGCAAAACCACCUGUAGACAUCUCACUGCAGCGAGAAUAGCGAGAAUGUAUUCUCACUGUAGCGAGCUACAGAACUGUAGCCAGCCUCCCAACCCGAGACUUUCUCGCUGUAGUGAGAAAUAGAACACCAAGAAGAAAGUUCUCAUUAUAUCAAGAAAAGGCCAUUCUGCUGCAAUGACAAAAUCAACUUGAAAAUACUUAGCAAUUUCCAAGGUUCAACAUGCAAGAUUUCACAUACAUUACAACCAUAUACCAUAUUCAUGAACUUUCUCUUGCAUAAAUGUGUAUAUAUAUAUAUAUAAACACCAAUACCACCACUGCCUCACCCAGCUCAUGUGCAACCCCAACAUCGUGCACAUAGCUGGAGUCAUCAUGUGCAUCCCCCACAUCAUGCACAGCUAAUACCGUCGUGUGCAUCCCCCACAUCACGCACAAGCAAUAUCAUCAUCCACAUUCCUGCACCCGUCAUCACCGGCAUAUGCAUCCCCCACAUUGCGCACACGCACAGUUAUAUUUAUUAUACAAUAUUAACUAUCGAUAUACAACAUAUAUAUAUAUAUAUAUAUCAGCAUCCUAUAGAAGCACAAGGAUUCAUCAUAUUGCACACUCACUACAUAAAACGUUUUAAUAAAGGCUUGUUCCCAUGCAUAUUUUAAAGAAAAACAAAUAAAAUAUUUCAAUGGAUUUAAUCAAACACAUAUGCCCUAAUCCCAAAACAUUUUAAUGCAAGUUCACUCACCUUGGUGGAUUUGUAAUUGAAUUUCUUUUCAAAAUUCUUCCAAGCUAAUAAGGGAAAUCACUCCCUUUCUCUCUACACGUCCAACUAGUGAGUGAAUGUACUUAAGAAAGACUUUUAAAGGUUGUUGAGGUGUAAAAGUUGAAGAGCAUGAAAAACCCUAUGAAAGGGUGUAGAAACACAUGAGAAAUAAAGCUAAUUUGAGGAAGUUUUAAAGGUUUCAAAGGAUAUUUCCAUGAAAGGUGCAAAGAAACAUGGAAUGCAAAGGAGGAUAGGAGAAAGAAUAAGAAGAGAAGCUACUGGAAAAACUGAAGAAAAGCUACUAGAGAUUAGAUAUUUAUAGUUAAAGUUCAUCCAAUUUUCAUGCAAUUUACAAUAAUGCCUUUAACAAGGCCACUUGUCUUCCUCCUUUCCUUUAUGCACUCUUUUUACUCCUUUAACACCAAGACAAAGUCUAUAAUAGUUUAAAAGUACUCGAGUUCACGAAAACUUAAAAAUUUAGGCUUGAGGUACAAAAUGACCAUUUUACCUUUAUCGUGGAAAUUAUUAAUAUUUAUAUCUUCUUCAUUUAUUUUACCCUCAUUCAUUUAUCCCUUAGGCCUACUUAGACCUUAAUAAUGUCUGAAAGCCUACUUCUAAGGGCUCACCAUGAGAAAUGAUAAAAUUACCCUUGGCUCGUGUUAUCGCGUCUACACCUAGUUACAGGCCUAUAGAAGUCGAGGUCUCACAAUAGUGCCCUAGUCAUAUUUCCAAGUAACACCUUUCUUUUGAUGCCAACUUUUCCUUUUGUUCAGUACUUUAUUCUUCUUCUUUUCUUUUUCUCUUUUUUUUCAUCACAAUUUUACAUCCCUAAACUUAUUUCUUUCUAUGACGGAUAGUGGGGUGAAUAUUGAGCAUUAUUGAACUUUUUCAACAACUUCACCCUCUAAACAUCAAGCUCAAUACACUUCCUAAAAUGAUUAACAUACUUAAGAGUGAAGGAUGCAAAAUUGGAAAUUUAAUUUAUAGGCCUAGGCUAAAUAAAAUAGGUGUUUAACAAAGAAAAGGUAAUAUUAGGCUUAAAGGGGUAUUCUAAGGAUAAACAUAUAAAAAGGUAGGCUCGAAAGGUUCAAAUGGUCCAAAGAUGGCCUAUUUCAUUUCCUUAACUAAGUAUUGCCUAGGAUUUGGCCUCGAGAGAGAAUCAAACAAAUUCUAGAAUUCAUGACAUAAUCAAAUUCACAUCAACAUAAACUGUCUCUAAAUAUGCACAACAAUUCUAAACAAAAGACAAUGUGCUUUAUUUAUUAAUAAUCUCAUUCUAACAAUGAUACUUAACAUAAGAACUUAUCAUAAACCAAAUAAUAUCCAUAUUUACCAAAAGCUAAAGAUAACAAGAUAACUAAAUUUUCAUCAUUGGAUAAGAAAAUCAUAAGAAAAUUGGCACAAUCUACUUUAGUUUAAAAUUCUUAAAAAAACACAUAAAGAAAAGUAAAUGAUAAGCUAAAAAGCCUUAAAAACAUAAUUGCAAAUAAAUAAAAUAAUACUCUAAAGAAAUAAAACCAUAGCAAAAAAAAUUUUAAACUACCCCAAAACUUAAUAUCAACAUUGUCCUCAAUGUUAUAAAUAGAUAAAGAAAAGGUAAAAAAAACUCCCCUAGUCUGUGGAGAGACUUUACUCUUCUUCCUCAUCUUUCUCAUUGUUGCCUAUGCUAGAAAGAUCCAGUAAGGUAGGAAAGUUGGUCAUAUCCAUCCCCAUGUAGUUUGCACUUCAUUGGAACAUCUGCUCCAUGCCUUGAUUGCAAUCCAUUUGAUAUGACAUUUGUUGUUUGUAUCAGAGCUUAAGACGUUCCAUUCUUUGAGGUAAUGUCAAGUUCUAGGCUCGAGGUUGAGUAGCUCUAGGUUGAGGUGCAGAGGAAAAACUACUGACAGUAGUUGAGGGAUCAUAGUAUCUCUGAAUAAGUCCCACAUCAAUACGAGCUUUUGGGUGCAGCAAUUCUACACUCUUGUUCCAUUGGACACUAGCUCUCCCACCUAAGGUGGUUAUCAAAGAGGGGAACUAUAAACCAUCACUUUUUGAAUAGGUUGUUUGUAAUAUGGCGUUGAAGACCACUUGGCCAAUGUUGAUGUAUUUUCCCGUAACAAUGGUGUAAAUAAGGAUUGCUCUUUCCCGUGUAACAUCACUAAUAUGUCUAGAUGGAAACAUCAUUGCUGGAUGGCCAACGUAUGGCCCUAUUACUAUUUGUACAAAAUUUAAGCCAGAGAUAUUGUAUUUUAUUCGAAUUUAUUAUGAAUAUUUGAUGAUUGAAUCCCUUGGCCUAUGUAUGUUUGAAUAUGAACUCUAAGGCUUGCUCGGGUUUAGUGGGCUUGCUUGUUGAGCUUGUGUACUGGUCAUGGCCCUCGGGUUUGGGUCAUGACAAUACACACAUCAUCAACAUAUCAAUCACAUCUUUUUCUUUAACUCAUAUUCAUGAAUAAUCUAAUCUCAAAGGGUAUGUGGUAAUGCAUCACAUAUUAUCCCAUAAAAUCAUGUCUCACAUGUUCCUUAAAUGAAAACAUAUCAUAAGUUUAAGGGUGGGAAUGUCUACCUCACCUAAGCUGUCACGACCCGGAACUCCCCAUCGGGCCCGUGACAACCGUUGCGAGGCCUCGACAAACAUUCUUCACCCCGAAUGUCGAUCGAAACUUUGCAAGGCUCUCGUAUCAGCUUUCGCACUUCCCCGGUGAGCAAUAGUUAUCAAAUAUCAAAAUCGAAGGAUUACAAAUCAUUUCCAAAUCAGAACAUAACAUAUUGUUUUCUGGCUCACAAGAGCAUUUUCGUCAUUUUUGUCAAAAAUUUUGAAACUUGCUAAAAAUGUAGUAGGUAAGCAGAAAAUAUAUAUUUAAUGAUUUAAAAACAAAUUAAGUAUCUAAAAUGUUCAUUUGAAGUGAAAAUUUGACCAUUUGAAUAUAAUAAAAAUAUUCAAUAAAAUAAACUAUUUUCUUGUAAAAUAAUUUUCAUAAAACUAUCGGUACAUAAUACUUAUAGCGUAAAAGUUAAUUAUAUUCAUAUAUACUAUAAAGCAAAUAACCAAAGCAUAAAAUUUCUUUUACAGUGACCGAGGGCCCACAUCUAACCAAAAUGCAUCGGAAGUUAGAAACCUAUAGCUUUUACCGAUUCGAGUCCAAAUGAAGGUNNNNNNNNNNNNNNNNNNNNNNNNNNNNNNNNNNNNNNNNNNNNNNNNNNNNNNNNNNNNNNNNNNNNNNNNNNNNNNNNNNNNNNNNNNNNNNNNNNNNNNNNNNNNNNNNNNNNNNNNNNNNNNNNNNNNNNNNNNNNNNNNNNNNNNNNNNNNNNNNNNNNNNNNNNNNNNNNNNNNNNNNNNNNNNNNNNNNNNNNNNNNNNNNNNNNNNNNNNNNNNNNNNNNNNNNNNNNNNNNNNNNNNNNNNNNNNNNNNNNNNNNNNNNNNNNNNNNNNNNNNNNNNNNNNNNNNNNNNNNNNNNNNNNNNNNNNNNNNNNNNNNNNNNNNNNNNNNNNNNNNNNNNNNNNNNNNNNNNNNNNNNNNNNNNNNNNNNNNNNNNNNNNNNNNNNNNNNNNNNNNNNNNNNNNNNNNNNNNNNNNNNNNNNNNNNNNNNNNNNNNNNNNNNNNNNNNNNNNNNNNNNNNNNNNNNNNNNNNNNNNNNNNNNNNNNNNNNNNNNNNNNNNNNNNNNNNNNNNNNNNNNNNNNNNNNNNNNNNNNNNNNNNNNNNNNNNNNNNNNNNNNNNNNNNNNNNNNNNNNNNNNNNNNNNNNNNNNNNNNNNNNNNNNNNNNNNNNNNNNNNNNNNNNNNNNNNNNNNNNNNNNNNNNNNNNNNNNNNNNNNNNNNNNNNNNNNNNNNNNNNNNNNNNNNNNNNNNNNNNNNNNNNNNNNNNNNNNNNNNNNNNNNNNNNNNNNNNNNNNNNNNNNNNNNNNNNNNNNNNNNNNNNNNNNNNNNNNNNNNNNNNNNNNNNNNNNNNNNNNNNNNNNNNNNNNNNNNNNNNNNNNNNNNNNNNNNNNNNNNNNNNNNNNNNNNNNNNNNNNNNNNNNNNNNNNNNNNNNNNNNNNNNNNNNNNNNNNNNNNNNNNNNNNNNNNNNNNNNNNNNNNNNNNNNNNNNNNNNNNNNNNNNNNNNNNNNNNNNNNNNNNNNNNNNNNNNNNNNNNNNNNNNNNNNNNNNNNNNNNNNNNNNNNNNNNNNNNNNNNNNNNNNNNNNNNNNNNNNNNNNNNNNNNNNNNNNNNNNNNNNNNNNNNNNNNNNNNNNNNNNNNNNNNNNNNNNNNNNNNNNNNNNNNNNNNNNNNNNNNNNNNNNNNNNNNNNNNNNNNNNNNNNNNNNNNNNNNNNNNNNNNNNNNNNNNNNNNNNNNNNNNNNNNNNNNNNNNNNNNNNNNNNNNNNNNNNNNNNNNNNNNNNNNNNNNNNNNNNNNNNNNNNNNNNNNNNNNNNNNNNNNNNNNNNNNNNNNNNNNNNNNNNNNNNNNNNNNNNNNNNNNNNNNNNNNNNNNNNNNNNNNNNNNNNNNNNNNNNNNNNNNNNNNNNNNNNNNNNNNNNNNNNNNNNNNNNNNNNNNNNNNNNNNNNNNNNNNNNNNNNNNNNNNNNNNNNNNNNNNNNNNNNNNNNNNNNNNNNNNNNNNNNNNNNNNNNNNNNNNNNNNNNNNNNNNNNNNNNNNNNNNNNNNNNNNUUUUUCACUUAAUUUCCUUGAAAAUUCACACUUUUUCUUUGAUUUUCUCUCUCUAGGGUUUUGUUUUUGUUUUCUCUCUCUUCUUGCUGGUUUGGCCGGCCAUGGGGUGGAAGAUGGGCUGAUUUUUGUGCCUUUUAAAAAGAAAAAUAAUAAAUUAAUAAAGGCAUGACGUGGGGCAUCAUGUCAUUGGCCUGUUUUUAAAACUUUAAAAAUUUUAAUCCUUUUUGUCUCCACCACACAAUUAGUAAAUGGUCAAAAUGAGGAUAAGAGAUGACCAUGUGCUGGAAAAAUGUCUUGGUGGUGGAAAAUUACUGUUUUGCCCCUAGGGUGGUAAAAUUACCAUUUUACCCCUAUACUCCAAAUUAUACCGAAAUUAAAAAUUUUCACUUCUAAACCUCAAAUCAUACUCCAAUAAGUCAAAUGGGGCCAAAAAUCGUUUCUAAAAAUUCCCAUUUUGUCCUUAGGUGGCAAAUGACCAUUUUGCCCCUAGAUAGCGAAAAUUUCAAUUUGACUCCAAAUUGAUCCUCGAACUCCGAAUCACCAUAUUAAACCAUUCCGAGACUUUAAAAUUCUUAAUUUCAUCAUAAAUUCUCUAUUUGAUCUAGUUCGAGGCUUAAAUCAACUUUGUUGUACCUCUAGGUACAAUAUCGACUUUUGUAAAUUUUUCAAGACUCUCCUAGCAUGCAAACAUGCUAUCCAUCACAUGUAUGUCAUGACAAAUAUUUUUAUAGAGUCGGGUUUGUCAUCUUCUCCCCCACUUGGAUCAACCAUAUGAUCCUUCUUAAUGACUGAUUUUGAUAUUCGACUAAAUAUUAAUAUUUUAAUAUUAUUUUAUUAAUAAAAUAUUAUUUUAUUUUAAAAAUUUUAUCUUGUCUCCUUGGUACCCAAAAUACCUUAUUAUGCCUCACUUGACUUCCGAAUUGCCUUUUAUCUCACAAAUUCUCCUUCGAUAAAAUUAUUAUUAUUUUAUUAUUAUUUUCUCACUUGCGGAAUAUUUUAUCCUAAACUACUCUUUUCGCCUUUUAUCACUUUUAAAUAUUUUAAUUGACCUCAAUUUGCAUUUGAUCAACUUUAUUUAUCACCAUAUCAAAGUAUGGGGUAUUUCAUAAGCAUUCAUUUCUUAUACUUUUCCAUAGCAACAAUGUAGGUACUAACUUAUCUGAAUCGUAUUUCUCCAAAAAUACUAAAUCAUUAUGCUCAUCAUCAAGUAUAAAGAUGGGAACUUACAUCUAUUUCUCAUCCAUAAAUCCAUACACAUUUUUUAUUUCCUAUUCAAAACAGAAUUGAAGUUUUUGAAGUAAAACAUGUGAAAGGGCUUAUCCCCCCUUAUUGAAAACUAUUACACAAUAGUGAUAUUUACGUAUAGAAUUAGAUUUUAAAACUUUUUGAAAACAUUUGGAUAAAAAUAAUUUGAUUUAAUUUUGUAAACCAAGUAUUCAAAUCAUGCAAAGUUAAACAACUCAAUCAAACAUGCUUAGCUUUAUUGUAUUAAUAUACUUAAAAGGGUGUAUCCACUCAUCUUCGAAAUGUUGACCGCUAUCAAUAAACAAGACUUGACUCCAACAAAUUCCUUGGAGCUUUGACAGCACCUAAAGUGUUCGACAAUUAUUACAAUCAGUACUCAAACUAUAAAUCACAUAAUAACCAUUCUAAACCUUUUAAAAACUAACCAAGUUCAUUCAAACUACUUUUCUAGACCAAAACCACUGUUGUUCACUAACUAAAGCUGGAAAUUCAUAAACUCAUUUUUCCUUACCUUGGGUGUGCUUUAAUCCAUGAGAAAAAUCACCAAAUCCUUAGCUUGAAAGACAAAUAAAAGUGUGGGACUUUGACCUUUAUUGAUUUAUAGAUAGAAGUAAACGCGAUAUCCCUGAUCAGGGGUAAUUUUGUCAUUUCUUUAGUAAAUCCCUAAAAGUAAGUUUUAAACAAUACUAAGGCCUAAGUAGGCCUAAGGCAUAAAUGAAUGAUGAAAAUAUGGUUAAAAUGAUGAUGAUUUCCACGGUAGGGGCAAAAUGGUCAUUUUUCACCUCUAGUUAAAAUUUUUAAGUUUUUGCAAACUCAAUCAUUUCUAGACCAAUAUGGACUUUGUUUCAGUGUCAAAAGAUAAAAAAGAUUGCAUAAAGGAUUAAAGGAGAACAAGUUAACUUGUGAGGGAAUUUUGGUAAUUUAAGUGGAAUGGAUAAGCUUGGGCUAUAAAUAUCUCUUUCUUCCAGUAGCUUCUUCUUCCUUCUUCUCUUUCACAUUGCUUCCAACCUCCAUGGAAGCUUGAUAUGAACCUCCAUAACCUUUCUCAAAAUAGCUCCACUUUUCAUGCUUUUGGUGCACCCUUUCAUAAAUCCUUGUGCUCUUCCACUCUCUCUCUUUAAAACCCUUGAAAAAUCUUAUUUCCAUACUCUCUCUCACUAGUUAGGUGUUUUAGAGAGAGAAAGAGGAAGCUUUAUUAAUAGCUUGAAAGUUUUUGAAAAGAAUUUCAAGCACAAAGCUACCAAGGUGACUAGUGAACUAGAAUUGAUUUUUAGUGUUGAAAAUGAUUAGUGUUUAGACUUGUGGGUGUUUUGGUAGUUGAGGUUGGAAAUUCACUUUUGAGUGAUUAGGAUAGUGAAAAUGGAUAGCCAUUUAAUGGCACUUGGAAACUAGUAGGUGAUAGCUUGUAGAACUUGUAAUUAUGAGAAUUGAGUUAAUUAUGAUCUUAAUGUGAUGAUAGGUUCCAACGAAGCCCCACAGUCCCAUUUGGACCAUUAGGGAAGUUAGAAUCGACUAAAGGUUCAACGAAAUACCGGUGAGUGGACUUGCAUUUCAAACUUGUUUUGGGAAUGCGAAUGUGUUUGCACAAGAUAUUUGAAUGACUUUAUCCAACUUUUCUUUGCAAAUGUGUGCCAAAGAACAAGCCUUGAUUAAAUGUUUUGAUAUUAUGAAAUGUGAGAUGUGUAUAAGGAUGAAUCCAUGUGAUUUAUAUUAUGUUGGUAAGUAUGUAUAUAUCAUAUGAAUAUGUGCCGUGUAUUGAAGAAUGAUGUUGGGUGAUGUUGAAGUGUGCGAGUAGGGAGUGCACACAUGAUGAUGAUGUAUGUAUAUGUAAAUGUGUGUGUUAUAAAAAGCUCAUGAAUGUGGUUUAUGGAUGUAAUGCAUGUGAAGUCUUACAUGUUGAACUUUGGAAAUUUCUAAGCAUGUUUAAGUUGAGCUUGUCUUUAUAGCUAAAUAGCUUAUCCUUGAGAGAAUCAAAAUUUGUUAUUGGUGUCCUGUUCUCGCUGCAGCGAGAUUCAGCGAAAAACUCUCGGGUUUGGAAGGUUGCAUUGGUUUGAUUCUCGUUGCAGCGAGAAUGCAUUUUCGCUACAGCGAGAAACUUUCUACCUUGCUUAUUAUCUUGUUCCCUUGUUGCCUUAUUUCCCAUUUCUUUGGCACCAUAGUUGAGUGUGGACUUCCAAAUUUAGGAAUUUAUUUAAUUAAGUUUGAAAUGAAGAGGUUUGUUGAGAAACCCUCGUUCCCUGAUAAUUUGAGCUCAAAUUUCGCUACAACGAAAAUUCAUUCUCACUGCAGCGUACCUUUCCGCUACAGCAAGGACUCGUCGUCUUACUUGACUUGACAUGCUUGAAUGCUAAUAAAGUUUUCACUCUUCAAAAUCCUUUGUUGUUCAUGGAACCGUUAUCAUCAAGUGAUUAACUCAUUAAGGGUUUAAUGAGGGGUUUUAUUAAAACUAAACUAAAUUGCAUUGUUUUGAAAAUAAAUGCAUAAUGAUUUCUUUAAACUUUCCUUAUUGUUCGCUUGUUCCCUUCCUAUUCACUCACUGGGUUUAUGCUCACCGUUUUCAACUUCAUGUUUUCAGAUCAAGAGGCAGUCGAUAGCUAGGUCGAGGUGUCCUUGUAGAUUCGUAUCUUUGGUAAGUAUCAAUGGUAUUCAGUAGCUACACCUUCAUUGUAGUCACUUCACUGGAAGCCCAGAGUCAUUUUAUUGUAAAUAUGUACAUGUGAUGUAAAUUAUUAAAUUUGCAUGUUUAGACAAUAUAUGUACAUUUUGAUUGGUAUGCCACUAUGAGUUGGAAAUGCUUAAUAUUAUUUUGAUUCAAAGUUAUGAAAUGUAACUUAGUAACUUUUGUUGGAAUGGUGAACAGGUCUUAUUAAUAGGCUUGCUUGGGCUUAGUGGACUACGUCCAUUAGGCCCAUGCACCGAUCAUGGCCUAGAAUUUGGGUCGUGACAAAAAGUUUGGACUUAAAAGUAGUAUUUUUUUUAGUUGGAAAACCAUAGAUUUAAAGAUUCAAAGUUGAAAAACAUCACCCUUGUUGAAAAACCCAAAACCUAAGCUUCAAUCCUCCAAGAAUGGUGAUUUAGGUGUAAAAGUGUGUUAAGAGAGCUUAGAGUUGAAAGAAAACUGAUGGAAAAUCGCUAGGAAUGAAAAAACAUAAAAGAAUAAGUCAUAUUUAUACUAUGGAGUGUGAAAAUACCCAUUUGUCCUCUUUUAUUUUUCAAAAAUCGACAUCAUCUAUCGAUAGACUUGGCCAUCUAUUGAGAGAUAGGAUUUAAAGUCCUUUUAAAAAGCUUUAGGGUUGCUAUCUAUUGAUAGAUAAGCCUGAUCUAUCGAUAGAUGUUUUCCAAUUCUCUUAAAAAGACUUUUUGGAUUCAAUCUAUCGAUAGAUGAUGAACAUCUAUCAAUUGAUUUUGUCCAGAAUGCACUCUAGAUGUCCUUAAUAGGCACUAAGCUUAUUUACAUUGAGUAAAUGUCCUCAUUUUUACUUCUUUCCUUUUUUCUUUCCAUUUACUUAAGAUAUUUAAUAUAAAUAAGCAAACACCCCUGAAUUUGUAUUCAAUAAAAAUAUAAAAAAAAUCAAAAUCCAAAAGAAUCAAAAUCAAAAUUUUGAUUUAAAGAACAAAAUCGGAAAAGUUCGAUUGAAAUUAAAUUUGCAUCUCCUAUUUACCAUAGCAAAUGUUUUCCAAAAAUUAAGAAAAAAAUCAUUUUUAAUUAUCUAAAUUUUAAGAGAACCAUUAUCGUUAUUUUUUAUUUCCAAUUGAUUGUUCUACAAAAAUUACAUAUCUUAACCUUUUCCAAACUUAGAAAUUUUCUGCUUUUACAAUGACAACCAACCAAGGUGACAGCCACAAAGGAUAAAAGAAUAUGUGGCAGGGACUAUAACCAAGAAACAAAAUCAAGUAUGAUAGAUAUCCAAAGCUCAUAUAAGGAUUUAUCCAACCACCUUUCUUAUAAAACUUAGGGGUUUAACAAAAGAAGAAAAGAAAAUUCAGAUUUUUUAGAUCUUUGAUCUUCGAUCUUCAUUCUUCAAGAGUUUUUCCUUCAUUGUCUUGCUUGCUUGAUGGCUCUUUUUUUUUAGAGAAAACCUAGCUUAAUUUUUGUUAUCAAGUGCUCUAAAAGUGUCUUUCAAUAAGGCUCAAAAUCUUUAUCGAAAUAAAAGUCCAGAGGUUGCAAAACUUGGGAUAUCGUGUCAAUGCUAUAGCGUCGCUCUCUGCCUUGCUCCAUGUAUCCUCUUCUUCAUGGCACCGUGGUGCCCAUUGAUUCAUGGCUAUGGUGCCUAACAUUUUCUCUUGCCACAUGUGCUCUACUGCAUUACUUCAACUUUUGACAUGAUUUUAUCCUUCUUCUAUGCUGAACUGGGCAAAAUUGUCAACAUAAUUAUUGUAGCCCUGUCUCCUAACUUUCUAAUGGCUUAAGCCGUACAUGAAUUUGACUUCGAGAAUGAAAGUUAUGCUCAAAAUACUAGAACAUAUGAAGAAGAAACAUGGACCUUUUUAUACACUUUUCUUCAUCAAUUAAAGCCUUUUCAAUUACACACCUAUAAGAACAUCAAACUAACUUAAAUAAUAACUAAAAUAAAGGAAAUUAUCAUAAAAUAGCAUAAAAUAACUUUGAUUAAUUGACCCAACAAGAUUUAAUAAGGUAAAUAACUAAAAAUAACUAAUUUCUAAAUUAAAUCUCAAGAACUUAGCCCAUUCAAACCAUAAAAUUUAACAAAAUAACUUUAUGAAAUAGAGUUAUUACCAAGGUAAGUGUAAGCUAGAAUUGAGUAAAAUUAUGUUGUGAAUUGUGAUUUGGAGGUAGUUGAUGAGCUAAAGAUUAAGUAUUUGUGGGUAAGGGUUGUAUGGAAGUUGGAGGAUGACAUCAUAGUUUUGGAAAGAGAUUGAAAAAAUGUUGUUAGAAAGCUAGUGUGAAUUCUAAAUUUGAAAAGAUACGUUAGAAUUUGAUUGUAUGAUUUGUUUGCCGUAGGUUCCAUUAAAGCAUUAAGGUCUAAUAACUAGGGGAACUUGGUCGGGUGGAUUUGAAGUAGCUGAGGUGACUUAUAGGUGAGUGGACUUGCACUAAAAUGUUUUGUUAAGAAAGGCAAGCAAAAUGUUUGUUUAAAAAUAAUAUGCCUAGAAAAUGUUUUGAUACAACUUGAUAAAUAAGGUUAGGCACACCUGUAUGCUGGAAUUCGACCUAAUGCUCAAACAUAAAAAUAAUCAAUAAAUGAAAAAUAAAAUGCAGUGAAAAAAUAAAAGAUGCAUUUAAUUAAAAAAAUAGUCGAAUCGCACAAGAUCAAUGUUUGUGUUUUUUCAUGUAAUUUUCAAAAUAAUUAUAAACAUUUGUAAAUUUAAGUAUUACAUACCUUGCUUUAGAUAUCGUAAUUAAGAGCUAAUUAAAUAAAAAAGGCUUGUGAUGAAGCAAGUAACCCAAAAAGAUAAUAAGAUGGCCGAAAAUCUUGCAAUCGAAAUUGUCACGACCCAAUUUUCGGACCAUGACCGGUGCAUGGACUCAAUGGACAUAGUCCACUAAGCCCAAGCAAGCCUAUUUAUAUAUAUUCCUGUUAAUCAUCCCGUCAACUAUUCUUACAUUUACAUCUCAUAGUCUCGACCCUUAGGUACUUAAAUAGUAAGUUAUAACAAUCAAAAGAUUGUAUUUGUUGUGGCCCAAACUAACAUUAAUCAUUACCACUCAUGGUGGCUUUACCAAUUAAAAUAUACAUAUACGGUCUAAGGCAUUCAUCUUAGUACUUUACAUCAUGUACAUAUUUACAAACAGAAUGACUCUGGGCUUCCAGCGAAGUGACUAAGGUGAAGGAACGGCUACAGAAUGCUAAGGUACCUACCAAAGAUACGAAAUUAUGAAGACACCUCGACCUAGUUACCGGCUACGUCCUGAUAUGAAAACAUGAAGUUGAAAACGGUGAGUAUAAACCCAGUGAGUGAACAUAAGAAGGGAAUAAGCGAACGAGAAGGAAAAUUUAAAGAAAUCAUGAUGCAUUUAUUUUCAAAACAAUGCAAUUUAGUUUCAUUUUUAUUAAAACCCUUCGUUAAACCCUUAAAUGGUUAAUCACUUGAUUAUAAUGAUUCCAUACAUAACAAAUAAUUUGAAGAAUGAGAGCUUCAGUGAUAUACAAGCAAGUCAAAGCUGAGUGGAAAGGCGUAGCUUCAGUGAGAAUGAAUUUUCGCUACAGUGAAAUUUGGGCUCAAGUUAUUAGCUGGACGAGGGUUUUUCUCUAAACUUCCUCUGUCACGACCCGGUACUCCCUUUGAGUCCGUGACAAUCGUCGCGACGUCCCGAUGGACAUUCAUUGCCCGGAAUGCUAACCGGAACCUCGCAAGGCUUUAAUAUCAAUUUUCGCACCUCCCCUGUGAGCAACAGUUAUUAAGUAUCAUGUUUUGAGAGAUUAUAAACUAUUUUCAAAUCAAAACAAUAGAAAAAUAAUAUUUUUUUUCACAUAGGGGCAUUUUGGUCAUUUUUCCUCAAAAAUCUCGAAACCAGCUAAAAAUGUAGUAUGCGAGUGGAAAACACAUAUUUCAUAAUCAAAAAUAACUUUAGAUGUCUAAAACAUUCAUUUAAAGUGAAACUAUACCUAUUUGAAUAUAAUAAAAAUAUUUAAUAAAAUAUUUUAUUUUUUUAUAAAACAAUAUUUAUAGAGUUACCGGUAAAUAAUUUUUGUAGCGUAAAAGCUAAAUUAAUUCAUACAUACUGUAAUACAGAUAACCAAAGCAUAAGAUUUAAUUUACAAUGACACAUGGGCCCACGAAUGACCAAAAGUAUCAAAAACGGUAAACCUACAAUUUUUGAGGAUGCAAGUCCAAAGGUAGCCCUCAAUGAAAUCAACUAUCUACAGCCUAUUCUGAGCCUGAAAUGGGUGGAAAGGAGGGUGGUGAGAUUAUAUAAUCCCAGUGAGUAAACAAAUAUCAUCUAAAAUAUCUAAAGCUGAGUAAAUGGAGACAACUAAAAUAGAUGAGUACAAAAAUGAUUCUCAGCAUUUCGAACUCAUUUUAAUAAGAUAAAAUAGAUUCAUUUCACCAAAAUAAACAACAAGGCUUAUGAUUUCCUGAAAAGUUUGGCUCGUGCCAAAAUUAUUCUCAUACUCAGUUAUAAGGAAUACCUUGGCCGAAGGCUAUCCCAACCGAGUCCGCCAAGGCUGUUAAAGAGUUAUGUACGCAUAAAUCAUGUUUUUAUUUUGAAAACAUAGUCGUUCCUUGGCAUUGGCUGAGUUCACCCUCACGUGGUGGUUUAGCGUGAAGUGAACUCUAAAGUGUUAACCUCAGGAGUUAUCCAUCCGCACCUCUCAUAUUGAGGUAUGAAUAUAAUAAGGUUACCAUGCCCCUCUAAUAGGCUGGUCCACGAAACCCAUCCACUGCAGCGACAUGGCAAUUAUUUUAUUUCACAGCCUCUCAAGGCAAAUCAACAGUUCAUACAUUUUCAGCACAUUUACCAAAUCCAACCAUUCAUGCCAAUAUUAUCAUAAACCAUUCAAUUCAAACCAUGAUUUAUAACACAGUAAACAGUCUCCAAUUACUCCAUUUUCCAAGACAUAAUUCAAUUUCAAGACAAUUUUAUAAAAUCAUUUCGUUUAAUCACAUUUUGAUUAUAAAACAUAAAGAUUUACCAUUUAAACUCAUUUUUCAUAAAAUCAAAAAAACGAAUUAAAAUUCACUUUAGAUAAUCAAGAUGAUGAUAAGGUUACUCACUAUAUCAGGAGUUUGAAAUACUCCUAUUCUCAGUCCUCUGACACAACGUCUUUACCCUUGUUAGAAGGCUCACCACCUAAAUACAAUACACGAUACACAAUUCAAUAUACUGUGUCAUACCAUUAUAAAUAUAUUUCAGGCUUUUUACUAAUGCAUGAAAUGGAAUGCAAAUCGUUCGGAUUAUCAUCUAAACACGGUGUUCUACACAAAUUCAAUUGUGCACAAAAAAAAAAUCGAUAUUGGCCUAAUUCGAUCUAUCACCCGAUUAAUUGGCCAAUAUGUCCAAUUCAACUCCAAUUAAUUCCAUUUUCUCCCAAUUCUGCAAAUCGCCAAACACAAGUCAAAUAACAUAAAAUUUAGCAAAACUAUCCUCACAUUUCUUCUUGAGAAUUUCAGCCAUGGUGAGUGCAUCAACACUAUGAUUUUUCCUACUUGAUUUUCUCACCAUAAUUCAUCAUUUCCUUACCAAUUCACUUGAAAUAAAAUCAAAUUCACCAUCAACACUCUACAAGGAUGAUUCGGCCAAUGAUGAACUCAUGAGGAAUAUGUGAAUUUCAAGCUUAAUUCUUACACUUAACACCAUAAACAACUAAAAACAUCCAUAUAUCUUAAAAAUCUAUCUAAAUCAUCAUCAAAUUCUCUCUCCUAGGGCUUGAUCAGCAAGAUACCUAUCAUGAAAUCAUGUGAUUCAACCAUGGAAAAUAAGAAAAAAUGCUUAAGAAAGAAAGAUCUCAAGCUUAAUUGAAAAAUCUUACCUUUUUUUCACUUGUUUUCUUGAAUUUUUAAACUUUUCCCUUGAAUUUUUUCACCUAGGAUUCUUGUUCUUUCUUUUCUUCCUUUGUUCUUCUUUGGCUGGCCAUAUGAAUGAGAAAUGGGCUGAUUUUGUGCUAAUUUAUAAGGAAAAUAAUAAAGAAUUAAAAGCUUGACACUUGUCACCUUACCAUUGGUCCAUUUUUAAAUUCUUAACUAUUAAGCUUUCUUUCUCCACCACAUAAAAUCUUUCAAUUAUCCAUGAUAAUAUUGGGUAAAAUUCAUGUGCUCGACAAGUUUUGGGUGGUGUAAAAUUACAAUUUUGCCCCUGGGUUUGCAAAAUGACUAUUUUACCCUUUAUGCUCGAAAAAUGUCGAAAUUAAAAUUCUUCACUUCCCAAACUCAAAUUAUGUUCUAAAUAGUCAAUCUUGAUCAAAAACUUCUUCCAGCAUUCCAAUUUUAACCUCGAGUGGCAAAAUGACCAUUUUGCCCCUAGAUCAUGAAAAUUCCAAUUUGACUCCAAAUCGGUCCUCGAACUCCGAAUCACCAUUUUAAGUCAUUCUGGGGAUUUAAAUUUCUCAAUUUCAUCUUAAAAUCUCUAUUUGGACUAGUUUGAGGCUUAAUUCAACUUAAUUGUACCAUUUGGUACAUUGCUGUCCUUUAACGAUUUUCGAGGUACCCAAGUAAGCAAACGUGCAUUCUUAUAUAAGAAUGGCAUAAUAAACUUAUUGUAGAGUCAGGCUUCACAUCUUCAUUUCAAACUUAAUUAAAUAAACCCCUAAAUGUUGGGAGUCCAUGAUCAACUAUGGUGUAAAUGAAAUGGAAAAAUAUGGCAAAAACCACCAAGAUAGCAUACCAGACAGAAAGUUUCUCGCUGUAGCGAGAUUCUUUCUCACUGUAGUGAGAUUCAAGCGGCCAAAACAAAAAGUUUCUCUCUUUUGCAAGAAGCUCCAGCGAAUUUCUCGCUGUAGCGAGAACCAGGUUAAUAAACCCCUCAAACUUGAGAGUUUCUCGCUGCAGCAGGAAUCAUUUUCACUGCAACGAGAGACAGGGCAUCAAAGAAAAGUUUCCAUUUUCUCAAGAAGAAAGCCAUUCUACUGAAAUGACAAAAUCAACGUGAAACAUUUAGAAAUUCCCAAAGUUCAACAUGCUAAAUUUUCACAUGCAUUACAACCAUAUAUCAUAUUCAUGAACUUUUAUUUCAUAAGCAUAUAUAUACAUAUAUACACAGAUAAACACCAAUACCACCAUCGUCUCACCCAACUCAUGUGUAUCCUCCCACAUCGUGCACAUAGCCGGAGUCAUUGUGUGCAUCCCCCCACAUCGUGCACAGUUAGUGCCAUCGUGUGCAUCCGCCCAUAUCGUGCACACGGGCACUAUCACUAUCCAUCUCCUUCACCUUCGUCAUCACCGGCAAGUGAACAUUCACCCCGCACAUGCACGGUUUCAUUUGUCACACAAUGGUAACAUUUAUGACAUAGUAUAUAUAUAUAGCAACAUUACACAGACACAUAUAGAUUCAUCACACUAUCCAUUUCAUAACAUAAAAACAUUUCAUAAGGGCUUGUUCCCGUGCGAGUUUUGAAGAUAAAACAAAUAAAACGUUUUAAGGAUUCAAUCAAACAUACUUGUAUACAUACCCCAAACCCUUUUUAAUGCAAGUUCAUUCACCGGUAUUUGUUGAACCUUUAGUCGACUCUAAUUUCCUUAAUGGUCCAAUUAGGGUUGAGGGCCUUGUUAGAACCUAUCACACACCAAAAACAUCACAGCCAAUCCAAUUUACAUUAAUAUUGCUCCAAAAGCUAAUUCCCAAAUCAAAUUUCAAAAGCCCUUCCUACCUACCUUCUAAUUACCAUUUGAUUGGCUAUUUAGUUUCUCUCUCUAGUAACACUAAAAAUAGAUAAACAACUUUAGCAAUAACACAACUCAUUUCUUCAAUUUGUAGCCAUUAUCAACAACUUAAAAUCACUCUUAAUUCAUCACUCACAUUGGUGGAUUAUAAUGAAAUUCCUUCUCAAAAUUCUUCCAAGCUAUUGUAGAAGUUCCCUUUUUCUUUCUCUAAAACACCUAGCUAGUGAGAGAGAAUAUGAAAGUAAGACUUUUCAAGGGUUUCAAAGUGAAAGAGUGAAAGAGCACAAGGUUCUAUGAAAGGGUACACAAAAUCAUGAAAAGUGGAGCUAGCUUGAGAGAGUUAUGGAAGUUUGAAGAGAACUCCCAUGGAGGAUGAAGAAACGUGAGAGGGAAGAAGAAAGAAGAAGAAGAAGCUACUGGAAAUGUGAGAAGAAACUGCUAGAAGAUGAUAUUUGUAGAUCAAGUUUAUCCAACUCCACUUAAAUUACAAAAAUACCCUUGACAACUUAGCUUGUUCUCCUCCAAUCCUUUAUGCUAUCUUUGUACUCUUUUUACAUUAGGACAAGGUCCAUAAUAGUCUAGAAAUACUUGGGUUCACAAAAACUUAAAAAUUUUGACCUCGAGAUGAAAAAUGACCAUUUUGCCCCUACAUUGAAAAUCAUCAUUAUUUUUAUUUCUUUCGUCAUUUUACCCUUAUUUUCAUCAUUCAUCUAUGCCUUAGGCCUACUCAGGCCUCAACAUUGUUUGAAAGUCUACUUCUAGGGGUUCACUAAGGAAAUGAUGAAAUUACCCCUAGCUCGUAUUAUCGCGUCUACACCUAGUCACGAGUCUAUAAAGAUCAAGGUCUCAUAGAAAUCUUUCCUUAUUAACCUUUAGGAUUUGUCAAAUCUUUAGCCACUCAAGUGUUUGGCCUCUAACAAUAAUCAACAAAAUGACCGAAUAAGACCUUCUCAAAGGUAGGAUUUUUAUUGUGCUAGCAAGUUUUGUCUCUAAAACAAAAAGACCAAAGUUUGUGCCGAAUUUUAUUUCUGUAAGACAAAGAAAACUAUUUUUCUUUUUUUAUUUUUUUGAAAUGGCUAAGAAGUGGUUGAAUUAGUUUAGCUCUUAUCAAAACCCCUCAUGUAAACCCUAAAUGAGUAAAUCACUUGAUAAAAAAGUCCAUGCUCAACAAAUGAUUUGAAGAGUGAAAACCUUAAUAGCCUUUAUGCAAAUUACGUCAAGUAAAUGACGGGUCUUUGUUGUAGCGGGAAGGCAUUCUCCCCAAACGAGGGUUAGUCGAGGAGGGUUUCGUAAUUGGCCGAGGGUUUCUCACCAAACCUCUUCAUAUCAAACUUAAUUAAUUAAUUUCUUAAUGUUAGAAGUCCAUGCUCAACUAUGGUACCAAAGAAGUGGAAAAUAAGACAGCAAUUGAACAAAAAUAAGGAGCAAAACAUAAAGUUUUUCGCUGCAGCGAGAAUGAUUCUCGUUACAGUGAAAUUUCAGCCAUAAAACAAAAAGUUUUUCUUUGCAGCGAGAAUCAUUUUUGUUGUAGCGAAAUACUACAGUAACGACUCGGUGCAGCGAGAUUUCGACUAGCGUUACCCCUCCAAACCCGAGAGUUUCUUGUUGCAGCGAGAAACAAAACAGCAAGAAAAAAAGGUUUCAUUUCUUUCAAGGAAAAGCCAUCCUACUAAAAUGACAAAAAUCAACAUGAAAGGCAUAAAAAUUCCCAAAGUUCAACAUGCAAGAUUCACAUGUGCAAAACCAUAUACCAUACUCAUGAACUUUCUAUAAUACACAUAUCUAUAUAUGUAUAUAUAUAUAUAAAUAUAUAUAUCAACCAUCAUGCACACCCUCCCAUCAUCAUCAGCUCAUAUGAGCUCCCACUAGCACAUGGCUGGGUCAGAAUCGGCUUAUGCUGUAAUGACCCUUCCUCGGUUGCUACCGGCGUCUGAGACCUCCGGAAUAUCCCAUCAAGUCCUAAACAAGCCUUAAUGAAAUUGCUCAAUAACUCAUUGUACACUUUUACUAAACCAUAUUAAUGUUUGAACCAUAUAUAUUCAUAAUGUGAAUUCAACAACAAGCAUAACCAUUAAAAUUUGACUUUAAGUCAUGAUAUCACAAUUAAAUACAUUGAGUUCAAAAAUCUCAAAUUUUUGUUUAUAUCAAAACUAAUAUUUGUUUACAUAGUAAAACCAAGUACUACAACUCAACCUAUAACAGCGGAGCGACUCGGGAUAAAAUGCUAUGAGAUGCCUUUACCUAUUUACAAUGGACUCUACGCGCUGAUGAUUACACAUUAGACCGAUCUCUAUUUGCAAAAAGGGGAAAAAGAGGGGUGUGAGUCUCACAGACUCAGUGAUCAUCGACUCUGUGAAUAGGGCGUAGAGGGGAAACAAGCAAAUAGCAGAUCAGUUGAAUAUUAAAAUGCAAGAUUAUAAAAACAAUUUAUUUCAAACAGAAGUUUGUGCCUUAUGUGAAAUACCAAGGAUUUCUUACACAUUGUACUACUUCAAUUGUAAAUCAACCAAGGUAGAUAAAAAUUUUCGCUACAAAACAGAUCAAUAACCUUAUUCAAGUCAAUCAUUUAAAAUAUUGAAUUAAAACAAUUUUACAUAAAGAAAAUUCCGUCGUGAAAAUCAAUUGACAUUUUUCUUAAAUCAAAUCAAUGUAUUCUGCAAGCUCCCUUAAAAUUGAAUGUUAAUCAAACUCAUACGUAAAUCACAAAUCACCUCGCACUCAAGGAGUUAAAAUUCAUUUCACCGCAAAAAUAAGAGAGUUGUAGAAAAAUCGUUAAAUUUCACUUUCACCAUGCAAAGUGAUGCCACUCUCGAGUAGGGAAUGAAAAUAAACCCGUGGUCCCACUACCACGUAAUAACAUCUGGGAGCAUUGCUUCCAUCGGAUUCCCAUGUGCCAUGGCAGUCUCACAAUGUUGGCUGACAUCGGAGAAUCAAGUGGUCGCAAUCACAUAAUCAUCUGGUGGCCUAGCCACACAUACAUAUAUCACAGGUCGUGGCCCCAACAACGCCUAAUCGUCUGUCGGUGACCUAGUGGUUCUGUAGCUAGAGCUCACUUGUGCAUGAGGGUCACACUUCACACUUAAUUGAUGUGACAUCCGACUUACUCUCGAUGCUCUCGGUUUGUAAAACCAUUUUGUAAUUGUGUUAUGUCUUUAAAAACUCGUCUCAAAAUUAUUUUCCAAAGCAUUCAUCACAAGGUAUGAUAAAAUCUAGAGGAAAUUGUGAGAAAAGGACCUCGUGAUAAGCUGAUUUCAGAAAUAAUCACCCAUAUAAAGUUAUCUGUUUCUAGCCAGAAAUAAGCAUGAGUAGACCAAAAUGCCCUUAAAAUCAUCGUUUCAAAUAGAUGCUCAACUGUUGAGGUAUCUGCCUCCCGCUAAAGAGAAAAUAGAAAAAAAUAAAAAUAAAUGCUCCCAGCUGUUUGGGCUGGGUCAUCAUUCUCUCUAAACUCUCUGAAUUGUCUUAACUCUGGCAAGUGUCAGUUGAGCACCAUCGUUGUCAGCUUUCUCAGAUCUAUGAACUGUAUGAGCUUUGUCAACUCUCUGUUGAGCACCAUUGUCAUCGGGCUAUGGUCUAUCUCUCGACAUCUGGCCAUAUUAUCGUAGAUUAACAAACCCUAUAGCAGAGAUGACAUCAAAAUACUUGUUAUUGGGUUUAUUUCUGCAACACACUUAAAUUUCUGAAACAUUUGAUGUAAAUUAGAAGAAGGAUUCAAAACAUUGCCCAGAGUUGUUACAUGCCAAAAACAUGUGUUAAGAGUUAUUUUAGCAUCUCACGGUUGUUCCUGGCAUGUUGUGGGUUAACUAGUUUUAUGGGUUUUUGGCGUGUCACCGCUGUUACUGGCGUGUCGUGGGUUAACUGAAUUUAUGGGUUUUUGACGUGUCACGGCUGUUACUGACGUGUCGUGGGUUAACUAGUUUUUUGGGUUUUUAACGUGUCACUGUUGUUGGUGUAACGAGUCAGUAAUUACAGUGAUUGGCGUGUCACAACAUUUGACUUGAUAUGCAUGGCGUGUUACAACAUUUUACAUUAUAUGCAUGGCGUGUAACAACACGACUGACAAAUUUUUGAUCACGGCAUGUAUUGUGUAAAAUGAUUGAGAAAAUUUUUUUUUUCAAAAUUUCAAUGGGGUUUCAAUUGUGCGACUUGUGCUAAGACACGGUGGUCAGUGGGUGGAUGGCAUUUACAAGGGUGGUGAGUCACGAAUGCAGGGGGUUAGGAGUGAUUUGUCGAUUGUGGGAUUGAUGAAGCUGGUUGAAGAUGUUGUUGAGGUAAACUCAAAAAUUGACGAGAUUGAGUUACAUGCAUUGAUCAGUACAUCGGCAGAGCUAUCACGGCCAAUUAUCAAUGACGAUGAAGAUGUUGCAUUAAUUUUGCUAGAACAGAGGAAUGUUCCGACUAUGUAUGUCAGCAUUAAGGGAUGCCAAACAAAUGUUAUGUCACAUGAGGAAGUUGGACAAUAUGGUAAUCAGCUCAAUCAAAAUGAGAUUUACAAGGCUUCACAAAUACCAAAGCAUUCGUUCCAUAACCCACAACAAUGGCAAUUGAGGUAUGCACAAGAGUUUGUGUAGCUUGGUAGACAGACGACAUUCAUAGAAUAGUUGGCUGCACAAUUCCAAUCAAGAUGUGCAUCAAACCAAUUUCUUCAUUCUCUUGAACAAAUGCAACGAUCGGGUGAAACUGUAGAGUGUGUAAUGCCAUUGUCAAAUGAGAAUACGACAGUUGAGGACAACAAUGUGAGGUUGGAGGGUGACACUACGACGCCGGAGGAUAGUACUACAUUUGAUGAGGGAAAUGAGGAUUUGUUCACUACUGGUGAAGAUAGAUUUGAUGACACUUCAGAUGAUGGGCUUGAACAAUCGCAAGAUGACAGUUUAAACAAUGACUGCCUUUAUGAUAGUGACAUUCCAAUUUGCAAUAAUGUUGAAGGCAAAGCGGAACCUAUUGGAGGUGUUGAUGUAAGAGAUGUUCAGUGUGAUGACCCCAUAUACAAUAACCCCAUCGCUGAUGAGAACUGGAUUUGUUCCCUUGAUAGAUUGCUCGAUGACAGUGAUCAGGAAAGGGGAAAUGCAGGGAUAUCUCGUACAUGGGUAAUUGCAGGUGCAGAAAGGUCUCCUUCCAAACAAUUACCACUGAGGAGUCGACAUGUACCGAAGAUCACUUAUACAAAGGAAGAAUGUUUUCAUCGAAGGCCAAGUUGAAAUGAGCUUUGAACAUGUUGGUUAUAAAAGAGAAGUUUACGAUUAGAGUAAAGAGGUCAUGUAAAGUUCGUUAUAAGGUUAGUUAUAAGGACAAGGCAUGCAAGUUUAGUGUUCGUGCAACGAAGUUACCUAAUAGAGGAGAAUAUUGGCAAGUUCGAACAUUCCAUAAAGUACAGACCUAUACCUUUGAUGGUUUGCAAGGGCGGUUUUCAACUACAAGUGCGAAGAUGAUUGGUGAACUUAUGUCACACAAGAUUCAGCCUAAUGGAGUAAAAUUGAGACCUAAGGACAUAAUUUGUGAGAUGAGGGUUUAGUGGGGAUUAGAAUGCUUGUAUGGUAAGGCUUGGCAAGUGAAGGAGUAUGCGGAGAAGCUUGUUUUCGGUCCACCAGAGGAGUCAUUUCAACUACUACCAUCGUAUUUUUAUAUGUUGGAACAAGAAAAUCCUGGCACAGUGACUGCAGUGGCAACUGAUAAGGAAGAAAGAUUCAAAUAUUGUUUCUGGUCAUACGGGGCUUGUAUUCGGGCGUUUAGGGAUGUAAUGCUUCCUACAGUUGCAAUUGAUGCUACACAUCUAAAAGGGCGAGCGAGUGUGUAUAUCCAGUUGCUUUUGGCAUCGGCCAUGUUGAGGAUGAAGACUCAUGGAUGUGGUUUCUUAGCAAGUUAAGUGAUGCAGUUGGUUGUCCUGAAAACACUAUGUUCAUUUCUGAUCAGCAUCUGGGCAUUAAGAAAGCAAUCCAAAAUGCAUACGCAGAAGUGCACCAUGGUUUAUGCGGUUACCACUUGAAAAAAAACUUUAAAAACAAGUUCAAGCGCGAUGAUGUUUGUAUGCUUUUCACCUUUGCUCGAGAUUACUAUAAGGUGGCCAAUUUCAAUAGACAUAUGAACCAGAUACAGCGGAUUCACCUUGGAACAAACGCGAACCUUAUGAGAAUAGGGCCUGAGAAAUGGGCACGUGCAUGUUCACCGGCAAGGCGAUACCAAAUGAUGACAUCCAACAUUGCCGAAUGUGUUAACUCAUGCUUGAAGCAUGCAAGACAAAUGCCAAUCACUGUUUUGAUCGAGUUCAUCAGAGACAUGUUCCAGCGUUGGUUCCAUGAACGGUACGAGGAGGCGUCAAGGUGACCAUGCCCCUCAGCCCUUGGGUUGCCAGGCAGUUGAGCAAAAGGUUCAAUGAUGCACAUCGCUUUCUAGUUAAGCCUAUCAAUCGAGUUGAGGUAGAAGUUAAAGACAGGAAGAUGGAUGGACUUGUAAACCUGUCCAGGAAGACGUGUACAUGUUGUGAGUUCCAAACAGAUUUACUGCCAUGCAGCCAUGCCAUUGCAGCAAUAAGGUCAGAAUAUCAUAAUUUCUUAUUUGAACCGUAAUUGACAUAGCAUUUACAUUGUGCUUGAAGAUUGAGUUUAUUGUGUUUUUAGUAAAUGCAAUCGUGAAGCCAUUGAAUUCUGCGCUGACUACUACAAGACAACUGUUUUGGUGGAGGGUUAUUCAGGAUCCAUUAGGCCGAUAGGGCAUCCUAGUGAGUGGGACAUUCAAGAGGGAAGACCUAGGAGGAGAAGGAUUCCAUCAGCUGGUGAAGGCAGUCAAGCACGGAGAUGUUCGCAAUGCUUAUCGUACGGGCAUAACAGACAAAACUGCCCAUUCCCAUUUGCAGUUCCAUCCACAAAUCUAGCACCAUCUCCAAGUCAAUCGACGCCUCCACAACUACGCUGACCCAAAGCAUGUUCAAGUUGCAGACAAACCGGUCACACAUGCAACAAUUGUCCAAUACGAAGGACAAUGUUUGAAAAUUGUAGUUGAAUUCGUUUUGCUUUACGGCUUUGUCUGCUCUGUCAUUCUAUGAGCCACUUUUAGUUACGGACUUUGUUGCCAAACAUUUCAGGCAGAUAAGCCUGUCAAGGCCUCUGUCUGAUCAAGAUCGUGUUAAAGUACAUUCUUACAUUGUUUGUAAAAAUGUUUUCAAUUAUAAUCUCCAUUAGACAGGAGCCUUGACCAAAUUAUUUGCCUGAAAUGUUUGGCAACAAAGUCUGUAACUAAAAGUGGCUCAUAGAAUGACCGAGCAGACAAAUCCAUAAAGCAAAACGAAUUGAACUAUAGUUUUUAGACACAUUAAGUACAGGUGGCUACACAAAUCUUCUAAAGGAACAGCAAGCAUGGAAUGGCUACCACUUGUAUCAAAUAAUUAAUGAUUAGAUUUAAUUCCUUUCUAUUUCAUUUGAUUUAACCGUUUAUGUUCUUACUGCAAGUUUUGUGGUGACACGCCACGUGCAUGCAGACUUGGCAUCAAUGUAGACUAACCUGAUAUUUUAAUGGCGGGGUUUAGGGCUCUCAUAUGCUUAUCCAUACUCAAUAUUAAAACCAACUGUAAGUGUUGGUAGCUGCAUUACAUCACAAAGACUCUCGAAGAGAUAGGGGAGUACAAUGCACUGAAGGCUAUGUGUUUCAAGAUGCUCUUGGAUGUCUAUCCAUAAGCUUGGUCUAUCAAACUUUGACCUUGCUUGCACGGUUGAGUUCAUUGUAGCUCGGUACAGUUGACCAUGUAUGCUUCCUUUGGGGUACUAGGAAAAUUGUAUCGGGCUACAAUCAACUCAACCGUGUAAGCAAGGUCAAAAUUUGAUAGACCAAGCUUGUGGACUGACCUCAAGGACCAUCCCAAAAAUGUACGCUUCAUUGCAUGAACUCCCCCAUCUCUUGGAGAGGCAAAAUGUCAAGAUCCUCAUGCGUGAUGCGUUGGAUCUGCAAAACAUGGCAUAGAUGCACUAGUGAGUUAACCCAUAAUGUGCAAUAAGGUAUACAAAAGAAAUAAAUAAGGAAUAAAUGUGAGAAAAGUCAUGCAAAACAAGUAAAAUGUUAUGACACGCCAUGCAUAACAAUUAAAUUUCACUGACCCGCCAUGCAUAACAAGUUAAACAUGGUGACACACCAUGCAUAACAAUUAAAUUUCACUGACCCGCGAUGCAUAACAAGUUAAACGUGGUGACACGCCAUGCAUAACAAUUAAAUUGUUCUGACCUACCAUGCAUAAGAAGUUAAUUGUUCUAACCCACCAUGCAUAAGAAGUUAAACGUGGUGACACGCCAUUCAUAAUAAUUAAAUUGUUCUAACCCGCCAUGCAUAAGAAGUUAAUUGUUCUAACCCGCCAUGCAUAAGAAGUUAAACGUGGUGACACGCCAUUCAUAACAAUUAAAUUGUUCGAAACAAUUAUUUUUUUUAACUUAAGUGGAAUUUGAAAUGGUUACCAUGGCGUGUCAGUUGUUCAAGCAAUGGCGUGUCACAAUCUUCUCACAUAUUCUAACCGUGGCGUGUCAUAAAUUCUUAACCUUGCUGUUUCACAGUCGUGACCCGCUGAGUGCAAGCAGCACCAUGGCUUGACACAUCACACGUCAAUUGUUCUGACACGUUGAGUGGAAGCAGAUUUAUGGGGUGACACGCUGAGUGCAACCAAAUGUAUGUGGGGACACGCUAAGUGGAAGCAGAUUUAUGGGGUGACAUGCUGACUUCUUGUGACUGAGUAUCAAAUUAAAUAUAUUGUAUACAUGGAUGGAAAAAAAUUCUUGGUAUCAAAUUAAUUGUGUAUAAAAUAAUUGUAUAAAGUAUAUUAUGUAUACACAAAGAAAUAAUUCUAUUUACAAUGAAUUGUAGAAAAUAAAUUAUGAAUACAAAAAAUUUGUGUAUAACAUUAAUUGUAAAAAAAAAAUUCUCUAUACAAAAAAAUUGUACUGACAAGAGCCGAUAUGUUCAGGGUUCGCUCUCACAAUUGUUGGAAAAAAGUUUCGGAGCGUAUUGUUGACGCAUUUUUGCAAUCAUAUUCUGCUUAACUCCGAUGUUUUUUUAUUGUAAAAUAUGGUCCAUGUACCUUAUCAUGAACAUACCGCAGCUGGCACUAUCAUUCUGUCGAUGCACUUUAGCUUUUGGCAAAUGAAUAUCUAAUGGCAUCGGCAUUAAAUCCCAUCUCUUCCGACGUAUGUUGUUGAAAUAACCGGCUUGGUGGCAGAUGAAUGGCAUCAUUGUCGUCAAGGGUGUCAUUUGACCCGCACGAACUCCGUUAUCCUUAGCAUUCAAAGUUCUUGCGAAGUCCACCACCUUGAUCGUCCAUCUCACCAAGUCAAUCUUCGCAACCACCCAAUGCCCACCAACGUUGCAAGGCGCGAUGAUGAAAUCCACAUCUUUCCAUUUUUUGUCGUAUGUUGGCCUUUCACCCUCCACAUACCCCCGCAACUCAUCUGGAAUUUGCAUUGUGGCCUGGGCAUCUUCUGUUGGAAAUUCUGUGUGUAGCAUACGGAUGGUGUCCUGUGAAACAUGUAAACAUUAGCUUACAAUUCAUGCAAUCAAAAACUUAGUAUUUAUAGAAUUGAACAAUUUUCAAAUAAACUUACGAAGAAUAUCAUGUCAACCACGAAUGCACGAGUAGUGUAGAGCUUCGACUUCGGCCCUGUCAUUCACUUGAAGAGUAGGCUGACGCAUGCGUCGAUAUGUUCACUUGUCAUUUCCUCAUUGGGAUCUUCUAAGGUUGUGAAAACUCAGCCCUUUGAUCCCUUAAGAUGCUGACGUUACACCUGCAUAAGCCACAUAAUGAAUUUCAUAAGUCUUGGUGGAUUAAUGUUUCAUUAAAAAAUAAUAUUUGCAAUGUUAUUUACGAGCUUACCUUGCCGACUCGUCUUUUUUGAAAACUUCAUAGUCUUCUACAAUUUUUUCCCUCACAUCUCGACGGGUCACUAAGGGGGCGACGAAUGGGCUUGCCAUGUAUUCGCUCGCCAUUUUCAGCAGUGCCCUCUCAGUUGGGUCUGAAAUUUCUGCUGCACCAUGAUGGACAGUAGGUGACUCUGGUGACGACGAUCGAAUCUUAACUGCAUCAGAGUGCUCCCACGAUAAAGAACGAUAGCUUCUGCUGCUGCGUCGACGAAUGCAUCGGUUGGAGGAAGAUGCUCUCCUUCAACCAUGAUUGAGUCAGGCUCCCUGUCCCCUCCAGCAGAUGCAUCAAAAAUUGACUCGGGCAGAGGAACAUGUUCUCCUUCAGCAUCAUCUGAUUGAAGGGUGACAUCCACUACCACAGCUUCAUCGACGACGUCAUCGACAUGAGUUACGUGCUCUCCAUCAGCACAAAGAAUGUCAUCGUCAAUGUCAACACCAGGUUCAUGAUGCUGUCCAUCACAGCAUCAUCGUGCUCCAGACCAGCACCGUCAGAUGGACCGCCCUACAAAAUGGGAAAAAUCGUUAGUUAGCUCAUAAAAUACCACAAACCUUAAAUAGUAAAAUGUUGUGACACGCCGUGCAUAUCAAGUAAAAUGUUGUCACACGCCAUCCAUAACAAGAUAAAGGUUGUGGCAUGCCAUCCAUAACAAGCAAAUUGUUAUCACACGCCAAGGAUAACAAGCAAAAUGUUGUGACACGCCAUGCAUCUCAAAUCAAACGUUGUGACACUCCAUGAAUAAAAAAUGUUGUAACACGCCAUGCAUAUCAAGUCAAAUGUUGUCACACGCUAAGGCUGACAUGGUAAUAACUAACUAUAAUACAAAUGUCCUAACCGUUAAUGACCAAAAACCAUUUAAACCACUACCACUAAACCCCAAAAACCAUCAAAAUAGCAAGAAAAUACAAUCUAAGCAGUUGCUAAACGUAAACCAUAUAAAAAUAAGCGAAGAUACAAUAACGUACUUGUGAUUUAAGGCCGUCAAUAAUCCGACCAACGAUACGGUCCUCAAGUGUUUGCAUUGCUACACUUAAUGACUGAAUUGAAGCCUUCAACUCCAACAUCUCUUUUGCAUGCUUACGCAUGAUCCGUCGGAGCUGACGGGUAAUGAUUGCUCCGUCAUUGACUAUUCUCAAUUGGGUCAACUACAAUAACAUAUAUAAUUGUGUUAUUCAAUAAUCAUAUAUGGAAUUGACGAACAUUAACUGUUACAACUUUAAUAUCCUAACCAGUGGCUCGUUAGUAGUUUGUGGUGGAGUCAAACCGAUCGGUGCUUGAGGACCUAUCGUCGCUUCCAUAAACUUCAAUUAUAGAAAUUACUGUGUUACUUGAUAAACAUAUGUGGGAAUGUAGAACACAAACCGUUAGAAUCGAUCUUACCAUCGAAUCGUUUCCAUUCUACAACUGAGGAAGACCGGUGAGUGGUUCUGGAGCUGUCGGUGCAUGGUCCAACUACAAACAUAGAAAUGUUUUUCGAUAAUCACAUAUGGAAUUGGAGAACACAAAACCGUUACAAUUGUCCUUAUUGGCUGUUCACUACCUUGACCAUGGUCGUCCCCUUCGUCCAUCAACUUAAGGCCGGAUAGCUCAUCAACUAAAGUAGUGGUGGUGCGCAUCCGUUUCGUGCCACCAGAGGCUCUUUUCUUCUUCAAGCUUAUCCUUUUUUGCCUCGCUCCCAAACCCCAAUCUGACCAAUCCUUCAUGUGCCCUAUUGGAAUGUACUCGUAGCUCUCUAAUAACGGGACAUCAAGGUCCACAAAAUACUCUCGGAGGGCCUCAUCCGCAGUGGGUUCCAACGUCUCUAGUGCCCACAACUGCAAAUAAACAAAUAAAAUGUUGUCAGUAUCGAAUAGAGAAAAUUAUUAUACAACUAUAACACAAAAAUAUGCAACUGUUCACUCACAUGGUCAGAUGACUUUAACUUCUGAAUUGCCUUAUAGAAGUUUUUUGGCUUCUGAUUGUAAUCCCAUUUGCACAUUCAUGGGUAGACGUUGUCCUUUAGACCAGAACUGCAUGUCAACUGUAACCAUUAUCAGACUGUAAAUCAUAAACGAGUGCACCAAUCAAUUUUUUUUUCAAAAGGAAAUUGAAAAAUAUUACGUCAUAGUACCUGUAUCACCCAUGCGAAUUUGUAAAUAUUGUAGCGUAACCGAGUUCCCUUUAUCACGCUUAAGUCAGGCACUUUGAACCCCUUCAAAAUGUAGUCCAAGGUCAGCUUCAAAACAUAGUGCCCCCAUGGGAAGACAUUCCAAGCGUCGAUGUCCUCCACCAAUGACAGCAACCAAGGCGUCUCCCAUCUAUGGUAGUCUUGACCAAAUAAAAUGUUAUUCGUAAUCAAGACGAGUGCCAUGUUGGUCGCAUCUCCUGCUCGUUGGAAGUUGCCCCUACAGAACGUAUCAAGCAAAGCCUGUAGCUUAACGUUCUCCUGCCCAUUCCAGUAUCGGGCAUGAAUUCUGUCUGUAGCAACCUCGUACUGUCGUUUGAACACAUCGGGCAUUGGACCAAACUUCAGCCCAGUGAUAAGGCAGAACUCCUGCUUUGAUAGCUGCGCCUUGCUCUUGCCAAUGGCAAACCAUAGCUCGUGGUCCAUUGACUGGCUCUCAGUGAUCUACCGAAUCAUGAUGUUGUGCAAGAGAUCGACACAAAAGUACCCCUAAGGAUACACGUUCAAGAGCAUUUCGAAGCGGGUACACUUAACUGCAUCAUACUCCCCCUUCUGUUGGAGAGUCUUUGUGAUGUAAUACAGUUGCAGCCACUUACAGUGGGUGUUAAUUAUGGCGUUGAAUGCCCAUUUCUCCCUCGGCACUAUCAGCAAACUGUCAAAAUCCUCAUACUGUCUGCGUUGGAUCUGCAAAACAUGGCACACAUACACCAAUGAGUUAAGCUGUCAUGUGCAACAAGGUACACUCAAGACAUAAAUAAGGGUAAAAUAUUGUGACACGCCAUGCAUAACAAGUAAAAUGUUGUGACACGCCAUGCAUAACAAGCAAAAUAUUAUGACACGCCAUUCAUAACAAGCAAAAUGUUGUGACACGCCAUGCUUAACAAGUAAAAUGUUGUGACACACCAUGCAUAACAAGUCAAACGUGGUGACACGCCAUGCAUAACACGUAAAAUGAUGUGACAUGACAUGCAUAAAAAGAAAAAUUCUAUCACACGCCAUGCAUAUCAACUAAAGUUCACACGCCAUGCAUAUCAAGUAAAGUGCUAUCACACGCCAUGCAUAUCAAGUAAAGUGUUGUCACACGCCAUGCAUAUCAAGUAAAGUGCUGUCACACGUCAAUAACUAACUAUAAUAAUAAUAGUGUCACAUGGUAAACAUCCAAAACCCCUUAAACCACUAUGACUUAACCCCAACAACCAUCAAACUAGCAAGAAAACACAGUCUAUACAUUUACAAAACAAAACAAAAACCCCGAACAUAUCAAACAAACCCAAGAAAAAACCAUAAAAUUAACGAACACAAGAAUAUUUUAAUUUGACACUCAUUGACCUCUUCAUUCAUGGACAACAUUGUUGCUAGUGCUGUGGUGUCGUUACGCUUGAAAAGAGCCUUCUCGAAUACUCCGGUACCGACGGGAAUGAUAAAUGAAUCACACAGACAUUACCAAUUCUUAAUAAUAACUAUUUAAAAUGAAAAAUGGCCUUCUAAUAUUCUUAUUUAUUCUGAAAAAGGGGAAUUAAUUUAGUGAAAGUCUAAACGAUUACCACGUUAACUGCCCACUUUUUUUUUCCUCUCUCUAUUUCAAACCGUGACGUGUCAACUGCUCAAGCAUUGCCGUGUCACACACUCUAAACCAUGACAAUGGCAUGUCAGCUUUACAAGCAAUGCCGUGUCACACACUAUAAACCACGACCAUGGCGUGUCACCAACUAUGAACUCUAGCAUGUCACAUCUUCCCUCCAUGGCGUGUCACCAACUUUUAACUUUGGUGUGACAUAGAUUCCCUCCACGGCAUACUAACUCUGAAGGCUGGCGUGUCACAGAUUCCCUCCAUGGCGUCUCACCAACUCUGAUCGCUAGCAUGUCCUAGAUUCCUUCCAUGGCAUGUCAUCAACUCUUAACUCUGGCGUGUCACAGAUUCCAUCCAUGGCAUCUUACCAACUCUGAAGGCUGGCAUGUCACAGAUUCCCACCAUGGCGUGUCACCAACUCUUAUCUCUAGCGUCUUACAGAUUCCCUCCAUGGUGUCUCACCAACUCUGAGCGGUGCCAUGUCACAGUCUUGUCACACAUCCCCAACAUGACAUUACACAAACUCUAAACCCUGCCUUGCUACAGCCGUCUAACAUAUAGCCUACUAUAACAAGACCAUUUCCUGCUUUGGAUUCACAUCUUUCUCCUUUCAAUUCACCACCGUAUCAAGGAUUUCUAGUUUCACAUCAUUAGCCAAGCUUUCCAUUCAUGACCACCGGUUCCUCGUUCGAUUUAAUAUCUCUCUUCUCCUAUUAUCUCAAUGCCAUGUCCCAAAUCUGUGAAAACCCAUCUCAUGCAACAUUAUUUUGUUUUGCACAACCUUCGAAAAAAAUUAAAUAAAUGGAUAUUUUGCACAACCAAUCUUUGCAUAUUUUUUUCUCCAGUUUUUCGCCUGUUUGAGAGUGCACGCUAACGAAGAUAGCUCAUUAAGGGUAUUUUUGUCCCAAAAUCUAUUCGGGUGGCUAAAAAUAGUUAAAAUUAUUUUGAGGGAUAUUUACAAAAAAACGUUAUCUUUAAGGGCUAAAAAAAAAUCCCCCUAAAAUCUAUCAUUUUCUCACAAUAUAUUUAUACAUGAAUUUCAGAAUAAUAAUUUGCAUGGUGAAUAAGCAAUAUAACCAUGAAUCCACUCUGCACAUAUGUAUAAGGCACAUUUUGAUGUAAAACAGUGUGAAGGGCUUGCUUCCUAAUUUUUAAAACACUUUACAUAUAAUUUAUACAUAUAUAUAUAUAUUCAAAACAAUUUCUAAACAUAAUUUGCAAUCACAAUUUCCUAAGAUUGCUACCAGAACAUGCUAUCCACAAUUUUCACGUUUAAAACAAAUCAUACAUAUAGGUAUAUAUUUAUGGAAAGUUUAAAAUUGACACCUUCUACUCACCUCAUAAUAGCGGGAUGUUACGUCGUUAUUAAUUCAAAGACCUAUCGAGCUACUCCUUCUUAACUAUUGUUCGUUAUUUCUUUCAGCCUUUCACCAUAGUGCACCACUUAUUUAUUUCUCCAAAAUAUUGAAACUCACUUAAUUGAUAUAUCUAUAUAUAUUAUUUUAUUAUAACAUCAUUAUUAUAUAUAUAUUUUUUCUUUUUUUUUCUUCUCUUUCCCCCCGGUCAACAGUACCUUGCUUGUCUUUCUUUUUCCUUUCUUACAUGCACAAGCUGUCCACAAUUUCCUCCUCUUUCUCCCUUUCACCGUCGGUAACAACUUCUUACUUCUUUCAACCAAAACUUUUCAGCAGCCAAAGCUGCUCAUAUCAACAUCAAAAUCAGAAGCUAAGCUGCUCUAUUUUUCCUCAAAAAUCAGCAGCUAAGCUGCUCUAUUCUCCCUCCAAAAAUCAGCAGCCAAGCUGCUCUUUCCUCCCUCAAAACUCGGCAGCCAAAGCUUCAAAGAUCAGCAGCCAAAACUGCACCUUUCAGCCUUCAAAAUCAGUAGCAAAAAUUACACCUUACAGCCUUCAAAAUCAGCAGCUAAAGCUGCUCCUCUCACCCUUAAAUUGAUAGAAAAAUAGCUAUCCUUUCCUCCCUAAAUGGCAACAAAACCGCCCCCUCAACUCAACUCAUUCUCCUCUCCUUUUCUUUCUCACCGCUCGGCUUUCUCUUCUUUUCUUUUUGCUCUUUUUGCUCUCAUUUUGCUCUCUUAUGCCCGACGCCUUCUUCUUGUUUCUUUUUCUUCUCUUCCACUAACUGACUUCUUUCUUUCUUCUUCUUUACUUUAUUUAUUUACUUAUAUAUAUAUAUUUCCAUUUGUUUUCCAAUUUGGACGGCCCCCCCAUCUUUCUUUCCAUCAUAUAAAAAUGUUUGUUGACCCUUUUAUUGACCACAUGGGCAGUUGCCCAUGUUGGUCUUCCUUUUUUUUUUUAUACUUGUAUUAUUUUAUUUCUUCCAUUUAAUUCGACUAUAUAAUCCUUCACCCUUUAUAUUUUAAAAUUCGAUCCUUUCGAUACGUCUAAAAAUUUCAAUUUUCAUCUAUCUUCCUUCCUUUGUACGUGUACCACCAAAAUAUCAAAAUUGCACUUCAAUGCUGUAUUACCAUAAUAUUUAAAUAUUUACUUAUUUGCGUUGGCUUGACUUAGCAAAACACGCGUAUUUCACUUUUGUCGCUCAUCUCCAAAAAUUUAUUUGUAUUCCUUCUCCACCACUUGGAUUAACCAUAUGAUCCUUCUUCAUGACUGAUUUCGACAUCCGGUUAAAUAUUAAUAUUUAAUAUUAUUUUAAUAAUAAAAUAUUAUUUUAUUUCAAAAUUUUCUCGUCUCCUUGGUACCCAAAAUACCUUAUUACGCCUCAAUUGACUUCCGAAUCACCUUUUAUCUCACAAAUUCUCCUCUGAUAAAAUAUUAUUAUUUUAUUGUUAUUUCUUCACGUGCGGAUCAUUUUAUCCUAAACUAUUCCUUUCAUCUUUCAUCAUUUUUAAACAUUAUAAUUGGCCUCAAUUUGCAUCCAAUAAGCUUUAUUAGUCACCAUAUCAAAGUAUGGGGUAUUACAUAUGCGCACUCCUACUCGCACAUAGCCAGGUCAGCAUCGGCUUAUGCACACUCCCACUCACACAUAGUCGAGUCAGCAUCAGCUUAUGCACACUUCUACUCGCACAUAGCUGGGUCAAUAUCAUUACACAACAUUAUUCGUAUACAUAUAUAUAUAUAUAUAUAUAUCAACACAGUAUAGGAACACAUAGGUCUGUCCUUUUUACACAUUUCACAUUUUCACAACAUCAACAUAUUUUAUCAAGGGCUUGUUCCCAAGGCACACGUUUUUAAGAAAAGUUGGAUAAAAUCAAUCAAUGUUUUGUGCAAAUAGAUUCACAUUCCCAAAACGGUUUUGAGAUGCAAAUUCACUCACUGAUAUUUUGUUGAGCCUUUAGCUGACUCUAACUCCCCUAAUGGUCCAAUUGAGGUUGUGGGACUUUGUUGGGACCUAUCAUGCACAACAACAUCACCAUUACCCUAACUUGGCAUUAAUACUAUUCCAAAACUAUUUUCUAAAUUGGGUUAUACUAGUCAUUUUUAAUUAGUUUCCAACUACCAUUAAAUGGCUAUUGUUUGCAAUACUCUAAUCACACUUAAAUGAAUAACAAUCCCAACAAAUAAACUCUCACAAAUCUAAUUACUAGAUAUUCUCAACACUUUAAACUCAACUCCAAUUUACUACUCACCUUGAUAGCUUUGUGCUUGAAAUUUUUUUCAAAAACUUUCAAGCUAUUAUUGAAGCUUCCUCUUUCUCUCUCUAAAACACUUAACUAGAGAGAGAGUAUGAAAAUCAAAUUUUUUUCAAGGGUUUUAAAGAGAGAGAGUGAAAGAGCAAAAGGGUUUAUGAAAGGGUGCACCAAAAGCAUGAAAAGUGGAGCUAUUUUAAGGGAGGUUAUGGAGGUUCAUAUCAAGCUUCCAUGGAGGUUGGAAGCAACGUGAAAGAGAAGAAGAAGCUGCUAAAAAAUGGGAGAAGAAGCUGCUGGAAGAAAGAGAUAUUUAUAGCCCAAGCUUAUCCCCUCCACUUAAAUUACCAAAAUGCCCUCACAAGUCAACUUGUUCUCCUCCAAUCCUUUAUGCAAUCUUUUUGCUCCUUUGACAUUGGUACAAAGUCCAUAAUGGUCUAGAAAUGCUCGGGUUCAUGAAAACUUAAAAAUUUUUACCCGAGAUGAAAAAUGACCAUUUUGCCCCUAUCGUGGAAAUCAUCAUCAUUUUUAUUUCCUUUGUCAUUUUACCAAUAUUUUCAUCAUUCAUUUAUGCCUUAGGCCUACUUAGGCCUUAAUGUUGUUUAAAACUUACUUUUAAGGGCUUACUAAAGAAAUGACGAAACUACCCUUAGCCCGUUUUAUUACGUCUAUGCCUAGUUACGAGCUUAUAGAGGUCGAAGUCUCACAGUAACCCUCGAUACAAUAGUUGCAUUUUAUUCAAUUAAGUCUUAAUGAACUUAAUUAAUUUCUCACUUUAUUUUGGUCUAUUCUAAUUAAGUCCAACUUAAUUGAUUAUCCUUAUUUAAUCUCAAUCAUGUCACUUAAUGUGUGUGACCUAUUAGGCUUCUAACAUGUUGGCAAUAAAUAUAAAUCCUAAUCAAAUAUCAGUUUGAUAAUUGAUUUAUAUUUAUAAAUCAUGAGCAACAUUUAGCAAUACAUCAUAACCACCCAAAUGUUAGAGAGUUAAUUAAAGAAUUUGACAAAACACUUUAGUGAUAAGCCUCUAAGUGAAAUACGAUCCUUUCAUCAAAUAUCCCGGAUGCGUCAAAAAGCAUGGCUCAAUGUCUACUUAUGACAUUCCAUAUUAGUUCUCAUAAUUCAUGAUUAACCUUAUGAAUUUAGGAAACUAACUUUCCUCAAAUUCAUCAUGCUUUGGCUGAAGACUUUAUACAAGUUAAUCAAGAAUCAAGAAUAAGUGAGAUACAUCCUUUCAUAUCACUUGGGGUGAUGAAUCCUUUCUUGACCACUCAUUCACCUUUAGAUGCUUCAUGACAUACCCAAAAACACCAUAUUUAGGCAUCUGGUCUCCUCUAGACCCGUAGAGGUGAAAUCAAAGUAUGUCAUUCCCCAUGUAAGAUAACUUGGUGUCUCAAGUCUGAAGACUAGUUGCACAACUAUCACAUGAGAACAUAAUCCAUAGACAAUUUAGUGAAAAACUAAAUGGAGUUCUCAUAACAGGUUAUGUUUAGUGAACUUGUUCUUUAACAAGCAUUUAUAUGUUAUUGUCAAGUAUCUCCUAUACUUCAAUUUAUAAGAUCGAUUGCUUACUUUUCAAGUAAGGAGGCUUAACAUGUACUAGUCUUUGAGCAUUGUCAAUGCCUUAUCUUGACAAUACAAUGACCAAGAAUAAUUUUAGGAAUAUGGCUUUGAUGCAUAGUGAUCUCAUAAUUAUAACAACUUUGCAGUUCUCUUGCAAGGGCUUUAUGUUACAUGGGCUUCAUCCAAUUAAUACUUAAUAACUCCCUAUUAUUGCACUAACAUGAAGGAAAACCUUUUGUGAGACCACAACCUUUAUAGGCUUAUAACUAAGUAUAGAUGUAAUAAUACGAGCUAGGGGCAGUUUCGUCAUUUUCCUUAAUAAGCUCCCAAAAGAAAGUUUUAUGAUAUUUUAAGGUCUAAAUAGCCAUAAGACUGCAUAUAUGUCGUGUAAAGAUGAAAGCACGAAGAAAACUUUUAAAAGUUUUGCAAACCCGAACAUGUCUAGACCAUUUGGAUGUAAUGGUGAUGUUAAUGUAAUGGUAGGUUCCAACGAAGUUCCAUCAUUCCGUUUGCACAAUUAGAGAAAUUAGAGUCGGUUAAAGGCUCAACAAAAUACCGGUGAGUGAACUACAUUCAAAACUUGUUUUGGGGAUAUAAUGUAUUUGCUAAACAUUUGAAUGAAUUAUCAAGCUUUUCAUAAAAACAAGUGCCUUGGGAACAAGCUUUUGAUAGAUUGUCUCCAUGUUGUGACAUGUGACUAUUAUUGAUUCAUGCACUGCCACAUUGUGUUGAUAUAUAUAUAUAUAUAUGCGUGUGUGUGUGUGUGUGAAUACAUUGUUGUGUAAUGAUAUUGAUUCGGCUAUGUGUGAGUAGGGAGUGCGCAUAAGCCGAUGAUGACCCAGUUAUGUGCGAGUAGGGAGUGCGCAUAACCCGGUGAUGACCUAGCCAUGUGCGAGUAGGGAGUGCGCAUGAGUUGGGAAUGAUGGGAUGGAGUGCAUGAUGAUGAUAGGUAUAUGUAUAUGUAUACAUACGUAAACAUGUGUGUUAUAAGAAAUUUAUGAGUUAUGUAUAUGGUUGUAUUGUAUGUGAAAUUCGGUAUGUUAAACUUUGGGACGUUUUUAUGUAUUUCUUAUUGGUUUUGAACAUUUCAGCAGGGUGGUUUUCUUUGGGAGAAAGGGAAAUUUUUCAUUGGUGCCUUGUAUCUCGCUGCAGCGAGAAACUCUCGGGUUUGAGAGCUUUCACCAGAACUGGUUCUCCCUGCAGCGAGAAAUCUUCUGUCCAUUUUGCUAUCUCGUGGGGUUUUGCCAUAUUUUUCCAUUUCAUUUAUACCCUAGUGGAACAUGGACUUCCAACAUGUUUGGGAUUAUCUAACUAAGUUUGAAAUGAGGAAAUUUUGAGAGAAACCCUCAGUCUGUUGAGAAACCCUCGUUCGACUAAUAACUUAAAUCCCAACAUCCCUGCAGCGAAAUUUCAUUCUCGCUACAGCCACGCUGCAACAAGAAUGCCUUCCCGUUGUAGCGAAGAUUCGUUGUCACAUUUGAAUUGUUGGUGUAUCACUGAAGCCUUCAUUUUUCAAAUUAUUGGUUAUGUAUGGGUUCCUCAAUACCGAGUGAUUAAUCAUAUAAGGGUUUAAUGAGGGGUUUUUAAUAGGAAUGAAAUUAAGUUGCAUUGUUUUAAAACAAGUGCAUCAUGAUUUUAAAUUAUUCCUUAUGGUAUGCUUGUUCCCCUCCUUGUUCACUCACUAGGUUUAUACUCACUGUUUUCAACUUCAUGUUUUCAUAUCACGAGGCAGCCGGUAACUAGGACGAGGUGUCCUUGUAGACUUGUGUCCAUCUUUUGGUAGUGUCUCAGCAUUCAGUAGCUGUACAUUCAUCUGAGUCUCUCCACUGGAAGUCGAGUAUUAUUUUGUUGUGUAUAGACGAACCUAAUGUAAAUUGUUAAGAUACAUGUUGUAGACAAUGUAUAUACACUUGUUUUGUAUGCCAAUAUGAGAUGGCAAUGUGUAGUAUUAUUUUGAUUCUAAGUGAUGAAAUGUGACUUAGCAGUUUAUGAGGGAAUGAUGAACAUGACAGAUUAAUAGGCUUGCUUGGGCUUAGUGGACUAUGUCCAUUGGGCCCAUGCACCGGGCAUGGCCCGAAAUUUGGGUCGUGACACCUUUAUCAUAUAUAGUUAGGCAAUUAAGUGUGCAUUAAAUGACAAUAUUUAUAUUCCUUGACCAAUCCAAUUGGUUCAAGAGCAUAUACCAAUAAUCUCCCACUUGCAUUUGAGUCAAUUGCUAGCGUAUCCAAUAUCAAACUCUUUCGCUUAGCGACUGUGUCUCUACUAGGACAAUUCAAAUUGCAAUAUUUGGGAAUAUGUUAAUUUAUAUGUUUGACAAUCUCCAUUGUCAUAAUCAAAAUAUUAAUUUAAUCACAACGAGACAUAUAUUCCAUUAUUAUGGCUUUUGUUGUUACUUUAACAACUUGGAAUCAUUUAUUAGUUUAUUAAUCCAAUGAUCCAAAAAUCUCUCCUUUCUUAGCCUAAACAAAAGGUUUGUAUCCGAUUAUAGAUAUAAUCAUGCAAUUAUCUCUUGUUUUGGAGCCAUCCCAAUACAACUGCUCAAUCAUGACUUUAUGUCACUUUUAGCAUUUAAGAUUGUCUCUAUGUUACACUCUUUUAACAUGUUAUCCUAAAUUUCUUUUAUUGAGUCCCAUGUUAGGAUGUAACUCUUUAGUCUUAAUUUGUUUUUCUUAGACUGGCAAAUGUAUCUUAUACACUUUUAAUGAGUAACUUAUCUUACUCCCAUUAACCUUAUGAUUUGCACAAAAUAUGUUUAUUUUAUUCAAUAUAUUCAAUUACUUUGAAUUUAUUACAUUGAAUAAAGAUUAUUAUCCAAUCAUUCAUGUUGGAUUAUUUAAUAAACUCUUCUUAUGAGAGUAGUACAUCAAUAUGCAUCCUACUAAUGGUUUGCAUUUAAUGGACGAAUUAGGCAUAUUUAUGCAUCCCAUUAAAUCAAUCUUUGUGCAUAGAUCUUAUCUAUUUGAUUUCAUAAUUUCAUGACCCUUGACCUUUAAAGUGUCAUUAGCUCCCACUAUUUCUAUCAUGUAUAGAAAUCUUACCAAGUAAACUUAUUUACUUUCCUUUGGGGCGUUAUAUCCUUAACUUUUAUGUAUACGUACAUAUCAUACGUCGUUCAGCAUGAAUGAAAUCCUCUCAAAGGUUACUUCAUGGGAUUAACUGGGUUAGUUCACAUAAUCAAUUAUUAUUUAGUUUUCAGCAUUCUUAAUUUAGAUAUUUUAUUUCAAUAAGAAUGUUCCUUAGCUAAAUGUGUUCAUUAUCAUAUUAUGAAUUCGUUGAGUUAGGACUUAAUUUUAUCUAAGUCAUCUCAUUAAUUUUUCUUUCUGAUUCAUAAUCAAAAGAAAAGUAAUCUCACAAUGAUCUUAUGACUUAGUAUUGAUUAUAAUAUAACCUAAAAAAAUGUGAUAUAUUUAUGAGCUAGGGUGUAAAAAUACAUUUUUACCCCUUUUAUUUUUUCUAAAAUCAACAAAAUGUAUCGAUACAUUGACCCAUGUAUCAAUACAUUUAGUUUUGAAAAAAAUGUAUCGAUACAUUAUGAACAUGUAUCGAUACAUGUUCAUCAAGAACACUUUUUGGGCUAAAUGUAUCGAUACAUAAUGAAUAUGUAUCAAUACAUUUGAGAUAGAAUGCAGUUUCUGAGACAGAUUGCCUAUAAAACCUGCUUAGCUUAUUUACAUUAAAUACCAUUAAAGUAAAUAUCCUUUUUACUUUUUGCUCUCCAUUUACUUAAGAUAUUUUAUAUAAAUAAGCCUAAACCCCCCAUUUGGAUUUGAUUAAAAUAUAAAAAAAAUCAAAAUCCAAAAGAAUCAAAAUCUAAAUUUUGGUUUCAAGAAUAAAAUUGAAAAAGUUCGAUUGAAAUUAAAUUUACGGCUCCCAUUUACCAUAGCAAAUAUACACCAAAAAUUAUGGAAGAAUAAUUUUUGGUCAUAUAAAAAUCAAGAGAAUCAUUAUCAUCAUUUUUAUUUUCAAAAGAUAAUUCUAUAAAAAUAACAUAUUUUGACCCCUCCUAAACAUAAAAGAUUUUCCUACAUCAAAAAUGACAGACAAUUAAAGGUGUUAAUGAAUUCUUUUGAAGGGUACGUCAUGACCCAAAUUCUGGGCCAUGACCGACACAUGGGCCUAGUGGACGUAGCCCACUAAGCCGAAGCAAGCCUCUUUACGUAAUCCCGUUCAUCAUCCCUUCAAUUUUUUAAUCACCAUUACUAGACCAACAUUUGUAAUUUGCAACUAGACGUAUUUUCAUAAUACAACAUCGAUACCAAAAAUUUACAUUUGUAUGAUCUCAAAAUAAGGUUAUUCAUAGCCAUCUUAUAAUGGCACCAUUAUUCCAAACUAUACAUGCAUCGUUGGCAAGUGGUUCCUAACAAUUUACAUUUAACGUACAUGUAUUCAUAUAAAAGACUUCUGAUGACCAGCGGAGUGACUUUUGUGAGGGUACUACUAUCGAAUGCCAUGAUACCUACCAGGAGUGAAUGCAAGUGAUGCCUUAGUCUCGGUCCCAACUAUCUAUGGAUCUAAAAACAUGCAAUUUAAAAGAGUGAGUAUAAACUUAGUGAGUGAACAUAAGAAGGGAACAAGCAACAAAAAGGAAUGUUUUAGAAAACAUGAUGCACUUACGAUAAAACCAUGCAAUUUAAUCAAAUUUUUGGUUAAAACCCCUUAUUCCAAACUUUGAAUGUUUAAUCCCUUAAUGUUACAAGAUCCACGAUAAACAAUGAAGUUGAAUAGAAUGAAAAUUUCAGCAAUGACCAAGCAAGACAAGCAACAGAGGGAUUAAACAUUCUAUUUAGUUAACCCUCCCAACCCGAGUGUUUCUCACUGUAGCGAAAAUGAAUAUCGCUGCAGCGAGAAACAGAGAAAUUUAGUUAAAAGGGGUCUUGUUAUAUCAAAAGCUAUUUUUUUGUUGAAAUGAAAAGCAAUUCAGGAGCAAUUAACAAUGCCAACAUACAACACAAUCACAAUUAUUUUCAUAAACUUUCUAUAACAUAUAUGUAUUUGGAUAUACAUACAUCUUCAUGCAUACCAUCCCUCUACACUCAACUCAUGUGCACUCCUUACAUGCACAAGGCAAUAUCAUCAUCAUGUGCACUCCCUACUCGCACAAGGUAAUAUCAUCAUCAUGUGCACUCCCUACUCACACAUUUCAAUAUCAUCACACGCACUCCUGCCCACAUCAUUACCGGCGUGUGCUCUCCCACACCACACACACAUGGUCAUACUUAUUACACAAUAUUAUCUAUUAAGGCACAUCACAUAUGUAUGUAUACCAAUGAAAUAAAGGAGUACGUGGACUCAUCAUAGUCACAUUUCACAAUGAAAUACGUUUCAUUAGAAGCUUGUUCCCAUAUACAUUUUAAAGAAAAAGACAAUUAAAACCUUUCAAGUAAUUCACUCAAACAUUUACACCUUUACCCCAAAUCAUUUUAAUACAAGUUCAUUCACUGGUAUUUGUUAAAUCUUUACACAACUCCAAUUUCCUCUAACGGUCCAAAUGGGACAGUGGGGCUUAGUUGGAACCUAUCAUCACAUUAGCAUCACAAUUAACUCAAUUCACAUAACCAUAAUUCUAAAAGCUAUCUCCUAAAUCAUGUUCUACUAGUUAUCCCUAACUAGCUUCCAAUUGCCAUUAAGUGGCUAUUUACUUUCACUAUUCUAAUCACACUAAAGAUAAAUAAAUAUCCUCAACUACAAAACAUUCAUAAAUCUAUCCACCAGCCAUUUUCAACAGCUUAAAAAAAUCAACUUUAAUUCACUAUUCACCUUGGUAGCUUUGUAAUUGAAUUUCUUUCCAAAAAUUUUCAAGCUAUUAUAGAAGCUCCCUCUUUCUCUCUUUAAAACACCUAACUAGUGAGAGGAAGUAUGGAAGUAAGACUUUUCAAGGGUUUGAAAGUGAAAUAGUGAAAGAGCACAAAAGGUUCUAUGAAAAGGUGCAUAAAAGCAUGAAAAUUGGAGCUAACUUGAGAGAAGUUAUGGAGGUUUCAAAACAAGCUUCCAUGGAGGAUGAAAGAAACGUGAGACGGAAGGAAGAAGAAGAAGAAGUUGUUGGAAAAAUGAGAAGAAGCUGCUAGAAUAUGAUAUUUAUAGCUAAAGCUUAUCCAACUCCACUUAAAUUAUGAAAAUACCCUUGACAAGUUGGCUUUGUCUUCCUCCAAUCCUUUGUGCAAUCUUUUACUCUUUUGGCACUGAGACAAAGUCCAUAAUCGUCUAGAAUACUCGGGUUCAUGAAAACUUAAAUUUUUGACCCAAGGUGAAAAAUAACCAUUUUGCCCUUACCUUGAAAAUCAUCAUUAUUUAUAUUUCUUUUGUCAUUUUAUCCUUAUUGUUAUCAUUCAUUUAUGCCUUAGGCCUACUUAGGCCUUAAUAUUGUUUGAAAGCAUACUUCUAGGGGCUCACUAAAGAAUUGACGAAACUACCCCUAGUCCGUGAUAUCGCGUUUACUUCUAGCUACAAGUCUAUAAAGAUCAAGGUCUCACACUCUCUCCCACUAAAACAAAUUGGGUCCUCGAAUUUAAAUUUAACUAUAAGGUAGCAUACCUCUAAGCAUUAAAGAGGUGUGGAUAUUUUGUCUGCAUCUCCUCCUCGGCUUCCCACGUUACCUCUGCACUCGUGUGGUUUCGCCAUAACACUUUCACUAAGGAUACAUAUUUUGAACGGAGCUUUUUGACUUGCCUAUCAAGGAUAGCUAUCGGUUGCUCUUUAUAGGUCAAAUCAUCUUUUAGUGGGAUGGUUUCAUACCGUAUUACAUGAGAUGGGUCUAAGUUAUACUUCCUAAGCAUUGACACAUGAAAUAUGGGGUGGAUAUUCGAAAGGUCCGGUGGUAGCGCCAAACGAUAUGCCGCUGCUCCAAUCCUUUCUAAAAUCUCGAAGGGUUCUAUAUAUCGAGGGCUUAAUUUUCCCUUCUUGCCAAACCUCAUUAACCCUUUUAUUUGUGAAACCUUCAAAAAUACAUAGUCCCCCACUUGAAAUUCCAAGUCUCUCAGUCUAUUAUCAGCAUAUGACUUUUGUCUAGUUUGUUCUGAUAACAUCCUUUGACGAAUCAUGCAUAUUUUGUCGAUGGCAUCCUGUACCAAUUCUGACCCCAAGAGUUUCCUUUCUCCCACCUCUAGCCAUCCAAUAAGUGUCCUGCACCUCCGUCCAUAUAAUGCUACAAAUGUCGCCAUCUGGGUGCUAGCUUGGAAACUAUUGUUGUAAGUAAACUCCACUAAGGGUAGAUACUGAUCCCAUUUGACCUCAAGGUCUAUUACACAUGCCCUUAGCAUGUCUUCCAAUGUCUGUAUUGUUCGUUCAUACUGUCCAUCAGUUUGGGGGUGGAAAGCUGUUUUAAAAUCCAACUUAGUGCCUAACGCUUCUUGUAACUUUUCCUAAAACCUACUAGUGAACUGUGCUCCUCUGUCAGAUACUAUAGUAAUGGGGAUACCAUCCAGUCAUACUUUCUCGUCCACAUAAACUCGAGCAUAUUGGGCAGCCCCAUAAGUAGUUUUAACCGAAAAAAAUGAGAUGACUUCGUCAAUAAGCUUGCUAUAAUCCAAAUCGAGUCGUAGCCCCCACUAGUUCGUGGCAAGCCUGUUACAAAGUCCAUUACAAUAUGCUCCCACUUCCAUUCGGGCACUAGUAAUGGCUAUAGUAACCUUACGGGCCUUUGGUGCUUUGCCUUAACUUGCUGACAAACUAGGCACUUAGAAACAAACUCAGCUACAUAUUUCUUGAGUCUUUCCCACCAGCACACCUCCCUCAAGUCUUGAUACACCUUUGUAGCUCCAGGAUGUAUCAUGUAGGCUGCCAUAUGUGCCUCUUCCAAUAUUUCUCUCCUCAAUCCAUCAUUAUCAGGCACAUAAAGUCUGGUUCAAUUCUCAAUACUCCAUCCGUGCCUUAGUAAAUAUCUUUCCUUUCCUUCCUUGAGGGUCUUCUAAGGCCUUAGCUACGAACUCAUCUUGACUUUGUGCUUCUUUAAUCUGGUCCAUUAAGAUAGGCCUCACUCUAAAAUGUGCUAGCAAUGCAUUUACCUCCAAAACUUCCAAAUGCAUAUCCAUGUCUCCCAAGCUAUGCAUCUCCCUAAUCAAGGAUUUUUUGUCUGUAGAGAUAUGUGCCAGACUCCCCAUCAAUUUUCGACUCAAGGCAUCCGCCACCACAUUUACCUUACCGGGAUGGUAAAGAAUAGUACAAUCAUAAUCUUUUAGCAACUCCAUUCACCUACGUUGCUGCAAGUUAAGAUCCCUCCGCUGACAUAUAUACUUUAAGCUUUUGUGGUCCAUAUAUAUCUCGCAAGUCUCACCAUACAAGUAAUGUCUCCAAAUCUUUAAGGCAAACACGAUUGCUGCCAUCUCCAAAUCGUGUGUGGGGUAAUUUUGCUCAUGCCUUUUAAGUUGCCUUGAUGCAUAUGCAAUCACCUUCCCAUGCUGCAUUAAUACACAUCCUAAACCAACCCGCCAUGCAUCACAAAAUACCAUAUAACCUUUUGUGCCUUGUGGUAGGCUUAAUACUAGAGUUGUGGUGAGACAUGCCUUAAGCUUCUCAAAGUUAUCCUCACAAGCAUCUGACCACUCAAAUUUUGUAUCUUUACGGGUCAGCUUAGUCAAAGGGGUGACUAUUUUGGAGAAGUCUUUCACAAAACAACGAUAAUAGCCAGCCAAACCCAAAAAGCUUCUAAUCUCCAUAACUGAUGUUGUCCUUGGCCAUUUUUCCACUGCCUUUACUUUCUUUGGAUCAACUUGUACCCCAUCCUUGGAUACCACAUGUCCCAAGCAUGUAAUGCUUUUAAGCCUGAACUCACACUUGGAGAACUUGGCAUACAAUCAAUGUUCUCUCAAAGUUUAGAGCACUAUCUUAAGAUGCUGCUUGUGCUCUUCUCGGCUCUUCGAGUUGAUCAAGAUGUCAUCAAUAAACACCACCACGAACUUGUCCAAAUAGGGCUUGAACACUUGGUUUAUCAAAUCCAUAAAGGCUGUAGGGGCAUUCGUAAGCCCAAAUGACAUCACCAAGAACUCAUAGUGCCCAUAUCUUGUUCGAAAUGCGGUCUUUGGUAUAUCUUCAUUCCGGAUCCUCAACUGAUGGUACCCAGAUUGUAGAUCUAUCUUAGAGAAACAUUGUGCUCCUUGUAGUUGAUCAAAUAAAUCAUCUAUUCUUGGAAGGGGGUACUUAUUCUUCACCGUUACCUUAUUAAGUUGUUGGUAGUCAAUGCACAAUCUAAACGACCCGUCUUUCUUCUUUAUAAAUAGCACUGGUGCUCUUUGUGGUGAGACGUUACGACGGAUGAAGCCUUUAUCCAACAAAUCUUCCAACUGAUCCUUAAGCUCUUUAAGCUCUGUAAGUGCCAUUCUAUAUGGGGGUAUGGAUAUAGGUUUAGUGUCGGGAAUCAAAUCUAUGCAAAAUUCAAACUCUCGCUCUAGAGGCAAACCUAGUAGUUCCUUGGGAAAUACAUCCAUGAACUCAUUCACUACCGACACUUGGCUUAUGUCUCCAACCUUCGCUUGGGUAUCCCUCACAACAGCCAAGUAGCCCUGACAAACUUGUCUUAAUAGCCUUCUAGUAGACAUAAUAGAUAUCAAAUCGGUUGGAGCAUUGUUCCUAUCCCCCUUAAUACUAAAGGAUGGUUCACUGGGAAAAUCAAAUCUAACCAAUUUAUGAUAACAGUCCACGCUAGCAUGGCAAGGCGAUAACCAAUCCAUUCCCAAGAUCACGUCAAAAUCUAAGGUGUCUAAUACAACUAGAUUUACCAAGGUUUCUUUAUCCUUGACCCAAACUACACAGGACUUAUAUUCCCAUUCUGCCACAAAUACCUCUUUUAAAGGGGUAGACACCACUAAUUGUUCUUCUUUUGUAACACGAUCUUUACCCAAACGAGAUGCAAAACAUGGAGAAAUAAAAGAGUGGGUAGCACCAAGAUCAAACAAUACCCGAGCAUUCAUAUUACAAACUGAGAGAAUACUUGAUACCACUGCGUUGGAUGUCUGGGCUUCUUGUAGUGUUAAAACAAAUACCCUGGCAUGACCCCUACCACCAGAACUUUAUCGUUCAGAGCCAGAUAGCCUGCCCUGAGAGGAAGUAAUGGCUCCUCUACCUCUCAAUCCGCUAGCCUCCUAAUUAGAUGAAAUGGCUACUGAAGGAGCAGAUGAAGCUGGCUGAGUGGAACCACGAGCAAAACCUUGCGAUUGAUGAGCUAUCAGGCAAUUCUUCCUAAUAUGUCUAGCUUGGUCACACAAGAAACAAACUCUUGUAGCAAGACAACAUCGUCCUUUAUGCCGUACUCGGCAAAAAUUGCAACGAUCUAUAGCUUGACUACCCUACCUUGAAUCUUGCUACCUUCCCUCACUAAAAGUUUUAGGCCAUGAUCCAACGUUGGCACUAGUCAAGUCACUCCCUUGUUUGGGUAAUUGUGAGUCCUUCUAUGGGCCUUGAUGACUAAAAGAUGAAACACCACUACUGAAGUCUCUGCGACCUUGAUAGCCCUCUGUCUUGGCGCUUUUUGCUCUAUCCCUUGCAGCCCUACUCUCAUUGGUCCUUAUCUCAAUCCGCUGAGCACAAUCCACUACUUCGGAGUAGGUAUUGAAAUCUCGAGAUGCCACGACCCUAAACAAUGGCUCCACUACCCCAUCCAUAAACCUCUGAAUCUUUAUUUCUUCAGUAGAAAUUAGAUAGGGCACAAAUCAAGCCAGCUGCAUGAAUUUGAUGUCGUAUUAUAACACCGUCAUACUUGAGGUCUGUACUAAUGCCUCAAACUCCCUAGCUCGUGCAUUACGUACACUAAGUGGUAAGAAUCGAUCUAAGAAGGCUAUACUAAACUCCUUCCAAGUCAAUGGCGUUGCAUUUGUGAGCCUACCUGUACGUAAGGAGCCAUACCACUCUUGCGCCACGUUCUCUAAUAGGAAGGCGGCUAGCUCGACUGAUCUAGUACUAAAGCAUCCCAAGGCCUCACAAAUUUUCUCCAUCUUAUUUAAGAAAAUCUGGGGCUUCUCUGAUGCAUCAGACCCUGAAAAUGAUGGAGGCUUAAGCUUCAGGAAAUCAAGAAGGGAAAUCUCUAAAUGACCCCUCUCAACCUCAAGAUGUUGGUGAUCGACCUGCUUUUGGGAACUAGGGGAUUCUUGUACUACAAUUCUCCCCUCCACUAUCCUCUGUAUAUCAUCCAUAUGGGUUGCCAUCAUCUCUACAAUCUGAUUAACUCCCUGUAGGCCUCCCACCAAAACCUCGAUGGCGAUGCCCCCAGUUGGUUGUCUACCUGCAUUGUCCGAAGACUGUCCCUCCUUUCAUCUACUCAUAGGCAUAUUUACCCUCACCGGCCUAUUAGCCUUGCCACUUCUACCUCGCCCCCUAAGGGUGGAUGCCCGUGGCCUAUCUGUCAUCUCAGUAAGAGCAUCUUGCUCCCUCAUCCGUCUUGAGGCGGCUCGUGUCUUAGGUGGCAUUCUUACCUAGACAAGAGCAAACACUUGUUAUUAAACACAUUUUGCAAUUAUAAUCGUAUCUAACGAAAAAGGUGCUUUCCAAGAUACGAAAUCUAUGCAGUCCCUUGGUUGUAAAAUGUGUCACGAUUCACACUUCACAACUGAAGUUUCCACAUAAAGACUCGACACUCCGCUGGACCAACAAAAAGAAGUCUUAAAACCUAAGCAAUCUAUGGCUCUAAUACUAAGUCUUUCACGACCCAAAUUUUGGGCCAUGACCCUUGCAUGGGCAUAGUGGACAUAGCCCACUAAGCCCAAGCAAGCCUCUUUACGUAAUCCCGUUAAUCAUCCCUUCCAUUUUUUCAUCAUCAUUACUAGACCAACAUUUGUAAUUUGCAACUAGACGUAUUUUCAUAAUACAACAUCGAUACCAAAAAUGUAUAUUUGUAUGAUCUCAAAAUAAGGUUAUUCAUAGCCAUCUCAUAAUGGCACCAUCAUUCCAAACUAUACAUGCAUCGUUGGCAAGUGAUUGCUAGCAAUUUACAUUUAACGUUCAUGUACUCAUAUAAAAGACUUCUGACAACCAACGAAGUGACUUUAGUGAAGGUACUGCUAUCGAAUGCCAUGAUACCUACCAAGAGUGAAUGCAAGUGGAUGCCUUAGUUUCAGUCCCAACUAUCUACAGAUCUGAAAACAUUCAAUUUAAAAGAGUGAGUAUAAACUCAGUGAGUGAACAUAAAAAGGGAACGAGCAACGAUAAGAAAUGUUUUAGAAAACAUGAUGCACUUACAAUAAAACCAUGCAAUUUAGUCAAAUUUUUGGUUAAAAGCCCUCAUUCCAAACUUUGAAUGUUUAAUCCCUUAAUGUUACAAGAUCCAUGAUAAACCAUGAAGUUGAAUAGAAUGAAAAUUUCAGCAAUGACCAAGCAAGACAAGCAAUAGAGGUUUUUCUCGCUGCAGCAAAGAGGUAGUCUUAGUUUGCAUAUACUUUGAUUUUUCAAGCAUAACUCCCACUACAGAAGUUCAAUUGAUACUAUUUUUUGGUCAUUAGAAAUCUAAGAGGCUGGGCUACAACUUUGAUGUUUACCACUGUGCCCAUUUCUGAUUGGAAGGUGGUUAAAAUCUUUGUCAAAGUGACAGCACUGCAACAGAAUCUUAGAACCACCAAAGAGUUUCUCGUUAUAGCGAGAACCAGGCCAUUGUAAUCCCCGCCAACCCGAGAGUUUCUCACUGUAGUGAAAAUGAAUCUCGCUACAGCGAGAAACAAAGGAAUUUAGUUAAAAGCCAUUUUCUUGUUGAAAUGAAAAGUAAUUUGAGAGCAAUUAACAAUGCUAAUAUACAACACAAUCAGAAUUAUUUUCAUAAACUUUCUAUAACAUAUAUGUAUAUUUGUAUAUACAUAUAUCUUCAUGCAUACCAUCCUGCCACACACAGCUCAUAUGCACUCCCUACACGCAUAAGGCAAUAUCAUCAUCAUGUGCACUCCCUACAUGCACAAGGCAAUAUCAUCAUCAUGUGCACUCCCUACUCGCACAAGGCAAUAUCAUUAUCAUGUGCACUUCCUACUUGCACAUUUCACUAUCAUCACAUGCACUCCUACCACAUCAUUACUGGCAUGUGCUCUCCCGCACCACAAACGCUUGGUCAUACUUAUUACACGAUAUUAUCUAUCAAGGCACAGCACAUAUGUAUGUAUACCAAUGAAAUAAAGGAGUACAUGGACUCAUCACAGUCACAUUUCAUAAUGCAAAACAUUUCAUUAAAAGCUUGUUCCCGUAUACAUUUUAAAGAAAAAGACAAUUAAAACCUUUCAAGUAAUUCACUCAAACAUUUACACCUUUACCCUAAAUCAUUUUAAUGCAAGUUUACUCAUUGGUAUUUGUUAAAUCUUUACCCAACUCCAACUUCCUCUAAUGGUCCAAACAGGACGGUGGGGCUUCGUUGGAACCUAUCAUCACAUUAGCAUCACAAUUAACUCAAUUCACAUAACCAUAAUUCUAAAAGCUAUCUCCUAAAUCAUGUUCUACUAGUUAUCCCUAAGUAGCUUCCAAUUGCCAUUAAGCGACUAUUUACUUUCACUAUUCUAAUCACACUAAAGAUGAAUAAAUAUCCUCAACUACAAAACAUUUACAAAUCUAUCCACUAGCCAUUUUCAACAACUUAAAAAAAUAAACUCUAAUUCACUACUCACCUUGGUUGCUUUGUAAUCGAAUUUCUUUCGAAAAAUUUUCAAGCUAUUAUAAAAGCUCCCUCUUUCUUUCUUUAAAAUACCUAGCUAGUGAGAGGAAGUAUGGAAGUAAGAAUUUUCAAAGGUUUUUAAGUGAGAGAGUGAAAGAGCACAAAAGGUUCUAUGAAAAGGUGUACAAAAGCAUGAAAAUUAGAGCUAACUUGAGAGAAGUUAUGGAGGUUUCAAAACAAGCUUUCGUGGAGGAUAAAAGAAGCGUGAGAUGGGAGGACGAAGAAGAAAAAGCUAUUGGAAAAAUGAGAAGAAGCUACUAGAAUAUGAUAUUUAUAGUUGAAGCUUAUGCAACUCCACUUAAAUUACGAAAAUGCCCUUAACAAGUUGGCUUUGUCUUCCUCCAAUCCUUUGUGCAAUCUUUUUACUGUUUUGACACUAAGACAAAGUCCAUAAUAGUCUAGAAAUACUUGAGUCCACAAAAACUUGAAAAUUUUGACCCGAAGUGAAAAAUGACCAUUUUGCCCCUACCUUAGAAAUCAUCAUUAUUUCUAUUUCCUUUGUCAUUUUAUCCUUAUUUUCAUCAUUCAUUUAUGCCUUAGGCCUACUUAGGACUUAAUAUUGUUUGAAAGCAUACUUCUAAAGGGUCACUAAGAAAUUGAUGAAAUUACCCCUAGUCCGUGAUAUCGCAUUUACUUCUAGCUACGAGUUUAUAAAGAUCAAGGUCUCACGGGUAAAACUAAUUUUCAUAGUCAAAAUAUGUAAUCUAUAUGCUCACUUAAGGAUUUCCUUAACUUAUCCUCUCACUCAAGGUGGGAUUUUACACUCUAAAUAACCUAAAUCCUGUCCAAAUUUUAUUUUUGAAAAAUUCUCUAGCCCCUCAGCCUUGGGUUCAUUGCCGUCACGGCACUGCCCCGUUUACUAUAGUGGCACUGCGACGCUUUAGCCUCGAAAUUUUUAUGAUGCCAUUCAUUCCACUAGUGUUGUGGCCUUGCUCUCCUCAGCGCUACAACCUUAGCUUCCUUGGCACUACAGCCUUGAACAACUCCAGGCCGCAACCUUCAGUCAACAUGUUGCUUUGUAUAGAACUAUAACAGUCUGGCAUCUUCCAACGCGAUUUUCACCUUGAUCUGAUCUGAACUAGGUAAAGUGGUAAACAUAAAAGAUGUAUCCCUAUCUCUUAUCUUUCCCAUGAGUUAAGAAUCGCAUCAAUUGGACUUCUGUACCUCAUGAUAUUCUAGAAAUAUUGCAUCAUGUAUGAUUGAAGCCAUAACCAUACUUGUGUAAAUUUUCAUCAAAUGAACCUUUUUCAUCAAAUAUCCUAUAGAAGAAAUAAGAGAAAUCAACAAUAACUAUUCUUAAAUUAAAUUAAAGCAAAAAUAAAGUAAAAUUAAACUAAAAUAAUUUUAUUUAACUACUCAACAUGUAAUCAAACUUAAACUAGACAAACACCUAAAAUACUAAGAUUCGAACCAAAAAUCUCAAAGACCUAGCUACUUAAGCACCAAAAUGUGACAAAAUAACUCUAUAUAAUAGAGUUAUUACAUCCCUAAACUUAAGAUUUUGCUAGUCCUCGAGCAAAACAUGAAAUAAAAUGCAAUAACUUAAACGAAGAAAACACUUAACUAGAAAUCAAUUGUACCAAUUCAAUAAUCUCCUUUAAUAUCUUCAAAGCUUAAUUCAAAUUCUCAACUCUAAACAACACACAAAUAUUAUUCAAGUUCAUGCUUCAAUUCAAAUGCAAGCUUAUGAUUUAGUGGAUUUUGGUGUGUGUGUGCAAUCUUUUCACCUUGAACAUUGUACAAUCCGGAUAAGUUUACAGUCAUGCAAAAUUCAAAUUAAUAAUAAAAUUCCAUAAGUUUGUUUUUCAUCUCUCUCUCCACUAAAUAGACUAAUGCGAAGUUAAAGAUCAAUAUGACUUUAAUUAGCUUGUAAUGUAUGGCUAGGGUCAAGGUAGGAUAUAGAAUAAUAUGUAGCUCAAAUCACCCUAAGUACAUAGUCAAUUUAAGUCCUAUUCAGAGCUGUAUUUUCUUUCACCUAGUAUACCCCUUUUUCAUCAAAAUUUUCUUUUGUUUAACAAUUCAUUCUUUUUCUUCUUUUUAUACCUCUUUUACUUCUUUUUCUCAAUACUACACUCCCAAACUUAUUUCUUUUAUUUGGUAGUGAGAUGAAUACAAUCAUAUUUUUGAAGUUUUCAUCACUUUUCAUCCUUAUUGCCUCUUUUAAUAUUUAGCUCAUAACACUUCCUAAAUUGACUUAUUCAUUUAGGAAUGACGGAUACAAAAGUUGGCAAUAUUAAUAUAAGGGUCUAGGCUAAAAAUUAACUAUUUAAACAAAAAAAAAGGUUAUAUUAAGCUCAAAAAGGGUAAACUAAGGAUAAAUUAUGUAAAUGAAGGCUAAAAAGGCUCAAUCACUACAAAGAUGGCUUGAAUCAUAAAGUAUAUCUUAGGAUUUCACCUUUAGAGAGAAUUAAACAAAUUCUAGAACUCAAUGCACAAUUCAAAAAUUCACAUUCACACAAACCUUAUCUAAGUACAUAUAAUGAAUGCAAGCAAAAGACAUAGUGCUCAAAAUGGAGAAAUCUCAUCCUAACAAUGAAGUUUAUCAUAAGAAUUUGCAUAACACUAAAAAAAUAUUCACAUUUGCAAACAAUUAAGAUAGAAUAUAACUAGGUUCUGAUCAUUAGAUAGGUAAAUUAAAAGAAAUUAACACAACAACUUCUAGCUCAAAAUCUUAAAAUAUGCAUAAAAUUAAAUAAAAUUUAACAAAAAUAUAACAAAAACUAAUAACAAUAAAACCUCCCCCAAAUUUAAAUUGCACAUUGUCCUCAAUUUGAAAAGCUAGAAAGAAUAAGGAAAAUAAACUUCAUUAUCAUGGUGACAUGCAUUGACAUCUAUAAUUUUCUUUCUCUUCAUCUUCAUGCUUUCCAAACCUGCACUCUCAAAAACAAGCUAGGGAGAGGUUAAAACCACUUAUUUAAAUAGAAAAACAAAAAUUAACUAAAAUAAUAACUAAAUCUAAAAGGAUAUGACUUGGGUUGCCUCCCAAACAACACUUUUUUAUAGUUACUAGCUUGACUAUGAUACCUUUUUUUCACUUCUUCAUCAUCGCACUAAAUCUUGCGGCCUUGUUUCAUUACCUUGAAUGCUCCGGUAUGUGUACCAAAAUCUUAAUAUAGCCAUAAGACAGAACUUUUACCACUUUAAAGGUUCUCCGCAAAUAUGGUUGAAGUUACUAUGGUAAAAUAUGGAUGCGUGAACUAGAGAGUACUACUUGCUGUCCAACCUUAAAAUCAAGGUCACUAAAAAGUGGUGGGUUAUGCUCAUCAUAACACCACUUAGAUUUGAGAUGUGGUGGUGAUGGCUCUUAGUCAAAACUUGAUGCUUUCUUACUUGUAGGUGGUGGAGUAGGAUUACCUUUACCUUCAUCAACUGAGUCUAGUUUGUAGCAAUAAUCUGUGGUUGAAGGAUAUUUAGGUGCAUUGAAAAUAGUAAAUUCAACUACUUCUUCUCCAACUCUAAAAAUUAUUCUACCUUUUUUUACAUUGAUGAGUAUGCCUAUAGUGGCCAAGAAUGGACGUCCUAAUAUGAUUGAAAUCUUUUGAUCCUCCUUCAUCCCAAGUACAAGGGAGUCCAUUGGAAUGUACAAUUUCUCUACUCUAAGCAAGGCAUCCUCUAUAAUCCAAAAGGGUUACAUUAUUCUCCUGUCUGCUAGCUGUAAUUUGACUGUAGUAGGUUAAAUCUCUUUUAGUCUAAGUCUCUUAGAAAUAGAUAAAGGAAUAAUUAAGACAUUAUCACCCAAAUUACACAAAGCUUUCAAAAAAUUAAUAUUACCAAUUGAGUAAAGGGUUAGAAAACUCUCUAGGUCAUUAAGCUUUAAGGGAAGCUUGUUUUGGAUUAUUACGUUGCACUCUUUAAUGAGUGCAACUGUCUCGAAAUCCUCUAAUUUCCUCUUUUUCAUUAAGAUGUCAUUUAGAAACUUUGUAUAUAAUAGCAUUUGCUCUAAAGCUUUUGUGAAAAGGAUGUUGAUGUAAAGCUUUUCAAAUACGUCAAAAAACUUUUUGAAGUACCUAUCAAGCUUUUGUUUAUGAAGGCACUAAAAGAAAGGUGGUGGUGGUAGCUUUGCCUUUUCUCUUUUCUCUUGAAUUUGCUUGUCAGCUAUCUAAAUCACUAUUUCAUUCUCAAUAGGCUUACUUGAAGUCUAUCACACUUAACAUGACUUUCAACCUCUUUUCCACUCCUCAAGGUGAUUCCCAUAACUUGUUCCUUACCUUCUUUCUUAGGAUUCACGUUUGUAUCACUAGGUAGUGUUCCUUGAGCUCUGUUGUUGAAUAAAUUGGCAACUUGACCAACCUAAGUCUUAAGGUUUCGAAGUGAUGCUGCUUGACUCUGAAUGACAGUCGCUUAACUUUGGAUGAUGUUAUCAUUUUGUGUCAUGUACUACCUCAGCAAAACCUCCACAACUGGCUUCUUAUCUAGGAUAGGCAUUGUUGAUUACUGUUGGAAUCUUGAAGGUGUAUUCGGCCUUGAAGAUAAAGAUGAUCCUUGAUUAUUGGUCCAAGAUAAGUUUGGAUAGUUCCUCUACCUUAGGUUGUAAGUGUUGGAGCAAAGGUUAUUUUGUUGUCUAUUUCUCACAAAUUGCACUGUUUCUAUCAUACUUGGACAUUGAUGGCUUGCAUGAUAAUCUUCACAACACGCACAAGCUACAAAAGGACUUUGAAUAGAGUUAGUACUAAAAGAUUCAAGUGUCUUAGUUAGAAUUGCUACAUGUGCAAAUAGUGUCGAAAUCGCAUCUACAUCAUGAACUAUAGCUACUCUCCUAUGUAUUGAUCAUUCUGUUGGCCACUAGUUGUUGUUUAUAGCCAUCUCUUGCAACAAAUCGUAUGCCUCAUCAAUUGAAUUAGCCAUUAAAACUCCUCUAGUAGCGGCAUCAAUGGUAGUUCGAAUAUGACCACUCAAACCAUUAUAGAAUGUCUACUCCUAAAGCUAUUUUGGAAGAUUGUGAUAAGGACAACAACGAAAUAAUUCUUUGUAUUUUUCCCAAGCCUCAUACAACAAUUCAAAAUCUUGCAGCAUGAAUAAUGUGAUAUCAUUCCUCAUUUUCGCUAUCUUGGCCAGAGGAAUGAACUUAGCAUGGAACUUUUGAGAAAUAUCAUCCUAUGCUGCUAUUGAUCCAGUAAGGAGUGCAUUCAACCAUGCUUUAGCUUUAUCCUUUAAUGAAAAAAGGAAAAGCCUCAAACGAAUUGCAUCUUGUGUGGCAUCAUUGUGUUUAAAAGUAUCACAUAUCUCUAAAAAGUUUGAAAUAUGGCCAUUUUGAUCAUCAUUUGGAAGGCUUCCAAAUUGGAAUAAGGUUUGAAUCAUGGUGAUAAUAUCUAGCUUGAUCUCGAAAUUGUUUACUUGAAUAGCCGAUCUUCGAAUGCUCGAUGGAAUUCCUUAUAUCAAAGGAACAACAUAAUCCCUUAAGCAACGAUUAGAGUAAAACCUUAUUGAUUUUCUUGUCAAAGUUUUCAGAAUGUUCUCUUAAUUUCUAGAUCACACGAUAUAAUCUUUAAGCUUUUUGCUCUUCUUAUACUAUGACACAACAAACCUGAAAAACAAAGGAGAAAAACUUAAAUUAAGACUAACUUGUUGAAUUUUAAAAUUGGCAAAUAAAUAGUAAAACAGAUCCCUGAUAAUGGUGCCAAAAACUUGUUGAGUUUUCAUCCAAGUGCACACCAUCACAAACAAGUAAUAUAGUGGUGAAGUAGAGUAUCAUUCUCACAAAGAUUUGUUCCUAAAUCUUUACUAAGUACUAAAAUUUAUGACAAAUCAAUCUUAUUUAAGUAACUAAAAUUUUCAAAAAAUUAAUUAAAACAAAAUCAAAACAAGCACUAAAUUAACUAACAUAAAUUAAAAUUACUUGGAAAAGGCAAUAGACUAAAACUUAGGACUAUGGGUUCAUUUAACACUUCAUUUAAUACUAUCUUCUCCUAUUAUUUAUAUUCUUGGGAGGUUUUACUAACCUAGAAUCCAAAAUUACAUACAAGUCUCCAUCGAGAUGCUUGAAUAAAUACUUAACUUAAUUUAGUCAUUAUAUGUUUAUAGGAAUCAAUUAAAUAAGGUUCAUUAAGCUAGCAUUCUAAUUUGGCUAUGUAUGGCAAUUGGCGUAUGUCUACCCGAAUUGCGAAUCAUAUCACCUAAGUGAUGUGAACAUAUACUAUUCAAACCUUAGUCCAAUCUAGAAUCUCUUUGUUGAGUCUUAAUUAGAUUCACAAAUCAGUCAACUGCUGGUCAGACAAUCAAAGGCAUUAAUAACAUAUUUGAAUAAGUAAAACUAUACCCAUUCAUAGUAAAUAAAGGAGAAACAAAUAUUCAGAUUACAUGUUGAAAUCCAUCACAAUCCUAGAUAAGCAAAUUAGUUCAUAAUAUUUAAAUAAAACAUCAUCCGAAAAAUAUUAGCCAUUAAUCCAAGUCAAAGAAAAUAAGAGAAACACAAAAAUAGAGAAAGAAACUAAUGAUUAAAGCUUUUGAACUUGAAUCUUUCUCAAAUUCUCCUAUUUUCUUGUUAUGUUCUUGGCUCUUUUUCUCCAGAACAGUUGCUUGCCUCCCUACUUUCCAGACCUCUAAAAGUAUUCCCUUAAAUAGGCUCAAAAUAACCUAAUAUCUCAAAUCCCAUCAAAUUUUUAUUUUUGAAAAAUUUUCUAGCGCUGUGGCCUUGGGCUCCUUUGAGUCCCGGCUUUGCCUCGUUUGCUAUAGUGGCACCACGAUGCUCUAGCCUCAGGAAUUUGUAUGAUGCCAUUCAUUCCAUCAACAUUACAGCCUUGCUCUCCUUAGUGCUAUAGGUUUGACUUCCUCGGCGUUGUAGCCUUAAGCAACUUAAGGCUGUGGCCUUUACUCAACAUGCUACCUUGUGCAGAACUACAGUAGUCUAGCAUUUUCCAAUGCAUUUUUCACCUCGAUCUAAUCUGAACUAGGAGAAGUGGUAAACAUAAAUGAUGUAUCCCUAUCUCUUAUCUUUCCAAUGGAUUAAGAAUCGCAUCAAUUAGACUUUUGUAGCUCAAGUUAUUUUGGAUAUACUGCAGCAUGUAUAAUUGAAGCCAUAACCACACUUGUGCGAUUUUUCAUCAAAUGAACCUUUUUUAGCAAUUAUCCGACAAAAAAUUGUUGAGAGAGUGUUGAGAGAGCUUGUGUCACAACCCAAUUUUUCGGGCCAUGACCAGCGCAUGAGCUCAAUGAGCAUAGCUCACUAAGCCCAAGCAAGCCUAGCCAUUUACCUUUGCUUAACAAAUUUAUCAUAUCAUGCAUACACACACACACCUUUUCUCGGGUGUGAACAUAGCCAAAACACAAUGGCAUUAUCGAUAAUAAUAUACAUGUACUAUACCAGUCAUGUAUUUAGCAAUUUACAUUGCAUACACAUAUUCACAUUGUUAGAUUGUAUUCACAAUACAAAAGGACCCAUGACUUCUAGCGGAGACAUUUACAAUAAAAGGGAUUACUAUCGAAUGCCAGACACAUACCCAGGAGAUGCACUACGGGGACUCCUCAAUCUAGGGUCCAACAGUCACCUGAUCUAAAAACAUGAAUUUUUAUAACACGUGAGUACAAUACUCAGUGAGUGAACAAGAAAGGAACAAGCAUACCAUAAGGAAUGUUUAUCGAAAUCAUGAUGCAUUCAUUUUCUCAAAACCAUGCAAUUGUUUUAGCUCCUUUAAACCCCUCAUGUAAACCCCCAAUAAGUAAAUCACUUUACAAAAAUCCAUGCUCAACUAUGGUACCAAAGAAAUGGGAAAUAUGGCAAAAACCCACAAGUUAGCAAAAUGGACAGAAAGUUUCUCUCUGUAGCGAAACAGAGCAACAAGACAAAAGUUUCCCUUCACUCAACAAAAAGGCCAACCUACUAAACCAACAAAAUCAAUAUAAAACUCAUGAAAAUUCCCAAAGUGCAAAGUAUCAAAUUUCACAUAUAUGUCAACCAUAUAUCACAUUCAUGAGCUUUCAUUUCAUAAGUCUAUAUAUGCAUAAUUAGAUAGACAAACAUCAAUAUCAUCAUAAUCACACCCGGCUCAUAUACAUCCCCCCACAUCGUGCACAUAGUCGGCACCAUCGUGUGCAUCCCCCCACAUUGUGCACAAUUAGUGCCAUCGUGUACAUCCCCCCGCAUCUUGCACUGAGCACUAUCAUCAUCCACCUCUCACGCCACCAUAAAAUGGGGCUCUGAUACCAAGUGUGUCGUUAGGGAGGGACAUACCACUCAACCCCUUCACUACAGAGGUGACAGACGGUACCUAUCAGAGCACUCAUACGGCGACUCCACCUCUUUAGGUAGCCCUUUCCUCUAUAAGCCCCUGGGCGGAAAGCCACGCUUCACCCCUGUUCAUGCGUUAGAGUUCCCAGGGAUCAGGUAAAACCCUUUGCUCUUAUACCAACUUAAUUCUUCCCACAUCGUGCACACACACGGUUACAGUCAUUAUACACAAUAUCAUUCAUCCUGCACAACACACAUAUAUAUAUAUCAUCAUAUUACAAUAAUGCAUGAAUCCAUAGCAAUCACAUAUCAUAACAUCAAACCAUUUAACAAAAGCUUGUUCCCAAGAUACAUUUUCUAAGACAAGUUGGAUAGAAUCUUUCAUAUUCCCCAAAACAAGUUUGAAAUGCAAGUCCACUCACCGAUAUCGAAAAUCCGAAUUUCGGGUGCACUCGGACUAAUAGUCCUCAAGCGCAAUUCCUUUACCUUUUUCGGACGUCUCACUACCUUGACAAAUAACAAAGUCAAAGAAUUUACUAUAUUGUCCCUAAAUUGAUAUAAACUAAUUUAAAUUACUAAUGCUUGAUAUGUAAAUGCAAAAAUACGUCCGAUUAUCGCUUAAUCGCGGUAUCGAUUAAAUUCGAUCGAUCACCGAUUAAUUAGUGAUUGUGUCCAAAUCACCCCCAAAUUAAUCCAUUUCUCCUCUAAUACCUUAAUUUACCACAUACCAUUUAAAUAAAGCCAAAUUCAACAUUAGAACCCUCACAGUUCCUUAUAAAAAAAUUCAGUCAUUUGGUGCACUAGCACCGAAAUUUUUUCUACAUAACCAUUUCACCUUAAUUCAUCAUUUUCCAAGCCAUUUUCCUUGAAAUAAAAACAAUCCCCCAUUGAUAUUCAGCCCUCAUGGUUCAACCAACAAGGAACCCUAGAGAAAUUGAAUAUUUCUUUUGUGUUUUUGUUCAUAACCAUGCUUAACUAUCCCUAAACACUAACAUAGUCUAAAAUCAAAUUAUUUCAACAACAAUUCCUCUUCCAUACCCAUUUUUAAGAAUUGAAUUCAUCAUGAUAACUCAAUAUUCAACCAUGGAAAUCAAGAACAAAAGCAUGGGUAAGCUAGGUAUCAAGGAGAAUUAAAAAAAUUCUAACUUACCUACCUUGUUUCCUUGAUUUCUUCACUUUUUCUUUGAAUUUCCACCUAGAUUUUCUGGUUUUUCCCUUUGUUCUUCCUUUGUUCUUGUUGCUGGUUGCCUAGGCUGAAUAUGAUGAGAGAAUUGGGGAUUUAAUGGGCUGAUUUCUAUAGAAAAUAAUAAAAGAAUCAAGCAUGCCAUGUGUCGCAUGCUUAUUAGCCCAAUUUUUUUAACUUUUUGACUUUUUCUUCUUAAUUUUCUACCACAAAUAUUUUGAUAUUUAUCCAAUCCUACCACAAUUAAAAUCCCUUGGUCUUGACAAGUGUUGGGACGAAAAAUUUUAUCGAUUUACCCCCGGGGCAAAAAAAUUACGAUUUUGCCCUCCGAAAUGUACCGGAAUCACAUUAUUUCUAUUUUUCAAACUCAAAUAACACUAAUAUUGAUCAAUAUUAACCAAAUGGGGCAAAAAUUAUUUUAUAAAAAUUUUCGUUUAGUCCUCUAGUGGCAAAAUUACCAUUUUGCCCUUGUGCUCUAAAAAUAUUGGGAAUCACAAUUUUUCACUACUAAACAUCAUUUUAUACUCCAAUAAUCAUAAUUAUAUUUCAUAUAAUUAUUCUUGGUCAAAUGUGAUCAAAUCUUGGCUAAAAAUCUCCAUUUUAUCAUCAAAUGGUAAAAUGAUCGUUUUGUCCCUAAUCGGUCAAUUUUCCUAGUGGACUCCAAACUAAACCUUGAACUCCGAAUCACUAUUCCAAGCCAUUUUGUGGGUUUCAAAAUUUUGAAAUUCCUCUUAGAAUUUCUAUUUGAACUAGUUCAAGGCUCGAUUUAACUUAGUUGUACCACUCGGUACAAUACCGUCUUUUAAUCGAGCUUGAUAGGGUUUUACAGCUUAGCUUUUCCUUUUUUCCUCAAAUGGGUGGACAGCUUGAGGCUUUAUAUUUUUUUGCAAAUCUGCAUGCAUGUAUCGAUACAUUUGGAAAUGUAUGGAUACAUUUCUAUGGGUUAACUUUAAAUCUAUCGAUACAUGAGGCAAUAUAUCGAUACUCUUUCCAUGGGUUGCUCUCGAUUUCAAAUCUAUUGAUACAUUUGGACAAUGUAUCGAUACAUUUCCCUUGGAUUGCUUUCUGCUUCAAAUCUAUCGAUACAUUAUGAGAAUGUAUCGAUACUUUUUCAUAAUACCCCUCUCAUGUGCUUACUGUUUUGAAUGUAUCGAUGCAUGGUGCCCAUGUAUUGAUACUUUUCAUCUAGAUUGCAUUUUCUUCAACACUUAGAGCUUUUAGCUCCAUUUUCUAACUUACAUUCUCAUCCCAUUUCCUCAUAAUCUCUUAACAUCAAUCACAUAAACUCAUCAUAUGCUUCAAUUAUUCAUCCAUGCUCUAUGUCACAUAGCAUAUAAAUCAAACAUAACAUAUUUGGUUUUCAUAGCAUACUCAUUUAAGUGCCAACAUGUGCACUAUUUCAUUUAGGUGCCUAACAUAUGCACAACAUCAUUUAAGUCUUUAAAUACUCAUACAUUCUCAUAAUCCUCACUUUAUGGACAUAGGCAUUCCUUACAUCCAUAAACAUAAACAUCAAAAUAUCAUUAGCUCAUUCCAACAGCUUAACAUACACUAGACACCAUUACCAUAAGGUCAGGAGUGUUACAUCCUCCCUUCCUUAUAAAAAUUCAUCCUUGAAUUUUUAGCUAAUCAUUGUUACAUCAUUUUCCAUGCCUUAAUUCUCAAAGAGGUAGGGAUACUUGGCUUUCAUCUCACCUUCAAGCUCCCAUGUCUCAUUUUCCAUCAUAUGACUUUGCCACAAUGCUUUCAUUAAGGCAACAUCUUUGGAGCGAAGCUAUUUCACUUGUUGAUCUAAUAUGGCUACUGGUUUCUCCUCGUAAAUUAGUCCAUCUUGCAAUUGGACUUCGUCGUAAUGAAUCACAUGCGAAGGAUCAAGGACAUAUUUCCUAAGAAUGGACACGUGAAAUAUUGGGUGUACAUCGAACAUACUCAGUAGUAAUACCAAUUGGUAGGCCACUGUGCUUACGUGUUCUAAAAUCUCAAAAGCCUCGAUGUAUCUAGGGCUUAAUUUUCUUUUCUUGCCAAAUCUUUUAAGUCCUUUGGUUGGUGAAAUCUUUAAAAACACAUGGUCUUCUACUUCAAAUUUCGGGGGCUUCUUUCUAUUAUCAGUGUAUGAUUUCUAUCUACUUUAAGCUGUUUGCAUCCUCUCUUUUAUUAUAUAGAUACCUCGCUUUGCUUAUUGGACCAUCUCUGGCCCCAGAAGUUUUCUUUCCCCAAUUUCAAGCCAUCCAAUAGGCGAUUUGCAUCUUUGCCUAUACAAUGGCUCAAAUGGUGCCAUUCUGAUAAUGGCUUGAUAGCUAUUAUUGUAAGCAAAUUCAACCAAAGGCAAAUAGAGAUUCCAUGCAUCCCCAAAAUCUAGCACAAUGGCUUUCAACAUGUCUUGGAGCAUUUGUAUCAUUUGCUCAAAUUGACUAUCAAUCUACGAAUGGUAUGCUUUGCUAAAAUCAAGCCUAGUGCCCAAGGUACUUUGUAAUUUCUUCCAAAACUAGUUGGCAAAUCGUGGUCAUCUGUCAGACAUUAUAGUCACUAGCACACCAUGUAAUCUAAUAAUUUUAUCAACGUAAAUACGGGCAUACCUUGCUACUCUGUAUGUAGUCUUAACAGGGCAAAAAAUGGCCUACCUUCGUUAAUCAAUUGAAUAUUACCAAUAUAGCAUCAUAGCCUCAUCUAGCUCGAGGCAAACUCGUCACAAUAUCCAUCAUUACAUGUUCCCACUUCCAAUCAAGAAUCGGUAAUAGUAGUAACAAUCAAAAAGGCUUUUAAUGUUCAGCCUUUAGUUGCUGACAUGUUAAACAUUUGGAGACAUAUUCUGCUAUGUCUCUUUUCAUUCCUGGCCACCAAUAAGUAGACUUUACAUCAUGGUACAUUUUCGUGGCUCUAGGAUUAACAACAUAAGCCGCAACAUGUGCCUCUUUCAAUAUCUCAUUUCUUAAACCAUUAACAUUUAGCACAUAAACUCGUGAUCGAUACCUCAUUAAGCCAUCUAUGCUAUAAAAGAAAUCUUGAGCUCUAUCUUCAGUAAUGUCUCCAAAGAUCUUCAUCAUAAAUUCAUCCCAAUCUUGGGCAUCUUUAAUUCGACUUAAAAUCAUCAGUUGAACCUUGAAAUGUCAUACCAAGGGGUCCAAACCAUUAUCCUCAAAUUGAACUCCCCUGUUGCCUAGAUCAUAAAGACUUUGUACAAUUUAUCGUAUCUUCGUAAUCACAUGCACCAAACUCCCCAUCGACUUAUCGCUUAGGGCAUCUACCAUAGCAUUUACCUUGCCUGGAUGGCAGAGGAUGGUACAAUCAUAGUCUUUUAACAAUUCCAGCCACCUACACUACCUCAAAUUUAACUUUGCCAAAAUAUAUACUUCAAACUUUUGUGGUCAGUACAUAUUUCACAAGUUUCUCUAGAGAGAUAGUGUCAUCAUAUUUUUGGGGCGAAAACAAUUGCAGUCAUCUCUAGGUCAUGCAUAGGGUAGCUCUGUUCAUACUUCUUUAGCUGAAGGGAUGCAUAUGCUAUGACUUUCCUAUUUUGCAUUAAUACACAGCCCAAACCAAUCUUUGACAGAUCGCAAUAUACUGUAUAACCUUCAGUUCCACAUGGUAGGCUCAACAUGGCCACUAAAGGGAGACAAGCCUUAAGCCUUUGAAAACUUGUCUCACAGGUAUCUGACCAUUCAAAUUUAACUCAAUUCUGAGUUAAUUUUGUUAGGGGAAAUGCUAUCUUUGAGAAAUCUUACACAAAGCAUCUGUAAUAAUCGGCCAUGCCCAGAAAACUUCAUACUUAUAUAACAUUCAUGGGCCUUGGCCAUUUCUCAAUUGCCUCAAUUUUACGAGGAUCUACUUACACUCCUGGUUCAGAUACGACAUUCCCUAAAAAGCUAACUUCAUUUUGCCAAAAUUCAUAUUUCUCAAGCUUUGCAUAUAUCUGAUGCUCUCUAAGGGUUUACAGCAUAUUUCUCAAGUGUUGUACAUGUUCUUCCGGACUCUUAGAGUACACCAAUAUGUCAUCGAUAAACACCACCACAAAUCUAUUCAAAUAGGCCCAAAAUACUUUAUUCAUCAAAUCCAUGAAAGUUGUAGGGGCAUUAGUGAGUUUAAAUGACAUCAUUAAAAACUCGUAAUGUCCAUAAUGUGUGCGAAAGGUGGUCUUGGGUAUGUCACUUUCUCUUAUUCUCAACUGGUAAUACCUAGAGGGUAAAUCAAUCUUUGAAAAGCACACUGCCCUUUACAAUUGAUCAAACAAAUCAUCUAUUCUCGGAAGUAGGUACUUAUUCUUUAUUGUAACUUAAUUAAGGUCUCGAUAGUCUAUGCAUAAUCUUAAGCUCACAUCUUUCUUUUUCACAAAUAACACCAAAGCUCCCCAAGGUGAUCCACUCAAGUGAAUAAAGCCCUUAUUUAGUAAACCAUUCAAUUGCUCCUAGAGUUCCCUCAGCUCAACCAAUGCCAUGCGAUACAGACUUAUCGAAAUAGGUCUCAUAUCUGGAGCUAAAUGAAUAUAGAAUUCAAUCUCCCUCGUAAGUGGUAGUCCAAGUAACUCACCUGAAGAUACAUCAGCAUACUCACCGACUAUCAAUGUAGAUUCCAUAGUCCCUACAUUCACCUAUAUGUCUUCCAUCAUUGUUUAGUACUCUUGGAAAUCUUGCCCUGAUGCUCAUUUUACGGUUAGAGUUGCCAUAAAUUCAUUUGGUACUAAGCCAUUAUGCUCGUCGAUUACAAAUGACAAUUCCCUUGGAAACUUGAAUUUUACUAACUUACGAUAGCAAUCUACAUUAGCAAAGCAGGAUGUUAACCAAACCAUCCCCAAUAUCACAUCAAAAUCUGAUGUCAUUAGUAGCACCAAGAUGGCCAAAGUUUCCUUGUCCUUGAUACUAACUGCAUAGGACUUAUACAUAUAUUCUGCCAUGAACACUUCCUCUGAGGGGGUGGUCACAAUUAAAGGUUCUUCCAUUUCAUAACAACAUUGAUUAAAUCUGAACACAAACUAAGGUGAUACAAAUGAAUGUGUUGAUCUGAGGUUAAACAAUACUAGAGCUUCAGUACCACAAACAUAACGUACUUGCGAUCACUUUAUUAAAGGCUUGAGCAUCAUGCGUUGUCAAAGUAAAUACUCUUACCGAACCACUUCCUACGCUACCUUGUUGCUCUGUUCUGCCUUGAGAUGACAUGGUUAUCCCUUGCCCUUAUCUUUCUUGGCAUAUCUUGUAGAAGGAACCGCCUUAGGCAGUGUAGUUUCCAUCGAUUGCAUAUAACCACGGUUAUCUUCCAUGAGCUGUCUGGGCCUUGGAUAAUUUUUUAUCAUAUGUCCUGACUGCCCACAUUUGAAACAUAACCCUAUUGAUCUAAGACACGGUCUACCAUGUGCCUUGCCACAAUUAUUACAUAGGACACCUCUUUGUCUAGGGCCCAAAUUCGAUGCUCCACUAAAUAGCUCUCGCCUUCUAAAAGGGCUAAAAGAAUCACUAUUUUAGGGUGGCCUAUGUGUAGGAGUAGUUCCCUCUCGACCCCGACAGCCCAUAAUAAUUGGAAUCCAUGUUUAACUAGAAUCCUUCUAGCCUCGUUAACUUUCCAUUCUAACUUUUUAACCCUUAUUUCUUUCUGUCAAAGUCCCCAUUCUACGGCUCCCAAUCAAUCUGACCACAUCUACCACUAUAGAGUAAGUGACAAACCUCUAGGUGGCAAUAUCUCAAAAUAAUAACUCUAUCAAGCCUCUAACAAACCUCUUCAUCCUUUUUUCUUCAAUCAGGACUAAGUUAGGAGCAUAAUGAGACAAUUGAGUGAACUAGAUAUCAUAUUCUGUCACCGACAUAUCUAGGGUUUGCAUUAAGAUCUCAAAUCCCUGUGCCUCAGUGUCACUCACGUUGUUAAGCAAAAAUCGAUGCAGAAAUACUUGGACAAAUUCUUCUUAUGUAAGUGGAGCCGAUCUUCCUUUCUUGAGGGUCAUAAACCAACAUUGAGCUACAUCUUUCAACCUGAAUCCUACUAAUUCAACUGAUCGUUGACUGGAACAUCCCAGUGUCGAGCAUAUACAUUCCAUAUCCUCUAGGAAUCUCUGCCAAUCUUCUUCAGCAUCUGAGCUGGUAAACAAAAGGGGCUUAAGUUUCAUGAAAUCUAUUAGUGUCACCAUAAUUGCCCUACAACUAGAUUCUGCUACUAGCAUAUAAUCCGAGUCCUCAAAAUUGGAAUCUAUCCAUUCCUUUAGCUGUACCUUAGCCCUGCUAUGUAACUCAACAAACUCAUGUUUCAAACUCUGCAACCCUAUUGCUAUAUCCUCUAGAGUGACACCUCCUCUCGUCGGGUGAUCAUCUCUAGCUUCCUCAUACUCAUCACUAGUAUGUACAUCACUAGGGUCUACAUGUUGAGCACGUUUCACAACUCUAACUCUUCCAUGACUCUUUGAUGAGGAAGUUUGUGGUUUAACCAUAGCUUCAUUAGGGGUGUCAUGUCCUGCCGUAGCUUUUAAGGCAACUCUCGUCUUAGGUGGCAUCUUUACCUAGACAAAUCAAAGCCAUGUUCAAAUCCGUAUUUCAAAAUCAUAGGUGGCAUAUUACAUAACUUAGGGGUUUGUGUAGCUUCCCGCUCAUGAAUUGUGUUGCAGCAACAAAGCAUGAAUAAGACUCUACACUAUACCCUACUUACUCUGCGGAUGACAUAAACUGACCUAGGACUUUCUAGAAGCUAGGUGCUCUGAUACCAAGUCUAUCACGACCCAAACCCGGGGUUCCAUGAUUGGCACACACGAGCCUGUCAGGCAAGCUUGCGAGAGUUGAGGAAGUCUUCAUAAUUAAGUCUUGUCCAACAUAUCUCAUUUAUCAUAAGGUCUCAUGGCCAACAUCAUUUCAUUCAGACUUAAAAUAUUAAUAUUUAACAUUAGCCCCUCGACUCAUAAUAACAUCCAAGACUUACGGAUAACAUACACGUAGCCAUACAUUGGCUAAUUCAUCAAGUUAUUAUAUAUCUCAUUUACAUAUCACAAACCACUCUGUGCCAACAUAUUUUUCAUUAUGAUAUACUUUAACAACAUUCUGCGGAAGCGUAAAAACUCAUCAGCAUGUUCGUCUAAGAGACAAUGCUUGCCACCAAUCUAAGAGUCUAUUUAUUUGCACAAUACAAUUGAAAUGGGUGAGUCACACUAGUACUCAGUGAGUGGAAAGAUAAAACAAUUGUAAAUGCGCAGCAAUAGUCGCUACACGUAUCCUCUAAUCAUACAUGCAUAUCAUACAUCCCAACCAUGUGCAUAAUAGGAUAGGACAAUCGCCACCUGCCAAACAUAGUUUGUCAUAAUCAUGGUAGUCAUGCUACGUUGUGUACUUUCAUCUAAUAACAUGUUAAGGUGGCGUAAUCAUCAUCACCUUAUUCAUUUACUAACAUCAUCAACAUAACCGUCUAUUAAUUCAAUCCACCAUAUGAAUUGGCCCACCUUAUGGCCAUUUACAUACGUAACUUAUCAUACGUACCUUAUAACACUUGCCUCAAUGCUAGGUUAUAGGUUCCUUAAGCUUUCAGCAUAUUGAUUUACAUAUAACAUUUCCGUAUGGCUCUUACCUUAAGCUUUUACAUUAAUCAUAAAGUCAUAACAUAGCAUAUUAUGGUGCUCAACACAUAUACAUCCUACGACAUGCCUUUACAUAUUAAUAACAUCAGAGCACAUCGUGGAAUGGUCUUCCCUAGACGUUUUCAUAGUCACGUAUGAUAACCUAUAAACGGACAACAUAUAGCAUCAUAUUACGCCCCAUUGCCAUAACAAACAAUGGAGUCAUGUCACAUCACAUUGCUAAAAUAAACGACAGAGUCAAUAAUUAUCAUACGAUACCAUGUUUGGCCCCAUUGCCAUGACAAACGACGGAGUCUAGUCACGCUCUAUGGUCGAGCAAACAACAGAGUUUGUGGUCAUCAUCCGGAUUAACCUUAACGGAUGGCAUCAUAUCGCUACAAAUGGGAAUCACAGGUGGGACAAAACCACCAUCCCUGUAGGCAUCAUACAUCAUCGUAGAAAAACUAAAGACACUUAAUCCUCAAAGUAUACAUUGUUUAGAAAUCCUCCACAGACGUAACAUGCUUAUUCUACAACAAACAUUAUUUGAAAAUCCUCCAUGAACAGUUCACAUUCAUCAUUCUCAUAUUAUCUCAUCAUCACAUUGAUCUAGGUACUAUCCUUCUAGGCAUUUCAUAUAGUUCUCAUGAUCAUAUCAACAUUAUCAUACUUAACCUAAAUAUAAUCCAUCUAAGCAACUCACAUCAUUCAUAACAUUACUAGUCUGGGUGUGUCACCUCUAGACGUACUUAUAAGGCAUACAUCACAUAUAUCAUGCAUAUUUAUUCUACAAACAUACAUGCACCUUACUCAUUAUGCUCUUUUGUAUAAAAUUUCCCACUCACCAUGACACUUCAGUGUCUCUUUGCUAGCACUUGUUUAGCUUGGCUUAUCACUCUUAGCCUCAAUUCACAUAACUCAAUAUUCGGGUAGCAUUCAUUCUCCCAUUGUACAUCUAGCAAUCAACAGUGGAUAAACAUUAACAUUUACAUCAUAAUUCUCAAUUUCAUAGCCAAAUCUUGGCUUUUAGAUCAUUUUUAGCAUUUCAAUAUAACAUAUUCUAUAACCAAUUUAUCAUACAAGCUCAACUUCCUCAUAUUCAUCAUCAAUGUAUGAAAUCCCUUACCUUAAACAUGACUUGGCUCACUUAAACUUCAAAUCUCCAACCACAUUCAAAUCCAAUAGCCACCAAAAUUGAAACAUCACAUUUCUACAUUAUUAAGAUUUUGCUUGUCCUUGAGCAAAAGAAAAAUUAACAUAAAAAUCCUCGAACAAGAGACAGAAGUACCAAACAAUGAUUUCCCAAUUUUUCCUCAAAAAUUAACUCAAAUUCCAACUUAAGGUCACAUACAGUUAAUCCUUAAAUUAAUGCAUCAAUUCAAGUGAAAACUUACUUUUCGAAUGGACUUCUUGUGUGUGUGUGAAUACUCUCUUACAAAGAAUAUCAUGCAAUUCGGAUUAGUUUAUUCUAAAUCUAAGUAUAUAUUAGUGCUAGGAUCCCAUAAGUUUACUUUUCAUCUAUUUUUCCGCUAAUGCAGAUUAACACUUAUUCAAGGAUCAAUUAGUCUUUAUGAACCUUAUAAUGUAAGGCUAGGGUCAAGGUAUGAUAAAAGAUAUAUUUAUGCUCAAAUUCACCCUAAGCACUUAAUCAAUCUAAGACAUAUAAAGAGUUUAAUUUUUUUACAGUACCCCCAAACUUGAAGUAAACUUUCCUUUGUACAACACUGUAACACCCUGUACCCCCAUAUAGUAGUCAACAUAACCGUAUCAAUAAGAUCAAGGGCUAAUUGAUGUGGAUUUAAAUGUCAAAUAGCAAUGACGGGUGAAAGGAAUAUUCUAGAGUAAAAUAUUCUGCACACGAGAAAAUAAUAAUUAAAUAAUAAUAUUUUUAUUAAGGAUGAAUUAGCAAGAUGAAAAGUGAUUCGAAAGUGAAUCGAGGCAUCAUAAGACAUUUUGGGUUCUAAGGAAACAAGUGAAAAAUCUUGGAAUAAAAUAAUAUUUUAUUAAUAAAAUGAUAUUAAAAUAUUAAUAUUUUAUUUGAUGUCGAAAUUAGUCAUGAAGGAGGAGUAUAUGGUCAAUCUAAGUGGGGGAGAAAAAGAAUGAGAGAAAUUCAGAGAAAAACAAUGUUAGUGAGGCCUGCGUGUCUUUAUUAAAUAAAGCUAGUAGGGGUAAGUAUAUAUUUAAAUAUUAUCGUGAUACCAUGUUGAAGUGCAAACUUUAUAUUUUAUUUGUACAAGUGUAAAGAAAGAAAAAUAGAAGAAAUUGGACUUAAAAGAUUGUUGGGAGGACUAAAUUAAAAAGGAAAGAAACAUUGAGGGCUAAAUGGUAAUUUUUCUAUUAACUUGGUCAAAGCUUCCAAAGGAAGCUUUGACUCUUUUCUUCUUUUUCCAUGGCUGAUCCUUAUCUGCCCAAAAGGCGUUUUUCUUCUUCAUCUUCUUCAAUGCCAUUUUUCUCUCUUCACCAUGAAAAUCAAAUUUUUUCAUUUUCUUUUUUUUUCCUUUCUUUUCUUACUUCUUCUUUCUUUUAUCUCCUUGUGCACCAAACUCACAACUUUCAACCACAUUUUUCAGCACAACCAAACCCUAGGAAAGAGAAACUCUUCAAACUAGCUUGAAAGCUCUUGAAGGAAUUCUUCCCAUUUUAAUCCUCACCAAGGAAAAUUAACUACGAGUCCACCAAGGUGAGUAAUGGGUUAAGGUUAAUUUUUAAGUUUGUUAAUGAUAGCUAAUAAUUAGAUCUAUGGGUUGUUUUAUUGUUGAUGGUUAUAUUGUGGUGAAAAUGUGAUUAUUUAUUACUAGUGUAAUUAGAAUAGUGCAAAUAAAUGGCUAUCUAAUGACUGGAAUGUUAGCUUUGUAAAUUUACAAGUAAAUUAAUACUUGGAAUGGGAAUUAGGGGCUGUUUUGAUGGGGUGAGAUUGUUGGAGGGAGAAAUGAUUAAUAAUUAUGGUAAUUCAUAGUUUAACUAGUGGUGUGGAUGACUAAUUUAAUAAAGGGCAUUGUGUUGGUGUAAGAUGUCACUAAGGGAAUUAAUUAAGUUUGGAAUUAUGAAUUUUAAGGAUGAUAUAGGUGCUGGAAAAUGGAAGUAAUAAAUAAAGUGUUAUGAAAUUAUUGGAGUUAGUACUAGGUUGACUAGCUAAAUGGUAAUUGAAAACUAGUUAGGAAGAACUAGUAAAGCUUAAUUAAGGAAAUAGAAUUUGGAUUUAUAUUCAAGCGAAUUAGGUUGGUUGUGAUACUAAUUGUGUGUUAUUGGUUCCAACGAGACCCCACAUUUCCACUUGAAGCACUAGUGGAGGUUCGAAGUCCAUCAAAAAAAGAAACUGGUGAGUGAACUUGCAUUAAAAAUGUUUUGAACAAAUACGCAUGUGUUUGACAAAAGUACUUGAAUAUCCUCGGUUGACUCUUUUAAAAAUUAUGCACAGGAACAACCCUUUCACGAGUGAUAUUUCUAUGUUUUUAAAAGUAUAAUGUGACGAAUCACAUGUUUGAAAUAUUAUGUUGAAUUGUCAAUUGAAUUAUAGUGUGUGAUACAUUGGAAAUCUUGUGAUGUUUUACACUAGUGGCAUAGCAGUUAAUAUUAUUUUCCUUGAAUGUCGGACUAUGCAACUAUGUGUACGACCAAUACAAUAAUGAACGUUGUGGAAUAUAUUAUUAUGCAAAGAUUCUUGUCAUAUGUUGUUAUGUGUGCUAUGUUUUAAAAGAUAAUAUUGAAUGAUAAUUUUAACCAUGCGUGUGUUGUGUGGGAGUGCACAUGAUGGUGAGGGUGGUGUGCGGUGUGGGAGUGCACACGAUGAUAUUGCCAUGUACGGUGUGGGAGCGCACAUGAUGAGGACGUGGUCUGAGAUGUGGGAGUGCACACGAUAAUGAUGAUAUUUGCCAUGUGCGGUGUGGAAGUGCACAUGAUGAUACCAGCUAUGUAUAGUGUGGGAGUACACAUGAGCUGAGUUGUGGAUGGUGGUUGUGUGCGUUGAGCCUUAUUGACUAGUUGGGAAUGACCUUGAUGUGUUAGAUGUAUGUUUGAAAUAUAUAUAUAUAUAUAUAUAUAUAUAUAUAUAUAUUAUUAUUAUAUAUAUAUAUAUANUGUUAGUAAUAUAUAUAUAUAUAUAUAUAUAUAUAUAUAUAUACUUAUAUUUAUGUAAUAUAUAUAUACAGGAAUUCUUAUGCGCAUGUGCGCCCGUCUCGUAGAAUAGAGAUGAUUGGAAAAUGAAACGUGAUUGCAUUGAAUGUUGAAAGUUGAAUUUCCUAAAUGUUUUAAAAUGAGUUAAAAGUCAACAUGGCAUCGAGUUUGUUUAUGAUAUAUAAAUUGCAUUGUUUUAAUACAAGUGCAUCGUGUUUCCUAAAAAUCUUUCGUAUAGUUUCCUUGUUCCCUUCCUAUGUUCACUCACUGGGUUUAUACUCAUUCUUUUCAACUUCAUGUUUUAGUUUUUAGAUCCGAAGGUAGUUGGAUUCCUAGGUUGAGGGACUUCCUCAUAUUCACCCUUCGGUAGGUUUACUAUGUCACUCAAUGAUAGUACCCACGUUCAGAGUCACUCCACUGAUGGUUAGGGUCUUUGUAUGUGUACGUGCAUACUUGAUGUGAAUUGCCAAGAUUUAUUUGGCAAACUAUCUCUAUGUAUAUUUUGAUUGAUGAUGCCAUUAUGAGUGUAUACUUGGGUGUCCUAAAUUGUUUCCGAAGAAAUUAUCAUUUGAACUAUAUGAAUUAUAGAUCUUAAAUAAAAAUGGAUGGUAGAUCGACUGAUGUACAGGUUCACAUAAAAAGGCUUGCUUGGGCCUAGUGAGUUGUGCCUAUUGGGCCCUUUCGCCUGUGAAACCUCGACCUUCAUAGACAUGUAGUAGAGGUAGACACGAUGAUGUGGAUUACGGAUAGUUUUGUCAUUUUCUUGGUGAGCUCUUAGAAGUGGGUUUUCUAAUAUUAUUAAGGUUUAAGUAGGCCUAAGGAAUAAAUAAAUGAGGUAUAUAAUAAUAGAAUAAACGAAGAAAAUAGAAAUAAUGAUAAUUUCCAUAGUUGGGGUAAAAUAAUCAUUUUGGGUCUCAGGUCUAAAUUUUUAAGUUUUCAUGAACUUGAGUACCUCUAAUCUAUUGGGGACCUUUUCUUAGUGUCAAAAGAGUAAAAAUUUUGAACCAAAGGAAAGAAGAAGGCAAAGUCAAGUAUGCAAUGACAUUUUUGUAAAUGGUGGCACUUUAGUCAACUCUAGGAAUAAAUAUCUAAUUUUUCCAGCAGCUUUCUCCUCACUUCAUGCAGCUUUUUCUUCUUCUUCCCAUUUCUCCUCCCCAUUUCUCCUCCCCAUUUCCAACUUUCCAUCUUCCAUGGAAGCCAUCCUUGAAAUCUCCAUGAAUUUCUCAUAAGAACUCCAAACCUCAUGUUGUUAUACACUUUUUCAUAGAAUUUUUCAUGUUCUUUCACUCUGUCACCUCAAGAGCCCUCAAUUGUCUUUCCUUAGCACUUUCUCUCACUAGUUGGACAUUUUAGAGAGAGAGAGACUUUCCAUAAUAGCUUGAAAAAAACUCUUGAAAAGGAAUUCAAUUACAAAACCACCAAGGUGAGUAGCGAGUUAGGGUUGAUUUUUAAGUUGUUAAUGAUGGCCAAUAAUUAGAGUUGUGGACUGUUUAUUGUUGAAGGUUGUUUAUUUAUUUCUAGUGUGACUAAAUUAGUGCAAACUAAUGACUAGUCAAAUGGUAAAUGGGAAACUAGCUAGGAAUAACUACUAAAGUUUGAUUUAGAAAAAUAGCUUUUGGAAUAAUGUUCAUGUCAAUUGAGUUGGUUGCGAUGCUAUUCUAUGUGAUAAGUUCCAACAAGACCCCAUAUCUCCACUUGGAGCAUUAGUGGAAGUUGGAAUCGAUUAAAGAAUCAACAAAGACAAGUGAGUGAACUUGCAUUAUCUUGUUUUGGGAUAAAUGCAUAAGUGUUUGAUUGAAUCACUUGAAAUAUUUUAUUGGUCUUUUCUUUAAAAAAAUAUGCAUGGGAACAAGCCCUUCAUGAAACGUUUUUAUGUUGUGAAAUGUGAAAUGUGAUGAAUUCAUGUGUUUUGAUAUUAUGACAAUAUGUAAGUUAUGCCUUGAACGAUAAUGUUGUGUGUUAAUUACAACUGAGCAUGUGUAGUGCGGGAGUGCACAUGCCGGUGAUGAUGUGGUGCAGGAGUGUACAUGAUGAUAUUUGCCAUGUUCAGUGUGGAUGUAGUACCUCGUACUUUGAGGUGGUGGCUAAUAAUGCUUACCGGCUACUAAUUGAGGUUGAUUACUAAGUAAAAAGGGUAAUUCAGAAGUGAGCCUGAAACUUCAACCUCUAUAGAUACGUAACUAGAAGUAGACGCAAUAACACUUACUAGGGGCAAUUUCAUCAUUUCUCUUGGUGAGCUCCUACGAGUGGGUUUUCUAACGUUAUUAAGGCCUAAGUAGGCCUAAGGUAUAAAUGAAUGAUGAAAAUAAGGAUAAAAUAACGAAAGAAAUAGAAAUGUGAUGACUUCUGUAGUAGGGGCAAAAUGGUAAUUUUGCACCGCCUCGAGUCAAAAUUUUUAAGUUUUUAUAAACUCGAGUACUUUUAGACCAUUAUGGACUUUGUCUCAGUGUCUGAAGAGUAAAAAGUUGAACCAAAGGAAAGAAUAAGACAAAGUCACCUUAUGGAGAGCAUUUUGGUAAAUUGCAUGAGAAAUUGGAUAAACUUUAGAUAUAAAUAUCUAAAGCUCCAGCAAUUUCCAACAACUUCCUACCAUUUCUUCUUCCUUUCCCAUCUCACGUUUCUCUAUCUCCAUGGGAGCCUCCCUUAAAGCUUCCAUAACUUUCUCUCUCUAGCUUCAAUUUUCGUGCUUUUGAGCACUUUUUCAUUGAACCUUCUGUGCUCUUUCACUCUCUCACCUUAAAACCCUUAAAAAGUCUUACUUCCAUCUUCCUCUCACUAGCUGGACAUAUAAAGAGAGAGAGAGAGUGAUUUCCCUUAUUAGCUUGAAGAAUUUGAAAGAGAAUUCAACUACAAAGACCAUCAAGGUGAGUAUAAGUUAGGGUUAAAUUCUUUAAUUGUUGAUAAUGGCUAACAAUGGGGAUUGUGAGUGUUUAUCGUUGAGGUUGCUUAUUCACUCUUAGGGUGACUAGAGUGGGGUAAAUAACUAUCCACUUAACGGCAAUUAGAAGCUACUUAGGAAUAACUAGUAGAACUUGAUUUAGGAAAGAGCUUUUGGAAUUAUAUUAAUGUCAAUUUGGGUUGAUUGUGAUGUUGUGUGUGUAAAGGUUCCAACAAGGCCUCACAUGUCCAUUUAGAGCAUUAGUUGAGGUUAGAGUCAAGCAAAAGAAUCAACAAGAUCGGUGAGUGAACUUGCAUCAAAAUGUUUUUGGGAAAUACAUAUGUGUUGGGAUGAAGCGUUUCAAUGAUUUUACUUGGUUUUCAUUAAAUUAUGCAUGGGAACAAGCCCUUGAUAAAAUGUUUUGAUGUUGUGAAAAUGUGAAAUGUGUAAAAAGAUUAAUCCAUGUGCCCUUACAUUAUGUUGGUAUGUAUAUAUGUGAAUAUGUGUUGUGCAUUGAUGAAUAAUGUUGUGUGUUGAUGAUGACCUGGCUAUGUUCGAGUAGGGACUGUGCAUAAGUUGAUGAUGACCUAGCUAUGUGCGAGUAAGGAGUGCGCAUAAGUCGAUGAUGACCUGGCUAUGUGCGAGUAAGGAGAGCACAUAAGCCGAUGAUGAUGAUCUGACUAUGACGACGAAUGAAGUGGGGUGGUGUAUGUGUUUAUAUAUGUUUCUAUACGUAUAUGUGAUAGAAAGUUUAUGAUUAUAAUAUGUGAUUGAAAUGAAUAAUGAGAAACUUUGAUUAUUGUCAAUGUGUUCACUUUGAUGUGCAAUAUCGUAGGAAUGGAUUUGGUGGCAUGUGAAAAUCCCUUAAUUGUCAUUUGCCCCAAAUCUCGCUGCAGCAAGAAACUCUCAGGUGGUGGGGGCACAAACCAGCCCUGUUUCUCAUUGCAUCAAAAAAGAAUUCUCACUGCAUCGAAAAAGAAUUCUCGCUACAACGAAAGAUUUCACUGCAGUGAAAAUGGAUUCUCACUAUAGCGAGAAAUUCUCUGGUGGACCCAAAAUUCUAGUGUAGUACUUCCACUUUGACAAUGAUUUUGACCACCAUCAAAUCAGAACUGGGCAAAAUGAUAAACAUAAAAGUUGUAUCCCAGCCUCUUAGCUUUCUAAUGGUCUAGAAAUCAGGUCAAUUGGACUUCUUUAGUGGGAGAUUUGCUGGAAAACCCAAAAUAUAUGCAAACUAAGACUGUUUCUCUCUACCACGAGAAACUUGCUGUCUUGCUUGCUACCUUACUUGAUUUUGACAUAUUUUUCACCCAUUUAACUUCAUGGAUUGAUCAUGGGGUUUUGCAACACUAUGAGGUUAUUAAUCAAAGUUUGAAAUGAGGGGUUUUUAGUAAGAAAUUAAAUCAAUUGCAUUGUUUUUGAAACAAGUGCAUCAUGAGUUCUAAGUUCUCCUUAUCGAUUGCUUGUUCACUUCUUAUGUUCACUCACUGAGUUUUAUACUCACAUUUUUAAACUUCAUGUUUUUAGAUUCGGAGGCAAUUGGGACCUAUAUUGAGUUGUCCACGUAUGCUCGCUUUCUUGGUAGGUACUAUAGCAUCUCAGUAGUUGUGCCUUCACCCACAGUCACUCCGUUGAUGGUCAAGAGUCAGUUAUCUGUGAACACGUAUAUGUAAUGUAAUCUACUAGGAUCCAUAUCAUAAGUCAAUUAUGUAUAUUUGAUUAUUGAUGCCACUAUGAGUUGGCAAACGAGUGACAUUAUUUUGACAUAAUAAAAUUGUGAGUUUUUGGUCACUAUAAAAUAUUACUGAAAUAUUUUUAGUUCAGAAUUUCAAUAUGUGGUUUUAGAAAUGAUGGUUAAGAAUGAUGAUUGGGUUUGCAUAAAAAGGCUUGCUUGGGCUUUGUGGGCUAUGCCCAUUGGGCCAAUGCGCCGAUCAUGGCCUGGUAUUUGGGCUGUGACAAAGGUGGUAUCAGAGCUCUAGGUUUAGUCGAGUCCUAAUAAUCCUUGUGUUUGUCAGCGAAGUUGUCAGAGUUAAUGUAGAGUCCUGUCUAUAGUUUGUAACUGCAGCACAAGUCAUAGACAGGAAGUUAUUUGAACUCCUACUCCUAGUAACCUACCCUUUUGCUAUCAUCAUGUAAAGGGCAUAAAUGGUAUUGUUGCUCGGGUUUGAGAUGCCACCCGAGACACAAAUCAUUAUUGGAAAGAUUUUUAAGCAAAUGCUCCUAAUGAAAGGUCAAUAAAAUGAUAUAUUCCUCCGACUAAGGAUGGAGGAAGGUGGAGCUAGACUAUUAGGUCCAUAAUAAUUUAUUCAUUUGGUGGAAUUAUGAUUUGAACCCAUGGUUAUCAAGGAAAAAAAUUAAUUAAAAAUUUAGAAACUAUGGAUUGUAUUUGAGGUCAAUAUAGGGAGGAUGUACGAUAAUGGUAAUAAAAGUUGUAUUUUGACAGGGAUGAAUAGUGACUAUUGUGACUUGCUUGAGGUUUAUAAAUUUAAGUAUCGAAAAAAAGUGUAAACUAACGUUUAUAUGUACGAAGGUAAGUGCGCUAUGUUAAAUGAGCUUGUCAUGCCGCUAUAGAAAUGGUGUGGACUUUUGAGAUAUUUUAUAAGCGUAAAAGUGUUGAAUAUGUGUAUAGUAGCUCAAAUGGAGUUGGUUUUGAUUUCAACUAAGUGAUGCGAGAUCCCAAGGUUUAAUUUGAACUAUUAUGGUUCAUAGUUAUAAGUACGUGAAUUAGCUUAAAGGUGAAAUUUAGUGACUAUUAUAAUUGAUGUGUGGUCAUCAAGUGAGAGGUUGGUAAACAAAUUUUCUCUAAGGAGGAGCAUGAACUUUGUUAUGCUAUGCGUGAGGUCAAAGGAUUAAAGAACUAGUUGUGGAUUUGAUAGCUUGAAGUUAAAUGAUUGAGAGAUGUCGAAUUUAGUCUAAAUGCCAUAUGGAGUUCUAUAUUUGAGUUUGAUAUUCGAAUUGCUUUAACGAUCAAUUUAAAAGUUUAUUGGGUUCAGUAUGUAAUCUAUGAUAAAGAUGAUCAGUUUUGAAUGUGAUCUUCCCAAAGGUAAAGGAUUUGGGAAAUAUUGAUUAUUGGAUAAGUUCUAAGAGGGAGUUUCUACAUCCUAAGUUUAAAAAAUGUUAAUUUUAUAGCCGUAAAGGCGAGAUGCAACAAUUAAGUAAAUUAUUCACUUGAUAAAUGUAAUUGGUUAAAGAUUGGUGAGUAAAGUUAAGAUCUUAACAUUAAAUGGUGUACAACUCGAUAUUUAUGUAUUUAAGAGUUAUUUGGAAACACUUGCUUAACCAAGUUGCACUAAAAUGUUAUGAUAAAGGUAUACAAUUGUUAGUAGUGAAAUAUGCCCAAAGGAUAAUCAUGGCAUACCCCAAAAGGGUGAAAUGUGUAAUGGAUAUGUCAAAAUAGAGGAAAGUAAGAAGGGGUUCGUACACGUGGUAAUGGAUGUUGACAUUUAAAGGGACGUAUAUAUGUAUAUGUGAAGUUACUCAUGUCAUCGGUGGAAAUAAAGAAUUAUUCUUAGCGAUUUGAGAGUUGAACACCAUAUGCUUGAUGGGUUGCAUAGAUGGUACUAAAAUAUACUAAUUGACCUAAUGUACGCUAUUGGAAAUAAUUAUGAAAAUGGAGGAAGAACAAGUUCUAAAAUUUCAAAGUAAUAACGUGAGCAUAAGUAGAAUGAUCAAGGUACCAACCUUAAAUGUAGACGAAAAGCGUUGAUUGAGUAAACUCCAAUAGCCAUCGUGCCACAGUGCUAAGAGCACCCCAUGUCUAAGACUCAUGAAUAAUAUGUGAAAGGCGUGAAGUUGAAAUUACGAGCUAAAUUAUGAUCAUUGGACUUGAUGUUAUGCUUCGUUAAUUGGAGCUUUAAGGUUGUGGAAAAAUAUUUAUAUGGAUGAAUUGGAAAGUUUCUCUAUUGCCUUAUAUAUUGGCAUGUAAGUCAAUGAAACAAGGGAUUAAGCCUUGUUAAGGCUAAGGAAAGAGUGAAUGAAAAGUAAGAUAAAUGAUGGGAGAAGUAUGGAGGUUGUUAUGAUGAACAUAAGAAACUUAAGGAUAAUCAAUGCAAAGAUACCAAGUAGGUUGUGUGGUCCGAAAUAAGGACAAUGAUACCUUAGGAGAUUUGAAAAUAAUGUCCAUUGGAACUGACGAGGUGGAAUGUCAUUGAGCAUACAGUGAAUUGUUAAAGUUUUAAGGGGCUUUAAAGGUAAGCUUUUGAUUGUUUAAAUCCUCAACUGAAUUCCACCAAAGGAUGUGUUUAAGUGUUUUGGAAGGCAUUGAAGAGCAUAAGAGAAAAUACCAGUUAAAUUGCUGUAAGAGGUUGAAAUGGCAUGGCCAUGAGAGGCUCAUGAGCAACCAAGCAAUGUAUAGGUAAAUGUGCAAGGGAACUAUGAUAGGUAGAUAAGGGUAGAACUUUAAUGAUGGGAUAAUGUUCACUCUUUAGGCAUUGAACCAUAAGUUAUGGGCUUGUAUCUACUUUGCGAACACCUUGGUGGGAUAAUUCGAAGGAGUUUUCACAAUGUGAAAACAUUAAAGCUCGAGGAGAUAAUAGUUAUAUAGCGAUGUUGGAGCUCGUUACUGAUAUGUCACGUAGUACCAAGGUACGCUGCAAGUCUAAGAAUGCUUGGAAACGUUGGUUUGAGGUAAUGACUAUCUUGCCAUUAUGUAGACCCGAUAAUGAUACGGUCUCGAUAUGUUUGUGGAGGCAGAGCAUACAAUGGUAAAAAGUGCUUCCCUCACAUGUUUCAUUUCAUUUUGAGUAAUUAUCAAGGUAGAAUACCAGAUAAAGGUAAGCGAAGAUUGAACUGUGAUUUAAACGCUUAGUGAAUAAUGGCGAUAUGCUUUAGUUAAUUGAUAUUACCCUUGGUGAGGGAAUAAAAGUAUACAACUAGAUUCGUAGAGAUCUACUUCGGAAAAGAGAUGAUGAUUUGAGAAUUCAAGUACUCGUAUACGAAUAAAGAUUUGGUAAGAAGACAUGACCUAGAGAUGGAAUACUACAACAUGAAUUUUUGCUAAAAAAAUCGACUUAUAAAACAAGUGGUGUUUAGGGAUCGUGCUAAUCAGUGGUUGACUCUCGUAUGAGAAUAGAAUAUUGAAAUCAACUUUGUGUAUUCACCACAAAUGGUGAGCAUGAUCUAACCAACUAUAAGAAGAAAUGAUUUUAAACUUGAUUGUCCAUCAUUUUGGUUUUACAGAUGGCUUAUUGAGCUUGAUAUGCCUAAGGCCACUUAAAGUUAAAAUUUUUGAAAAUAUAUGUAUGGAUAUAUAUGUUGCAAAUUGGUAAAAAAAAACUCAUACGGAGUUGAUUGUAAUUUGAUUUGGUGAUGAUAUCCUAUCAGCGGUUAUAACACGAAAUAAUGACUAAGAUAAUCCAUUGGUGAUUUUGGCAGUGAACAAGUUGAUUAUAAUGCUAUCAAUGUAAGGGUAAGUGUUUAUACUUCUGGUAUUAGUUCAUAAAUUUCUAUCAUAUCAUGAUCAAACUUACUGUUUUUGAUAUAGCUUGAGAGGUUUGGCAUAUGAACUAGCUUAAUUGUAAGCUAGAAAUUGAUAAGCUAUUAUAAAGUACACAAAUAGAUAAGUAUGCCAUGGAUUUAAUUCCCUAAAGGCUAAUGGAAUAAAACGUACUAGUACUGGUAUAGCCCCAAUAUAAAGUUUUAACUUAUGAAGAUUUGGAAAAAAAAAAUUAGCUUAUGCAUGAAGAUGGUGCAUUUCAGUUUAUGCAAGAAAAGUUUAAAAUCUGCCUUGUUUGGCAUAAGGCCCAUGAUUGAGAAUGAAUGAUUAUAGAUUUAAUUUUCUAAGGUAAAAAAGGCCAAAAGGGAGUUAAUAUCAAAAAGGUCUUAAUAGAUGAUUCUUUGAUUUUAAAGUACACUUAAGGAGAGACAAGUGUCUAAUUUCAUCCUCGGAUGGAUGAACUAAUGAGGCCGUGAGAUUUGGCAUUUGAAGUAAAUUUGAGGAAUCUCAAGUUAAAUAUGUUUGUAUGUGACAUAUAACUAACAAGUUGGUUAUGACCUAGGAAUUAUAAAGAUUGGUUAAGUCCAUAAGGAUGCAUCCAAAGGUAUCGUUAUUUAUUGAAAUGUAUUGUGGUAAGAGUCGAGAUUUACUUAGUAAGUACUCGAUCAUGAAGGUACUGGAGUUUUGUUUUUAGGAAUAUGGUUGCUAAUGGUUACCGGAUUUGAAUCAUCCAUGAUGUUAAACAUAUAUGAAUAAAUAAAGAGUGUUUGAUCCUUAUGUAUUAUGAAAUGCUUGAAUGGAAUUUGUAUGGAGAUAUGUAAAACGAAAUAGAUGUUGGUUGACCAUUUAGACCCAUAGUCAAUGGUGGAAUAAAUGCUUGAAUGUUGGAAGGUUUGAUAAAAGAUCAAUGUAGAGGAAUUGUGGAUGGUUAAGUAAAUAUGCAUAAUUGAUGAUUUAAGAAUGAUUUGAUUGAUAGGUGACCAGAAUUAAUAGCAUAUUUGAAUUCUCUUCAUAAGAUGAAGAAUGGUAUCGUUUUGAUCUAACAAGAGUAGUACACAUAAUUAUGUAUCUUAUGUUAAUCAUGGCCAACAGAAGUGAUGUAAAAGAAUUUUAGAAUUUUGAUUGUUCACCCCACACCGAUUCGAAUUCGAGGAUGAAUUCAUUUUAGGUAAGGGAGACUGUAGUACCUCAUACUUUGAGGUUGUGGCUAAUAAUGCUUACUGGCUACUAAUUGAGGUUGAUAACUGAGUAAAAAGGGUAAUUCAGAAGUGAGCCUGUGAAACUUUGACCUCCAUAGACAUGUAACUAGAAGUAGACGCGAUAACACUAACUAGGGCCAAUUUCGUCAUUUCUCUUGGUGAGCUCCUACGAGUGGGUUUUCUGAUGUUGUUAAGGCCUAAGUAGGCCUAAGGCAUAAAUGAAUGAUGAAAAUAAGGAUAUAAUAACGAAGGAAAUAGAAAUAGUGAUGACUUCUGUAGUAGAGGCAAAAUGGUGAUUUUGCACCUCGAGUCAAAAUUUUUAAGUUUUUGUGAACUCGAGUACUUCUAGACCACUAUGGACUUUGUCUCAAUGUCUAAAGAGUAAAAAGUUAAACCAAAGGAAAGAAGAAGACAAAGUCACCUUAUGGAAGGCAUUUUGGUAAAUUACAUGAAAAUUUGGAUAAACUUUAUAUAUAAAUAUCUAAAGCUUUAGCAAUUUCCAGCAGCUUCCAACCAUUUCUUCUUCCUUUCCCAUCUCACGUUUCUUCAUCUCCAUGGGAGCCUUCCUUAAAGCUUCCAUAACUUUCUCUCUCUAGCUUCAAUUUUCAUGCUUUUGAGCACUUUUUCAUAGAACCUUUUGUGCUCUUUCACUCUCUCACGUUAAAACCCUUAAAAAGUCUUACUUCCAUCUUCCUCUCACUAGCUGGACAUAUAAAGAGAGAGAUAGUGAUUCCCCUUAUUAGCUUGAAGAAUUUUGAAAGAGAAUUCAACUACAAAGACCAUCAAGGUGAGUAUAAGUUAGGGUUAAAUUUCUUUAAUUUUUGAUAAUGGCUAACAAUGGGGUUUGUGGGUGCUUGUCGUUGAGGUUGUUUAUUCUCUCUUAGGGUGACUACAGUGGGGUAAAUAACUAGCCACUUAAUGGCAAUUGGAAGCCACUUAGGAAUAACUAGUAGAACUUGAUUUAGGAAAGAGCUUUUGGAAUUAUAUUAAUGCCAAUUUGGGUUGGUUGUGAUAUUAUGUGUGUAAAGGUUCUAACAAGGCCUCACAUGUCCAUUUAGAGCAUUAGUUGAGGUUAGAGUCAAGCAAAAGAAUCAACAAGACCGGUGAGUGAACUUGCAUCAAAAUGUUUUUGGGAAAUACAUAUGUCUUGCAAUGAAGCAUUUAAAUGAUUUUACUUGGUUUUCAUUAAAUUAUGCAUGGGAACAAGCCCUUGAUAAAAUGUUUUGAUGUUGUGAAAAUGUAAAAUGUGUAAAAAGAUGAAUCCAUGUGCUCCUAUAUUAUGUUGGCAUGUAUAUAUGUGAAUAUGUGUUGUGCAUUGAUGAAUAACGUUGUGUGUUGAUGAUGACCCGGCUAUGUGCGUGUAGGGAGUGUGCAUAAGCCAUUGAUGACCCGGCUAUGUGCGAGUAAGAAGUGCGCGUAAGCCGGUGAUGACCUAGCUAUGUGCGAGUAAGGAGUGCACAUAAGCUAAUAAUGAUGAUCCGGCUAUGACGAUGAAUGAAGUGAGGUGGUGUAUGUGUUUAUAUAUGUUUAUAUAUGUAUAUGUGAUAGAAAGUUUAUAAUUAUAAUAUGUGAUUUAAAUGAAUAAUGAGAAACUUGAUUAUUGUCAAUGUGUUCACUUUGAUGUGAAAUAUGGUAGGAAUGGAUUUGGUGCCAUGUGAAAAUCCCUUAAUUGUCAUCUGCUCUGAAUCUCACAACAGUGAGAAACUCUCAAAUGGUGGGGGCAUAAACCAGCCAUGUUUCUCAUUGUAGUGAAAAAGAAUACUCACUACAACGAGGAAUUUCACUUCAGUGAAAAUGGAUUCUCGCUGUAGCGAGAGACUCUCGGGUAGACCCAAAAUUCUAGUGUAGUACUUGAAAUUUGACAAUGAUUUUGACAACUAUCCAAUCAGAAAUGGGCAAGGUGGUAAACAUAAAAGUUGUAUCCUAGCCUCUUAGCUUUCUAAUGGUCUAAAAAUCAGAUCAAUUGGAUUUCUGUAGUGGGAGAUAUGCUGGAAAAACCAAAACAUAUGCAAACUGAGACUGUUUCUCGCUGCAACGAGAAACUUGAUGUCCUACUUGCUACCUUGCUUUAUUUUGAUAUAUUUUUCACCCAUUUAACUUCAUGGAUGGAUCAUGGGUUUUUUCAACACUAUGAGGUUAUUAAUAAAAGUUUGAAAUGAGGGGUUUUUAGUAAGAAAUUAAAUCAAUUGCAUUGUUUUUGAAACAAGUGCAUAAUGAGUUACAAGUUCUCCUUAUCGAUUGCUUGUUCCCUUCUUAUAUUCACUCACUAAGUUUUAUACUCACAUUUUUAAACUUCAUAUUUCAUAUUCAGAGGCAGUUAGGACCUAGAUUGAGUUGUCCACGUAUGCUCACCUUCUUGGUCACUCAGCUGACGGUCAAGAGUCUGUUACCUGUGAAUACAUAUAUGUAAUGUAAUCUGCUAGGAUCCAUAUUAUAAGUCAAUUAUGUAUAUUUGAUUACUGAUGCCACUAUGAGUUGGCAACGGGUGACAUUAUUUUGACAUAAUAAAAUUAUGAGUUUUGGGUCACUAUAAAAUAUUACUGAAAUAUUUUUAGUUCAGAAUUUUAAUAUGUGGUUUUAGAAAUGAUGGUUGAGAAUAAUGAUUGGGUUUGCAUAAAAAGGCUUGCUUGGGCUGAAUGGGCUAUGCCCAUUAAGCCCAUGCGCCGGUCAUGGCUCGGUAUUUGGGCUGUGACAGUGGGAGUGCACAUGACAGUAUUAGCUAUGUGCGGUGUGGGAAUGCACAUGAGCUGGUGAGCUAAUAGUUGUAUACAUGUUUACACAUACCAUAGAGAGGUUAGGGAAAAUAUUAUGUGAUUACAUUGAAUGUUGAAUGUUGAAAUUGUUAAAUGCUUCCAAAUUGAUUUUCAUUGCAGCAAGAAUGGAUUUUUGUUGCAACAAGAAUUCUUCUAACUUAAUUGCCUUGUUUCUUGCUGCAGCAAAAUUUCAUUCUCACUGCAGCGAGAAACUCUCGGGUGCUUGGAAGCUUGACCCAGCCUUGGUUUUCACUAUAGUGAGAAACUCUUGACCUUACUUGGAUAUUUGCUGUAGUUUUCACUCUUUAACUCCAUUGUUCAUUAUGGACCUUUCAACACUAAGGGAUUAAGUAAUCAAGGGUUGAAAUGAGGGGUUUUAACAAGAAAUUAAGCUAAAUUAUAUCGUUUUUAACAUAAGUGCAUCAUGUUUUCUCAAACUUUCCUUAUCGUUUGCUUGUUCCCUUUUUAUGUUCACUCACUAGGUUUAUACUCACUCUUUUCAACUGCAUGUUUUUAGAUUCGGAGGUAGUUGGGAUCUAGAUUGAGGUGUCCACGUAUAUUCGUCUUUUUAGUAGAUACCAUGGCAUUCAGUAGCUGUACCUUCACCCAAGGUCACUCUGCUGGUAGUUAACAGUCUUUUGCUUGUGUAUACGCACAUGUGAUGUAAAUCUUUAAGAUUCAUGUUAUGAACAACACAUGUAUAUUUUGAUUGAUGAUGCCACUAUGAGUUGGCAAUGGGUGACAUUAUUUUGGGUUAAUAUAAAUGUAAAUAUUUGGGUGUCAUAGUAUAUUAUGGAAAUACUUAUAGUUAAGAAUUACGAAAUGUGACUGUGGGAAUGAGUGAUGAAAUAGGACUACAUAAAGAGGCUUGCUUGGGCUUAGUGGGCUGUGCCCAAUGGGUCCAUGUGCUGGUCAUGGCUCGAAACUGGGCUGUGACAACACCGAUCAUGGCCCAGAACUGGGCUGUGACAAGCACAUUUUAUUUCUUUUCUUUUCUUUUCUUUUCUUUUUUCAACCUGCAAACUUAUUUUUGACAAUUAUAAACUAGGGGUCAUUUUUCUAACAACCAUCACUUCUUCUUUUUUUCUUUUCACCUUCCUCAAUUUAUUCUUAGGCUCAAAUCAUUCCUUAGAAAGAUUAAAAUACUUAGAGGAUGAAAGGUUCAAAUCGCUGAAUUUAAAUAAACAGGCCAAGGCUAACAUAAUUGUGUAAUUACAAAGAAAAGGUAAAUUAGGCUAAAAAAGGGUGACAAAGGAUAUACAUAACAAGGUAGGCUCAAAAAGGCUCAAACGAUCCAAAGAUGGCCUAAAUCACUUCCUAUUCUAAGUGUUAUCUAAAAUUUCGCCUUGAGAGAGAAUCAAACAAAUUCUAGAUUUCUUGACUUCACUAUACUUUUUCAUCAACAUAACAUUUCCCUAGAUCACACAAAAACUCUAAGUAAAAGAGUAUAGUCCUUAAAUUAUUGGAAGUUACAUUCUAAAAUAAAGCUAACACAAUAAUAUCACAAAAAAUUAAAUCAUAACUAUAUACUUCCCAAAAGCUAAGAAUCAGAAGAUAAUUAAAAUAUCAUCCUCGGAUUGGGACAAUUAUGAAUGAGGAGCAACUAUCUCAAAAAUUUUUUUUUGAAACACAAUAAAACAUGCACAACAUAAAUAUGCAAAACAUAUCUUAAAAUAAAGCUAACUAAAAAUAAAUAAAUAAACUAAAAAAAUUCUAAACCACUCCCUUAAACUGGGAACAAACAUUGUCCUCAAUGUGAUAAAAGAAAAUAAAAGUCAAAAGACAAAGAUACUCCCCUAACUCCGAAGCUACAGUCUACAUGUGUUCCGUAUCGUCACCACCCAUCAUCUACUCUCAACAACAAAGCAUUCAUUAAUUAUAUAUGCAGUAAACAAAAAGUCUGUGAAUCCAUUAUAUGGGUAACAAGAAAUUAGCACUAAUCUUCAAAAUUUUCGACACUCUAAGCAUUAAUCAUGAGGAAGUAUGAAAAACCCAUUAACAAACAUGUAAAAUGGACCCAUUGAAGGUGCAAAAAUUAUAAAAUUUACCAUUAACACCAACCUCGUCCUUUCUUUACACAAAAUAAUAGAAAACCAAGUGUUAGGAGGAGUACUUACCUUAGAAGUGCAAUGAAUGCAAGAUUUCAAAGGGAAAAUACAAAAAAUCCAAGUAGAAAUAAUAUGCAAAAAAGUUAGAGUGAAAAAGAGAGAGGAAGACAAGAGAUUGGCAAGAGAAGGAAGAAUGGGAGUGGGGUUGGCGGCUGGAGAAGAAGAAGAAUGAAAGAAGAUAAAGAAAAGAAAAAAAAAUUGAGUUCUCAACGUUUUCCACCCGAAACAUUACGCUUUGGGUUUGAACACCGCGACUCUCAAGGUUGAGCAUCGUGGCACUCAACCUUUCUGUUUUUUUUUUCUUUGUUCAGCAUCGUGGGUCUCACUUAGAAGGCGCGGUGCUGAAACGUUCUGUUUUAGUCGUGUGGUAGCCUCAUUUUAGGGCCGCGGCUCCCACUUUGAGGGUCACAUUUUUUUGAAUUUUUUUCUUUUUUUCUUUUUUUUUUGAAUUUUUUUAACCAAUUACCUGCAAAAAGGAAACAUAAAAAAAUUAGUUUAAAAGAAAUAAAUUAUAACUAAAAAAAUUAAAUAAAAUAAAGGCUAAAACAAGUAAAGUUUAAGAACUUGGGUUGCCUCCCAAGAAACGCUCGUUUAUAGUCACUAGCUUGACUAUAAUACCCCCUUUUUCAAUUCGUUACCUCGAAAUAUGGUAUGAGGCUUAGCCCAUUAACCAUGAAUGUGCUCGUAUCCUCACUAUCAAUCUUAAUUAUUCUACAAGGAUAAGCCUUUAUUACUUUGAAAGGACCCCACCAUCUUUCUUUACGUUACCAUGGAAAAAGCUUAAAGUAUGAUCGAGAAAGCAUCAUUACUUGUUGUCCAAUCUCGAAAGGACAAUUAGAUGGUGGUGGAGGAUGCUCUGUUGGUGACUGCUUGGGGCUUACAGGAAAAGGUGGUGGUUCAAACUCAAAGAUUAGUACUUGCUCAAUUGUAGGUGGAGAAAUAGGUUCACCUUUUCUUUCAUCAAUUUACUCCACUCUAUAGCAACAAUUUGUAGAGCUAGGAUGUUUAUGUGCAUUGAAAAUAUUAAACUCAACUACCUCUUCUCUAACUUUAAAAGUUAUCUCGCCUUCCCUCACAUCAAUGAUUAUGCUUGCAGUAGCCAAGAAUGGUCGUCCCAAGAUUAAAGGAAUUUCUAGAUCUUUUUCCAUCUGAAGCACAAUGAAGUCCACUGAAAUGUAAAGAUGCCUAACUUUAACCAAUACAUCCUCGAUAAUCCCAACAGGGUACCUGAUUGUUCUAUCUACUAAUUGCAAAGAAACUAUAGUAGGUUGUAUCUCAUUAAGUCCAAGUUUCUCAGCAAUUGACAAUGGCAUAAUUGAAGCACUUGCACUCAAAUCACAUAAAGCUUUAGUAAAUUGAAAUCUACCAAUAGUACAAGGGAUAGAAAAACUCCUUGGAUCCUUAAGUUUUGGUGGAAGCUUGUUUUGAAUUAGUGCGCUACACUCCUUAGUAAGUGCCACUGUUUCAAAAUCUUUCAGUUUCCUCUUCUUGGUUAAGAUGUCUUUCAAGAAUUUAACAUAACUUGGCAUGUUUUCCAAAACUUCAGUAAAAGGGAUAUUGAUGUGGAGCUUCUUGAAGACAAUGAGAAACUUCUCAAACUAUUUAUCAAGCUUUUGCUUUUGCAACCUUUGUGGGAAUGGUGGUGGAGGAUAAUUUGCUUAAGAAUUCCGUUGGUUUUUAGCUUGCCCAUUAUCUGUCUUGUCCACUUCAACUUCUUUCUCAAUAAUUGCCUUGUCAUCAUCUACAUGCUCCUUUAAAGAUUCAACUGAUUUUUCACUCACCCCUUUAACUUCUUUUCCACUCCUAAGUGUAACUACAAUACAAUGUCCCUUACCUUUGGGACUGACUUGUGUAUCACUUGGUAGGGUACCUUGAGGUCUAUUGUUGAUGGAGUUUGCAAGUUGUCCCACUUGUGUCUCAAGAUUUCUCAAGAAAGCUCCAUAGCUUUGAAUUAAAGAAUCAGUCUUAGACAUAUAUUGCAAGAGAAGUUCUUCCAAUUAGGACUUCUUUUCAGGAAUUUAUGGUCUAGCUUGUUGCUGAAAACCAAAAGGCAUUAUGGGUUUUCGAUUGGAAGGCCCUGCAUUGUUGUUCCAUGAAAAGUUAGGAUGGUUUCUCCAACUCGGAUUAUAGGUAUUGGUGUAUGGGUUAUUCUACUAUCUAUUAAAGUUUCCCACAAAUUGGACUGAUUCAAAGUUGUAUGGGCAUUGAUCAUACGAAUGGCCAUCUCCACACAUCUCACAAACUACUAAUGAAUUUUGAACUGCAUGAACUCUCAGUGUGUCAAACUGCUUGGACAAUGCAGCUACUUGAGCAAUUAAGUUGCCAAGUGCAUCAAUUUAAUAGGAUCCAAUAGCUUUUCUCGAACUCGACCUUUCUAAAGGCUAUUCAUAAUUAUUUGAAGCGAUCUCUUCCAACAAAUUAUAAGCAUCUGCAGCAUUCUUACUCAUUAAUGCCUCACCAGCAACAACUUCAAUUGUGGUUUUUAUUGACCAAACCAACCCAUUGUAAAAUGUCUGAACUUGAAUCCCAUGAUGUGGACAUAUUUUUUGUAGUUCUUUAAACCUCUCCCAAGCUCUAUACAAGGACUCACCAUCAAAUUGUGUGAAUGAGGUGAUAUCGUUCCUCAUCUUUGCAGUCUUGGCAAGUGGAAAAAAUUUUGCUAGAAACUUUUGUGCCAAGUCUUCCCAUAUAGUGAUAGACCCAUUGGGUAAUGAAUUAAGCCAGCUUUUUGCUUUAUCCCUCAGAGAAAACAAAAACAACCUUAAUCUAAUAGCAUCAUUAGUUACUCCAUUGUAUUUAAAGGUAUCGCAGAUCUCCAAGAAAUUUACUAAAUGAGAAUUAGGAUCAUCACUAGGUAACCCACUAAACUGGACUAAAGACUGAAUCAUCUGAAUGUAAGCUGGUUUAAUUUCAAAAUUAUUUGCAUUGAUGGGAGGUCUCCUAGUGCUUUGGUGCAAACCUUGCAAAAGAGGAACAACAUAAUCGCCGCAGUGCUCUAUUUGCUUCAGGAACCAAAUUAAUGGCAUUGUUGCCAUUAUUAUUGUUAUCCUCAGCCAUUGUUUAACAUAAAGCUGCAACUUGUAAGUUCUCCCUUAGACGUCUUUUGAAAGGAACAAGAUUCAAGCUAUUUCUUCUUUGCAUAAAAUGACCAAAGAUAUCUGCAAACAAACAAAAUCUAAUAUUAAAACAAGAAAAUUAAAAUUUGAAGUAAGACUAAAUUGCUUGGUAUUAGUAUUAGUAAAUAUUCUAAAAACAAUUCCCUGGCAAUGGCACCAAAAACUUGUCAGUUAAAAUUCUAUUGCGCAUGUAUAUGUAUCGAAUAGAUAGUAUAUAAGCAAGCAGAAUAUUGAUCUCAUAGAGAAUUGAUUUAAAAUUUUACUAAGUACUAAAAUUAGAACAAUUUAAUCUUAUCCAAAUACUCAAAAUUAAUUGAUUAACUAAAACUAAUUAACUAAAAUUUUAAUCAAGAAAAAAUCAAAACAAUAAUAACUUAAGAAAAUAUCAAAUCAAACAAGCCUAGGAUUACAAUAUCCCUCACACUUCAUCUAAAUCUUACCUUUCUUCCUUAACUUAUUUCAAUGGGUUGAAUUGCUAACCUAGUGUAUUAAAUUAUUUAUAAAGGUCUCUCGACUCAUCUUAUAAAAAUAUCUAUUUUAACUAAACCACUAUAUCUCUAUGUGAAUUGAAAUUAAAAUAGACUCAUUAAGUUCAUGCACUAAUCUGGUUACAUAUGGCCUAUAAGUAUAUCUAUAUCCUAUACGCAAAUCAAUUAAUGUGAUCAUAUGCUAUUUCAAUUUUAGUAUACUCUAAACUCCCUUUCCCAAGUUUUCUUAGGUUCUUAAACCAAUUUAAUUGGUGGCAUGGCAAUUAAAAGUAUUAAGAACAAAUUGGAAUAAACAAUUCAAUUCCAAUUGAAGAUAAGUAAAAAGAGAUUAAAAAUCUAGAUUACAUGUGAGUUCAAUUGUAAUCCUAGAAAAAGAAAAUUAGCUACUCAUAAUCACAAAAACAAAUAACAUUAUAAUAAAUUCAGCCAUUGAGAGUAACAAGAAAAAUAAAAACCAAGGAAGAAAAUAAAACAAUAUUCGCCGCCUUGAUCUCCAAGUUUCAGCCUCAACUCCUAGCUUCUUGAAUCUCCCAAAAGUUGUCUCCCCUAAUAUUCUUCAAACUAUCCUAUUUAUGCUAAUAACUUAACCUAUUCUUCCUUAAGUUGACCUAGGGUUUAAUUGGGCUUAAAAGUGUAAUGAGAGGCCUAAAAAUAAAUUGUUAGUCUUUACAAAUUUCCAUUUCCAUUGUAGUACGUCAAGCCAUUUUCCAACGUGAUUUUCUCUAUCUUCAAAGCAGAACUGCAUAAAGUAAUCUUCACGAAAGUUGUAGCUCUGUCUCUUAGCUUUCCAAUGGUCUAAUAAUUACAUCAUUUGGAGUACUGUAGCACGAAUUAUGGCCAAAACACUGAAGUAUAUGCAAGCAGACUCUAGGUCUUUCAACACCUUACUUUCCAAAAUUAAGCCCAAUUCUUUUAGUUCCUAUGAAAAAUAUAAAAACUAAUAAAUAAUAACCAAAUUAAAAAGAAUAACAUAAAAUUAAAAUAACUCAAUAAAAUAUAAUUAUAAAAACAAUUAGAAAUAAAUAAAUUAUAAUUAAAAAUUGAGGACUUAGCUAAUAUUUAAUAACAAAAUUGGACUAAAAUGAUUCUAUAAAAUAGAAUUAUCAACCGUUUAAUUCAAAAACCAUUUAGUGGAAAGAUUUAAUCUUACCUCUUGAUUAGUUUUCUAGCCUCUGAACACCUUUUUGAAGCCUCAAAUCACUAGGGGAGACAAUGGUUUUGAGAGUGUUGAGAGAGCUUGGUUUUUCCUUUUUGCCUCAAAUGGGCAGAUAGCCCAAGGCUUUAUAUUUUUUUGCAAAUAUGCAUCAAUGUAUCAUGACAUUUGGAAAUGUAUCGAUACAUUUUCAUGGGUUAACUUUAAAUAUAUCGAUACAUGAGGCAAUGUGUAGAUACGUUUUCCUUAAUGUGACACCUAAUACCCUCGUAUAGAAGUCAAUAUGACCUUAUAAAUGAGACAAAGGGUCAAUGGAUGUUGAUUUAAGUGACAAAGGAUGGAGACGAGUGAAAAGAGUAUUUUAAGAUAAAAUAUUUCACACGCGAAGAAAUAAUAAUAAAAUAAUAAUAUUUUUGUCAAGGAAGAAUUUACGAGAUAAAAGGUGCUUCGGAUGUGAAUCGGGGCAAAGUAAGAUUUUUGGAGCCCUAGAAGGCUAGUGAAAAAUUUUGGAAUAAAAUAAUAUUUUAUUAAUAAAAUAAUAUUAAAAUAUUAAUAUUUUAUUCGAUGUCGAAACUUUUCAUGAAGGAGAAAUAUAUGGUCAAUCUAAGUGGGGGAGAAAAAGGAUAAGGAAAUUUUAAAGAAAAAUGACGUUAAUGGGGCUCGCAUGUCUUUAUUAAAUAAGCUAGCGCAGGUAAGUAAAUAUUUAAAUAUUACGGUGUUACCGCAUUGAAUCAUAAAUUUGAUAUUUUAUUGGUACAAGUGCUAAGGAAGAAAAAUGGAAAGAAAUUGAAAUUAAAAGAUUGUGGAAUGAUACAAUUAAAAAGGGUGAAACCUUAGAAGGUAAAACGGUAAUUUUUCAUAAAGUUUGGUCAAAGCUUCCAAAUGAAGCUUUGACUCUCCAUCCUUAUCCAUGGCUGGCCAUUGUGUCCAAGGCAUCAUCUUCCUCCUUCAUCUCCUCCCAACACCAUUUUUGUUCCUUCCCCAUAAAAUUCAAGAUUUUCAUUUUCUUUUCUUUGUUUUCUUUCUUUCUUUUUCUUUUCUUACUCCUUCCUUUUCCUAACUUCUUGGGUAUCAAACUUGCAACUUCUAACCCCAAUUUUCAAAACAUCUAAACCCUAGGAGAGAGAAAGAAAAUCUCUCUUCCUUUCUUUUGUUUUCUAUUUCUACUCCACUUUCAACAACACUUGGAUUUUUGGCUUCAAAUCUUCAUUUUUAAGGCUAAAAGGUAUAUAUUUUUAACCCUUGAAUUUUUGAAUUUAUGGGUUUGUAAUUUUUUGACUUUGUUUUCUAAGUUUCUUCAAAUUUUCUUUCCUUGAAAUUUGCUAGGUUUGGUUGAUCUUUAUACCUUCAAGCACCAAGGUCAAGAAACUUAAAACUUGAACAAUUAGUUUAAAGGGUUUGCGAAUUAGGCUAGAAUUCUAGGUUAAAAGUUAGGUUAGAGUGUAGAUUGUAUAGUGUAUAUUUAUUAGAAUUAUUAAAUUCAAAUUAUGACUUGAUAGAGGUUGUUAUGGCUUAUUGGUAAAUAUAGGUUUUAACGGUAUUUUGGGACUACCUAGAUUGAGACUUUGUGGGCACUAGUUUUGUAAGGUGGCAUUAAGGUGAGUGAACUUGCUUAAAAUGUUUUGGAAUAAAUGAUUAUAUGCUUAAUUCAACCACUUGAAAUAUUUUGUUGGUUUGUCUUCAAAAUUUGCAUGGGAACAAGCCCUUGAUAAAACAUUUUAUGUUGUGUAAUAUGAAAGUGAUGAAUUCAUGUGUUUCUACAUUAUGUUAACGUGUAUGUUAUGCGUUGAAUGGCACUAUUGGGUGACAAUUGUAAUCAUGCAUGUGCGGUGCGGGAGUGCACAUGACGGUGAUAGUGGCGUGCUGUGUGAAUGCACACAAUGAUGAUAUAUGCCAUGUGCGUGAUAGUGGCAUGCUGUGUGAGUGCACAUACUAAUGAUAUAUGCAAUGUGCAUGAUAGUGGUGUGUUGUGUGAGUGCACACACUGAUGAUAUUUGCCAUGUGCGUCAUAGUGGUGUGUUGUGUGAGUGCAAACACUGAUGAUAUAUGCCAUCUGUGAGGGGGAGUGCACAUGAUGAUAUUGCCUUGUGCGAUGUGGAAGUGCACAGGAUGCUUCUAGCUAUGUGCAGUGUGGAAAUGCACAUGAGCUACUAAGAUGGAAGUUGUAUACAUGUAUACACAUACCAUAUAGAUGUUAAAGAAAUAAAAUGUGAUUGUAUUGCAUAUUGAAUGUUGAAAUUUGACAAAUGUUUUCCAAUCAAUUUUUCAUUGCAGCAAAAAUGGAUUUUCAUUGUGACAAGAAUUCUUUAACUUGAUCCUUGGUUUUCGCUGCAGCAAAAUUCAUUCUCGCUACAGCAAGAAACUCUCGAGUGGAUGGCCUUAACCCUUGCUUUGGGAUUUUUGCUGCAACAAAAAUGCAUUCUCGCUGCAGCGAGAAACUUUAAGGUUGUUGGUUCAAAAUUUUGCCCCGAAGUUCGCUGCAGCGAGAUUCACUCUGCUAUGCUUGCCUUGCUUGAACUUCCUAAAUGUUUUAAAAUGAGUUGAAAAAUAGCAGGGCAUCGAGUUUUGUUCAUAAUAUAUAAAAUUGCAUUAUUUUUAAACAAGUGCAUCAUGUUUUUGAAAAGCUCUCCGUAUCGUUAGCUUGUUCCUUUCCUAUGUUCACUCACUAGGUUUAUACUCACUUUUUUUAACUUCAUGUUUUCAUAUUCGAAAAUAGUUGGAUCUUAGGUAGAGGCGUUUCCUCCUGUUCAUCUUACGGUAGGUUUGCCAAAACACUCCAUAAUAUUAUCUACGCUAGAGUCACUCCAUUGAUAGUCAAGGUAUUUUGUAUAAGUAUAUGGUUAAUUAAAUGUAAUUCAUGAGAUUUGUUGUAAACAUUGUAUGUUUGGUUUGCAUGAUAAUGUCGCCACAAGUUAGCAUAUGGUAAUAUUAUUUUGUGAAUGGUAUUGUUCAGUUGCCAUGAUUUAUUUUCGAAAGGAAAUUAUUUUUGAAAAACAAUGAAUUAAAAACCUUAAAGGUAAAAGAGGGAGAGGUGGUCUAAUAAACAAGUUUCAUAGAAAGGCUUGCUUGGGCCUAGUGGGCCUUGCCUAUUGGGUCCUUGAGCGAAUCAUGGCCCGGGAAUUGGGCUGUGACAUUUAAGGUGCUCUCAGUUUCAAAUCUAUCGAUCAUUUGGACAACGUAUCAAUACUUUUUCAUAAUACCCCUUUUAUGUGUUUACUGUCUGGAAUGUAUUGAUACAUGGGCACCAUGUAUCGAUACUUUUCGUCCAGAUUGCAUUUUUUUCAACACUCAAAGCUUUUAGCUCCAUUUUCUAACUUACAUUCUCAUCUCAUUUCUUCAUAAUCUCUUAACAUCAAUCAUAUAAACUCAUCAUAUGCUUCAAUUAUUCAUCUAUGCUCUAUGUCACAUAACAUAUAAAUCAAACAUAGCUAUUUGCUUUUCAUAGCAUACUCAUUUAAGUUCCAACAUAUGCACUAUUUCAAUGCUCAUACAUUGGCAAACAUAGCUCAUACUUAUUUGCUUUUAGGUGGCAAACGUAUGCACAACAUCAAAAUGCUCAUACAUUCUCAUAAUCAUCACUUUAUGGACAUAGGCAGUCCUUACAUCCAUAAACAUAAACAUCAAAAUAUGAUUAUCUCGUUCAAACAACUUAACAUAAAUUAGACACCAUUACCAUCAAGGUCGAGGGUGUUACAUUCAUUUUGUAUGGUUAUCUAUUGAUAGAUUCCAUGGAUCUAUCGAUGAGUUGUGUUGUAGUCACAAACCAUGAACAAGACUCUACACUAUUCUUGACACUCUGCUAACACACAUAAGAGGACCUAGGACACUCUAAAACCUUGGUGCUUUAAUACCAACUUUGUCAUGAUCCAGACUCGAGGGUCCGUGACUAACGCACAAGCUUAACAAGCUAAACCCACGAGGCCCAAGCAAACCUCAAAAUUCCAAAUCGUACACAUACAUCUAAAGGUUUCCAAUGCCACAAUUUCAUAUAAUACUUCAAUUCCAAUACUUAAAUGUUACCCUUAGAACAUAGUUCAUCCUCAAUAUCCAUAAAGCCAUACAUUGGCCAUCAAAGCAUGUUCAUGCUUGACAACCUUUAAUACAAAUUCAAAUGGCACAUCGUGCCUACAUACAUAACUAAACCAAAUACAGAGCAGAAGCUCAUGACAGACUUACAGGAGUGGACGUGUCAGAUGGGAACCUACCGGAUGCCAAAAUUGAUUUGUCAAUGGAUGACCCUUUCCAUGCACUCCUAUGGCCUAUUUAUCUACACAUGGUACAACAAAUGGAUGAGUCAUUUAAUACUCAAUGAAAGGUGGAGAUAAAUCAACAUAUAUAAUUAACAAUAUAUAUAUAGUGCACUAUCAGUGCAACAAAACAAUUUAACAAGUAUCUUCAAGAUUAGGGGCAUAUCAAUCAUCCCUAAGAUGUCUCCAUAAAUAACACACACAACACUAGGCUUAUCCUUAAAGACAUUCAAGGUUAUUCUCCAUGGCUUACUUUAGUCACUAGAGUAUCAUAUCAGGUUUGAAUCAAACUUACCUAAGCCUAUCCGAGGCUAUGUCACAUCACCCAUAAUCCAUUUGAUAAUCAUAGAGUGGUCCUCCCUCAAACAUCAUCAAAUCAUGCACGGUGGCCAACCGAACGACCCAAAUUUCAGGCUAUGACCGGCGCAUGGGCCCAAUAGACGUAGUCCAUUAAGCCCAAGCAAGCCUAUUAAUCUGUCAUGUUCAUCAUUCCAUCAUAAACUGCUAAGUCAUAUUUCAUAACUUAGGAUCAAAAUAAUAUUGAACAUUUCCAUCUCGUACUGGCAUACCAAACAAGUAUGUAUACAUUGUCUACAACAUGUAUCUUAAUAAUUUACAUUAAACUUGUCUAUACAAAACAAAAGAAUACACAACUUCCAGCGGAGAGACUCGAACGAAUGUACAGCUACUGAAUGCCAAGACACCUACCAAAAGAUGGACACAAGUCUACAAGGACAUCUCGUCUUAGUUACUAACUGCCUUGUGAUCUGAAAACAUGAAGUUGAAAACGGUGAGUAUAAACCCAGUGAGUGAACAAGGAAGGGAACAAGCAACCAUAAGGGAGAAUUUAAAAUUAUGAUGCACUAGUUUUAAAACAAUGCAAUUUAAUUUCAUUCAUAUUGAAAACUCCUCAUUAAACCCUUAAAUAUUAAUCACUUGGUAAUGAAGAACCCAUACAUAACAAAUAAUUUGAAAAAUGAAGGCUUCAGUGAUACAUAAGCAAGUCAAAUGCGACAACGAAUCUUCGCUGCAGCGGAAAGGCGCUACAGCUAGAAUGAAUUUUUACUGCAGCGACGUUGGGAUUAAGUUAUUAGCCAAACGAGGGUUCUUUAACUGGCCGAGGGUUUCUCACCAAACUUACUCAUUUUAAACUUAAUUCACUUAUUCCUUAAUAUUGGAAGUCCAAGCUCAACUAUGGUACCAAAGAAAUGGAAAAUGGAGCAGCAACCCAACCAAAAAGGAAACAAAAUAGAGAGUUUUUCACUGUAGCGAAAUUUUGAUCCCAAAACAGAAUGUUUCUAGCUGCAACGAGAAGCUACAGUACCUUUCUCGCUGCAGCGAGAAUGUAUUUUUGCUACAGCGAAAACCAAAUUGGUGAGGCUCUCGAAAACCCGAGAGUUUCUCGCUGCAGCGAAAUUCAAUCUUGCUGCAGCGAAAAACAGGGGACAAGCAAAAAUCCCUCUUUCCCUCAAACAAAAGCCACCCUGUUCACAUGACCAACACAACAUGAAUCUCAUAUAAUUUCCCCAAAGUUUAACAUGUCAAAUUUCACAUGCAAUUCAACCAUAUACCAUAAUAUGAACUUUCUAUAACUCACACAUUUACAUAUACAUACAUCAUCAUCAUGUACACCAUCCCAUCAUUCCCAGCUCAUGCGCACUCCCUACUCGAACAUGGCUAGGUCAUCACCGGGUUAUGCGCACUCCCUACUCGCACAUAACUGAGUUAAUAUCAUUAUACAACAAUGUAUUCACAUAUAUAUAUCAACACAAUGUGGUAGUACAUGAAUCAAUAAUAGUCACAUGUCACAACAUGGAGACAAUCUAUCAAAAGCUUGUUCCCAAGGCACUUGUUUUCAUAAAAAAAAAAAACUUGAUAAUUCAUUCAAAUGAGUGGCAAGUACAUUAUAUUUCCCAAAACAAGUUUUGAAGGCAAUCCACUCACCGGUAUAUUGUUGAGCCUUGAACCGACUCUAAUUUCUCUAAUUGCCCAAAUGGAAUGAUGGAACUUUGUUGGAACCUACCAUUACAUUAACAUCACUAUUUUAUUAAUUCACAUAAUAUAAACCCUAAAGCUAUCUUUUAGCUAGCUUUCAAUUGCCACUUUAAAUGGCUAUCUAUGUUCAUUAUCUUAAUUACUAUAAAAUGAAUGAACAUCCUUAACAAUAAACAGCUCAUAAUCCCAAUUACUAGCCAUUUUCUACAACUAAAAAUUGAAUUUAGUUCAUCACUCACCCUUGGGUUUCUUUGUAGUUGAAUUCUCUUCCAAUAGCUUCUAAAUAAAUGGGGUAAUUCUCUUUUUCUCUCUCUAAAAUGCCUAACUAGUGAGAGAAAGUAUGGAAAUAAGAUUUUUUUAGGGUUUUAAAGUGAGAGGAUGAAAUAGCACAAGGGUUUAUGGAAAGGUGCACCAAAAGCAUGAAAAUUGGAGCUAGAGAGAGAAAGUUAUGGAAGCUUGAAGAAAACUCCCCUGGACGAAUUGAAGAAACGUGAGAGGGAAGAAGGAAGAAGAGGACAAGCUGCUAGAAAUUUCAAGAAGCUGCUGGAAAUUAAAAAUAUUUAUAGCCAAGCUUAUCCACUCCACUUAAAUUACCAAAAUGCCCCUUCACAAAUUAACUUAUUCUCCUCUAAUCUUUUACGCAAUCUUUUUGCUCUUUUAACACUGGGACAAGGUCCAUAAUGGUCUAGACAUGUUCGGGUUCAUAAAAACUUAAACUUUUGACUCAAGAUAAAAAAUGACCGUUUUGCCCCUAUUAUGAAAAUUGUUGAAACUUCUAGUUUUCUUUGUUUUUUCAUCAUUACACAUCGUUUAUGUAGUCUUAUACCUAUUUAGACCUUAAAAUAUCAUAAAACUUUCUUCUAAGAGCUUAUUAGAGAAAAUGACGAAACUACCCCUAGCUCAUAUUAUUACAUCUAUGCUUAGUUACAAGCCUAUAGAGGUUGAGGUCUCACAAAUCAUGUUCAGGGUUAACUCGCUAAUGGAAAAUCAAAUCACACGAGUGCUGAAGCAACGGGUGAAAAGUCAGAGUCAUCGUCUAGAGUAAUCUCCCAACGAAUGACAACAACUACAAAAAUCUCAAACAAGUGGCAUUAUAAACAAAGUCAUCAUCCGAAGUAAUCUCAACGGAUGGCAUCAAAGAAUUGCAGGCAGGACUAAUACCACCAUCCCUGCAUGCACAAAGCAAAGUCACAGCGCGUUCAACUCCACUUCGUCCUCAAAUCAAAUCAACAUUCGGAAUUCAUCGAUCGAAUAGAGUACACAUCCAUAAUUAUGGCCAUCAUGCCUUGGGUACCACAUGUACCACAAUUUACAUCAGAGAGCACUCUUAAUGAGCUUAAGAUAUUUCUAGCUCAAUAUCUCAUAUAGGUGCCUUUAAUUCUCUAAGGCAUUAAAUACUCAUAAUCCACCGAGGGGUCAAUUGUCUAGAGUAAUCUACUCUUAGAUGUUUAUCAUAUCCUCAAGACUUCCUAAUCUAGGCUCACACAACAUAGGCCACUAUGUGGCUUACACUAAGGCACACAACACAACACAUAUAUUUCGUUCUCUAGCCUAGGCACAUUCAUUUAGGCAAAUAUAUAUAUAAUUUCUAUUUUAGUACCAUGGAGGUGCCUUUAACAAAGCAUCAUGCAUCACAUGCACUUUAACUAAACUCACUCAUAGUGACAGUCAAAGGUACAUUCCAACACCAAGCUCCAAUCCUUAGCCUCCAACCAGCUUUUACCUCACUAAUGAGUUAGGUAGCUUUAACUUUCCUUUAAACACAUCAAAACAUUCAAAUAAUAUUUAUUCCUAACUUUUGAAACUAUUCACCUAGUCAAAAAUAAUCCAAUUCAAUAUAUAAGCUCAAAUCCUUCAACAAUGAACUAAAUCCUUACCUUAGUAGCUGGGUUGCCCAAGUCUGAGCUUUAAAUUCCUAGCAAACUUAAGGGAGAAAAUCUCACCCAAGCUAGACCAAAUUGAUUCUAAGUUAUUAACUAAUUAAAUUGAAAAUCAAUUGGUAAAAAGGCAUAAUCCUAUGUCCAGAAACAUUUCCCAAGCUCUAAUCUACUUCAAAUAGCUCUAAAAUUUCAUUUGGAAAGUUAGGGUUCUUAACGGUUUGAAAGAAAAGCGUUUUCCUAUUUUAUUUUAAGGUAAAUGAUGCUUUCAACCCUUUUUAUUUUUACAUUUACUGGGUCAUCUGUUGAUAGAUGGAAGGCAUCUCUCGAUAGAUCCCUCUAAAAUUUAGGCAUUGACUUUCAUCUAUCAUCUAUUGAUAGAUUCCUCGAAUCUAUCGAUAGUAUAUACCCUAACCCCAUUUUUAUUUUUCCCUAUUUGGCCAUCUAUCGAUAAAUGUUUCUCACUUUGAUUUCCAUUCAUUUCAUAUGGCUAUCUAUCGAUAGUUUCCACAAAUCUAUCAAUAGAUUCCAUCACAUAUACUUCACUUAGUUUGCAAGUGGUCAUCUAUCAAUAGAUAUCGUGGAUUUAUUGGUAGAUAUUUGUCUAACUUGGUUUCCCCGUGCUUCCUAUAGUGCAUCUAUCCGUAAAUGUAGAAUAUCUAUUAAUAGAUUAUGCCCAGAUUUCAUAUUUUCACUUCCUUAAAUCCCCAAACUCAUUCCUAAGGCCCCCAAUUCACUUUCCUUCCAUUAAAAUGCCUCAAAUCAUUCAUUUUACGUGAAAUCCUUCAUAUAUAUACUCAAUUUUAUGAUCAAAUCCUGAUCAAAGUAUCAAACUUCAAAAUUUACCAAAUUUCUUCCUAAAUAUUUGUCAAUAGCCAUACCUCUAUCUACUUAACACAUUUAACACAUCAUUAAGGUCCUCAAAUCUAUUUACAAAUUCAAAUUCAUUAUCCAUAAUUUAUAUUGAAAAAUUAGGGGUGUUACAAUUAGUGCAUGGCUAGGUAAAAGCCUACAUGGAUGAAUACAUUCCUACCCAAUUAUAUGUGAAUGUGAAAUGUUAGAGAACCCACUAUGGCGUAUAUGCCAAUGUGGAUGAAUUGAGGUGCCUCUACAAGGAGUUGAAUUUGGAUGGUAGAAUGCCCACAAAUAUAGAUUAUGAGAGUGGAUGAAUAAGUCUCCACCACUUAAGGAUUUUAUGUGGAUGUAUAGAUGCCCACGAAUGAAAUUAUACUAUGAAUGGAAAUGAUACAAUGUGAAUAUCAUGAUUCUAGUUACAGUAUUUUAUGUGAAUGAUAAUGCAUUACAUUAAGGUUGCGUUUGGUAUAAGGGAUGUAAAGUCACAUUCCCUGCAAUGUGUCCAAUUAAAUUACAGUGCAGUGUUUGUUUUGUAACAAACCAUUGCAAUGUAAGAUUGCAAUGCAAUCACAUUGCACCUAAUGGAUGUAAUGUGAUUGCAGUCCAAAACCAAUGCAAUCACAUUACAUUGCACUCUGUAAUGUCUUUAAGGAAAUUUUUACCCAUCAUCUUUUAAAAAAAUUACUCACAAUUUGAAGCAAAACAUCGUUUUUGGGGUUGAGGGUCUGCUGCUUUUUCUCCAUUAUGCUAAAGGUGCUCCUCCUUCUUCUAGCUCUGCUUUUUCAUCAUUUGAAAUUGUGGGUCGAAAUCUCCAUUCUUCUUUUUCUUUCUCCUUUUUUUAUCUUCUUCUUGUAUUCUUUAAUCUAACUUUUGGUUGCACCCUAUCACAAUUUGUUUAGUUGGUUGUGUGGUUAAUUGCUUAGUGACGCUUGCAUUAUUGGUCUCGGGUUUGAGUCCUGCUUCUUGCAGUGCAAUCUUUUUUUUUUUUUGCCUUUGAUUGCUACCAUUAAAUCGCUCUCUAGUAUCAAUUGAACUUACAUUAAAUUUUUCCAACAUAUUCCCUACAUAUAAAAAAUGGAUCCUUCUAUAUGCUGUUUUUAAAUUGAAUAUUUGUAAUGUGGACAUGAAAAGUUAACUUUGUGCUUACUAUAUGCUGUUUUUAUAUAAUGUUUAUAUUUCAUUAUUUUAAUUACUUUUUUAUAUUGUUAGUUCACACAAUGGAGGGUUUUCUCAAGUGUAAACUGCAUCGAUCGUGUCUGCUAUUGUAUUAGCCAUUGAGCUAUUCAACAUGAUACUUUUAGCUAAUACUUUGGUUUAAGAAUGUUAUCAUAUUUUAAUUUAUAAUUUUAGCUUGAAAUUUUGUUUUAACUUGAUAGCAAGUUAUUUUGAAUUUAUGAUAUUUUUAGAAGAAAUUAAUUGGAGAUUAAGAAUUAUGGGUAUUUUGUUGCCAAUUUGCUAUUGAUUACAAGAGAGGAAGCUAUCACAUUAAUGUAUACAUAUAAAACGUAUUAAGAAAUAAAAUAAAAUAUUAUCUUCUAAAGAAAAAAUUUAAAAUAAAAUAUACAAUAUAAGAAAUUAUAUUAAAAAUAAAAAUAAAAUAUAUUUAAAAAUGACAUUAUAUAAAAUUUAACAAUAAAAAAUACAUGUUCAACUUGUAUUUUAAUAUAUAAGGGUAGUUUUGGAAAUUAACAUUACAUACCCUGUAAAGUACUUGUAAAACAAACACUGCAAUGUUAUCUUCGCUGCAUUUUAAUAAUUACAUUACUUAUAUACCAAACACUGCAAUGUUAUCUUCCCUGCAAUCACAUUGCUUGCAAUCACAUUACCUGUAAUCACAUUAUAUUGUAAAGUACCAAACGCUACCUAAGUAUGAUUGCUAUAUGAGUAUAAAGGGCAAAUGUGGGGUGUUGUACCAUAUGUGAAAAGGCCAGAUGUGGGGUGUUGUACCACAUGAGUAUUUGGGACCACGUGGGGUUUCAUACCACACAUGAUUAGGUCCAGAAGUGAGGAGUGGUACCACACACCUAUGUAGCCGUGAGAUUGAGGUAGAUGUACCAAUUUUUAAUAAAAAUUAAUGACAUGAUGAUUUCUACAUUUCAUCAAGAAUUUGUUGUGGUAAUUUCAACGUUUGUAUUGAGUUAAUGAUUUGCACUUAUAUAAAAUGAUGACAUGUUUGAUUGCCAAAUUAUAUAUUCAUGUAUUGAAUGAUUGAUAUAGAACUAUUGAGUUGAAGACUUGAAUAAUUCUUCUAGAUUUCUAAAUAAAAGGUAAUUGCCUGAUCUACAAGUUGUAUGAAGAUUGAUACUACUACCCACAGUAAAGGCACAAGUAUCCUUAAUGUGAACUCUUUUGUUUUCUCCUUGCAAAUAUUUGUACUUUGGAGCUAUAAAUUGUUAUCAACUCUUUCAUGUAUCAUCGCUUUCAAAUGCAUUUAUGUAAAAUGUUCGAAACAAGGUUAUUGAACAUUUCAGAGGAAAUUUUAUGGAUGUUAUGAAUAGCAUGUUCUUCUUGAAAAGUAUGGUUUGCUGCAAAAACUCUUUCCCUUGGCUUGUCCCUUUCCCAUAUCCAAUCACAGUCUUUGUGACUCACUCGCUAUUUUCCCUUAUUUGGUUUAUAGAUCAAUAGCUCGUUUAGCUAGGCACCUUAUGGAGUAGUAGCUCAGCCCAUAUUUGGUAGGUGUGAUAAUGCCUUAUUUCCAACAACAAGUUUUUAAAUGUUUAUAUUUACAAUGAUACUUGAUUAUGUAGAAAAGUAUGAAUAUACUCAUAUUUGCUUUGUGAAUUGUGUAUAUUAUGUUGAGCCUCGAAAUAGGUGCAUAUGAAUGAUGUUCUUAUAGUGAAAAAUACCAUUAAUGAUAAAGGCAUAAAAUGUGUGCCGCAACACAGAAUUAUAUGUUAUGUGAAUAUUUAUAAUGAAUUAAAGCAAUUCCACACUUUAUGUUGAGAAGUUCUAUAAUUGUGUGAUGGUGCUUAUAUGGUUGAUGAAUAAAUGGAAUUCCACACAUUAUGUCAAAGAGUUCCAUAAUGAUGUGACAAUGUUUAUUUAUUUGUGAAUUUUAUUGCAGUAUAUGGAUGUUGUAUGAUUACAGUGGAUGACAAGCCCACGCAUGUUGAUUAAGGCUUGCUUGGAUCUAAUGUGCCAUACACACAUAGGUUCAUUCGUCGAUCAUGGCCCUUUAGAAAAUGGAUUGUGAUAACAUAUGGCAUUAACAACUAUGGUAAAAGUUUUACCACAUUAAAACUGACACAUUAAUGAUUGAUCUGGUCAUUAAUAUGGCAAAUGGUAUUUAAGAUGGGUAAUAGCCAACUGGGUAGUAAGUUCACCUUUGACUUUGGGAUUGGCGACGAGGAAGGCUCAAGUGGUUAGCAAUGAGGGCUUAGGCUAAAAUAAUAUUUUCAUUUUUUUCUUAGGAUUAAUUAUGUUUAUAAAUCUAUUUUUCAAUAUUUUAAAUCUUACCAUGUCUGUUUUUUUUCCCCUAUGAAUGACCUUAUUAUUUUUAUUUUAAGAAUGUUUUAGUUUGGACAACUAUGAACAUGAAAUUGAGUGAUGGUAUUAAGGGCUUUGUUAGUCCCACCACACACUAAUUGGCAAACUGCAGGCGUAGAGGCGAUUGAGAGACAAAUGGUGGUGCUAAUUUUGUCAUCUCCCUUUUUGUUUGAAUAAGGGAAUUCCGUCUCAGCUUUUCGAGUAGGAGUACAAGUGCAUCAAUAAAUGAGUAUGGUAAUGGUAUAUAUACAAACUGUUUUAUAUCGCAUACUUGCAACAAUAUUGUCGCAAUCAGGAGUUUUACUAAUAAAAUAUUUUUAUUUUGGUUAGAAGAUUGCCCCGCGUCAUAUACAUUAGACUCACUAAUAUCAUAUAAUUUUUCAAAAGAAAAAAUCUAAUACCGUAUAAAUUAACUUAUUUGCUUAUUGAUUGAUUUUACAUAUUGAAUGUAAUACUAAAGUCAUAUUUAUUAAGAAUUAUUUACUCAUAAUGAAAAUUUGAUUUGUGAGUGUAAUUUCGUAAAAUGAUAAUUUUGAUUUUUGGUUUUGCAUGUUUUUAACGAAUAUACAAAGUUUAUUAAUUUACUUUUCUGAGUUUAUAUAUAUUGCCUUUUUUAUGAAUUUUAAUUAAAAUUAAUAAAUUUUAAUGGAUACAUUUUAAUUUGUAUAAAUCAAUUUGUGGAGUUAAAAAAACUCCACUACCGAUGUAUAAACUGAAAAUUCAAUUAAUGAAAGAAAUACAAUUACUUGGAAUUAUUGUUCUAUAUAUCGCAGCAGUAUACCUUCUAAACUUUACAAAUGGGAUUAAGGAGUUGAUGUGUGUCAAUUUAUUAGUUAAUUAGUACUUGUUGUCAUAUGUGAAUAUUAAUCUAUAGAAUAAUAUAUGAAUUUUUUUUAAUUAUUUUAUAUAACAAUUAUGUAGAAAUACAAAUGUUUCUGAAUGUAAAGGUUAAAGUAUAAAUCAUUGGAUUUUGUAAUAUUAAUCUGUAAAUUAUUCAAUUUGUAAUGUUAAUCUAUAUAUAAAUUAUUCUAUUCAAUACUAUUAAAUUAAGAACAUAUUUUUUUUAUGAAAGCUAUUUAAUACAAUUUUUUUUAAUGAAAAAAAGGGAAAAAAAGCUUCAUUAAAAAGGAAGAAAGAAAGAGCACAAUAGUUCUCCAGGAACAACAAAACAUGAAAAGAAAAGCUAGAAAAGCAGCAAAAGAGAGAAGAAAAUGAGAAUCGCACAAAGCAAAGAAUUAGAUAAAUCUCAUUAAUAUUUAUAAUAAAAUAUUUUCAAUAAAAAUCAUUAAUACAAUUAGAAUUCUUAUUUACAAAUUAAUUGAUCUUAUUAAUAAUUUAUAGUAAAAUAUGUUUAAAUUGGUAAUAUAGAAAUAUAAUAAACAAAUAUAUGUGUUUGCUAAUUAAAAAUUUUAAUAACAUCAAUAUGUGACUGACAAUAAUUUGCCAAUCUACAUACAAUUGUCAAUAUUAUUUAUACGCUAAAUUAUGUAAUUAGUCUCUAUAUUAUAGAUUUAGUCUCUAUACAAUAAUUUAUGUGAAUUGGCAAGAGUGGCCCAAUAAGCUUAAAGGCUUAAAGCGACUAUCAUAUAUUUUUUAAAUGACUAAUAUAAAUCAUCAAUCAAAUUUUUUAAUUCAAAUAAAUCAACUAUUACAUAAAAUAAAGAUAAUAUAAUAAUAUGAUAUAAACUCCAAAUUAAAAUAAAAAAAUCCAUAAAUAUUAGAAUAAUAGUACUUAAUUGUUGAAUACUUAUUACAAACCGUAAAUAAGGCUCACGAUUUUAUAAAAGUAAUAACAUAACAGACUUUUUAUUUAUUCUUUGAAGGAAAAUUGAAAUUAAAAAGAAGAAGGAAGAAAAAGCAAAUGAGAAAAGAAAAAUUCCAAAGUAUAUAUUAUACAUUGAAAAAAAUAAUUGAUUUUAUAUAAAAGAAAAAAAUAGUUGUUGAAAUUUAUUGAACAUGUUAAUUGGAAACAGGAGAAAUAAGUAAAAAGAAAACUGUUGGAGAUGAUUAAAUACAUAUGACUGUUAGUUGAUUGGAAAUAAGAGAAGUAAUUGAGAAUUAAUAGCAUUCUAGAAAUUAAGAAAUGAUAGAAAAUUAAAAUUUAUUAAGCACAUAAUUAGAAAAAUGAGAAAAUAGAUAUUUUUAUUAAUUAUUAAUUAUUUUUAUAUAUUUUUAAAUGUUUAUAUAUUUUUAAUAUAAUUAAUUAUUUUAUAAAAUUAUAAAACUUUUUCAAAUUUGGGGCCUCUCUAAAUUGGGGGCCUAAAGCCCUUGCUUGGGUGGCUUUACCCAAGGGCCAGUCUUGUGAAUUGGAUCCCUAUACUUUGUUAAUUUGUUAAUUUUAAUCUUUAACUUAAACACUGUUAAAUUUAACUAUUAAUAUGCUGACGUAACAUUUUGACCAAAUUGACAUGACACCGAUAGAGAUAACAUGAUGUUGACUAUGUGCUGACAUGACAAUUGUUGGCAUGUAUGCUAAUGUGGCAAAAAUGCUGACACGGCAAAAGGUUUACAUGGUAAAAAAAAUGCUAAUGUCUCCCCAUGAGAUUAACAAAGAAAUUAAAAAAAAAGCACCAUAACCCUAAAUUAAAAAUUAACAAAAAAAAAAGAUUAAAAAUUUCAAAAAAAUUUAAAAGAGAAAAAAAAAACCUACAAUCGAAGAAGGAGAAUCAAAAGAGAGAGAAUCAACUAGUUUUGAAUUUGGAAUUAAAGGUAGAGAAAACAAUGGGUUUUCAUUCUAAAGAUUCAACUAGUUUUGACUCAGAAAUUUUUCAUUGAAAAUUUAACUGGUUAAUAAAAACCUUUGCUCCAAUCUCAUCUAUAUUUGUUUCUUUUGGCAAGAUAUUGCAUUUUAAAGGUUAAUGGACUCUCUUUUAGCAGGCAAAGAUUGACACGAUUCUGGCAACUUGUGUCUUGCAAAAACACUGCGACCAUAGUCAUCCACUAAAACGAAAAAUCCUAAUAAGUUGCCUGAGUUCAAGAUCUCCUUCUCAAUCAUUAUCCCAUCACAACCCUCACAAAAACAAAAGCUAUCUACACAUACUCAGAAUUGAAACUGUACACAACAAUAACAACCGCCACACACUUCCACUCAAGGGACUUCCGACUCUUGUCCAUUCCAGAAAACUCUAAGCGUCAAUUUCAAACCAUCAUACCAGACCCAGGUAGACAAUCAUCAAAAUAGAAGACAAACCGGAAAACCCCUUCUUCGAGCACACUAUCAACCCAGGUUCAAUCAUAGGGAACCAUUCACAAACUAGAAACUUAGAACCUAUCCCAAUUCACUGACGUUACCUCCCACAACAGAAUUCCAACAGAACUUCCUCCCUAUUUACCCAUACAUGAAGCCCCAAGAACACAAAUCACAUACACAAACGCAAAUUUGGAGAUAAUCAACCAAAAAAAUUCCUUCCAGACUUGCUAUGAAUGUCAAGAAAACAUUUACAACCACAAUGAAAGAGUUUGAGAUCUAUGUUUGAAUUGCUUAAGGAAAGGGGAAAUUUGUUUGAGAUUUCUCCAAAAAAAAAAGCUAUGUCAGCAAUAUGUUACGUUAUUCCUAUUAAUGUCAUGUCAACUUGAUCAAAAUGUCACAUCAGUAUAUUUAAGUAUCAAAUUUAAUAAUGUUAGAAUUAGAGGAUUAAAAUUCAUAAAUUCACAAAGUAUAAGGAUCCAAUUCACACAAAUUAUUAUAUAGAGACUAAAUUUAUACUUUUUGUAUAAUACAAGGAUUAAUUGCAUAAUUUAACCUUAUUAAUAUAAUUAUUAAGAAUUAUUUAAAAUGACAAAUAGUAAUUCAUAAAUAUAUUUGAAUAAAAAUGUUUGUUUUCAUCAUAAAAUUUUCUGAUUUAUGUCAUUAAAAAUAGCAAAAAAACUAAAAUAUAAAUUUCAUCAUAAUGUUUAUCACUUCAUCUGCAUCUCCUUUCAUGUACAGCUAAGACUCAAAUCCCUUCUAUUCCAGUAAUCCAGGAAAGUUCACCUUGUUUAAUUGUUCAAUUGAAGAUCAAUCCUACUAUUAUGAUACUUACAUGAGCAUCCCUUGCUUAAGUGGGUCUGGCUUCUAUGUUAAAUAUGUGGAUUCUUAUUCUGGAAGCAAUCAACCGUUGAAGUGCAGAAAGACUCUAGAUAUAUCUGAAGUUCCUGAAGAGAAGUUGUCUGACAGGAAAAACAAAUUUGACUUUAAAUGGCCAGGAAUGUCGACCUAAUACUACUAAGACAUCGGGCAUAGAGUGCUAUUCCAUCCACAGGGAAGAUAAAGGUACCACAUACAUAUGACUUUUUAAGUAGUAUUGUUCUAAUAUCUGAAUUUAGUGUUGAUUACCAGUACCACAUUUUUCAUUAAGCCUUUUACAGGGUCGAUGCUUUGAAAUCUAAGUCGAGUCAGUCAGGUUUAAUUAUCCUAUACAUAUUCUUUUUAUUACUAUUAAAAUAAUAAAAUUAUUUUAUAUUAAUAUUUUAAUUUUUAAAGUGUAUUUUAGAGUUUAAAAAAUUUACUAUCUGUUAAUUAAUAAUAAAAUAGCAAGCUAAUUUUGGAAAAAAACCACAAAAUAAAAUUAUAAUAAGCUCAUUAUGAUUUCAUAAAUUAUUAAAGGGUAACGUAAUAAUACAAAAAAUUUCAUCAAAUAUUUGUUAUUAUUCAUUAAAAUUAAUACUUUUUAAAAAGUUUUGAUUUAUAAUUUUGUCUAAAAAUUCAAAUAUACCUCAUGCAUAAAUUAAAAUUUUUAAAUUUUGAGAUCUAAAUACCUCGCUUUUGCUCUCUUCUAUAAUAAGUUAGGUAAAAUUUUUUAUUGUAAAAUUAUAGAAAUUAUCGGAUAAAUUAGGCUUCCCAAAAUUAACGUACUUAGCAUCCAAACCAAAUUCUUUUACUUCCAGUUCAAGUAAGAAAUAGCUUAAUUCAUAUUAAAUCAAUGCUACUUUUCUAAAUAUGAUUUAAUCUACUUAUGUGGACAUAAUUUUGUCUCAAACUUAUAAUUAAACAUUAAUUUGUAGGGCAAUCAAUUUUGAAUGUUUUAGAAACCUAAGGGAGACUAUAUAUAGAGUAAUGAUAUAGGAUUAUUGUACUGAUGUUGAGAAAUAUAGAAUGUUGUUUGUAGAUACUUGAUUUUGGUUAAUACCUAUUCUCUAAAGAAUUAUGUUAUAACAUAAUAUUGUAUAGAAAAUAACUAGAACAAGUAAAACAGUACUUCACAUAGAACAACUAGAAUAAGUAGAGCAUUACUCCAUAUGGAACAACUAAUACAAGUAGAACAGCUAUUUCGAAUAGAAUAACCACUUCACUUGGAUGACAGUGAAAACAACUAGGAAUAAGUGACAAGGUUCAUGGGUUACUUUCUUCUUAAGAAUUAUGUUACAACAUAAUAUGGUACAGAGAACAACUAAAACAAGUGAAGCGCUAUUUCAUGCAUAACAAUUAGAACAAGUGAAGUACUACUUCACGCAAAACAACUAGAAUAAGUAGAGUAUUACUCUAUAUGGACAACUAAUACAAGUAGAACAGCUACUUCGAAUAGAAUAACCNCUACUUCACGCAAAACAACUAGAAUAAGUAGAGUAUUACUCUAUAUGGAACAACUAAUACAAGUAGAACAGCUACUUCGAAUAGAAUAACCAUUUUACUUGGAUGACAGUGAAAGUAACUCGGAAUAAGUGGGAGGGUUCAUGGGUUACUUUCAUCUUAAGAAUUAUGUUACAACAUAAUAUUGUAUAGAAAACAACUAAAACAAGUGAAGCGCUACUUCAUGUAGAACAACUAGAACAAGUGAAGCACUACUUCAUGCAGAACAACUAGAAUAAGUAGAGCAAUACUCCAUAUGGAAUAACUAAUACUAGUAGAAUAGCUACUUCAAAUAGAAUAACCACUUCACUUGGAUGAUAAUGAAAGUAACUUGGAAUAAGUGACAGGGUUCAUGGAUUACUUUCAUCUUGGAAUGUUUCAGAGAGUUUAGCUUUGUGGCUUAUAUAUGGAGGUAGUUAAGAGGUCUUCCUCUUAACCUUUUGCUGAAGUACAAGUGUUUCACCAUCCUACCUUGUUCUCGUAUACCUGUUCACAUGCACCUUCUUCUCUUGUACCUAUUCAUGUAUAGGUUUUUCUCUUGUACCUAUUCUCGUAUAGCUUCUUCUCUUGUACUUGUUCACGUACAGCUUCUUCUCUUGUACCUUUACACGUGUACCGCUUUUCUAUUACCUUUUACUCAAGAACAAGUCUUAUUACACCAAAUUACGAUAACGGUUACUAACAUUAGUGUUCUUCAUAAUAAUGUCAUUUAUUAAGGGCAAUAAAGUCUAUUAUUGAGUAAUUGCCUUUUUGAGCACUAUAUAUAGAGCCUCACAAUUCAUUUAAAGGGGCUUUCCCUCUCGGAGUUAACACAUUCUCCUCUAGAAAGCUUCUCUCUCUAAAUUAUCUCUCUAAUUCUCUUCCAUUCCCUAAUUCUCUUCUUGUUCUCUUCCACCCGCCACUACACUUAGUAUCUCAAGAACUACUCCAAUCUUCCUUUCUGCCACCUUUCGCGCAUCCAUUUACUUGUUUACAACAUUUCCUCUCCUUAUCACAAGAACCCCAUUUACAUUUUGGCAACCCCAUUGGGGAAAAGUGAUUGCAUAAAGUAAAAGCUUACUAGAAAAACUUUACGUUACUAGAAGAGAUGGAUAGUUCCUCUAGUAACCAAGAUGCACCCAUUCCAACCUACAUCCAGGAGCUUAUGAAAAUGAUUGAAGCUUCUUGAGAGAGAAUGUAAAUGUUGGAAGACAACAACAAGCGGAUGUUGGAGACCAUAUCUCAACUUGCAUCCUCCACUCCCACCAUUUUUCAAGCUCAACCUAUACACCUUAACGGCGAUGAGGAUGCAAUUGAUGGAUCCACUCCUCUAGUUGUAAACACAAAUGUGAAUGGAGGAAACAGAGAAAAUGUAGUUGAUGUGGUAAGUGUUGAAAAUCCCAAUUUGAACAACUCUUCUGUGGUAGUUAGGCCAACAAUUACCUCUAUUGCAACAAUCUCGGCAACCACUACUCAAGGCUUUAUGACAAUGAAAGAGCUCCAAAAGUUACUAGAUCAAAAGAAUAAGAGAUUCAACUUUUUGGAAUUUGAUUUUAAAUUUCCUUACCCAGCAAGUAUAACGGUUAAGCCAUAUGAUAAGGACUACAUUAGUCCUUAAUUCAAGAAAUUCAAUGGUAAAACCAAUAAUGCACGAGAGCAUGUUAUGAAGUUUAUGAAAACACUCGGAGUAGUAGGAUUGGAUGAUGACUUGAAAUUGAAGGAAUUCUCUAAAUCUCUCAUUGAAAAGGCUUAUCCAUGGUAUGUUAAUCUCACCCCUAGCUUUGUUGAAUCUUGGAAUCAAAUGUAUAGGAUGUUUGGGAAAAAGUUCUUCUUCUUUACUUAAGAGAAGGUUAAUCUCGUUGAUUUGGGAGGAGAAUAUCAAAAGUCUAGAGAAUACCUCAUGGAAUACAUCUGUAAUACCCCGUAAUUUGCCAUGGUGGCUAAUGAAACUUAUCUGAUGCGAAAUAAGGUUAAUUAUAAUGUUUAAAGGUGAGGAAAGGUGAAAAGAGUAUUUUAAGAUAAAAUAUUUCGCACGCGAGGGAAUAAUAAAAUAAUAAUAAAAUAUUUAUUAGGAAAGAAUUUGAGAGAUAAAAAGUGAUUGGGAAGUGAAUUGAGGCAUAAUAAGGCAUUUUGGGUACCAAGGAGACAAGUAAAAAAUUUUGAAAAAAAUAAUAUUUUAUUAAUAAAAUAAUAUUAAAAUAUUAAUAUUUUAUUCAGUGUCAAAAUUUUUCAUGAAGAAGGAGUAUACGGUUAAUCUAAGUGGGGGAUAGGAAGAACGAGAAAAUUUCAGAGAAAAAUGAAGCUAGUGGGACCCGCGCUUUAUUAAAUAAAACUAACACGAGAAAAAAAUAUAUUUUAAAUAUUAUGGAGAUGCCGCGUUGGAGUACAAGCUUUAUAUUUCGUUUGUAUAUGUGUAAAAGAAGAUAAUAAAAGGAAAUUGGAGUUAAAAGAGUGCUGAGAAGACUAAAUUAAAAAGGGAAGAAACUUGGAGGGUAAAACGAUAAUUUUACGUAAAGUUUGGUCAUAGCUUCCAAAGGAAGCUUUGACUCUCAUCUUUAUCAGCCAUGACCGUCCUUAUCUCCUUGUAGACACCUCUUAUAUAUAUAUAUAUAGUAUAAAAAUAAUAUAAUAAUAAAAUAUAAUAAAAAAACCAAAAAAUAAAAAUAAGAAAUAAAUUGAAAAAAAUAAAAAAAUGGAUGAACAGGAAAAGACUGAGAGUGUGCUCAGCCCCUUCCCCAGUCCAUCAUUACAGGGCAUGAAUGCCCUUGAAAGGCAGUCGGAUUUGGGGGAGAAGUGGUCACCUCCGGCAACCAACCCCUCCUGUUUGCUAGAGCAUUGUGAAGUCAUGCUUAGAAGAGCAUGAUUUCACCUAUGGAUUGUCCAAAAUUUUGGACAAUCUAGUUCUUAAAAGGGGGGUUUCAAAUCGAUGAGAGGGGAGGGAAAAAUAAUUUUUUUCAGAACAAAAAAACGAGAGAGGAUUCGACAACCAAAAAACCCUAAAAAAGCCUAGCCACCUGCAAAUAAAAAAAUCCCUAGUCUCUAGCAACCAGAAACCUCAAUCCAUAAAUAAAAAAGAUACCCAAAAAAUACAAAAAAUACCAAAAAUCAAUCAUAAAUACAUAAUGGGAAGAGGAGAGUAAAAGGGGUUUUUGAGGGAUUUUUUUGGUAAUUUUUAGAGGGAUUUUAGGGUUUUUGUAUGACUGUUUUGGAGAGAGCUUCAGCUUUUUUUGGGUCAGCAUGGGUUGCCACCAGCUAGCUUAAAGGAGAAAGGAUUUGGGUUUUCUGCUAUCGUCAGCUAGGGAGUGUAGGAGUUAGAGUAUUUGCUGCCAGGUAAAAGAGAGGUGAAGAGGGAGAUUUCGCCAUCGCGAAGGGAGAAUGAGGGAGAAAGACGAUCGGCAGCUACCGGUUAGAGGAGAGAGAGAGGGUCUUUCGGGUAGUCGGCGGCGCUGCCAGUUUUGGGUGGUGGCUGAUGAGAAGGGAAGUUGUUAAGAGAGGGUGGAAGCUUUUAGAGAGAAGGUAGAGAGUUUGGUUUUAGAGAGAGAAGUUGAAAGGAGAAAAUGAAGAAAGGGUGAAGAAAAAGCCUUUUUAUACUUAGGGUUAGGGCAUCAAAAUGGCGUAGUUUUGGCACCCGAAGGCUGUUGGGCAGGAGACUGGACAGUGGGCCUUGGAGCGAAUCACAGGUCAGGCCAAUUAUUUGUGCCAGUUUAGCCCAAUCAGGUAAAAACUUUAACUUUUUUUUAUGGAAAUAUUUGUGUCUUAGGUAGGCCCACUUUAUAUGUUUUUAGGAAUAUUAGGCAGAAUUAAUUCUAAAUUAUUAUAGUGUAAUGUUCUAAAUUUUUUAGAUGAUAUUUUAGACUUAAGAGAUUAAUACAAAUAGAAGAACAUAGAAAUAAUAAAGCAUAAAAAUAAUAAUAUCUUAGAAAAUGUUUAGUUACACAAAUAACUUAAGCUUAGGAAAAUAUUUACUACAAAUAUAUAAGUAACUCUUAAAAAUAUAUAAAAAUAAAAAAUAUAAAUUAAAAAAAUAUAAAUAAUAAUAUGCCGUGACACUAACUACAAGUAUAAUAUCUCGAUGAUAGGAUUUUUCGAAGAUAUUGCGAAGGCGAGUUUCUCUCGAAAAGCUCCCUAGGUGAAAGGAUGUCCCCUAGUCCCACCAGUAUGAUGGGAAGGCUCGGGAAAUAUCUUUAAUAAAAAGGCUUUUGCUCGGAAUAGGUUCAUGUUCAUGAAUACAUUAUUUUUUUUAAGAAAAAAAGUAUGAUAACCCCGAUGAUGGGAUUUACUCGUUAAGCUUACAAAGGCGAGUCUUUCGAGUAAUUCUCUAGGUGAGAGGAUAUCUCCGGAUCCCACUAGCAUGAUGGGCGGAUUCGAAAAAUAUCCUCAAUAAAAGAUAUUCGUUUGGCAUUAUCUCGAUUCUACGCCAUGCAUUACACAAUCGCAUCACAUGCGCGUCAAAUUCGUGAAAAUCAAAUAAAAUAUUUUAAUAAAUAAUAAUUAAGGGAACAUAAAAACAAAUCAAUGGGUUAGGAUAACACAUGAUUAAAUGGUACCAUUCGUGGAACGGGCGUCAUAGGGGUGCUAACCCUUCCCUGUGCGUAACCGUACUCCCGAACCCAACUUUGACCAAAAAACGUAGACUAGUUUAUCGUUCUUUCGACAGACCUAAAAUCAAUUUAGGAUUUCGUCGAAUAGAACAAAUUUCAUAGGUGACCAAUCACAUCGAAAUAAAAAAGAUUGGUGGCGACUCCUAGUUACUCGAUUUUUGCCUGCGUCUGGCGAUCGGGUUCCCAGACCUGGCACGUUGCGACACGCCUCCAGCAAGAUAUUUUUUUCUUCUUCUUGAAGCUUCCAAUGCCAUUUUCAUUUCAAGUUCAUGAAAAUCAAAUUUUUUCAUGUGAUUUCCCUUGUUUCUUUUCAUUUCCUUUCUUUUCUUACUUCUUUCUUCUCCAAACUUCUUGGGCACUAAACCUCCAACUUCUAACCCCAAUUUUCAGCACAUCUAAACCCUAGGAGAAGAAGAAAGAAAAAGAAUGAAAGGAAGAAAAGCUUGGUUUUGUAAUUCAAGCAAGCUAAGGUAAGGAUUUUUGUGUUUUAAGCUCAUCUUUGGUUAAAUGUUUGGAGAAAUAAUGUGUGAAUCAUUUUGGUAGCUUGAUGAUUAAUGUUUUGAAGGAAUAUUGAAGUGCAAGUACGAGUCAAGCAACCAUAAAGGUAAAGACAAAUGAUGUUUUAAGUGUAGUUGAGGAAUCUUGAGAAAAUGGGUAUUGUUGUGUAGUUGACAUUUUAAGUGGCAUAUUGUGAGAAAUUGUGGUUGUUGUGGAAAGGAUGGUUGAACUUGAUAAAUAUCCUUAGAAAAGAUUAAUAUAGUGUUAGUGUCAUAAACAAGUUACUGGUAAUCAUAAUUUAAAGAAUUACGUAAGUAAAAGAUGAAUGCAACUUUGGUAAAAAUUGUGUCAAGAUAAGUUAAGUUGAAUAAGGACUCGUGAUUGAAUGAAAAAGGGAAGUAUAAACGAUGUAUGCUAAAGAUAUUGAAUUGGGAUUGUUGCUAGGAAAUGCAACAGUAAAGGUAGCGUACUGUGGUGAUGUGCCGGGGGAAAUAACGAGCGACCGGCAAGUAGAAAUAGCUAGAUACGCCUCCGAACAAAUAGCGAUGUACUAUCCCACUAUAGUAAGGUGAGUGACCUUGCAUUGAAAAUAUUUUGGAAAAAUGUAUUGGUAUUUAGACGAAGUGUGUGAAUGAUUUUUAUUUGAUUUUUCCUUAAAAAUUAUGCAUGGGAACAAGCCUUUAUUAAAACGUUUUAUAUUGUGAGUGUGCAAUAUGAUGAAUCCUUGUGCCUUAUAUGAUGUUGAUAUAAAUAUAUAUGUUGUGUAUUGAUAGUUAAUAUUGUGUAAUAAAUAUAACCGUGCGUGUGCGCGAUGUGGGGGAUGCACAUGCCGGUGAUGACGGGGUGUGGAAGUGUGGAUAAUGAUGUUGAAGUGUGCGAGUAGGGAGUGCACACGAUGAUGUUGAAGUGUGCGAGUAGGGUGUGCACACGAUGAUGUUGAGGUGUGCGAGUAGGGAAUGCACACAAUGAUAUAGAAAUCUGCAAGUAGGGAGUGCACAUGAUGAUAUAUAGUGUGCACAAUGUGGGGGUGCACACGAUGACUCCAGCUAUGUGCACGAUGUAGGGGUUGCACAUGAGCUGGUAAGGCGGUGGUGAUAUUCAUGUUAUAUAUAUUUAUAUAUACAUAUGUAAUAGAAAGUUUAUGAGUAUAAUGUGUGGUUUGUAAUGUAUGUUGCAUCUUGCAUGUUGAACCUUGAAAUCUUGCUAAUUAUCUUCAAAUUGAAUUGUAUUGCAACGAGUUACUCACGAUGGUUUUCGCUGCCAUGAGAAUGAAUCUCGCUGUAGCGAGAAACUCUCAGGUUUGUUUUAGAAACUUGUGCUCUGAAUUUCGCUGCAGCAAGAAUGCCUCUUCGCUGUAACGAGAAUCCUUCGGUCAUGUUUACUUUGUUUAUAUCCUGCUAUGGUUUUCACUCAUUUAUCUUCAUGGAUGAUCUUGGGUUUUUCAACACUAAGAGAUGACUAAUCAAAGUUUUGAAAUAAGGGGUUUUAACAAGAAAUUAAGUUAAAUUGCAUGGUUUUAGCAAAAGUGCAUCAUGAUUUUAAAACUUUCCAUAUCAUAUGCUUGUUUCCUUCAUAUGUUCACUCACUGAGUUUUAUACUCACUCUUUUAAACUUCAUGUUUUUAGAUUCAGAGGCAAUUGGGAUCUAAAUUGAGUUGUCCACGUAUGCUCGCCUUUUUGGUAGGUAUUAUGGCAUCUAAGUAGCUGUACCUUCACCCAUGGUCACUCCGCUGACGGUCAAGAGUCUUAUGCUUGUGUAUACGUAUAAGUAAUGUAGACCACUAAGAUUCAUGUUAAAAAUCAAAUAUGUAUAUUCGAUUACUGAUGCUAUUAUAGGUUGGCAAACAUGUGACAUUAUUUUAAAAUAAUACGAAUGUGAAUAUUGGGUUGCUAUAAAAUGUUACUGAAAUAUUUAUAGUUGAGAAUUACAAUAUGUGGUUUUAGAAAUGAUGGUUGGGAAUGAUGAUCGAGAUUACAUAAAAAGGCUUGCUUGGGCUUAGUGGGAUAUGUCCGUUGGGCCCAUGCGUCAUUCAUGGCCUGGAUUUGGGUUGUGACAACAUCCAACACUUUAGGUAACGGGUGUUACAUAUACAAGAGUCUCAUGAUGAGAAAGAGUUAGUGAAGGUUUGCAUUCAAAGAAUGUUUGACGAGUGUAGGCUGCAUUUGGAGAAUUUACCCCUUCCAACUUUUGCUACCUUGGUGGAAGCAUCACGAAAAACCAAUAAUAUGGUUCUCAAACAAAGGGAAGCUACUCGUUUCGAUAAAAGGAAUACUCUAACAGUGAAUGCAAUUCAAGGAAGAGGAAGAGAAAGAAUAGGCUCUUUUCAAAAGGGAAUAUUCCACAAGAAGAUGCAAGUAAGAGAGUUAUUGAUUGAGAGCAAUAGGGUCCAGAACAACUCGCUUCCCGCUCAUUUAUGAUAUUUCUAUGACUUUGACUCUUCAUUGCUUUAUGAAUUGCAAUUUAACAUUAAAAAAAAUCAUAUUCAGCCGCUAACUUUAUCGCUUAUAUUUUAGCUGUAAUUAUAUUAUAGUAUUGGUCGCAAGCUUUAUCGCUCAUUCCUUGACCAUAGUUCAUCACUCUUACUUUAGCCGCAAGCUUUACUACUCAUAUUUUGGUUGCAAGGAUAUUUUUCUAUUGGUCACAAGCUUUAUCGAUCAUUUUUUUAUCAUAAUUUAUCAUUCAUAUCCUAGCCACUAGCUUUAGUGCUCAUAAUUUGGCUGUAAUGAUGUUAUGCUAUUAGUCGUAAGUGUUAUCGCUCAUUUCUUGGCCAUAGCAUAUUACUCACAAAUUGGCUACAACUCUUACGCUUACUUAUUUUAAGGGUUGAAUUAAUCUCCUUUGCAUCAGGUUAGAGUUAAUCUCCUUGAUGUAAAGUUAAGAGUUCCUUUUGGCCGCAUACAUUGUGAAAUAUGAAUACGUACGCAACAGGAGUAUAACAUUAUUAUUAUUAUUGCAAGAAGAAAAUAGAUAUGAUACCGUAACAACAAAGUACUAGCUCAAAUGAGGUUUGAAAAGAUUAGUCAAUUACAUAUUCCAUAGAAAAGAUCUAUUAUUGACAAAGAUAUCUAAUCGUUCUCGUACUUCAACUUCACGCUUUCUCAGUUAAGCUAUAUUUGUUGCAAUGUUUUCUAAUUCUUUUUCCAAGAAAGAUUUGUUGAGAAAAGCUUUGGCUCUAGAUCUACAAUCAUUAAGGCAUUCAAGUUUGAAUCCAACAUUACAAGCAUCAUCAAAAUCCCGUAACAUUUGUUGCAAUUCUCUGGUGAAGUACUUAUUAAUGGAGCAUGGGAAAUGGCUAGAGCUCUACCCAACACUUCCAUCAUUAAACAAAUGACAUCCAUGUUUUUCAACAAAAAGUUGACUUUCCUAUCACUCUGCUCAGUAUGUGCUACUUGAGUACCAAAAACACUAUUACCAUCUUUGUGUGCUAGAAUUGGGGAGGAAGAACUCUAUCAUAAUCAGUAACAGCUCCAACAUCAUGAACAAUCUCAAUAUUAGGAGUUGCUCCAAAUUAUCGAUGACAACAUCAAGAAUAGCUCUAGCAUCAACUCCAACUUCAGAUACAACCUCAACAGUAGGAAUAACCUCAAUGUUGGGAACAACCUCAGUAUUAGGUAUAGCCUCAUCUCAAAUAACCUAAGGAGUAAGAAUGAUAUUAAUUUCAAAAAACAAAAUGGAUCAACAUCCAUUGGAGUAAAAUAGUAAUAUGUUUAUACCUGGUUCAUAAUGGAGCUCUAAACAUGAGAAGGAAAUAGAACAUACAAAUCAAUAAAAUCAUCAAAAGGGGCUAGCUCACCCUCAACUUCAACUUUAUCAACAUCAAAGACUCAUCAUCAAAUUCAUCACUACGUUUAGAGUCACAUGAUUUUUCCUCAGUCUCAGCUUUAAAAGUCUCUUCCUCUUCGACCGAGUUAAGUUCUACUCUUGCAGUUGUUUCUCUAUAAAAAAAAUAAUGAGGAAAUGAAUUUUAAAAAAAAAAGGUUGAAGAAUAAGUAAAAGAUGAACUUACUUUUUGAUCCACAUGUUUUGUUUGAUGAGUAAGAGUCUGAGGAGCAUCAUCUUCUUCUUCAUUUACAUUUCUUUUCUUUUUGAGAGAAAUCAAGCGCAAGCAUACAUUAGUGUUAUUUACAAGAGGAGUGUAGAGACAAGCUUUAGGAUCAAUUAAAGGCACAACAAAAAAUCUCCAUUCUUCAACACACUCCCUUCAAUAAGCAAACCAUCCAGAAGUGUGGAUACCAACUCUAUCAAAAGCUGGGACAGUACUGUCACGACCCAAUUUUUCGAGCCAUGACCGGCGCAUGAGCUCAAUGAGCAUAGCUCACUAAGCCCAAGCAAGCCUAUCCAUUUACCUUUGCUUAACAAAUUUAUCAUAUCAUGCAUACACACACCUUUUCCCGGGUGUGAACAUAGCCAAAACACAAUGGCAUUAUCGAUAAUAAUAUACAUGCAUUAUACCAGUCAUGUAUUUAGCAAUUUACAUUGCAUACACAUAUUCAUAUUGUUAGAUUGUAUUCACAAUACAAAAGGACCCAUGACUUCCAGCGGAGACAUUUACAAUAAAAGGGAUUACUAUCGAAUGCCAGACACAUACCCAGGAGAUGCACUACGGGGACUCCUCGUUCUAGGGUCCAACAGUCACUUGAUCUGAAAACAUGAAUUUUUAUAAAACGUGAGUACAAUACUCAGUGAGUGAACAAGAAGGGAACAAGCAUACAAUAAGGAAUGUUUCUCGAAAUCAUGAUGCAUUCGUUUUCUCAAAACCAUGCAAUUGUUUUAGCUCCUUUAAACCCCUCAUGUAAACCCCACAUGAGUAAAUCACUUUACAAAAAUCCAUGCUCAACUAUGAUACCAAAGAAAUGGGAAAUAUGGCAAAAACNNNNNNNNNNNNNNNNNNNNNNNNNNNNNNNNNNNNNNNNNNNNNNNNNNNNNNNNNNNNNNNNNNNNNNNNNNNNNNNNNNNNNNNNNNNNNNNNNNNNNNNNNNNNNNNNNNNNNNNNNNNNNNNNNNNNNNNNNNNNNNNNNNNNNNNNNNNNNNNNNNNNNNNNNNNNNNNNNNNNNNNNNNNNNNNNNNNNNNNNNNNNNNNNNNNNNNNNNNNNNNNNNNNNNNNNNNNNNNNNNNNNNNNNNNNNNNNNNNNNNNNNNNNNNNNNNNNNNNNNNNNNNNNNNNNNNNNNNNNNNNNNNNNNNNNNNNNNNNNNNNNNNNNNNNNNNNNNNNNNNNNNNNNNNNNNNNNNNNNNNNNNNNNNNNNNNNNNNNNNNNNNNNNNNNNNNNNNNNNNNNNNNNNNNNNNNNNNNNNNNNNNNNNNNNNNNNNNNNNNNNNNNNNNNNNNNNNNNNNNNNNNNNNNNNNNNNNNNNNNNNNNNNNNNNNNNNNNNNNNNNNNNNNNNNNNNNNNNNNNNNNNNNNNNNNNNNNNNNNNNNNNNNNNNNNNNNNNNNNNNNNNNNNNNNNNNNNNNNNNNNNNNNNNNNNNNNNNNNNNNNNNNNNNNNNNNNNNNNNNNNNNNNNNNNNNNNNNNNNNNNNNNNNNNNNNNNNNNNNNNNNNNNNNNNNNNNNNNNNNNNNNNNNNNNNNNNNNNNNNNNNNNNNNNNNNNNNNNNNNNNNNNNNNNNNNNNNNNNNNNNNNNNNNNNNNNNNNNNNNNNNNNNNNNNNNNNNNNNNNNNNNNNNNNNNNNNNNNNNNNNNNNNNNNNNNNNNNNNNNNNNNNNNNNNNNNNNNNNNNNNNNNNNNNNNNNNNNNNNNNNNNNNNNNNNNNNNNNNNNNNNNNNNNNNNNNNNNNNNNNNNNNNNNNNNNNNNNNNNNNNNNNNNNNNNNNNNNNNNNNNNNNNNNNNNNNNNNNNNNNNNNNNNNNNNNNNNNNNNNNNNNNNNNNNNNNNNNNNNNNNNNNNNNNNNNNNNNNNNNNNNNNNNNNNNNNNNNNNNNNNNNNNNNNNNNNNNNNNNNNNNNNNNNNNNNNNNNNNNNNNNNNNNNNNNNNNNNNNNNNNNNNNNNNNNNNNNNNNNNNNNNNNNNNNNNNNNNNNNNNNNNNNNNNNNNNNNNNNNNNNNNNNNNNNNNNNNNNNNNNNNNNNNNNNNNNNNNNNNNNNNNNNNNNNNNNNNNNNNNNNNNNNNNNNNNNNNNNNNNNNNNNNNNNNNNNNNNNNNNNNNNNNNNNNNNNNNNNNNNNNNNNNNNNNNNNNNNNNNNNNNNNNNNNNNNNNNNNNNNNNNNNNNNNNNNNNNNNNNNNNNNNNNNNNNNNNNNNNNNNNNNNNNNNNNNNNNNNNNNNNNNNNNNNNNNNNNNNNNNNNNNNNNNNNNNNNNNNNNNNNNNNNNNNNNNNNNNNNNNNNNNNNNNNNNNNNNNNNNNNNNNNNNNNNNNNNNNNNNNNNNNNNNNNNNNNNNNNNNNNNNNNNNNNNNNNNNNNNNNNNNNNNNNNNNNNNNNNNNNNNNNNNNNNNNNNNNNNNNNNNNNNNNNNNNNNNNNNNNNNNNNNNNNNNNNNNNNNNNNNNNNNNNNNNNNNNNNNNNNNNNNNNNNNNNNNNNNNNNNNNNNNNNNNNNNNNNNNNNNNNNNNNNNNNNNNNNNNNNNNNNNNNNNNNNNNNCUUGAUCAAAUCCUUGAAUUCCAACAUUUUCUCUUUGAUUUUUCUCACCUAGGGUUUGUUCUUCCCUGGUUUCUCUUCUCUUCUGGUUUGGCUGAUCACUAUGGGAGAAAUGGGCUGAUUUUUAUGCCUUUUAUAAAGAAAUAAUGAAUGGAUGAGAUUUUUGACACAUGUCACCAUUCCAUUGGUCCAAGUGUCAUACUUAGCCAUUAAGCAAUCUCUCUCCACCACACAUUUCUCAUGUUUAUCCAUUUACAGAAUGAAUAAAAUCCCUUGGCCUUGACAAGUGCUAAGCGAAAAAUUUAUCGAUUUGCCCGCGAGGCAAAAAAAUUACGAUUUUGCCCUUUAUACUCCGAAAUGUACCGGAAUCAAAUUAUUUCUACUUUUCAACCUCCAAUAACACUAACAUUGAUCAAUAUUAACCAAAUUGGGCAAAAACUUGUUUUAUAAAAAUUUCCGUUUAGUCCUCUAAUGGCAAAAUUACCAUUUUGGCCUUGUGCUCCAAAAAUACCAGGAAUCAUAAUUUUUUUUCACUACUAAACAUCAUUUUAUACCCCAAUAAUCAUAAUUAUAUUUCAUAUAACUACUCUUGGUCAAAUGUGAUCAAAGCUUGGCUAAAAAUCUCCAUUUUAUCAUCAAAUGGUAAAUGAUCGUUUUGUCCCUAAUCGGUCAAAUUUCCUUAUGGACUCCAAAUUAGACCUUGAACUCCGAAUCACUAUUCUAAGCCAUUAUGUGGGUUUCAAAAUUUUCAAAUUCCUCUUAGAAUUUCUAUUUGAAAUAGUUCAAGGCUCGAUUUAACUUAGUUGUACCACUUGGUAUAAUACCGUCUUUUAAUCCGAGCUUGAUAGGGUCUCACAAGUACAACUCUUAAAUUUAUCUAAACGGAGUUGAAGUCCUACCAUGAGAAAUGAAAAAACGCAAGAAGAAAAACUGAUAGAUGAAGAAAAGUCAAGCGGAGCUGGUUGAUCAAACACAAAUUGGCGUGCCACUCUGUAAGGGGAAUAUACCUUGACAGAAAGAAAAUCUAUAUCUCCACCUGAACUCGAAUUCUCAAUCAUAGAUGGAAUUGGGAACUGUGAACACAUACACAAAAGUUAAUACCAUGUGCACUCAUUCUUCUAGACUGUAAAGGGUGGUGAUCAUAAUAAAUUCUAAAAUCACCAAAUCCAUUUAUGGAUUGCACAUAAGGUUUGGGAUUGAAUUUUUUUGCCACAUCCAUCACUUCAAGAACAUUACCUCUCGGGAGUCGAUCAUGCCAUACCUAAGCUCUAUAGUUGUUCCUAGAUAAAGGGCUAUUCAUAGAAAAAGAUGCAAAAAGACAUGCAUUAGGCACGGGAGUGCAAGUACCAAGCCUUUACCAUAAGCACAUCUGAAUGAAAAAAGCAUCCACAUUAGUCACAACUUUGUAACGCCCAGCUGACUCGACGAUUUUGAGUUGGUACAAGUCUAGCCUCUUAUAUAUAGAUCCUAAAUACAAUGGAGCAAGAGGAAAAUGUAUUCCCUUAAUAAUUUUUAUUGCUAAAGGAACAACUGCUGAAAAGAUACCAUCAUCUGGACACCCUGCUAGUAUGUGUCGUGCCAACCAAAAGAUUAUUAAAGCCACUAAAUCAUGCUUAUGGUCUGGAUACUCAAGAAGGGCAAUCUCAAUUCCCUUAGCAUUGAACUUCUUAUUAGAUACCCCUAUCCCACUAGAGAACCGUGCAACCUUUGAAGUUUUACUCAAACUCUUGAGUAGAUCAAAGAAAAAGUCUCAAAUACACAUCUUUUCUUCAGAAAGUUUAAUAGAGUGAAAAUCUUGCUUCCCUAUACAAAGAAAGUUUUACUCAAACCUUUCCCAUAGGCACAUCUGAAUGAAAAAAGCAUCCACAUUAGUCAAAACUUUGUAACGCCCAACUGACUCGACGGUUUUGAGUUGGUACAAGUCUAGCCUCUUAUAUAUAGAUCCUAAAUACAAUGGAGCAAGAGGAAAACGUAUUCCCUUAACAAUUUUUAUUGCUAAAGGAACAACUGCUGAAACGAUACCAUCAUCUGGACACCCUGGUAGUAUGUGUCGUGCCAACCAAAAGAUUAUUAAAGCCACUAAGUCAUGCUUAUGGUCUGGAUACUCAAGAAGGGCAAUCUCAAUUCCCUUAGCAUUGAACUUCUUAUUAGAUACCCCUAUCCCACUAGAGAACCGUGCAACCUUUGAAGUUUUGCUCAAACUCUUGAGUAGAUCAAAGCAAAAGUCUCAAAUACACAUAUUUUCUUCAGAAAGUUUAAUAUAGUGAAAAUCAUGCUUCCCUAUACAAAGAAGUUCUAAGAGAAUACACACAUCUUAUAAAGUGAAAGUAAAUUCCCCCCAUGCUAUAAUCAUAGUAUGAGAAAAAAUGCUCUAUCUUGUAAGAAUAGCACGCCAUACAUCCAUUCUUUUCUAUCUACGAAUAUUGAGCUUGGAAGUGACACGUACAACAUCAAGUAUUCCAACAGAUGAGGGAAGUUUAACAGAAGUUGGAUUCUUCAACAACUUAUUUACCCACUCUUCCCAACCAUGAAUAAAUUGAAAAUUGGAACCUAGCUUAGUAGUAGAAAGUGGAAACUCACCACGGUCAAACCUUAGAAUGGAUAGUCCUCGAAUACCACUUCUUUUAUGAGAAGGUGCUUCUGAGCAUAGACGAUUCCAAUCAUAUCCAACAAGCUCAGAGGGAUGUUGGUCAACUUGUCUAGCACGAACCUCUUCCCAAAAAUGAUCUUCUCCUCUUUCUCUAAUAAUUUCAUCUUCCCAGUUUUCAGGGACAAAAGGAACUUCACCACUCUUUCCUACUUUUCUUUAGAGAAAUUACUUCAGAAUCAUUACUCUUCCUUUUAUGCGCAUUGGUCUUUUUCCUUGUUGUAACCCUUCCAAGCUCACCAUAAUGGAUCUUUGAGAGGAUAUGCGUCCUAGGCAUAGAGGAAGAUGGAAAAAGAAGCCUACAAACAUGAUCAUGGAAAAAGGGAUAAGUAUACGUAUGCAAUAAUUUUUUUAUUUACUUAUUUAUUAAGCAUAAAACAACAAAACUUAUCAAAAUUAUAGAUUUUGAUAUUAUUAUUAUUUAAAUAAUAUAUAUAAAAUAAAAAAGUUAUAUAUAUGCAAUAUAAAAAUAUAUAUAAUAAAUAAAUAAAACUUAAAAAAAAAUUACAGUUUCAAAUAAAAAUAACAUAAUAAUUAAAAAAUUAUAAUUACAAAAAUAAAAUAUAACUCGUGGCAUAUAUGCCACGAGCUUAAAAGAAAUAGCUCGCUGUAUAUGCUAUGAGCUCCAAAAGAAAGCUCCAUAAUAAAAUUAUAAACAAGUGCCACACAUGGUACAAGCUUCAGCACAAAAGCCAAGUAAAAAAAAAAAAGGGAAACCUAUGUUGUGUCUUAAGACUAAAACAAAAGCAUUGUUUCCAAAGUUCUCUUUUACACUUUUGCUUGUGAUGUGAGCUUCAAACCAAACUUCAAUCUAAUAUAAAUACAAAAAAGACAAGAGAAAAAUUAUGGCUUGUGUUGUAAGCAAUUAAAAAACUAAAGACAAAAUUGCUUUUAAGAAGGGUAAAAAGACAAAAUAAGGUUAAAAUAUCAAAAGCUCUAAAGACAUAGUAAAAGAAGAGAAUGGAAUCCAUGCACUACUCUUCAAAGAAAAAUAUAUAUAUAAUAAUUAUUAUUAUUGACAUCUUCUUCUUAUAAAAUCAAAUAAUUUAUUUAUCUACUUGAAUAUAUAUAUAUAUAAAAUUCUUUCAAUAAAAAAUUUAAUCUCAUGCAUAAAAAUUUUCUUAUUUCAUAUUUUAACUUAGAAAUAUGAAAAAAAAAAUUUCAUGCAAGGGGCAACAAACAUGUAAGCAAAAGAAAUUCAAUUUUUUUUUUGAAAAGCAAGAAAUAUACUAAUAAAAAUAGAGAGAGAACAAACAAGAAAUUAUAAGAAGAAGAAAAACUUACGUGUUCAAAAAGAUUUACAAAAGAACAGACCUUACUCUGAAUUUUGUUUUGCUUAGAAUCUAAAUAAAGAAAAUUGUUCAUAGUAGCUUCAUAAUUAUAGAGCAUAUAGAAUCAAGGUUUUUUAUAAAAAAAAUUAACUCUCUUUUUACUAUUUGCAUCUUGAAAAUAUUAUUCUAUGAAAAUAUAUUGUUAUAUAAUCAAUGAAAUAUUACACUAGACAGUAAUAUGUUAUUACCUAAAACAUUACUGCUUAAGGUGUUACUAUCCAAAACAGUACUACUUAAGACGUUACUGCCUAAGAUGUUAUAGUAUAAUAUGUUAUAGUACAAAAUAAAACUUUUCCCUAAAGUAAUGCAUAAGAAUUAUUCUUAAGUAAGAAUUCUUAUGCAAGGGGAAAAACGUAGAUACUUGAUUUUGGUUAAUACCUAUUCUCUAAAGAAUUAUGUUACAAUAUAAUAUUGUACAGAGAACAACUAAAACAAGGGAAGCGUUACUUCACGCAUAACAAUUAGAACAAGUGAAGCACUACUUCACGCAAAACAACUAGAAUAAGUAGAGCAUUACUCCAUAUGGAACAACUAAUACAAGUAGAACAACUAUUUUGAAUAGAAUAACCACUUCACUUGAAUUACAGCGAAAGCAACUUGGAAUAAGUGGAAAAGUUCAUGGGUUACUUUCAUCUUGAGAUGUUCUGGAGAGUUUGACUUGGUGGCUCAAAUAUGGAGGUAGUUAAGAGGUCUUCUUCUUAACCUUUUCCUGAAAUACAAGUGUUUUAUCCUCUUACCUUGUUCUCGUAUACCUAUUCACAUACACCUUCUUUUGUUGUAUCUAUUCAUGUACAGCUACUUCUCUUGUACCUAUUUUCAUAUAGCUUCUUCUCUUAUACUUGUUCAUGUACAGCUUCUUCUCUUAUAUCUUUUCAUGUGUACCUUUUUUUUAUUACCUUUUUACUUGAGAACAAGUCUGAUUACACACAAUUACAGUAAUGGUUACUCACAUUAAUUUUCUUCAUAAUAAUGUCAUUCAUUAAGAGUAUUAAAGCUUAUUCUUGAGUAACAGUCACUUUUAGCACUAUAUAUAAAGCCUCACAAUUCAUUUAGAGGGUUUUCCCCCUUGGAGUUAACACAUUCUCCUCUAGAAAGCUUUUCUCUCUAAUUCUCUUUUAUUCCUUAAUUCUUUUCUUGUUCUCUUUCACCUAUCACUACACUCAGUACAUCAGGAACUGCUCCGAUCUUCUUUUCUGCCACCUUCGGUGCAUCCUUUUACUUGUUUAUAACAUUUCUUAUCCUUAUCACAAGAAUCCCAUUGACACUGAUCAUUUUUGAAUGCUUUCUAGGUGCAAGAAUGAAGCUAAUGAUUUCAAGUACAAGGCAAUUAUGGAGCUGUGUCCAGAGGAACACUUUCCAAUGAUGUUUCAAUAGCUGUUAAGGUUCUGAAUAACUUCAAGGAAACUGGUGAAGAGUUCAUUAACGAAGUUGGUUCGAUGGGAAGAAUCCACCAUGUCAAUGGAAAGUUAGUUGUUGCACAAUUCUGAUAGGCAAAUGUGCUUAGCUUGCUUGUAUUGAAUAACCAAAUGCUCAAAGAGCUUUGAAAUACAUCAAAUAUCAAGUGUCUAUAGUAAACAAAAUUGAAAACAAUGGUGGCUCUCUAAGAGCUUGAACAAAUAGCUAUGAUACUUAAGAAUUAAAAAGAAAAUGUUAAGGGUUUGAAGAUUUGAAUUUGAGUUUUUAUGUUGAGCUUUAUGUUGUUGAGUUGUAUUGUGCAUUUCUUGAAUUGGAUGAUGCCUUUUCUAUUUAUGGGUACUUUUGCCAAUGGUAAGUUCUUUUCCAUAACAAUUAACAACUUGAUUUUGGUGCAAAAGGGUUUCCCGUCCUUUCCUUUCUCAAAUGUCUUUUGUUAUAGAUCAAUAAAAAGUCUCAAAAACAAUAUUUUGACCACCUACUCUUAAUCUUUUAAUGUACAACAAAAACAACAAUAAAACAUUCUUACAACUUACAAAUCAAAUUUUCUGUUUCAAUGGUUUUAGAAUAAAAGCAAACCCAAACAUAAAAAAAAAAAAAAAGAAAGAAAUAUGAAACCUUUCCCUAUCGAUACUUAUAAUUACUUCAUCUAAUUUUCCUUUUCUAUAUAUGUCAAUUAAGAACCACAGUAUAAAGUUGUGUGUGAAGCUAAAACGUACAUUGCUACGUGAGUGUAACAAAAUGUAUGUUGAACAAACAAUACUACAAGGUAAUAAUAGAUAAUUUUUUUAUGGGCUUGUCUACUAAUUCUUAUUAACAUAAUCUUCUGACAUUUUGAGAGAAAAGAGAAAAUGUUUGGAAGGCAUUUUGAGGAGACCAAUUUCACUUUGAAGCAUCUCAAGGGCAUUGCUCAUUGAAGGGUGACAAAUGGGCUUCAUUUGUAUGCACUAAAAUGCAACUAUUACCAUUUUCCUCACAAUUUUCUUUUCAUCAUCUAUAACGUCUCCCAAGUCUACUUCUCCACCUUGAUCAAAUUGAUCAGAAAUCCAAGAAGGGAAGUAUAUCUGACUUGAUUGUUCAACUGAAACAUUCAAAUUUUUCCUUUUUCCCACAAUUUCCAUCAACAACAUUCCAAAAUUAUAAACAUCAGCUUUAUAUGAGAUGCCACCUAGAUAUUUGUAGAAUAAUUUUGGAGCAAUAUAUCCUAAUGUACCUCGAGCUAUAGUAAGAGACACAAUACUCUCAUCUAUAGGAUAUAAUUUUGCCAGUCCAAAAUCUAAAACUUUUUGGACAAAUUUUUUAUCUAAAAGAAUGUUGUGUGGCUUGAUAUCAAAAUGUAAAAUUUGCAUUUCUCAUCUUUGAUGCAAGUAUUUGAUUGCACGAGCCACUCCAAGAGCAAUCUUUAACAUUUGUUCCCAAUUUAAAGAAAUAUUAUUGUCUCUUACAAAUAUAAUUUUAUCCAAAGAUCCAUGGCAUCAAGUUAUAUACCAGAGCUUGUUUUGAUCCUUCCACACAAAAUCCAACAAGUUGUACCACAUUAACAUGAUGAAUCCUUCCAAAUGGUAGCUACUUCAUUAAUGAAAUCUUGGCCCUUAGCUUUUAACUUUCCCAAUAAUUUUAUUGCAACAAGGUGACCACUUUGAAGUUUUCCUUUGAACACUGACCUAUAACCUCCUUGACCAAGUUUAUCUUUAAAUCCUUAAGUCUUUUUUUUUUAAUUUUAGAAUAAGAGUAUCUAAUUGGCAUGAAAUUGUUUUGACUUUGAAGGAAUUCUUCAAUCAAAUCAUCCAUGGAUAUAUGUUUCCUUUGCAAUUUGUGCGUAACAAGUGCAGCCAAACAUGAUAUUCCCAACAAAAAUCUUAGCAAGAUAAUUCCUCCAAAAAAAUAUAUUAUAAAAAAAAGAGAACAUCAAAAACAAAAAGGGGAAGGGCAUCAAGAAUAGUGCACGUGAUAGUCGUGUGCUUAAUAGAAUUAGUUAGUUAGUUAGUUGGUUAGUUAGUCAACUAAUUAUGAUUUUAGUUAAUUAAAUUAAGUUUAAAUGCUAAUAGUCUUAUAAUCAAAUUUUCUGGUUUCUUUUGAAAAGUUUAUAUAUAAACUAUCUUGUAAUCAUUUAAUGAAAUAACAAGAAUCAAUUUAGUUUUUUUUAUUCCUCAACCGUUUACAUGGUAUCAGAGCAAUUCGAUUAAAGUUCUUGCUGCGAGUCUUCCAAUUUUUUAGCCUUUAUCCUUCAUUCAAAAUUGAAUUCACAAUCCCAUAAUUCCAUCAUUAAUAUUGUUCAUACUCAACUUACAACUUCAAUCAAACAAGUUAAGUCAGAUAAUGGCCCAAAGUUUAAUCUUUUUGAAUUUAUUUUUCCUAAAAUCAUUUUGAAUUAUCUAUUUUGCAUACGCACUCCUCAAUAAAAUGAUGUUAUUGAGAGAAAAUACCAACAUUUAUUGAUUAUGGUUAGAUCUUUUAUUUUUAGUCUUUUUUUUCUACAAAAUUUUUGAGAAAUUUUGUAUCAAUGGCAGCCUACAUUAUUAAUAAAACACAACAUGAAAAGUUGUUUCACAAAACCCAUUUUAUUAAUUACUUCUUAGAGUCUUUAGUUGUUUAUGCUUAACACCAACCCUAUCUCAUAACAAAAAGAUAUGUUAUCCUAUGGGAAAAUUGUCCAUUCAUAGGGUAUCUUAUUAGCAUAAAAAAGGUCUAGACUCUAUGAUUUGACUACACAGAAGUCCUUCAUUUCUAGGGAUGUUAUGUUUCAUAAAAGUAAUUUUCCAUUUCAACACUUGAAACAUGAUUCUAAUAAUCUUAUUACUAUCUUUACAAUACUUAAUUUUAGUUUUAAUGAUUGUAUUUAUGAACGUCCUAUUUUUACAAUACUUGUUUCUCAUAAUUGUAGCUACACUGGUCGAGUAAGGCACCUUAAGAUCAAACUAGAAAAAUUCAAGCUCUUGUUCUUCUAAUCUAAUAGCCUUUGGAGCUCUUCCAUUGUCACAAAUCCCUAGGUAGGAGUAGGUGGGAUUACUGUAUUAGAGGCAGUUACUAGUGUAACUACAGUAAUAGAGUUGGUUGGAUUGGGGUUUGUAGCAACUAUUGCAUCACUUGCAUUUUCUCCAUUUCCUUCAUUCCCCUUAGUUUUGUAACUAGAUAAGUGACUUCGUUAGGUGCACUCUCAUUAUGGUGCACAAGUUGGGUUUAAGAAGUGGUAGUAGAAUAUGCGAGUUGGGAUAUAGUCUUAAUCAUUCACCUAUUAUUGUUCUCCAAUGUUUGCAUCCUCUCUUGAAAAGCUUGGAUCUUUCUCAUCAAAUCUUGAAUGUAUGAAGGAACAAAUGUGUCAAGCCCUACUCUAUUAUAUACUUGUCAUGUCAUUCAUGUACUUGAUAGCAUAUCUACAUACUGGGAUGCUUCGGAGAAUCGUUAAAAGUUGAUAUCGUACCUAGCGGUACAAUUAAGUCAAUUAAAACCUCGAACUAGUUUGAAUAGAGAUUUUAGGAUGUAUUUGAGAGUUAUUGAACUUUAGAAUGUUUUAAUAUGGUGAUUCGGAGUUCGAGGAUUGAUUUGGAGUUAAUUCGAGAAUUUUCAUAAGGUAGGGGCAAAAUGGUCAUUUUGCCACCAAAGGGCAAAAUUGGAAUGUUGGAUGAUAUUUUGACUAAAUUUGAUUAAUUAGAGCAUUAUUUGAAUUUGAAAAGUGAAAAAUUUCAAUUUCGACAUAUUUUCAAACAUAAGGGCAAAACAAUCAUUUUAUGUGUCCACAAGGACGUAAUUGGAAUUUUUAGAAUUUUACACCACCAUGAAACUUGUCAAACCCAUGAAUUUCACCCAUUAUUUUUUUUAAGUGAGAGAUUAUAUGUGGUGGGAAUGAAAUGCUUAAUUGUUAAGUUUUAUGCAUGGACCAAUUACAUGGUGACACGUGGUAAAUUUUAAUCCUUUUAUAAUUCCCUUUAAAAAACCAGCACACACUCCUCCCAAAUCACUCUUACGGCUAGCCAAGCAAGGGAACAAAGAGAAAAAGAGAAGAACAAACCCUAGGAAGGAAAAAUCCAAGAGAAAUUGUUGGAUUUCAAGGAAUCAAGCAAGUAAAGGUAAGAUUUUUUAAUUUUAGCUUGUGAUCUACCUUUCCCAUGCAUUCUUUUUCAUUCUCCAUGGCUGAAAUUCAAGUUUUCAAGAGGGAACCUUUGCUAGCCGAAUCUAGAGAAAGAAGUUUCGGUGAUGAAUUUUGCUAGAUUUCAUAAUAUCCUAGUGUUUUUAGUCAUUUUGUGAUGUUUGGAAGGAAAAACAAGCAUGAAAAUCACAUGUUCUUCAAUAACCCUCAUUUGGUCGAAUUUUCUAUAGGGCAUGUUGAUGAUGGAUUUAGUUGUAAUUCCUGUUAUUUAGCUAGGAAUUGAUGAAUUAUGAUGUUGGAUAUCGAAAUCGAAAUGAAUUUCGAUUACGGUGAAUUAAGUCAUAAUUAAGCUCAUUGAGGUGCUUUGGUGUAUUUGGAAUAUUGGAAGUGUAAUGAAGAUAUUUGGAGUUGAAUUAGAUGUUUUGGCUAAUUAAACAAGGCAUAGUGUGAGUUAGGUCAAAUGCCAAUUCAGUCCGAUCAUAAUUGAACCCACGUAAAACACCGUCUUUAAGUGAUUAUUCGAACAAUUCUCAUUCAAUGUCAUGCAUUCAUAUAGAGCCUGAAAUAGUUUUAUAAUAGUUUGGCACAAAUAUAUUGAAUUACGUGUCGUGUAUUAUGUAUAGGUGGUGAGCCCUCUGAUAAGGGUAAAGAUAUUGUAUCCGAGGAUCGAGAAUAGGAGUACUCCUACCACUCCAAACUCUCGCUAUUGUGAGUAAUCAAAUGUUCAUCUUAGUUAUCUAAAGUGGUUUAUACUUGUUUUAAGAUUUUAAAGAAUAAGGCACUUAAUUUGCAAAUUAUUAUGUUUUACAUUUUAAAUGUUGGUUAAAUGAAUGAGAUUUAUAAAUUAUUCUGAAACUAAAUGUUGAUUUUCGAAAUAGAGUAAGUGGAGGCUAUACAUUAGUAUUAUAUAUAUAUACAUGAUUUGAAUUGAUGGCUUAUGAAAUUGUGGUAGCAUGAAUGACUGAAAUUGUGGUUUUGUGAAUUAUAUAAAUUGUUUUGUCUUACAUUGACAGGUUGGAUAGUNGUAGCAUGAAUGGCUGAAAUUGUGGUUUUGUGAAUUAUAUAAAUUGUUUUGUCUUAUAUUGACAGGUUGGAUAGUACUAUAUUAGCCAUGUUAUGCUACCGAAAUUUUAUUGAUUUGCUGGGUUAUGUAUUUAGCUUACUGUAGUGGGCGGGUUUCCGUGGACCAGUCUAUUAGAGGGGCACGGUUAACCCCGUUAUAGUUUACCUUAGUAUGAGAGGCGCGGAGGGUAUCUCCUAAGGUAAGUUUAGAGUUCACUUCACGCCGAACCAACACGUGAGGGUGAAACUCAGCCAACGCCAAGGAACGGCUACGUUUUUAAACAUAAAAACAUGUUUUAUGUGUAUAUGUUAUUUUAACAGCCUUGGUAAACUCGGUUGGAUGCCCGGGCCAAGGUGUCACCGAGUACGAGUUUUGGCACGAGCCAAGUUUUAAGAGAGUCAUAAGCCUUGCUGAUUAUUUUUGAUGAAAUGUAAUUAUUUUAUAUGAUUUGAAAUGAGUUGUGAAUGUUAUGAAUUAUAUUAUGAUGGGAUGAUUGAAUUGUCUCCAUUUACUCGACUUUAGAUGUUAUAGAUGAAUUUUGCUUAGUCACUGGGUUUGCAAAAACUCACCCCUUCUUUUUAUCCAUUUCAGGCUCAGGACAAUCUGUAGACAACCGAUUUUGUCGAGGGUUGCUUUAAGAUUUACAUCCUUAGAAAUCGAAGGUCUACAGUCUUAUAUAUUUACAAUUAUUGUGGGGUCCACAUGUCAUUGUAGAAUAUUUUGUAUACCUGGCUACGUGUGCCACUGUAUGUAUGAAUUUAUUUUGCUUUUAAGCUACAAAAAUCAUUUAUGCAGAGUUCUAUAAAUAUUGUUUUAUAAGAAAAUAGAAUAUUUUAUUUAAUAUUUUUAUUUAGUUUGAUUAGCCAAAAUUUUAUUUUAAUUGGAUGAUUUAGAUUACUACAAUUAUUUUUAGAUAAGAAAUGUAUAUUUUUCGAUCGUAUGUUGUAUUUUCACCAAGUUUCAAAAUUUUUGGGUAAAAAUGACCAAAAUACCCCUGUGUGGCAUAAAUUACUUUUGUUUGUUUUUUAUCUAAAAAUAGUUUAUAUUCUCUUAAAACAUGACAUUUAGUAACUGUUGCUCACAAGGGAGACGUAAAAUUGAUACAAGAGCCUUGCGAGGUUUCAGUUGACAUUUUGGGUAAUGAAUGUCUAUCGAGACAUCGCGGCGGUUGUCAUGGGCUCGAAGGGAGUAUCGGGUCAUGACAAAAUGCAUCUUGGUUGCUAGUAAACUCUUUAUCUUUUCCAAUAACACAAAGUUAUUAUAAUAAGAGUUUUACUUAAUGCAAUCACUCCUCCUUAGUGGAGUUGCCAAAAUGUAAAGGGGGUUCUUGUACUAGGGAGACGAAGCAUUGCAAACAAGUAAAAGGAUGUACCGAAGGUGGCGAAGAGGAAGAUCAAGGUAGUUCCUAAAGUACCAAGUGUCAUGGCAAGUGGUAGAGAACAAAAAGAGAAUAGGUAGAGAAUGUAUAAGAGGGCUUGAGAGAAAAGCUUUAAGUGAGAAUAAGGUAGUUCUCAAAAAAGUCCCCAAAUGAAUUAUGGAGGCUCUAUAUAUAGUGCCAAAAAUGACAAUUACUCAAGAAUGGGCUUUAAUGCAUGUAAUGAUUAAUGACUUUAAUAUUAGGUGACCGUUACUAAGUUUUUAAUGUUGAGUAAUGGUUAAAAGUCCAUUAUGUGACUAUUAAAGUAAUGGAUUUUAUGACCGUUAAUAACAUAAUGAGAUAUAUUAUUGAAUAGAGAGUAAAUGGAAGAUGUACCUAAGAAAAGCUAUACAAGAACAAGUUAAGGGAAAAAGGUGUAUGUGAACAAGAAUAAGAGAAUAAGGUAAAAGAGAGAAACACUUGUACUUUAGAAAAAAGUUAAGAGAAGACAUGUUAACUACCUCUAUUUUGAGCUAUGAAGCCAAACUCUCUAGAACAUCCCAAGAUGAAAGUAACCCGUGAACCCUACCAUUCGUUCUAAGUUAUUUUCAUUGCAAUCCUUAUGAAAUGGUUAUUCCAUGAAUGCUUGAUUUGUUCUAGUUGUUCUGUGUGUUGGUUCCAUUAGUUUUUGAUGAUAAUAAAACAUUUCCAUACAUUUGUGUCUAAUGCCUUUCCUUAAGUGUGCAAGAAAAUUAAUGUAUGAAAUUAAUAAAUCAAUCUUGCAAAAGUGUAUAUCAAAAGAAAAAGAAAGAUAAAAAUGAUAAGACAUGACUGCCUAACAAGGAGGAAGCUCAUUACUUGAAUAAGGAAGAAUGUUGGUUGGCCAAGAUUCAAAUUGGAGAAAUGACGGGCUGAAGAUUAUUGAGAAACAGAACCAACUUAAUCGACCAAGAAAUGAGCUAGUCGACUAAAUGCUUACUUCCAAAACUGCUAGAGACAAGGAGCAGAAAACAAAGACAACUUAGUCGACUAAAAGCAUUCUAUCUGCAAGUUUGAAAACUGCACCAAAAAACAGAGUAACGGCUAGAACCGACUCCCAACAGUCUCCAAUGGCUAGAAAAUUGUCAAACUGCCAUCAGGGAUUUUUCUCCAAGUAUAAAAGGGUCUUCCAACAGUUAAAAAGUAGUUCUUGGAAGUAUUAGAAAGAUUUGAACCACAUAAGAGUUGAAAAACCAAAAAAUUUCUCUUGUACCCUGUCGCACCUUAACGCCCAUUCUUUGUACUUGUAUUAUGCACUCAACCUUGUGUCAUUUAGAUGAACUUGUGAUCAUAGGUACUUUCUUUUACUUCUUUUCUUGUAUUCUUAGAGUGAGGAAGUCACUCUAAGGAGUUAUUCAAGCUUGGGAUAGCUUGAUUGUUAUAGGUUGUGGUUGAGCUUUGGAAAAACCACUUUGGGUUACAGUUGAGCCCGGGGAAAAAUAGUGUAAAAGGUUUUGGCUAAGCCUUGUAAAAGCCAUUGUAAAGCUUGGUGAAAGCUUGUGAAUUUCACUAGUUCUUAGUGGAUUGUUUGGAAAAUCCUUGGUUGGAUAAUUAAGAUAGUGGAUGUAGGUCCUAGACCGAACCACUCUAAAUUCUGCUGUCUUGUUUACUCUAUUUUUGUUUUAUUUUCUUUCCUUCAUUUGUCUCACUUUGUUUACACUUAGAGACAAUUUUUGAAAGAGCCAAAUUAUGCUAUUCACCCCCUCUCUAGCACAUAUUAUUGGGACUAACAAGUGGUAUCAGAGCUAGUUCCCUGUUAUUAAGGUCUAACACCCUUUGGGAGGAUCCAAAUGGCUCAACUAAAAUCAGUAGUGGCUAAGGGACAAUCAACAAACAGACCACCUCUGUUUGAUGGCUCUAAUUACCCUUAUUGAAGCACUAGGAUGUCAAUCUAUAUUAGAGCUAUAGACUAUGAAAUGUGGGACGUCAUAACUGAUGGACCCUUUAUGCCCUUAACCGUGAAUGUGGUGACAAAUGACUUGAUGCCUAAGCCAAGGUCUGAAUGGACCGAGGCUGAAACUAAGAAAGUUCAAAUAAAUUUUAAGGCCAUCAACACAUUACAUUGUGCCUUGACCCCCACUGAAUUUAACAAAGUUUCAAGCUGUACAGCAGCUAAACAAGUGUGGGAGAAACUUAAAAUAAUCCAUGAAGGGACUUCUCAAGUAAAUGAGUCCAAAAUUGCCCUCUGAACACAUAACUAUGAAAUGUUCAAAAUGGAGCCUGGUGAAGACAUCACCAGCAUGUUAGAUAGGUUUACAAACAUUACAAAUAAAUUGAGUCAGCUAGGCAAGCCUAUCCCUGAACAUGAAUUAGUAAAAAGAUUGCUUAGGAGUUUACCAAAAAAUUGAAAGCCAAAAGUGACUGCAAUCCGAGAAGCAAAAGAUCUAAAUGUUAUCACCUUAGAUGAGAUUUAUGGCUCUCUCCUAACUCAUGAGCUGGAGCUUAAAGAGGAAGAAGAAGAAGAUAGGAGGGAAACAAAGGAAAAGAAAAAGAGCAUUGCACUUAAAGCCAACAUCCUUGAGGAAGAGCUGGAAGAGUUGUCAUGUGAUGAUGAUGAAGAGUUAGCUCUGGUUGCAUGAAAAUUCAAAAAGCUUAUGGGUAGAAGAAACUGGAGACUGGCUAGAAGAGGGUUUAGAAAAGAUCAAGGUGCUUCAUGAAAAAUCAGAAACAAAAAUGACUCUUAACAAAAAGGAGGAGCUGAUCUGCUACGAAUGCAAGAAACCUGGUCACUUCAAGUCCGAGUGUCCAUUGCUGAAAGAUGAGACUCCAAAGAAAAAUAAGAAAUCCAAGAAAGCAAUGGUGGCUGUUGCAUGGUCGGAUAGUGACACAUCAAGCUCUAAAGCUGAAGAUGAAAAAUCUGAGGAAAGAGCAAACAUCUAUUUGAUGGCACAAGAGGAUGAAACAGAGGUAUCCUCAUCCCCCUGUGAUAUUUCCAUUGAUGAUUUACAGGAUGAGUAUGAUAGCCUCUGUGAUGAAUUUGAAAAACUUUUUUCAAAAUACAAAACAUUAAAGAAAAAGGCUGGAUCUAUUAAAAAUAAUUUGGAAAAGAUGAGGCAAGAGUUCAAUUUUAUUUUUGAGCAAAGAAAUAUUUUAUACAUUGAGUUAGAACACUCAAAGACAGAUUUUGAAGUUUUAAUAUUAGAGCUAGAUAAUAAGUCUGAUGUUGUGCAAAAAUUACUUGAUGAAAACACAACUCUCAAAUGUUUGAAAAAUGAAUCUUCAAAAAGAUAUGCAUACCAUAAUAAAAAUUCUGCUAAUGCAUUACCUAGAUGCUAUAAUUGUAUUUUGCAUGGUCAUUUAUCAUAUGAUUGUUUUAAGAAAAGAAAUGUGCAGAAAAUCAAAAAAAAUUGGGUUCCUAAAGGAUCCUAUAUUACAACUAACACUCAAGGACCCAUCAAAGUAUGGGUACCUAUAAAGAAAAACUGAAAUGCUAUUUUGUAGGUUGAGCUGUACUUAAAGGAAGCAUGUUUAAGAGCUCAACUCAAAAAGAAAUAGCCUUGGUAUAUGGACAGUGGCUGUUCACAUCACAUGACUGGAGAUGAAAUGAUGUUUGCUUAGCUAGACAAAAGAAAAGGAGGUACCGUAUCCUUCGGUGAUGAUUCAAAAGGUAGAAUUCAUGGGAUAGGUACGGUUGGUAAGAACUCCCAAACUCAAAUUAGUCAUGUGUUGUUAGUGAAGGGUCUAAAACAUAAUUUAUUAAGUAUGAGUCAAUUAUGUGACAAAGGGUUUAAAGUGUGUUUUGAUUCAACUAAGUGUGAAGUAAUAGACAUAGGUACAAACAAAGUUUCAUUUAUAGGAAAGAGAUUAAAAAAUAUGUAUGUUGUCUUUCUUGAAGAUCUUGAAAUUAAUAGUGAGAUAUGUCUUGUUGCAAAUGCUGAAAAUAAUAGUUGGUUAUGGCAUAGGAGAUUAGGACAUGUAAGCUUGCACACUAUGUCAAAAUUGAUUAGGAAAAACUUAGUUGUUGGGCUGUCGGAUUUAAAAUUUGAAAAUGAUAAAAUAUGUAAUGCUUGCCAACUAGGAAAACAAGUUAGAACAUCCUUCAAAACUAAGAAGAUUGUGUCAACAUCUAGACCUCUUGAAUUGUUGCAUAUUGAUCUAUUUGGUCUAAUAAGCACAACUAGUUUAGGAGGAAAAUCUUAUGGCUUUGUAAUAGUUGAUGACUAUUCUAGAUAUACUCGGGUUUAUUUUCUUGAUCAUAAAAAUGAUGCUUUAUCAGCUUUCAUAAGUCAUUGUAGGAAAGUAGAAAAUGAAAAAGGACCAGCCAUAGUUAGCAUAAAGAGUGAUCAUGGAGGAGAAUUUGAAAAUGAUGAAUUUGAGAAAUUCUGUAAUAAAAAGGGGUUAGUCACAAUUUCUCUGCACCUAGAACACCCCAGCAAAAUGGAGUUGUAGAGAGGAAAAACCAAACCUUAAAGGAAAUGGCUAGGACUAUGCUAUGUGAGAAUAACCUACCAAAAUAUUUUUGGGCUGAGGUAGUGAACACAGCAGCUUAUAUACUUAAUAGAGUCUCAAUAAGACCCAUGAUAUCUAAGACACCAUAUGAACUUUACAAGGGUAAGAAACCAAAUAUUUCUCACCUUAGGAGUUUUGGCUGCAAAUGUUUUGUAUUGAACAAUGGAAAAUAGCCCUUAGGGAAGUUUGAUGCAAAAAGUGAUGAAGCAAUAUUUUUAGAAUAUGCAUUAAACUCAAAGGCUUAUAAGGUUUUUAACAAAAGGACUUUAACCAUUGAAGAAUCAAUCCAUGUGGUUUUUGAUGAGUCAAAUGCUUUACAAAAUGAAAUCCAUGUUGAUGAUGAUGAUGUUGAAAUCUUAGAAAAACAAAUGGAAGAAAUGAGCUUAGAAAACAAUAAUAAUAAUGAAGAAAGCUCAUCUAGAAGAGAAAAUGAAACUCCACCUCUAGAAGAUUUGCAAAGAACACAAAAUCAGCAUAAUGACAUUCCAAGAAGUUGGAGAUUUGUAAAAGACCAUCCACAAGAUCAAAUAAUAGGUGAUAUUUCUCAAGGAGUUGAACUAGGAAAGUAACAAGAGAAACAUGUGAAUUUUCAGCAUUCAUAUCUCAAAUUGAGCCUAAAAACUUUGAAGAAGCUGAAAAUGAGGAAAGUUGGAUAAUGACCAUGCAAGAGAAACUUGACCAAUUCAAAAAAAAUCAUGUAUGGUCAUUAGUACCUAGACUUUCAAAUCACCCUAUUGUGGGCACAAAAUGGGUGUUUAGAAAUAAAGUAGAUGAGCAAGGAAAUGUGGUUAGAAAUAAAGCUAGGUUAGUAGCCCAAGGAUACAACCAAGAGGAAGGAAUAGACUAUGAUGAAACCUUUGAACCGGUUGCUAGAAUUGAAGCCAUAAGGUUGUUGUUAGCUUUUGCAUGCUUCAAGAAUUUCAAAUUGUACCAAAUUGAUGUAAAAAGCGCAUUUUUAAAUGGAUUCAUUCAAGAGAAAGUAUAUAAAACUGGACCCUAUAAACAAAUGUCAUGACAUACAUGCACUGAGUAGCAUGUUAUUACGCUAGGAAAGUCCUAAGAAUAGACGAAACUCGGUAUUGUACCUAACGGUACACUUGAGUUGAUUUAACCUCAAACUAGUUCAAAUAGGAAUCGUAGGAUGAAAUUUAAUAUUUGACAGUCAAGGAAUGACUAAAAAUUAUUGUUCGGAGUUCAAGGGUUCAUUUGGAGAAAAAUUAGAAAUUUGAUGUUCAGGGGCAAAAUCGUCAUUUUGCCACCUAAGAUAAUAAUUUGAUCAUGGAGUGAAAUUUUUGACCAAGAUUAACUAUUUGGAGUAUAAUUUAAUGAUAGGAAGUGAAAAAGUUUAAUUCUGGUGAUUUUUGGAGUGUAGGGGCAAAAUCGUAAUUUUGCCACCCACGGACAAAAUUUGAGAUUUUGAGAGAAUUUAGAUCAAAUUUGACAAAUUGGAGAAUGGUAUGAGUAUAAGGGAUGAAAAAUAUGUCUAUGGGCAAUUUUUCAAUUUUUGGGGCAAAAAUGUAAUUUUUGACUUUUACGGGGGUAAAAGUGUAAAUUUUAAAAAUUACUCCACCGAGACUUUGGAUAAGUCUGAGAAUUUUAUCUAAGCUAUGGAUAUGUGGGACAAGUGUAUGGUGAAAAUUUGGAAACAAAUGGAUGAAAUUUUAAAAAUGGGCCAAUGGGAAAGUGACACGUGGCAUUUUUUAAUGAAAUAAUAUUAUUUUAAUGAAAAGUCAGCCAUUUAAACCCAAAUUUUGAGUGCUGGCCGGCCAUAAGGAAGAACAAGAGAGGAAAUAGAGAGGAAAGGAAGAAAAAAAGAAAAACCAAAGAGAAACAAGAAAAUUCAAAGGGAAAUUCGCGGUUUUCGACCGUUUACGCGUCUAACGGUAAGAUUUUUCGAUUUUAGCUUGAUUUCUACCUUUCCUAUGCCUUUAUUUCCAUUUAGCAUGCUUGAGGAGAGAGAUCAAAAAGUGAUAUCAAGGGCUGGACGAAAUUCUAGGGGAGAGAAAUUGAAAUUUUUAGGUUUUGAUUUUUAGUUAAAUUGAUAGUUUUAGUUAGUUAAAUGUGUUUAGAAAUUAAAUUGGGCAAGAAAUCAUUAAAUUUUCACAAUACCCACUCUUGGCUGGAUGCUCAAUGCUGUACAAUGAUGAUGAAUUGAUUUUAUUCUAAGGAAAAUGAAGAGAAAAUGAUGAAAAACGAUUAAACGUGAUAGAAAAACAAAGUAGAAAAUUAACCGAGUUAAUGUCCCAUUUUUGGCCGAAUUUUCCAAGGAAGGGAGUGAGCUGAUUUUGUUGUUUUUAGAAGGUUAUUGGCUGAUAUUUAAUGGUUAGAAAUGUUGGAGAGAGAAUGGGACAAUUUAGAGCUAAAAUGGAGCGCGUUAGCAAUUUAUAGGGUAAAGUGCCAAAAAUAGGUUAAUUCCGCUUUUAAGCCAUUUUAGGCUAUUGCAUUUCAUACCAUGCAUUAGUAUAGGAUUUAAGUCAAUUAUAUAGUGAUUUAGCAUCAAUGUGGUGAAUUGUGUAAUUUUUGCAAUGUGUCGAGGAGGAGAGCCUUCCGGUAAAGGCAAGAAAGUCGUACCCGACGAACAGUGAUCGGGGCACCUAGGAAGCAUUUAGUUUAUACAAACUGUGAGUAAACCUAUUAUUAUUGUAAUUAUCUAGAGUUUAUUUUUAAAUGAUCUUCAUGGAUUUUAUGAAACGAAAAUGAGAUUAAAAUGGGAUUUUUGAUGUUUUGGAAAUAAAUGUGACAAAUAAAUAUAUUGUCUUGAUUAUCUGAAAUAAGAAACUUUUGAUUAUGAAAUUGAGUAUGGGACGCUGCCAAUUGUCUUGAAAAAAAUAUAUUUUCCUAUGAAUGGCUUAUGAUAUAUGAGUAUAUGUGGCUAUAUUUUAUAAUUGCAUUGGAAAUUUAUGCAAGCUGUCUUUUACUAUACAGGCUGGGUAAAUAAAUAAAAGCCACGUUAUACUGUCAAAAUUUUAUUAAAAUUGGUGGGUUUAGUCACUGCAGUAACGGGUUUUCGUGGACUGCCUAUUAGAGGGGCACGGUAAAUCCGGUUAUAUAGUUACUCUGAUUGUAGAGGCGAUGAGGGUAACUCCCGGGGUAGUGUUAGAGCUCACUUCACGUCGAACCCCCACGUGAAUGUGUAACUCGGCCAACCCCAAGGAACGGCUUGUUUUCAAAACUAACAUGUGUUUAACAUGUAAAUAUCUUAAGAACCUUGGCGGACUCGGUUAGAUGCCUCGACCAAGGUAUCCCCGAGGACUAGUUUUGGCUUGAGCCCUGUUUUUAAUAAAAGUUAUAAGCCUUAACAACUGUUUUGGUAAAUUACAAAUAUUUUAUGGUUUAAGAAAUAAAUUGAAAACCUUAUGAAAUGGUUUUUAAUUUGUUGUUUAAACUUGCCUCCAUGUUACUCGCCUUUAGAUAUUUAUGAUAAUGUCUGUUUACUCAUUGGCAUUGCAAAAUCUCACCCACCUCCUUUCCAAAUAUUUCAGGCCUGUGGUAGCUUGUAGAUACCGAUUUUGUCGAGAAUUCCAGUUGACCCCUCUAUCUCACAGAUAGUAGGUUUCUAUCGCCAACACUUGGUGUAUUUAUGGGCCACUUGUCAUUGUAAUUAUUAUUGUACAUUAUAACUUUGUAAAUUAUUGCAUGUAUGAAUUUAUUUUACUUCUAAGUUACAAAAGAUUACUUACACGUGUUUCUAUAAAUAAUGUUUUAUAUAAAAAUGCUAUAUUUUUGUCUUUGAUUUACUUGAGUCAGAAACGAUUGAAAAUUGUUUAAAACUGAUAUGUAAGCCUUGCGGGGUUCUUAUUGGUAGUUCGGGUAACGAGUAUCAAUCGGGACAUCGCGACGGUUGUCAUGGGCCCGAGGGAGGUUUUGGGUCAUGACAAAGUAUAUGUUGAACAACCACCAGGUUUUGAAGAUUUUGAAAAACUAGAUCAUGUUUUGAAACUCCACAAAGCAUUGUAUGGAUUGAAACAAGCUCCUAGAGCCUGGUUUGAGAGGCUUUCAAAAUUUCUGGUUGAAAAAGGGUAUGUUAGAGGCAGCAUUGAUACUACAUUGUUAAUUAAAAGAUAUCUAAAUGAUUUAAUUGUUGUGCAAAUAUAUGUGGAUGAUAUUGCAUUUGGUGCAAAUAAUGAGGCUUUAUGCAAGAACUUUGCAAAAGAAAUGCAAGGUGAAUUUGAGAUGGGCAUGAUGGGAGAAUUGAAGUACUUUCUUGGUAUUCAAAUUAAGCAAAGUGAGGAAGGAAUCUUCAUCAACCAAGAAAGGUACACUCAAGAUAUGCUCAAAAAGUUCGAUAUGCUAAAGCUAAAACCAAUCUCCACACCAAUGAGUCCAUCCACAAGACUUAAUCUUGAUGAAAAAGAAAAGAAUGUAGAUCAAAGGCUAUAUAGAGGUAUGAUUGGUUCACUACUUUACUUAACAGCAAGUAGACCAGAUAUUCAGUUUAGUAUGUGUUUGUGUGCUAAAUUUGAGUCACAACCUAAAGAAUCACACUUAACAGCUGUUAAGAGAAUUUUUAGAUACCUCUUAGAAACUCAAACUCUAGACAUAUGGUAUUCUAGAAAAUCAACUUUUAGCCUAGUUGGAUAUUCGGAUGCUGAUUUUGCUGGCAGCAAAGCUGAUAGGAAAAGCACUAGUGGAAUAUGACAAUUUAUUGGUAGUAUGCUAGUGUCAUGGUCUAGCAAAAAGCAAAAUUCAGUGGCUUUAUCUACAGCAGAAGCAGAGUAUGUAUCAUUAGGUAGUUGCUGUGCCCAAAUAUUGUGGAUUAAACAACAAUUAGAGGACUAUGGGUUAUCAAUGCAUAACAUACCAAUACACUGUGACAAUACAAGUGCAAUUAAUAUUUUAAAGAAUCCUGUGCAACACUCUAGAACAAAACACAUUGAGAUUAGACAUCAUUUUGUUAGAGACCAUGUAGUGAAAAAUGAUGUUAAAAUUGAAUUUGUGAAUACUUUGCAUCAACUAGUUGAUAUUUUUACUAAACCGCUGAAUGAAGAUAAAUUCUAUGAAAUUAGAAGAAAUCUAGGUAUGAUUAGUCAGCAGGAAUUGUGAGAAAACCUUUGGUUCAUGAACAUGAAAAAGAAUGCAUUUAGUAGACUAAGACGAAUCUUAGUCAACUAAGAGUAUUCUGGUAGCAUUAAAUAAUAAGACUCAGUGAAUAAAAUAAGAAAGGAAUAAAAUAAUAUAAAGAAUGUGUGUACCGGGUGAUAAGGAAAGAAGAAAUACUGCCUAAAAAGAAUAACCAAAAUUUAGAGGGAGUUUUGAAAUUUUGAGCAAAUAGAAUAGGGCAAUAUUUAAGGGGGAGGUGAAUGGUUUUCUAAGAGAAAUUAAAACUGCUGACAACUUCUUUUUCACCAUUUUCUCUCCCCUGAAACUCAAAAAUCUGAAACCGAAAUCCUUUUCUCUCCACUUUCUUGCCUUUGAAACUGACUCAUACCUAAACCAAAACCCUCAAACCCAAGUAAGAAAUUUUUAGAAUCAAAAUGGCAAAAAUCAUCUCAAAGUAGAGAAAUCACUGACAAGAAGAAGGGAAAGAGACCAGUGGAAGAAAGAUCAGAAAUAAAAGUACUGAAAAAGAAACAGAAAAUCACGUCUGCUUUAGUGAAAGAGAUAUAUGAGAAACUGAAAGAAAAGAGGCAGAAAACAGAAAAGAAGAAGGACAAGGAAUCCACCCGCAAGAAAGGUACUAGUUCUUCCUCUUCUAAGUUCAAAAAUAGGAUGCAUGAACUAAGGUUCAGAAAAAUUGAGAAUGCACCUAUAACAUGUGGCAAAUAUAUCGACUGGAAGAGUUUUAAUGAGAACUUAGAAAUUCAGACAAGUUUAUCCGACUAUUUUAAUGAACUGAAACUGAAAGGAUAUAGCACUUUUAAGAAUAGAUCUUACUGUGCAAGUCUGGUAAAGGAAUUCUAUUACAGCAUUGCUUUAGGAGAAAAAGAAUUAGAGGAUUCUGAUGACUAUGUCGAAAAUGGUUUGAAUGUGUAUUUAAAUGGGAAAGAAUUUGUAAAGCUCGAUCUUAUAAAAUAAUUGUCAUAACAUACAUGUGAUGGAUAGCAUGUUUACAUACUAGGAGAGCCUCGAAAAAUCAACAAAAGUCGGUACUGUACCUAGAGGUACAAUAAAGUUGAUCUAAGCAUCGAACUAGGUCAAAUAGGGAUUCUAAGGUGAAAUUCAAAAUUUUACAGUUCAGGAAUGACUUAAAAUGGUGAUUCGAAGUUCGAGGAUCAAUUCGGAGUCAAAUUAGAAUUUUCACUAUCCAAGGGCAAAAUGGUAAUUUUGCCACCUAAGGGAAAAANNNNNNNNNNNNNNNNNNNNNNNNNNNNNNNNNNNNNNNNNNNNNNNNNNNNNNNNNNNNNNNNNNNNNNNNNNNNNNNNNNNNNNNNNNNNNNNNNNNNNNNNNNNNNNNNNNNNNNNNNNNNNNNNNNNNNNNNNNNNNNNNNNNNNNNNNNNNNNNNNNNNNNNNNNNNNNNNNNNNNNNNNNNNNNNNNNNNNNNNNNNNNNNNNNNNNNNNNNNNNNNNNNNNNNNNNNNNNNNNNNNNNNNNNNNNNNNNNNNNNNNNNNNNNNNNNNNNNNNNNNNNNNNNNNNNNNNNNNNNNNNNNNNNNNNNNNNNNNNNNNNNNNNNNNNNNNNNNNNNNNNNNNNNNNNNNNNNNNNNNNNNNNNNNNNNNNNNNNNNNNNNNNNNNNNNNNNNNNNNNNNNNNNNNNNNNNNNNNNNNNNNNNNNNNNNNNNNNNNNNNNNNNNNNNNNNNNNNNNNNNNNNNNNNNNNNNNNNNNNNNNNNNNNNNNNNNNNNNNNNNNNNNNNNNNNNNNNNNNNNNNNNNNNNNNNNNNNNNNNNNNNNNNNNNNNNUUGUUUGAUUUUAAGUUAUGUUAGUGAUUAAGGUUAGUUUAGUAUAUUUAGAAGCAAAACAACAAGAAAAGAAUCCAUUUUCCCCAUGAAUCUUCAUUGGCCGAAUCUUCCUUGAUGUGUGUGGGUGAUGGAUUGUUAUUAUUUCAAGAGAAAUGGCUUAGAAAAUGAUGAAUAAUGGUGAGAAAAUUAAGUAGAAAAAAUCACGGUGUUAGUGCACUGUAAGGGCCGAAUUUUUCCAUGAAGAAAUGGGAGGGUUUUGAUGCUAAAAUUGGUGUUAUUUGAAUAAUGUUUGGUGAAUUAAGGUAUUAGAAAAGAAAUGGAGUAAUUUGGGAUUAAAUUGGACGCGUUAGUAAUUUAAUCAGGUGAUAGGCCGAAUUAGGUCAACAUCGCGUUUAAGCGGUUGACCGAGCAUUCCAUGCAUUCAUUUAGACUUAGAGGGCCUGAAAUAGUUUAUGACAAAUUGACACAAAUUAUUGAAUUUUUUGUCAUGUGUGAUGUAUAGGUGGUGAGCUAUUUGAUAAGGAUAAAGAGAUUACACCAAAGACAGGGACUAGGAGUAUUUCUACUCCUGAUACUGUGAGUAACCUUAUUAUCAUCUUAAUUAUCUAAAAUAGUUUUUAUCCGAUUUUGUGAUUUUAUGGAAAAUGAGUUUAAAUGGUAAAUCUUUAUGUUUUAUAAGCAAAAUAUGAUUAAAUGAAAUGAUUUUAUAAAUUGUCUUGAAAUUGAAUGAUGGCUUUGAAAAUAGAGUUAUUGGAGACCACUUGAUGUGUUGUAAUUUUAUGGUUUUAAAUUGAAUGGCUUAUGACAAUAUAUGAGCAUAAAUGGCUAAACUGAUUUUUGGUGUUAGAAUUAUUUGUACUGUGUAUUCAGCCUUGAGAGGCUAGGUUGCGAUAAAUUACCAUGUCAUGCAGAUAUAGAUUUUAUAAAUCAGGUGGUAGAUAAAAUAAUCCACAGUUCCUACAGUAGAGGUUCUGUGGACCAGCCUAAGAGAGGGGGCACAGAAUCAGAUAUACCUUACCUCGAUCGGAGAGCCGUGUGGAGGGUGUCUCUAUAGGUAAAGAUUUAAGUGCACUUCACGUGGACCACCGCGUGAGAGUGAGACUCAGCCAAUGCCAAGGCAUGGUUAGAUUUUCAAAUGUAAAAAUAUGUUCAUGUGUGUACUACACUGAAUAGCCUUGAUGCUCUCGAUCAGAUGCCUAGGCCAAGGCAUCCCCGAGAAUGAUAUUGGCAGGAGCCAAGUUUGGUGAAAUACAUAAGCCAAGUUGAUUAUUUGAGUAAAUUGAUUAUUGAUGUUAUGAAAACAUACUAGAAUGGAAUAUCUUACUUGUCUCCAUUUACUCGACUUUAGAUGAUUUAGAUGGUAUUUGUUUAUUCACUGGGAUUUUAUAAUCUCACCACCCUCAAUUCCCCACAUUUUAGGCUCAGGAUAGCCGGUAGAUAGCCGAUUGCAUCAAGGACUUCAGUUAGUCUUGCAUCGACAAAAUUGUAGGUUCACAGACUUGCACCUUAUUGGUUAGUUGGGGGCCCACGUGUCACUGUAAAAGUAAUUUUAUACUUCAGUUAUCUGCUUUAAAGUAUGUAUGAAUAUAUUUAGCUUUUACACCAUAGAAAUUAUUUAUGGAUUUCUUUAUAAAUAUUAUUUUUUUUAAGAAAAUAGAAUAUUUUAUUGAAUAUCAUUAUUUUAUUCAAACAAUUAUAAUUUUAUUUCAAAUAAUUAUUUUAGACAUCUAAAUUUAUUUUUAAUUACGAAACAUGUGUUUUUCACCCACACACCAUGUUUUUGGUGGGUUUCGAUAUUUUCGAAGAAAAAUGACGAAAAUACCCUUGUACGCCAGAAAAUAAUAUUAUAUUAUAUUGAUUUGGAAACCACUUAUGAUUUCUUGAAAUGCGAGAUUUAAUAACUGUUGCUCACCGAGAAGAUGCGAAAGCUAAUGCUAAGCCUUAUGGGAUUCCGAUCGGCAUUUCAGGUAAUAAGUGCUUAUCGGGACGUCGUGGCAGUUGUCAUGGCUUGAUGGGAGUUCCGGGUCGUGACAGAAUUUGUUGUCACUGCUGAUGAUUUAGGUAGUUUUCUAAAAGUUGAGUGUGAAGAAGGUGAGUAUGAGUUCCCAGAGAAAUACGAUCCCUCAUCAUUAUGGGAAAUCAUCAUCGGGAGGAAGGAAAAAUAUUCUUCAAAGAGAAAUUUUGGUUUGAUAAUUAAUCCCUAGAUAAGGAUUUUGCACUACUUUGUAGCAGCAAACAUUAAGGGUAGAAGUGGAAGUUUAAGUUACGUCAGCCUUCAGGAUCUUUGGCUGAUGGAACAUGCCUUCAAUGGGGUUGCUCUGAAUGUAGGCAGGUUCAUAAUUGAAAAGAUGAGAGGAGCUUGCAAACUUGAUAAAGUCAAUCUCCCUUAUGGGAAUAUCAUCAUAUCCCUUGUCCAGAAAAAGGAAGUUUGGGCUAAGAGGUAUGAAAUGGACAUGGUGAAGACCAGAGAUCAAGCCAUUUACUAUGGCAGCUUGAUCAAAAUGGGAUACAAGCUGGAUGGUGAGAAAUUCACUAAAACACCUAAGGUUUCUAUAAUACCAGUGCCAACAGAGGGAACAUCCUCACAUUUCUCAAGUGAAAUGAUCUUUAAUUUAUUAAUGAGGAUGGAUGAAAAGCUAACUAAUUAGGGCGCUAGAUUACUGAAGAUUGAAGAGAAACUUGCUAAAUUGGAAAAGGAAGUAAAAGAAAAAGAACAAAUCCCAUCAGAACCUGCUGUUGCUGAUUCCUCUGAAACACCAAGUGCUGCACUAGCACAGCAACGUGCUGGAAGUUCAGCUUUGCAAGCAGAAGGGUCUGCUUCUCAUGGUGCAAGUUAUGGUGUUCCAGCAGGAGGUCAUGAGCCAAGAGAGGAACAGCCAAGAAAAUUACCUUCACCUGAGCUAUAGAAUAGGGAUGAAUCUGAUCAAGGCACUGAAGAAACUGCUUCUGAUCGAGAAAAUACCCCCACUCAACUAGAACCUCAACCAUCUCCUCCACACUCUGAAGAAGUUUCAAUCAUAGGAUUGUUCCAGCAAAUGGUUAGGGAAGAGCAAGUUGAAAAACAAGCUGAAAAAGCAACUAUAAAGACAGAAGCUCAACGGAAUGCACCUGCACCAGUUCCAAAAAUGAAAGCCAAAUCUGGAAAAGGAAAACCAAAAGUUAUUGCAACACCACAGCUAGUGACAAAACCACCCACCAAACGAUGGAAAACCAUGGCCAUAAAGACAACAUUUCUCAAGAGAAGGAAGUCUUCUCGAUUGGCAGACAAAUCCAAGAUAGCUCCAAUCACUUCACCUCAGAAUCCAGUCAAUGUAUUCUCACCUAAACCUUCUCUUAAAAAAUCAUCACCUCUAAGAGAACCCUCUCCUUUUCCUCUGAACCCUUUCUACGACACUGAAUCCACACCCUCGACACAUCAGAAGACUAGAAGCUUUUUGCUUUGAUGUUGGUAAAAAGAGGGAGUAGAAUGGCAGAACCAAGGAAAAAGGAACCAGGAACUAGAAAAUAAUUAAAAAAAAUGUUAGGGUGGACGAACCAGGAAGGAACUCAGGGAAGAAAGAAAGCAGAAAUGAACCAAGAGCAGGAACUUAGAAAAAUAGGGGAUAUGAAGCAAAAACAGUCUAGGGGCAAUUUCGAAACAUCCUUUUGAUUAACUGCUAUUUGUGCCAUGGUGGCACUUGAACACUCAAUUUAAAUUUUGUUGUUUAUAUGGUAGUGUGAGACAUGAAUGCUGAUAUGUCUAUGAUGUUUGAUUGCUGAAAAUUGAAUGUUUACUGAUAUUUUGCUAUCCAUGAUAUUUUAACUGUUGUUAACAAAAUCUGUUGCUGCACCAUAUUUGACUGCAUGCUGAUAACUGCUGCUGUAUGCUGAUAAUUAAACAAAUUGCAUUUGUAAUAAUUAUGGAUGUUGUGUAUAGUGUGUUGACUGAUUUAUGAAGGGAAUAGACAAAAUUUGAUGACAAUAUGCUGUUGACAGACCCUGCUGAAUUUUCUAUGAAAAACUGUCAACAUUCAUUGCUAUAAAUCACCCCAAAAUUAUGCACAUAUGUAUACUCUAAAUGUACAAUGUUAUUUUCUGUAUAACUAGAAUAAAAUCUGCUGGAAUAAAGUAAGCAAAAUAUGCACACACUAAGGGAGAGCAUAUGCUUAGGGGGAGUAAUCCUCAUUUUCUGCAGAAACUAAAAUGAGUAAAAAGAUAUUAUGCGGUUAAUCAAGGAAUGUUUUGUCAUGAUCAAGAAGGGAUAGAUUGUUGGCUCCAUUAGUUUUUAAUGAUAAUGAAACAUUCCCAUACAUUUGUGUCUAAUGCCUUUACUUAAGAGUGUCGAAAAAUUAAUGUAUGAAAUUAAUAAAUCAAUCUUUCAAAAGUGUAUAUCAAAAGAAAAAGAGAGAUAAAAAUGAUAAGACAUGAUUGCCUAACAAGGAGGAAGCUCAUUACUUGAAUAAGGAAGAAUGUUGGUUGGCCAAGAUUCAAAUUGGAGAAAUGACGAGCUGAAGAUUAUUGAGAAACAGAACCAACUUAGUCGACCAAGAAAUGAGCUAGUCGACUAAAUGCUUACUGCCAAAACUGCCAGAGACAGGGAGUAGAAAAUAGAAACAACUUAGUCAACUAAGAUAUUGGUUAGUGAACUAAAAACAUUCUGUCUGAAAGUUUGAAAACUGCACUAAAAGCAGAGUAACGGCUAGAACCGACUCUCAACUGUCUCCAACGGCUAGAAAACUAUCAAACUACCAUCAGAGAUGUUUCUCCAAGUAUAAAAAGGUCUUCCAACAGUUAAAAAGUAGUUCUUGGAAGUAUUAGAGAGAUUUGAACCACAUAAGAGCUGAAAAACCAGAAAAUCUCUCUUGUACCCUGUUGCACCUUAACGCUCAUUCUUUGUAUUUGUAUUCUGCACUCAACCUUGUGCCAUUUAGAUCAACUUGUGAUCAUAGGUACGUUCUUUUACUUCUUUUCUUGUAUUCUUAGAGUGGGAAAGUCACUCUAAGGAGUUAUUCAAGCUUGGGAUAGCUUGAUUGUUAUAGGUUAUGGUUGAGCCUUGGAAAAACUACUUUGGGUUAUAGUUGAGCCCGGGAAAAACUAGUGUAAAAGGUUUUGGCUGAGCGUUGUAAAAGCCAUUGUAAAGCUUGGUGAAAGCUUGUGAAUUUCACCGGUUCCUAGUGGAUUAUUUAGAAAAUCCUUAGUUGGAUAAUCAAGGUAGUGGAUGUAGGUCUUGGACCGAACCACUCUAAAUUCAACUAUCUUGUUUACUUUGUUUUUGUUUUUUUUUCUUUCCUUCAUUUGUCUCACUUUGUCUACACUUAGAGACAAUCUUUGAAAGAGCCAAAUUGUGCUAUUCACCCCCCUCUAGCACAUAUUAUUAGGACCAACACUGUGUGAAGUAUAGCUUCACUUAUUAUAGUUGUUCUACGUGAAGUUGAGCUUCACUUAUUCUAGUUGUUUUACGUGAAGUAGUACUUCACUUAUAAUGGUUAUUCUUAGUAUUUUCUAUACAAUGUUACACAGUAAAAAUAAUUAUUUUGAAAAUAAGUAUUAACCAAAAUCGACUAUUUACAAUACCCUUAUUACUAAUUCUAAUGCUAUUGAUUUCAAAGUUGACUACUUUACCCUUAACACCAAUUCUAUUACUCAUAUUAAUCUUGUACCCAUAAGACCACCAUCUAUUAGGCAGAGUACUAGAUUUAGAAAACCUUUGAAAUACAUAGAAGCUUACUAGCAUCAUUUACCUUUUAUAAAUCUCAUACCAGUUCAGUCACUACUCACCUUAUUGUUAGUUACAUUUCUUCUAAAUAUCGUUCUUCUUCUCACAAAGCAUUGACCACUUCCCUAUCCCUUAUUUUUAAACCCCAAUCAUAUCAUCAAGUUGUCAACUAUGCUCAAUGAUAAGAAACCAUGAAAACAAAAUUGAUUGCUUUGAAGGACAAUGGCACAUGGACUGUUAUGCCUCUUCCUAAUGGUUGUCAUGCAAUAAAAUGUCAGUAGGUCUACAAGGUGGAGCUUUAUGCAAAAACGGACGCAUUGAAAGGUACAAAACAAGACUUGAUAUCAAAGGAUAUAGUCAAAGGGAAAGUUUUGACAACUGAGAGACUCUUAGCCAAGUUGCUAAGCAAACAAUAAUAAGACUUUUCCUCGCUCUAGUUUUUGUUCAUGGGUGGCAUUUGUCUCAAUUAAACAUCAACAAUGCUUCCUUAAAUGGUGAUUUGAAUGAGGUUGUGCAUAUGGAGUUGUGUCAAGGGUACACUAUUAAGGGAGAGUAUCUACAAAACUCUAAACUAAUGUGCAAACUUCACAAGUCACUAUAUGGCCUUAAAGAGGACUCUAGGCAAUGGAACUCUAAGUUCACAUAAUGUUUACUGCAGCUUAGAUUCUUUCAGUUAAAAUCUAACUUUCUCUAUUCACUAAGAAAACUAAGGAAGGUGCUUUCAUUGCAUUAUUAAUUUAUGUAGAUAAUAUAUUCAUUGCCAAUUCUAUUGAUCAAAGAGCAACUGAGGUGAAACAACAUUUGUAGACAAGGUUCAAACUUAAAAAUCUAAGGGUACCUAAGUAUUUCUUAGGUUUGGAGAUUGCAAGGUCAGAGAAAGGUGUUUGCUAAAGAGAAUACACUUUGGAUCUGCUGCAUGAAUAUGGUAUGUUGGGAGUUAAACCAGCUUUUACCCCCAUAGAUUACAACAAAAAUCUUUCAAAGCUUACUAAUGAUGAGUAGUUGAUAAAAGUCAAUAAAUACAGAUAGUUUACUAGAAAAUUACUUUACUUCACUUCAACAGGCUUGAUAUAACAUAUACAGUACAAACCUUGUCACAGUUCAUGGGUAUACUAGGCAAUUAUCAUUUUCAGGUGCCUAUAGAGUAUUAAGAUACACUACUAAAAGUAAUGUAUAUACUUCAAGGCAACAUACAGACAAGGGAUUCAAUUUUCAACUAUUUUCUUUAAAAUUGAAAGCUUAUGUUGAUAGUAUAAGGGUAGGCUGCUGUGAUAUAAAAAGAUCAGUGAUAGGUUAUGUUAUGUUUCUUGGAGAUUCACUUAUUAAUUAGAAGUCUAAGAAACAAAGUGUUGUUGCUAGAAGUUCAAAAGAAGUUGAGAAUAAGCUUAUGAUUGCAGCUUGUUGUGAGGUGAUGUGGUUGGUGUUGAAGCAAAUACUUGCAUGCAAUCUGUAGUAGUAGUUUAACACAUGUGCAAGCUCCACUUAAGUCCCUACCAACCAUUACUUCUCUCAGUUUACAUAUGUACAUGUUGUUAACAUGCUUAAUUCUUAAUGCAUUUCAACACUUGUCUUAUGCAUGUGACCAAGCGUUGUAGGUUAUUAUCCACGUAUGAACCUAUUUUAAUUAAAUAUUUUUAGCAACUAGAGAUAAAUUGGAUGAACUUUGGUUAUUUGCUUAGCAUACUUUGUUCAUUCCUGUUUUCCUUGCUUGUAAUAAAGGUUUCAUUAUGCAACCAUAUCUCGACUUCUCCCAAAACACAACAAGGUAUCAGAGCAAUAGCUUGAUCUCUUUUGGACCUUAUAAAACCUUCCCCUACUUAGAUACCUUAUAAAACUUCAUUUGCCUCAUUUCCCAAAAAUGUCAACCUCUACUCCAAACAUUACACAUCAACUCAAACAAAAGAGAAGGCUGAUGCAGAGGAAGAGAAUUUGUUCAAGGCUAUGACCAAAGCCAAAGCUCCAACUUUUGAGGAAUGAGUUGAUGUUUCACACGCAAGUAUUAAAGAGGAGUGUUGAAGUUAAUACUUGCAUGCAAUUUGCAAUAGCAGUUUAACAUGUGCGUAAGCUCAACUUAAGUCCCCAUCAACUAUUACUUUUCUCGGUUUACGUCUUUUACGUGUUGUUAUGCAUGCUUCAUUCUUAACGGAUUCUAAGACUUGUCUUAUGCAUGUGACCAAGUGUUGUAGGCUCUUGUCCACAUAUGAACCUGUUGUAAUUGGAUGAACUUUAGUUCCUUACUAAGCAUACUUUGUUCAUCCCUAUUUUCCUUGCCUAUAAUAGAGGUUGCAUCAAGCAACCAUAUCUGGACUUAUCCCAAACAAAACAGUUGGUGUUCUUGCUUAAUGAUUUUGGUGUUCAUCAUUCAACAGUUGUUGAUCUCAACUAUGACAACUAGCUUGCUUUGCAUAUAUGUAAGAAUCCAACUUUCUAAGAGAGGACAAAGCAUUUUGAGAUGGAUUGUCAUUUCCUUGGAGAGAUUUAAUUCAAAAAGGGCAUUAUGACCCUCAGAGAAGGUUUUUUAUGUUAUGUUAUUUAAUUGGUACUCCUCAAUAGUCCAAAUACGAACUCCGUACUAUAACUGCUGCACAUUAAAUUAUUCUUAUUUUUCUUCAAAAAAUGUUAACAAAUGCUUACAUUACCUGACAGUUUCAUAUUCCUUAAUAUUUCAUAAUGUUUGAAAAACAACCCAUUAUAGCAGUCAUGCUUAGUCAUUUAUUGUGACUUCUAAUACGCUAUAUACAUUCGAAAUGCCUAUUUGAUUAUGUAGAAUGUUGCAAACUUGUUUAAGUUAUUUGAACUUUUAUAUGAGUGAUCUAGUUAAUCAGUCUCAUUAAUCCAGUAAUUCUAAUUUUUAAGCUUUAGUUCUAUAUUUACUAGUUUUAAAUUGUUUAAGUUUUACCUCACUAUAUAUUUUUUAUAUAAAUCAACGCAAUACAAUAAAAUGAAUUCAUUCAUUCGAAAGUUUAUUCUUCAAAAAAUUUGAUAAUGACAAAUUGGAGUCUUAUAGUAGUAAAGUUAGGUAAAAGAUAUGGAGUGAAUGAUUGUCAGUGGGUAAAUUUAACCUAUGAUCUUUAAUUUUUUUUUUAUUUUGGUUACACUUCAAUCUCUAAUCUUUGAAUUACUCAAUAUGCAUUUGGAUUUAUAACCUUUUAAAAUUAUUCUGUUUUGGUUUUCUGUCAAAUUCUUCUUGUUCUACUCUUUUCUUUUCUUUUUUUUGGUAUUUUGCUCUAAGAUCAUAGAGGCUAUUGCUUUUUUUUAUUUAUCUAAAUUUUGGGAAAUGGGUUUUUAUGGAGAUUUGAUUAUGUUUUAUGUUCAUUUUUUGAAAUUUGUAGAGACUAAUGAAAUUUGAUUGUAUGAAUAUUUAUCUUGAAGGAAAAGUGAAAGAUUUUUGCGCAUUUUUAUAAGAAUUUAUAUUUUGUCAAUUUUGAUAAUCUUGAUAACUAAAAAUUUUCAGAUUUUUCAUAAUACUCCAAACAUCAAAAAAUUUUCAUAAUAUUAUCUAAAUAAUAAAAAAUUUGAUUGUCAAACAAAUGCUUUUCACAAAAAUAUUUGUGAAAAUUUGUGUGUAUCCACAUGACAGCAAGGUACCCACCGAAUUGAGCGUAUCAUUCUUAAAUUAAGGUGGGAGACACUUGAGAAUUGAGAUGUUAAGUUUUAUCUUUCUUGUACAUAGCAUAGUUAUCAUUCUUUUAAUUUUUUUUAUGCUGGAAGUUCUCGCAGGGUCUAGCUACCCUGUUAAAGUUUUAUUAAUAAUGAGAAUAAACGUACAUAACGGAGGGGAGCAUAAAAUCGUACCUCCUGAGUUACAAGAAUUAUAGAAAUUUUAAUACUUAUUAACGGUUCCACUUUAUGUACAUAUUGUCCUAAAUGCAAGAAUAAAAAGAAGUACCUGCUUUUACAUGAUAUUAAGAAAUAAAAAUAAAUUAUGAGUACUACUCCUUUACAUUUAUUUAAACAAGACAUAGGGUAAGUUCAAUUUAUCUAGUUUCAAAACACCACGUAAUUCACCUUGAACUUGCCUUAAUACCUAAAGAUUUUGAUGUUGAUGGCCCUAAUUUGACAAGAAGUCUGCAACCUGGUUACCUUCCCUGUAAAUAUGUGAAAUUCUAUAGGAGAUAUUUUGUAAACAUUUCCUUUUAUAUUCCAAUAAAUAUCAGAUUUUGUGGGAACCUUGUUUAUUCUCCUGAAGCAUGUUAAUGACUACCAAAGCAUCAUCCAUUUCUAUCCAGACUCCAGAAAUAUUGUAAGCUUGGCAUAAAAGUAAACCUUUUGUAAUGCCAAUAAUUUCGCCUUAAGAGAAUUAGUGGGACCAAGAUUUGCAGAAAAACCAAAAAUGAGUGUACUUGUGUAAUCUCGAAGAACUCCCUCGCAUGCUGCAUUUUGAAAAUUGUUCUUGGAACUACCAUUAAUGUUCAGCUUAAAUUCACUUGUCACUAAUUUUACCCACCUAAUAAAUUACGACAGCAAAAGCUGCAUUUUUAAGUAUUGAAAACCCCAAAGUUUGGCUAUUUGAGUAUUUCUUUUCCAUUGCCAAUGUUUCAGAAGAUUCCGCUAGUGCAGCUGUCUCAGUAAUUUCAUGAUAUGCCAUAUUAUUCUCUCAAGAUACAUACUCAGAUUCCUAUGUAUUGCAUCAUUUCCUUUUGACCAUAGAAACCAACAAAUAAAAAGAGGUAAUAAUAUACGGAUAUGACCUUGCCUAAUAUAGUCGCAUGAGUAGUACCAUAAGUAGAUUUCUUGCAUAAUAUUCUGAGGAUUAAUAAUAUAGAUUUGAAAGAAUUUUGCAAAAUAAUUCCCAACCUGUUUAGCCACUGGGUUAUCCCAAACCACAUGUAACAAUGAUUCCUCUGAAUUACAGCAAAGGCAUAUAGAGGCUAACUGGAUGUAUUUAGAUUUCAUCCAAAGCUCUAGAGAUAUCUAGUUGUUUAUCAUUCUCCAUACAAAGAAAGAUAUCGACAGCAGUAUGUUUUUGUGCCAAAUAAGCACUCCCAAGCAAAUGGUAGGUUGUCGAUGUUGGAUUAGUUCCCAUGCACUUCUAGUAGUAAAUUUACCGUUAGAUGUAGAGACCCAAUAAGCUAUAUCAUCCCUAGAUCUAUCAAAAGGAACCCUCACAAUUUCAUCAGUAAUAACAUCUGAAACUACCAUUCUCAAUUUCUCUAUAUCCCAUACAUUUCCAUCAUAAAAAGAAUUAACUUUGGACAAUGAAUGAAAAAAUGAAGGGAAUAGAUUUACCAAAGGCUGAUCUCCCAUCCAACAGUCAUGCCAAAAAAACAACUCCUCCUUACUUAUCCGCCAUCUAAUAUUCAAUUCAGUAAAGGUUCUACCGUCAACCAUUCUUUUCUAUACUUCGAAAUCAUGCAACUUACUAGGUAUAGUAUGAGGAAUUUGGCCUCUACAAUAUUUUGUUCGCAGGUGUUGUGUACAAAUACUAUUACAUGUUUGAAACUGCCACCAUAGUUUUGCUGAAAAGGCCUCAAAGACAUCCUUCAAGUUUCUGAUAUCUGGCCCACCUUCCGAGCAUGGAAAAGUAUUUUUUUUCCAACUGGUCCAAUGAAUUCAUUUACACUCUAUAAAGCCUCCCCAUAAAAAAUUGUUGAAAAGUCUCCCUAUUUUUUCAAUCACACUUAUUAAAGGCUUAAGAAUUUAGAGGAGGUAGAUCAAUAAUGAAGAAAGAACACUCCAAAGUAAAGUAAUUCAGCCACUAAAGGAGAGGAUCUUAUUUUCCCAUCCUGAAAUAUGAUCACUUAUUUUAUUAACAAGUGAAUCAAAUAAAAGUACAUUUUUUGCACCUUUGUACAGUGGAGCACCGAAAUAAGUAACAGGUAAUGUUUUGUGCAUAAAUCCAAUGGUUUGUGAAAUAAUCUAUUUCCUCGAAGCUACAAGAUUAUUAGCUAUGAUAAAAAAGCUCUUUUGACGGUUCACUUGCUGUCCUGAAAUCUGUUCAUAUUCCUGUAAAAAAUCAAGAAUCCUCUACAAAGCUGAACGACUCCCAUUAGUAAAAAUCAUCACAUCAUCGGCAAAAGCAAGGUGACUAAUAAUCAUACUACAACCAGACUAAUAAUUAAGCGAUUUAUAUUUAGCAAAAAGAUGGUUGAGACCUUGUGAUAAAUAUUUACUAGCUAAUAUAAAUAAGAGUGGCGAGAUAGAGUCCCAUUAUCUUAACCCUUUCUAACUUGAAGUAGCCAACAGACUGCCAAUUAAUUAGUGGAGAGAAUCAGCAGUUGGAAGUACACCUUCUAAUCAUAUCAAUCCAAUGACUAUUAAAACCAAAUUUAUCCAUCACCAAGUAUAAAAAAUCCCAAUGCAACCAAUCAUAUACUUUCAUCAUACCUAACUUUAGAACAACAUUACCUCUUCUUGCUUUGUAGUCCAGUUUGCCUAUCAACUCUUGGGCUAGUAAAAUAUUAUCACUAAUAAUCCUGCCACUAACAAAGCCACUCUGGUUAUCAGAAAUAAUUGCAUGAAGAAUUUUGGAUAACCUGUUAGCCAACAAAUUAGUGACUAUCUUAUUUAAGACGGUACACAAACUAAUUGGUCUAAAAUCAUACCAUUACUUGGCCUCUUUUUUUGUUGGCAAUAAGACUAAAGUUGUGGAGGUAAUUUCUUGUGGAAAAGAUGCAUCAUCGAAAAAAUCUUGUACUGCUUCAAAAAGAUCUAUUGUUAUAAUCUCCCAAUAGUGUUGAUAGAAUAGAGAUGAAAAACCAUCAGGUCCUGCUACAGUGUCUUUAUCAAUAUUAAACAUGACUUCCUUUACUUCCUACAAUGUGGGAACUGAACAAAGAAAUGUGUUAUCAGUAGUAUAAAUAAGUUGUGGAAUUAGGUAACAGUUGAACCUGGAUAAAUCACAUUGGUUAGCCUUUAAAAGAUUCUGGAAGAACUCAAUAGCUGAGGUUUGGAUAGAAAGUGGGUCUUCAAUGGUGACUUCAUCAUUGUUUUGAAUCUUGAAGAUGUGAUUUUUAACUUGUUUUUUAUUGCAUUCUCAUAUGAAAAGAAUUUGGUGUUUCUCUCCCCCUCUACAAGCCAUUUAACUCCGGAUUUCUAUUGCCAAAAAAUUUCCUCCAUGCUCAAACAAUGAUUAAGCUGUGCAUAAGCUCUAUGCAUAUCCUUUCUAUUUUCUAGUGAUGGAUCUUGCUGGAAAGUAAUCUCCUAUUCUGCUGCGUGGGCUUCUGCCAUCCGAAGGUUUUGAAAUAUGUCCCCAAACACCUCUUUGUUCCACCAUUUUAAAUUAUAUUUUAACCUUUGCUAUUUAUACCAGAAGGCUUUUAACCCCUUUGUCUGUAUAGGAAAUUUCCAUAACCUUUCAACAAAUGACAUAAAGGUAUGAUGCUUUGUCCAGGCAUAAAGAAAAUAGAAUGCCAAAGGGCCUCGUUGAGACGUCAUUGAAUAGUUAAUAAGAAGCGGGUAGUGGUCGGACCUAUCUCGAGCUAGAUGUUGAACUUUAGUGGAGGAGAAAAGCUCUGCCCAUUCCCGGUUGUACAACACCCUAUCCAGUCUUUGUAGCAUAUGGUCGUUUGUCCAAGUAAAACUAUUGCCUUCGAAACCAGCAUCCAACAACCCACAAUCCAACAAAGUGUUAGCAAAAUCCUCUAUGGAGACAUGAUGUAGGGUAGCACCAUACAAACGUUCAUAUCUACUGAAGAUGGAAUUAAAAUCUCCACCUGCUAACCAUGGGCCCUCCAUGUCUGAAGACAAAGAUCUAAGGUAGGUCCAUAGGUCCUUUCGUUCUAGUCUGGUGCACUUUGCAUAUAUAAUGGUGACAAAGAGAAGGUUAGAAAACCAAGGCAAAUUAAUUUUUACAUGCAAGCAUUGAACAUGGUCUACCAGAACUUCGCAAUAUACUUCAUGGGAAUGAAAAAGCCAUAUCUUUUGAGAGCAGUUACUGACUACUCUCUCAAAGCCAAGCCUUCUUCUAAAAAACUCCAUUCUGUCCUCUUUAGCCAUAGGUUCUAAAAUAGCCAACACCUUGAUAUUACGCAUCUAUUUCAAUUUUCUUCAUCUACGUUGUACUACCUUAUGAGCUACUCCCUUAACAUUCCAAAUAAGUGAGCUAAUCAUGGAUAUGUUUGGACAAAAAGACUUAUAAAGCUGGAAUCUUCCAAGAAUCCAUCUUUUUCCUCUAUGACAUCUUCUUCACUAGAGACAGUAUUUAAAGCUGAAAAAUGAGACAUAUAACUGUCGAAUUUCUUUCUCUUAGAAACUUGAGGAUGUACCUCCAAGCUAUGAUCACCAGACGUUGCAUGGGAGAAAUCAAACAAUUGUUUACUGUUGGCCAUUGUACUUUCCUGAUCUACCAAGUUCCCUACCUUUGCUUCAACUGCUUUUUUCACCAUCAAAUCAACGAAUGUUCUUGUUGGAUUAUUGUCUCUAAACUAGAUGUUAACUUCAUUAACAACAAUCGAUUCCAUUUGCAUCCCUUGGUUAUUUUCAUCAUUGCUUUCAACUUCUGUGUCAACAGCCACGACUUCCUGGGCCCUAAUCUCGUCAUUAUCAUCAUUACGUGGAGUCAUUACAUGCUGCCAGUUCUCAUCACCCUUAACUGUCGAUUCCUUCACCAACUCACCAUGUUUUUCUGGUUUUUUUUAAUUUCCUGACCGUAACGUUUUGGGCAUUUUCGACCUCCCAUUGAAUAUAGUCGCGGUCCCCCAUAAUUUGGAUACUACCAGGACUUUCAAUACCACCUUCGAACUAUAUCCUUCCCUUGCAUUUGUUGAAGCCAACUAUUUGCUAAGUGUUGUCGAUGUUUGUCCCACCUAUACCGUUGCUUCGUUAACCUUCAAUGCUGGACAAUCACUACUGGAAACUCUUCCCCAAUCUUUCAUCUGAUCGACACUGCCAUUUGAAUCAUUAUGUUGGUCAUUAAGAGGUUGAAAAAAUUUUUUGGUUAAUACUAAGUCACUGUUCACCUUCUCUGUUUGCCCCUAUUUGACAAUUUGCAUAUUUCCUCCUUCCUCCAUUGAUCCGAUCGUUGCAAAAGUAUUAGAAAUCCUCACUUACACGUCUUUUGAUUCCUCUAGAGUGAUUUUCACCCCCUUAGAGUUCUUCGUUCCACUUUUACCCGAUUGCCUCACCACCUGCCAUUCUUUCCCUUGUUUUGGUGGUUCUUCCAGUACAAUUGAUUUCCUUUUGUCUAUUUUGCUCAUCGGCUCCUUGUUGCUUGGGUUUUGAUCAUUCAAUACUGUAUUCAAUUCCCGAAUCUGAACCCUAGUGCCCUUAUUAGCUAGCUUGGACUGUCCAAAUGGUGGUGCAUUGUUGUUUCCUAGUUUUACCGGUUUAUUCCCCAUUACCAAACAAACUGAUUCGUUGUGACCUACAUGGCAAUAGUGACUACAAUAAUCAGGCAUCCUAAAAAACUCCACACAUUGUGAAUAUCCUCUAAUCACAGCACCAGUUUCUCUAUUUUGGACAACAAUCCACACUUGCUCUACUGGUGGCUGUCUGCAAUCGUAUUCCAAGCACACACGAGCCACACUCGACUAAAAGCCAUUGGCCAUGGCCUUAUCCACAAAUAGCGGCCUACCAACCAUUUUAGCAAUCAAUAACAAUGCCGAUAUCUCAUGCAAAUGAGCCUUUAAGUUUCGAAAUGAAAUCAAAACAGGAAUUAUAGAGGACUCUUUCUUGGCUUCAAAUUUUGAGGAUCAUUUAAUUGCAAUAAACCAAUUUUGCUGGGCCCAAAUCCGAUUAAAAUCUUGCUCAUUGGACAGUUUAAUUAAAACAUUUUUGUAGUCUAACCACUUAAUCUCAUAUGCACCCGAAAGUCCAAUUCCUUUGAACGCCAUACGGAUAUCCUGUAACUUUGGCAUCCGAGUGAGUUUCCCAACAAGAGAAUGUUGAAACGGCUUGGCUAAACUCUGGAUCCCAUCUUCAAAAAAGGUUGCGGCAAGCCGAUCUUUAUAUAUCAUGGGGUCUCGAUUGAGGGGAAUCACAGGGGGUUUUCCUCUUGUAGUGAUGGUAAAAAAAGAUUUCUUUUGAAAUCGUGGAGAGGUUGGUUGUUGGUUGGCUUGCGAGAAGCUAUGUGAGAGUGGUGACUAAAUGUUUUUUUCUGCAAUAAAGUUUGGGGAUGAUGCCAGUGGCCUUGGGAUAGAUGAGGUUAGCGGCGGGGGUUGGUUUGGUGGGUUUGACGGUCGGCUGGUUGUAGAUAAUUUAAUUUUUUAUAUUAAAAAAGAUAUUACUAGCUUGAAUUUUUAAAAAAUAUUAUCUAACAUAAUUUUUUAAAAAAUUAUUGUAAAUUUUUUUAUUUUUUUACAUGUUAUAUAAAAUUAUUUAUUUAUUAUUAAUAUUUUGAUUGUUAGUUAAGUUCAAUAAAUUAAUUUUAAAAAUUUUUAAUUUUUAUUUUUUAUUAUCUUCAACCUCCAAUAUAAAUUGACUAACUUUGCCCCUAAUGCCGAUCAAUCUGAUUAUCUGACCAAACGUGAUUCAUAAAAAUCUCCAAUACUUAACAGGUGCGAAGAAAAAGCUUGGUACUCCUUUGUUGAUUAUUCAAACUCAAAAGCAUGAAAAAACGUGUACACGUAAGUAGUCAAAGGACAAAGGAACCUUAAAUGAAAUUGUAGUAAUCAAGAAUUUUCUCAGUUAGUGGGACCAUUUAUUUGAUAGUAAAAAACAAUUUAAUUAUUAAAUUUAUUUUAAAGGAUUAAUGUAAUUAAAUUAAAUUAAAAUAAAUAAUAAUAAUAUUAAAUAGUUAUAAGAGAUUGUAAUAAUGUUGAGUGUUGGAGGGUAACAAAGGAACUAACGCUGGAGAAUGGAGAUUUAUUUGAAAUUUUUUAAGCAAGUUGGUAGGGUUACAAUGGGUUCAUUAGACUAUAAAUAAAGGAAUUAAACUUACCUGUAUAGUGUUUAUAGUAGAAUUUUUAAAUUUCAUAAACAGAUUCAAAGAGCCGUCAUGUGUCUAUGAAGAAAAAAUUAAGUAAAAUUAACAAAUUUUAAUUACUAUUUUAAUGAACUCGUGUCAAUAUAUAUAUCCAUUUGUGAAGUUUAAAAACCUCAUUAUUAAUUUAUAGACUAAGAAGUUAAUUAAUAAAAUAAUACAAUUAAAAGUUUCAAAACAAUGAAAAAUAAUAUUUCAACAUUAAUUAACCCUUCAUUAAAAUAUUAAAUUUUUGUAAUCUCUCUAGCUUUUACUACGUUUAAAGAUAAUAAUUGUAAAGUAAAAAAUAAAAUACUUUUUUUUAAAAAAAUUGAAAAAUAUACAUUCAAUUUGACAGAUGACCGAUUUGAUGCCUCUCUUUACUUUUCUCUCUUUAUUUCCACUUGAAAAAUAGCAAAAACUAAUAUGGAGCCAGAAAGACAAGUUGACUAGGUGAAGCAUAUAGAUUAUGUAAACCAGAGGAUUCAGGUGUAUGAUGAAGAUGGCUGUGUCCAGAAGCAGCUUCAAAAUCUCACCUUAUCUGCAUCUCCUUUCAUAUACAGCUCAGACUCAGAUCCCUACUGUUAAGCAGUCCUGGAAACUUCACCUUGUUUAAUUGUUCAAUUGAAGAUCAAUCUGACCAUGUUAACUACAUGGAUUCUUAUUUUGGAAGCAAUCAACUGUUGAAGUGCAGAAAGACUAUAGUUAUCUUUGAAAGGAUGAUGUCAGACACGAAAAUCAAAUUUGACGUUAAAUGGACAGAACCGCCUUGUGGUUUUUCAUGUUAACGCGCAAAGCAUGGAAAAGCUACAACUCGCAAAUAGUCAUCCCCUGAAAAGGGCAAAGGAAUCUUCAACGAAAUUGUAGUAAUCAAGAAUUUUCUCAGCUAGAGGGACCAUUUAUUGAUUGUAAAAAAUAAUUUAAUUAAAUUUAUUUGAAAGGAAUAAUUGAAUUAAAUUAAAUUAAAUUAAACUAAACAAAUACUACAUGCUUUUUUUUUUAAAUAAUAUUUUCAUUUUUUCUUAGGAUUAAUUAUGUUUAUAAAUCUAUUUUUCAAUAUUUUAAAUCUUACCUUUUUUUUCCCUUAUGAAAGACCUUAUUAUUUCUUGAUUUUAAUAAUGUUUUUGUUUUUAAUUAUCUAUUUAAGUUUAUGUUUUAAAAUUAUUUUGAGCAAAGGCAGUUUGGACAAGGGACGAUAUUUUUUUUAUCCUUAAAAGAUAAAGUAUUUUUGAAAAUAAUUUUUUUUAAUUUUAACUGUUUUUAAUCUAAAAAAAAGAGUUUUUAACAAAAUUACCUUUAAUGAAAUCUCAUCGUAUUCAAAAAGUUCAUGUGUUGAAAAAAAUACUGUUACAUACCAUUUUGAAAAAAAAUUAUUGCAAGUCGUUUUAUUUUAUUAUUACAGAAUAUCUAACAAAUAAAAUAAUUUACGUCGAAUAGUUUUUCAAUAUAUCUUCAUUUUCAUAUCAAAUUACAUUUUGAUUUCAAUAUAGUAAACAAAUAUGUAUGUGUUUGUCAAUUAAAAAUUUCAAUAACAUCAAUGUUUGUUUUCAUCGUAGUAUUUUAUAAUGAGGAAAUUGUGAGAAAUUGACCUCCUGAUAAGGUGAUUUCAGAAAUAACUACCCAUAUAAAGUUAUCUGUUUCUAGCCAAAAAGAAGCAUGAGUAUACCAAAAUGCCCUUAAAAAUAUCGUUUCAAAUUAGGGUACUCGAUAUCUCCCUCCCGUCAGAGAAAAAAUAGAAAUAAAUAAAUGCUCAGCUGUUUGAGGUCAGUCAUCUUUCUCUCUCAACUCUCCGAACUGUCUCAACUCUGCCAACUCUCUGUUGAGCACCAUCAUCAUCAACUCUCUCAGCUCUCUGAACUGUAUGAGCUCUAUCAACUCUUUGUUGAGCACCAUCGUCAUCGGGCUGUGGUCUAUCUCUCGGUAUCUGGCCAUAGUGUCGUAGAUUAACAAACCCUAUAGCAGAGAUGACAUCAAGGUAUGUUAUUGGUUUUAUUACUGUAACACUUAAAUUUCUGAAACAUUUGGUGUAAAUUAGAACAUGGAUUAGAAACAUUGCCCAGAGUUGUUACACGCCAAGCAUCUAUAACAUGUAUUAGCAUUAUUUUAGCGUGUCACGACAUUGGUUAUUGGUUAUUUUAGGGCAGUUCAUGUAAUAAGUCAAUAAUUACACUGAUUGGCGUGUCACAUGCUAUGGGUAUCUUAGGCUAGUUUGUGUAAGGAUGGACACAAUAAUUAUAGUGAUUGACGUGUCAGCGUUGGCGAGUUACCAUAGUUUACAUUAUAUGCAUGGCGUGUUACCACAUUUGACGUUAUAUGCACGGCGUGUUACCACAUUUGACGUUAUAUGCAUGGCAUGUUACCACAUUUUACGAUAUAUGCAUGACGUGUUACCACAUUUGACGUUAUAUGCAUGGCAUGUUACCAUAUUUUAAGUUAUAUGCAUGGCGUAUUACCACAUUUUACGUCAUAUGCAUGGCGUGUUACCACAUGACUGACAAAUUCUAGAACACGACAUGUCAUGUAAUGUGUUAAAUGAUUAACAAAUUAUUGUUGUUUUCAAAAUUUCAGUGGGUUCUAGUUGUGCGACUUGUGAUAAGGCACGGUGGUCAGUGGGUGGAUGGCAUUUACAAGGGUGGUGAGUCACGAAUGCAAGGGGCUAUGAGUGAUUUGUCGUUUGUGGGAUUAAUGAAGCUGGUUGAAGAUGUUGUUGGGGUAAACUCAAAAAUUGACGAGAUUGAGUUACAUGCAUUGUUCAGUACACCCGGAGAGCUAUCACGGCCAAUUAUCAAGGACGAUGAGGAUGUUGCAUUAAUUCUGCUAGAACAGAGGAAUGUUUCGGUUGUGUAUGUCAGCAUUAAGGGAUGCCAAACAAAUGUUAUGUCACAUGAAGAAGCUGAACAACAUGGUAAUCAGCUCAAUUAAAAUGAGAUAUACAAUGCUUCACAUAUACCACAACAUUCGGUCCGCAACCCAUAACAAUGGCAAAUUGGCGAAUGUACAAGAGUUUUUGUAGCCCGAUAGACACACGACAUUCACAAAAUAGUUGGCUGCACAAUUCUGGUCAGGAUGUGCAUCGAACCAAUUAGUUACUUGUGUCCAACAAAUGCAACAAUCGAGUGAAACUGUACAGGAUGUAAUGGUAUUUUCAAAUGAGAAUGCGACACUUGAGUACAACAUUGCGACGUUUGAGGGUGACACUACGACGCUUGAAGAUAAUACUGCAUCUGAUGAGGGAAAUGAGGAUUUGUUCCCUGUUGGUGAAGAUAGAUUUGAUGACAAUUCGGAUGAUGGGCCUGAUGAAUGGCAUGAUGCGAGUUCAAAAGAGGACUGGCUUUAUUACAGCGACAUUCCAAUUUGCAAUAAUGUUGAAGGCAAAACAGACCCUGUUGGAGGUGUUGAUGUAAGAGUUGUUCAGUAUGAUGACCCCAUAUACAAUAACCCCAUCGUUGAUGAAAACGGGGAUUCGUUCCCCUAGUACAUUGCUCCAUGAUAGUUAUCAGGAAAGGGGAAAUGCAGGGAUAUCUUGUACGUGGGUAAUUCUAGGUGCAGAAAAGUUAUUCUUCCAAACAAUUACAACUUAGGAGUCAACAUGUGCUGAUGAUCGCUUAUACAAAGGAAGAAUAUUUUCCUCGAAGGCUAAGUUGAAACGAGCUUUGAAUAUAUUGGCUCUAAAAUAGCAGUUUGGGAUAAGAGUAAAAAGGUCAUGUAAAGCUCGUUAUGAGAUUGGUUGCAAGGACAAGGCAUGCAAGUUCAGUGUGCGUGCAACGAAGUUACCUGAAGGAGGAAAAUAUUGGCAAGUUCAGACAUUCCACAAAGUACACACAUGUAUUAUCGAUGGUUUGCAAAGGCGAUUUGCAACCGUGAGUGCAAAGAUAAUUGGUGAACUUAUGUCACACAAACUUUAGGCUAAUGGAGUAGCAUUGAGGCCUAAGGACAUAAUCGGUGAGAUGAGGGUUCAAUGGGGAUUGGAAUGCUUGUAUGGUAAGGCCUGGCAAGCAAAGGAAUAUGUGGAGAGGCUUGUUUUUUGUCCCCCGAAGGAGUCAUUUCAACUACUACCCUCGUAUUUUUAUAUGUUGGAACAAGAAAAUCUCGGCACAAUCACUACAGUGGCUACUGAUGAGGUAGAAAGAUUCAAAUAUUGUUUCUGGGUACAUGGGGCUUCUAUUCAAGGGUUUAGGGAUGUAAUGCGUCCUACGGUUGUAAUUGAUGCGACACAUAUGAAAGGCAGGUUCAAGGGUGUUCUGUUUGUCGCUGUAUGCAAAGAUGAGAACGAAUGCAUAUAUUCAGUUACGUUUGGCAUCGGCCAUGUUGAAGACAAAGACUAGUGGACGUGGUUUCUUAGCAAGCUGCGUGAUGCGGUUGGUUGUCCUGAAAACAAUAUGUUCAUUUCUGAUCAGCAUCUCGGCAUUAAGAAAGCAAUCCAAAAUGCAUACCUAGAAGUGCACCACGAUUUAUGCGGGUACCACUUGAAGAAAAACUUUAAAAACAAGUUCAAGCGCGACGACAUUUCUAUGAUUUUCACCCUUGCUCAAGAUUGCUAUAAGGUUUUCGAUUUCAACAAACAUAUGAACCAGCUCAAGCAGAUUAACGUGGAAGCCCACAGUGACCUUAUGAGAAUAGGCCCUGAGAGAUGGGCAUGUGCCUAUUCACCGGUAAGGCGAUACCAAAUGAUGACAUCCAACAUUGCAGAAUGUGUUAACUCAUGCUUUAAGCAUGCAAGAAAAAUGCCAAUCACUGUUUUAAUCGAGUUCAUCAGAGACAUGUUCUAGCAUUGGUUCCAUGAUCGGUACGAAGAGGCCCUCAAGGUGACCACGCCCCUCAGCCCUUGGGUUACUAGGCAGUUGAGCAAACGAUUCAAUGAUGCACAUCGCUUUGUGGUUAAACCUAUCAAUUGAGUGGAGUUCGAAGUUAAAUAUGGGAAGAUGGACAUACUUGUAAACCUAUCCACGAAGACAUGUUCAUGUUGUGAGUUUCAAACAGAUUUACUGCCAUGCAGCCAUGCCAUUGCAGCAAUAAGGUCAGAAUAUCUUUAUUUCUUAUUUGAACCCUAAUUGACAUAGUAUUUACAUUGAGUUCAUUGUAUUUUUCAGUAAAUGCAAACGUGAAGCCAUUGAAGUUUGCGCUAACUACUACAAGACAACCAUUUUGGUGAAGGGUUAUGCAGGGUCCAUUCGCCCGGUAGGGCAUCCCAGCGAGUGGGACAUCCCCCCUCUUAUGGAUGAAGACAGCUUGUCGGCCUAACUAAAUGUGUAUAUGGAUGUGUAGCAUAGUUUUCUCUUGUAGAUGAGUCUUUAUUUUUUUUAUUAAUUUUUUAAAUAUAUUAUUUGAUUAUUCAUUUCAUUUUGUCCGUAGUUUUGAACACUGAAUAGACUUACGAAGUCCCUAUACUGCUACCCCCUUUCUCACAUUUUAUUACAACUUGUAUUAAACAAUUAAUGAUUUAAUUUAAUUCCUUUCUAUUUCAUUUGAUUUAACCUUUUAUGUUCUUACAAUCAAAUCUCUUAAGAGAUAUAAAAUUAAUUCAUCUAACUUUAGUAGCUUUCUAAAUCCUUAUAUUCAAUUUGUUUUUGUAAUUUUUUAAUUACAACGUUUAUUUUAUCUAAUUAAUACCUCCAUAUAAAACUUUAAGCCAAUCACUUAACAAAAUAAUAAUAAUAAUAAUAUUGUACCAAGGAGUUUACUUUGAAGGAUGCAAGUCUAGAAAGAGAAAAUUUUGGACUAAUUAAAAACAUAUGAUAUGAAAUUUAAGAUUAAAACACAUGACUUGACCAAACAAAUUUAAAAAAUUUAUGGAUCAUCCAAUCAAAUUUCAUCUAUGAAUCAUCAUAAUUAAUUUUUAUUAAAUUAAAACAUUUAAAAAUAAAAUUAAAAUAUAAGGACGAAAAUUCUUGAAAAAUAUAUUAUUCUAAGCUGACACACGAGUGCAUGCAGAUUUCUAUGGUGACACGCUGACUUCUUGCAUUAUUGUGGGGUGACAUGGCAUGCCUCAUCUUGUGGCGACACGCUGAGUGGAAGCAGAUAGUUGGUGUGACAUGUUGAGUGCAUACAGAUUUUUGUGAUGACACAUUGACUUCUUGCAGUAUUGUGGGGUGACAUGGCACGCCCCAUCUUGUGGUGACACGUUGAGUGGAAGCAGAUGGUUGGCGUGACACGCUGAGUGCAUGAAGAUUUCUGUGGUGACAUGCUGACUUCUUGCUGUAUUGUGGGGUGACACGGCAUGCCCCAAUUGUGGUGACACGCUGAGUGGAAACAGAUACUUGGCGUGACACAUUGAGUGCAUGCAAAUUUCUGUGGUGAUACGUUGAUUUCUUGUUUUAUUGUGGGGUGACACGACAUGCCCCAAUUGUGGUGACAAGUUGAGUGGAAGCAGAUACUUGACGUGACACGCUAAGUUCAUGUAGAUUUCUGUGGUGACACACUGACUUCUUGCUGUAUUGUGGGGUGACACGGCAUGCCCCAAUUGUGGUGACACGCUGAGUGGAAGCAGAUACUUGGUGUGACACGCUGACUUGUUCCAAUUUUCAGGGGUGACAUGCCAUGCCCCAAUUGUGUGACACGCCACGUGGUUGCAGUAUUAAUUUAAAGGUAAUGUGUUUGAAUUGAGAAAGAAAAAGUAAUGUAUAAAAUGUACGAAUAUUAAAAUUAAUCAAAUUAAUUGUAUAUACAAAAAAUGUACAGACAAGGGCCGAUAUGUUCAGGGUUCGUUCUCACAACUGUUAGACAAAAUUUCUAGAGUGUAUUGGCGACGCAUAUUUGCAAUCAUAUUCUGCUUAACUUUGAUCAAUUUCAAUUGCAAAAUAUCGUCAAUGUACCCUAUCAUGAAUAUACCGCAGCUGACACUAUCAUCCUACUGAUGGACUUUAGCCUUUGGCAAAUGAAUUUUCAAUGGCAUCAGCGUCAAAUCCUAUGUCUUCCAGUGUGUUUUGUUGAAAUAACUGGCUUGGUGGCAAAUGAUUCGCAUAAUUGUCGUAAGGGGUGUCAUUGGAGCCGCUCGCAUUUCGUUAUCUUAGCAUUCAAAGUUCUUGCGGAGUCCACCACCUUGAUUGUCCACCUCACCAAGUCGAUCUUCGCUACCACCCAAUGCCCACCCACAUUGCAAGCCGCGAGGAUGAAAUUGACAUCUUCCCAUUGUUUCCCAUAUGUCGGCUUCUCACCCUUCACGUAUGCCCGCAACUCAUCUGGAAUUCCCAUAGUCGACCGGGCAUCUUCAGUUGGGAAUGAGGUGUGUAGCAUAUGGAUGGUGUCUUGUGAAGCAUGUAUACAUUAGCUUAUACUUAAUGCAAUAAAAAAUUUAGUAUUUUCAGAAUUGAAAAAAUUUCAAAUAAACUUAUGAAGAAUAUCGUGUCAACCACGCAUACAUGGGUAGUGUACAGCUUCGACUUUAGCUUUGUCAUCCGCUUACAAAGUACGCUGAGGCAUGCGUCUAUAUGUUCACUACUCAUUUCUUCUUUGGGAUCCUCUAAAGUUAUGAAAAAGUCAGCCUCUUGAUUCCCUAAGAUCCUGACGUUACGCUUGCAUAUGUGACAUAAUGAGUUUGAAAAGCCUUGGUGGAUUAAUAUUUUAUUAAAUAACAAUAUUUACAAUGCUAUUUAUGAGCUUACCUCGCACACUCGUCUUUCUUGAAAGCUUCAUACGCUUCAACCAUUGUGCUCUUUACAUCCCAACGGCUCACUUAGGGGUCGAUGUAUGGGCUUGCCCUGUAUUUGCUAGCCAUUUUCACCCAUGCCCGCUUAGUUGGGUCUGAAAUUUCUACUGCACGAUGAUGGACAUUAGAUGACUGUAGUGACAGCAACCGUGAGCCGCUGGCUUCAGGAGUGCUCUGAGGAAGAUGGUCCCCUCCUACUACUACCUCCACUAAUGCAUCGGCCUGAGGAAGAUCCUUUCCUUCAGCCACGACUGAGUGAAUGUCCCCCUCCCCUCCCGCAGAUGCAUCUAUAACCGGAUCGACCUCAGGAACAAGGUCUUCCUCAGCACCAGAAACGUCAUCGUGAAUUUGCACACCAGGAUCAUCAUGGUGCCCAUCAUCAGCAUCAUCGUGGUCCUCACCAGCACCAUGAGAUGAAAGACCGCCCUACAGAACGAGACAAAUGGGAAAAUCUGUUAUCUCAUAUAAAACCGCAAACCAUAAACCGAGAACAAAAAAUAGAACUACACUUACUAAACAUAAACGACCAAUAUAUGAGCAAAGAUAGAAUAACGUACCUGUGAUUUUAGGCAAUCUAGAAUCUGAGCAACGACAUGGUCCUCAAACGUUUGCAUCACCAGAGUCAACGACUGAAUUGAAGCCUUCAAGUUCGACAUGUCUUUUUUAUACCGGUGCAUGACCCAUCGCAGCUAACGUUUUGUGACUACUUCGUCAUUGACUCUUGUCAAAUGGGUCAACUGCAAUAACAUAUAUUACUGUGUUUUUCAAUAAUCAUAUAUGGAAGUGUUGAACAUUACCCGUUAGAACUUUAAUAUCCUUACCGUGGCUCGUUACCAUUUUGCGGUUGAGUAGGUCCGCUUAGUGGUUGAGGAGCUGUGGUCGCCUCCCUCAACUGCAAUAACAAAAAUUAAUGUGUUACUCAAUAAACAUAUGUGCAAAUGUUCAACAUAAACUGUUAAAACCGAUCUUACAGACGGGUCGUUAGCACUGUGCGUCUAAAGAGGACCUCUCAAUGGUUGAGAAGCUGUCGUCGCAUGGUCCAACUGCAAACACAGAAGUGUUAUUCAAUAAUCACAUAUGGAAUUGUUGAACACAAACCGUUAUAACCGUUCUUACCGGUUCCUCAUUAGCAUCAUGAGUCUGAAGAGGACCUAUCGGUGGUUGUGGAGUUGUCAUCGCAUGGUCUAACUGCAAACACAGAUAUGUUAUUCGAUUAUCACAUAUGGAAUUGUUUAACACAAACCUUUAGAACUGUCCUUACCGGCUCUUCACUACCAUUGCCAUGGUUGUCACCUUCCUCUAUAAACUUGGGGAUCGACAAUAGUGACGGUGCACCUCCGCUUCAUGGAACCAGUGGCUCUUUUGUGCUUCAAGUUUCUCCUCUUUUCCCUAACACCUAAGCCCUAGUCCACUCGAUCCUCCAUGUGCCCUACUGGCACAUAUUGGUGGCCCUCAAAUAAUGGGACAUCAAUGUCUACAAAAUAAUCCCGGCUGGCCUCAUCUGGGGUGGGCUCCAAGGUCUCCAUUACCCACAACUGUAAAAUAGGGAUUGUGAUUAAAUUUUUGGGAAAAUUAUUAUACAAAUUUACAGCAGAAAUUAAUAGUUGUUCACUCACCUGCUGAGAUGACUCCAACAUCUCAAAUGCCUUGUAGAAAUAUUUGGCUUCUGGUUGCAUUGCCAUCUGCACAUGCAUGGGUAGACGUCCUUCGGAGUAGAGAGGGCAACUAUCUUUCGCAAGGCCAGAAUUGCCUCCAUUGCCCAGAACUGCAAGUCAAAUGUAACCAUUAUCAGAUCGUAAAUGAUAAACGAUUGUAACCAUAAAUUAUUAUGUCAAAAGGAAAAUGAAAAAUGUUACGUGACAGUACCUGUAUCAGCCACAUGAAUCCAAAAAUGUUGUACCGCAAACGAUCGUUCUGCACAUUCGAUGAAGGCACUUCAAACCCCUUCAAAAGGUAGUCCAAGGUCAGCCUCCAAACAUAGUGACCCAAUGGGAAGACAUUCCAAGCGUCGAUGUCCUCCACCAACGACAAGAGCCAAGGCGUCACCGGUCUACGGUAGUCUUGACCAAAUAAAAUGUUAUUCGUGAUCAAGAUGAGUGCCAUCUUGGUUGUGUCUCUCGGUCGCUCAAAGUUGCCUCCACGGAACGUAUCAAGGAAGGCCUACAACUUAACGCUUAGCUGCCCGUUCCAGUAUCGUGCAUGAAUUCUAUCCGUAACAACCUCGUACGGUCUCGUGAACACAUUCAGCACUCGACCAAACUUCAGUCCGGUGAUAAGGCAGAACUUCUGCUUUGAUAUGCGCACCUCGCUUUUCCUAAUGGCAAACGAUAGCUCAUGCUCCAUUGAAUCUGUCACAGUGAUUCGACAGAUCAUGAUGUUAUGCAAAAGACUAGCAGAGAAGUAGCUUUGCAGAUAUACGUCCAGCAGCAUUCCAAAGCAUGUACGCUUCACUACAUCGUACUCCUCUUUCUCUUUGAGGGUCUUGUUGAUGUAAUGCAGUUACGACCACUUACAGUGGGUGUUAAUAGCGACAUUGAAUGCCUACUUCUCCCUCGGCACAAUAAGCAAACUAUCAAGAUCCUCAUAUUGUCUAGAUUGCAUUUGCAAAACAUGGCACACAUGCACGAGUGAGUUAACCCAUAAUGUGGUAACACGCCAUGCAUAUAACGUAAAAUGUGGUAACACGCCAUGCAUAUAAUGUAAAAUGUUGUAACACGCCAUGCAUAUAAAGUAAAAUGUAGUAACACGCCAUGCAUAUAACGUAAAAUGUUGUAGCACGCCAUGCAUAUAACGUAAAAUGUGGUAACACGUCAUGCAUAUAACGUAAAAUGUUGUAACACGCCAUGCAUAUAACGUAAAAUGUUGUAACACGCCAUGCAGAUAACAUAAAAUGUGGUAACACGCCAUGCAUAUAACGUAAAAUGUUGUAACACGCCAUGCAUAUCAAGUCAAAUGUUGUAACACGCCAACGCUGACAUGCCAGCAGCAUAUGUUAUGCAAGAGACCAACGGAGAAGUAGCUUUGCAGAUAUACGUCCAACAGCAUUCCGAAGCAUGUACGCUUCAUUACAUCAUACUCCCCUUUCUCUUGGAGGGUCUUGUUGAUGUAAUACAGUUGCGACCACUUACAGUGGGUGUUAAUAGCGACAUUGAACGCCCACUUCUCCCUUGGCACAAUAAGCAAACUGUCAAGAUCCUCAUACUAUUUGGACUGCAUCUGUAAAACAUGGCACGCAUGCACGAGUGAGUUAACCCAUAAUGUGGUAACACGCCAUGCAUAUAACGUAAAAUGUGGUAACAUGCUAUGCAUAUAAUGUAAAAUGUUGUAACUCGCCAUGCAUAUAACGUAAAAUGUGGUAACACGCCAUGCAUAUAACAUAAAAUGUUGUAACAAGCCAUGCAUAUAACGUAAAAUGUGGUAACACGCCAUGCAUAUAACGUAAAAUGUUGUAACACGCCAUGUAUAUAACGUAAAAUGUUGUAACACGCCAUGCAUAUCAAGUCAAAUGUUGUAACACGCCAACCCUGACACGCCAAUCACUAAAAUUCCUGUGUCCUUACACAAACUGGCCUAAAAUACCUGUGGCAUGUGACAUGUCAAUCAGUGUAAUUAUUGACCCGUUACACGAACUGCCCUAAAAUAACUAAUGUCGUGACACGCUAAAACCCCAAAAAGCAGUUUACCCACUACAUGCCAUAUCUAUUGUAUUUCAAAACUUUCGUACGACCUUAAAAUCGAGAAAAAAAUAGUUUAAACAUAACAAUUGAAAAAGAUUGACAAAACACGAACAUAUCACACAAACCUAGCAAAAAAUCAACGAACAGAAGAAAGUUUUAAAAGUUUUAUUUUCAGAUUGACUGACCUCUUCAUUGAUAACCGACAUUGUUGCUGUGGUGGUGUCAAGCUUGUAAAGAAGAAAGUCGAGCACUCUGCUAUAUUUGGGAAUGAGAAAGAACACAGAUGUUUGCUAUUUCUAGAAAAUAUUUAAUUAAAAUGAAAUGGCCUCACAAUUUCCUUUAUAAAUAUUCAUUUAUUGAAUUAAUUCAGUUGAAGUCCAAUCGGUUUCCUUGUUAUUUACCUGUUUUUUUUUUUCCUUUUUCAAACCAUGUGUGCCACACAUCAAUUGCCAUGCCGUGUCACACACUCUAAACCCUACCGUGUCACGGAUCUCCAUGGAGUCUAACAAACUCUAAACACUGGCAUGUCACAGAUUGCCUCCAUGGCAAGUCACAAACUCUGAACGCUGACGUGUCACAGAUUCCCUCCAUGGCGUGUCACUAACUCUGAACCCUGGAAUGUCACAGAUUCCCUCCAUGGCGUGUCACCAACUCUGAACUCUGGCGUGUCACAGAUUCCCCCCAUGGCUUAUUGCGAACUCUAAACGCUGGCGUAUCACAGAUUCCUUCCAUGGCGUGUCACCAACUUUAAACGCUGGAGUCUCACAGAUUCCCCCCAUGGCGUGUCAUAAACUCUGAACGCUAAUGUGUCACAGAUUCCCUCCAUGGCGUGUCACCAACUCUGAACUCUGGCAUGUCACAGAUUUCCUCCAUGGCGUGUCACCAACUCUGAACUCUGGCGUGUCACAAACUCUAAAUCCUGCCGUGUCACAGCCCUGUCACACAUUCCCACCAUGUCGUGUCACACAUUCUCAACAUGCCGUUUCACAAACUCUAAACCCUGCCCUGCCACACCCAUCUCACAUAUGGCCUACUGUAACACGACCAUUUCGUGCUUUGGAUUCACAUCUUUCUUCUUUCGAUUCACCACUGUAUUAGGGAUUUCUGGUUUCACAUCAUUCUCCAAGCUUUCGAUUCAUCACGACCAGUUCCUCGUUCGAUUUAAUAUCAUUCUUUUCCUAUUAUCUGAAUGCCAUGUCUAAAAUCUCUGAAAAAUCAUCUCAUACAACAUUAUUUUGUUUUGCACAAGCUUCGCGAAAAAAAGGAUGUUUUGCACAAAAUUAGAUGUUCGCAAUUUCUUUACAUAUUUAUUUUCUCAUUUUUCGUCUGUUUGAGAGAGCGCUUCAACGAAGAUGGCUCAUUAAAGGCAUUUUUGUCUCAAAAUCUAUUCUUGUGACUAAAAACAAUUAAAAUUAUCUAAAAACUUAUUUACAAAAACACGUUAUUUUUAAGGGCUAAAAAAAAAUUUUCCUCUUUUCUAAUUUAUGUCAUCAAAAAUAGCAAAAAACUAAAGUAUAGCGUAGAAAAGAUGUGUUGACUUGGUAGUUGGNGCGUGUCACAAACUCUAAAUCCUGCCGUGUCACAGCCCUGUCACACAUUCCCACCAUGUCAUGUCACACAUUCCUAACAUGCCGUUUCACAAACUCUAAACCCUGCCCUGCCACACCCAUCUCACAUAUGGCCUACUGUAACACGACCAUUUCGUGCUUUGGAUUCACAUCUUUCUCGUUUCGAUUCACCACUGUAUUAGGGAUUUCUGGUUUCACAUCAUUCUCCAAGCUUUCGAUUCAUCACGACCAGUUCCUCGUUCGAUUUAAUAUCAUUCUUUUCCUAUUAUCUGAAUGCCAUGUCUAAAAUCUCUGAAAAAUCAUCUCAUACAACAUUAUUUUGUUUUGCACAAGCUUCGCGAAAAAAAGGAUGUUUUGCACAAAAUUAGAUGUUCGCAAUUUCUUUACAUAUUUAUUUUCUCAUUUUUCGUCUGUUUGAGAGAGCGCUUCAACGAAGAUGGCUCAUUAAAGGCAUUUUUAUCCCAAAAUCUAUUCUCGUGGCUAAAAACAGUUAAAAAUAUCCUGACGGUUAUUUACAAAAACACGUUAUUUUUAAGGGCUAAAAAAAAAUUUUCCUCUUUUCUAAUUUAUGUCAUCAAAAAUAGCAAAAAACUAAAGUAUAGCGUAGAAAAGAUGUGUUGACUUGGUAGUUGGAGUCUUCUCCACUCUGCUUCAAUUUUUGGUUUUAAAAGCAUUGCCUCUGCCUCAGGCGAUAAGUAAAAGGCGAGUUCUCGUACAACUGCCCAGACUAGAUGCAAAUGGUAAUUAUUCUCUGUCACUUCCUCUUGGUAUUGAGUGCUUCAGCAGUUGGUCUUGGUCCAGUCUCGCCAGAUCAAGAUGCCUGCGAGCCAAAACACUGCAAACCCGGCCAGCCAUCCGUCCGGUACCCCUUCCGGUUGAAAGGCCGCCAACCGGACCACUGUGGCUCAUCUGGGUUUGACCUGUCCUGCAACAACAAGAACCAGACGGUGCUGGAGCUGCCCCGUUCGGUCAAGUUAUUGGUGAAGCAUAUAGAUUAUGUAAACCAGAGGAUUCAGGUGUAUGAUGAAGAUGGUUGUGUCCAAAAGCAGCUUCAAAAUCUUACCUUAUCCGCAUCUCCUUUCACGUUCCGCUCAGACACAGAUCCCUACUAUGACAGCAAACCGGGAAACUUCACCUUGUUCAAUUGUUCAAUUGAAGAUCAAUCGAAGGAUUAUGAUAAUGACUGGAGCAUUUCCUGCUU